This 190028-nucleotide long non-coding RNA is filed under the name Citrus maxima (pomelo). Its description in RNAcentral is "long non-coding RNA (CMAX_LNC001224)". Lineage: Eukaryota; Viridiplantae; Streptophyta; Magnoliopsida; Sapindales; Rutaceae. The record is from RNAcentral.
GCUGGCGUUGUUUCCCUCUCCAAUUUUGCCUACAUAAGUGAAAAUAAGAAUAAUAAAUGAAAAUCUGCUUUUACGGUUCUUAUUAGAUAGAUAAAAGGGGGAUCUUUCUUUGUUUCUCUGCUGCAAAGUGUGGCUAUCCCACUCUGUUUUGCCACCCAAGCUGAGUCUAUGUUGAGACAUAAUUUUGACAUCAGAAGCAAUCUCAAUUAGUUUGGCACUUUUAUGACCUCCUUGAAGGUUUUACGAUAAACAUAAAUCUACUGAGAAAGUGAGAAAAAAAAAGAAAAUGCAUAUAAAAAUAUGAGUUAUCAGAUAAGAUUAAACUUCACCCAAUUCAAUCCAUCAGAUUCCGUAAGGAUAUAACUGGAUUUCAUACCGCCACUCCAUAUCCUCGAAAGUCCGUAGUCCUUGUCUCAACUGUGUCUGGGGCCAGUGUAAGUCCAAUUUGCGCAAGCUCUUUAUGCACCACAGCUCUUCUGGAAGCUUUCUCAAGUAAGCACAUGGGUUGACAAUUAAGCUUUCAAGUUUGGGCAUUGCUCCAGCCCCCAUCGUCCACUCAUCUAGCCAAUACAUUGAUUUGAGGUGCAAAACCUUAAGUUCGGGAAAGCUACUCAAGCCAACACAAGCAAGCUUUCUUCCUAAAUACGAGUUCUGCUUCAGUUUCAGCACUCGAAGGCGUGGAAGAUUUUCCAGAAUUGGCAUGGGAUCCUCCAUUAACUCAGUAUUUGAUAAGCUCAGUUGGAUCAGACUUGGGGGAAAUUGGUAUUCAGACAGGACCAUCCGUGAGGGCUUGCUCUCAUUCACCAGCUUCAAGCAUUCAAGUUUGUGGAGUUCGCAAAGGCUUUUGGAAACCCCAGAUUGAUAGUAACUCAAAUCUCCAGAUAUCCGAAGAGUCUGAACACUAGGUAGUCUGCCCAAUAUAUCAGGAGUACAACUACUAGGGUUUAAAGCUGAUAUGAAAAUGAGAUUUUUCAGAGAGCUAGAAUAAUUUUUUGGAGGUGCGGGCAGAGUGAUAGAACCAAAGUUUAGAUGCAUGAGUUUUUGCAUCAUCCAAAUAUCCUCUGGUGACUGAUCUAUGUAGCUAGAUGGCAUUUCUAGUGUUUCAAGGUUUAAAAGGGUGCAUAGCAGUGAAGGAAGGCAUUUGAGCGAAGGGAUAUUCAAUUUCAAAUACUUCAAAAGAUAUAAAUUUUCUAAUCCGGGUGGAUAUUGGUCCAGGACUGCAGAACCCAAAUUCAAUACCCGAAGGUGUUUGAACUUUUUACAAAAAUUCUCGCAAUCUUUCGGAUUAAGAUGAUCGCUUGCCGAACUGUGAUUCAGAAAAGAUUGGAGAUACAUGUCAGAAUGUUCUAAAGAUAAAAACCCAGUCAGAUCUUCGGCAAUGACGCACCGUUUAACGUUUGCCACUGGCUCCUCUUCCCCGUCAUGCAUCAAGACAAAUUCCGUCUUCUUUGCCACAAAAUACAAUGAAGUAUAUACAAAACUUGGAACAUAACACGCUUUAAUUGUGCCUCCGGCGCUUCUCUUACUCACUUGAAUGAAGCCGCGACGGAUUAGUUCUUUCAUGUAAUGUUCGGCAGUUUCUUCACCGUUGUAUGGUAUGAAACCUUCAGCUACCCACAACUGAUAUAAUUGCUCCGUAGAUAUCUCAAUACUUGGAAGGAAGACACACAAAUAGAUGAAGCAGACUUUCAAGUGAAAAGGUAACUCCAUCACAGAAAAAAUUUGUCUCCAAACUGUCGGAAUCGCUUCGCCUUGAAGAUAAUUUUCUAAUGGCAUACUUCCAUAGUGUAGGAUGAAAAAUUGCCAGGCUUCAUGCUUUAAUCUGAUCAAUGGUCCUCCAAAGAGCACUGAAUCACGCCGAAUCUUCUCUCCGUUUUCCAUUUCUAACGACGCAAGGAGGUGUGGAUCACUGACCAACAUCAAUACUCUGCUUCCAUUCUGAUUAUCAGGAAGAACUUCUUCAAGAUCACUCCAUAUCUCACUGUCAUCGAAGACAUCAUCAAGCACAAUAAAGUACUUCCUGUUUGUUAGGUAAUCUCGAAGAAUAGAUUUCUUCAAUUGAUAAUCUUCCCCGAUAAUUACACUAACCCGAGAUGGAGGCAUCACAGACUUGAUUAUGUCAUCCAAUAUCUUGCCAAAAUCGUAGGUUAUAGAAACCCUGACCCAAGCAAGACAGUCAAAAUAGAACUUGACGUGAUCAUUAUUGUAAGUAUCUGCGGCAAAAACAGUCUUGUCGAAGCCACUGCUGUCGAGAAUUGCAACCACUGCAAGCCCAGAUGGUCCCUCAAUCAAUAGAUCAAACAACUCCUCUCUGCCCCUUUCAAAUUCACUGAUAUCAAGCCGAGGAUGUCCCGCACUCAAUAGGCGAAUGAUUUCGUUACUUUUUUCACUGAUAUCAAAACCAUUGUCGCCGGGUGGAAGUUGUUGCAUCCGAUUUCUAAUAUCAAUGAUUUCACUGUGGAGUCCAUCAAGAAGAGCCAUAUUAGUGCUGCUUUCACUUUCGUUUUCACUGUUUUGCUGCUGCAUGAUGUUGAUGAAGAAUGUGUCAAUGGCUUCCUGUGAGUCACGGACAAAGUUAUUGAUGUCCUCCAGAAUUUCAAAAAUAUCUGCUGUUUCAACGUUUUCUUCAUCGCUUUCUUCUAAGUCCAACAGUUGCAAAAAAGGCAAAGAUAUUUUGGAGUCAUCGAAAUCUUCUCUAAUGAGUUGAAACAAAUGCCGAGCCAUGUCAGCUUCAUAUUUUCCCAGCAGAGUAGUAGCAAUAAUUUCGGACUCCGUAAGAAGGUUUUGAAAAAGUGGAGUUAAAUUUGUUGAAUCUGGCAGCGGCAACGUGCCUUCUUCACCUGCUAACACCCUUCUCAACCUCUCACAAAAUAGUCGGAGGUGGACGUCCAGCAUAUCUCCUUCUCUCUGUAGCACCCAGAGGUAUUGUUUUUUGCUCCAAGAAAUAUUAAAAGGAUUGGUUCUAUCUAAAAGUGGUUACUGGUGUAAAAUUAAACGCCAUGGGAGAAUUUGAAAGGAAGAUGCCAAGGAACUGGCGAAGUGGCUAAAUUCCACAAAUACGGCAUUAUUGCUCAUUUUUAACUCAAAAAAUUGAUACGCGUUCAUUUUGCGAAAAGUCCAAGACGCUUGCCUUUUGAAAAGAAGAGGUAUCCAAUAGAUAUCCAACCUUUAUCUUAUUUUAAUUACUACCACGACAUGAUUGAUGGUGGUUAAAUCAAUUGUUUCUUUUUUAAUUUAAAGAAUUUUUCAUUAAAAAAUAUUUUAAUAUCAAAUUGCCUUCAAUAGCGUAACUGCCGCAAGCCCAGUAACAGGAUUAAUUAAUUUUUUUUGAAUUUUUGGGCAUGGAAAGAGUAGUAUUAGACUUCAGAAAGCUAAGGUUGUUAUGUUAAAGAAUUGAUAUUGACAUAAUUUUAUUUUGGCUUUCGGGGAAAAAAAUAUUUGCUGACAAGCAAGAAAAUAUUUUUGUAUUUUACAAUUUAUUAUACAUAUUUGAUCAUAUUAAAGUAAUUUUAAUAAUAAAUAGACACAUAAUAUUACAAUAAAUAAAGUAAAGUUUAAAUUAUUUUGAAUAUUAUAAAAAAAUAAUUUUAAUAUUAUUAAUAGGAAGACAUUUUGUUAAUUUUAAAAUCUUUUUAACCUAAAGGUUUAUUUAAAAUCUUUAGAAAUCUCCAUCCCACAUCUACCCUAUUAAACAAGUUGAUGGAAAUUGAACAAUUGCUUUUUAAAGUGGGACCCAUUGAGUUAUGUUCAUUACUGGUCAUUGUCUAUUCUUUCUAAGAGCCACUUGUUUUGAGCAUUAGCAAUCCUAUCUGGACUACUCCAAUUAUUGAUGUAACUCCAAUGGUUGCAUCGACAGUUGAAUAUAAGAGGAUGGUCCAUCGACAAUUUCUUUGUUUCUCCGUUGCAGCGUAUUAGUAUAAAUUUCUUUACCUAACAGUUCAUACAGUCUUCCUGUUAAUGAAUUCACUGAGGCAUUAUUGAUACAAUGUGCUUUUCGCUAAUUAAUUAUGAUUAUAUACGCUUUCAUAUAGCAAGUGGCAUUGUAGAUCUAAACUAAGUUGCUAUUUCAAUACGUUAAUUAAGUGAUUCUCCUCAUUGUCAUCAGCAUUAUACCCUCUAGGAAAAUAGCUCAAUUGUUUCUCUGCAUUGAUUUUCAUUGGUAAGUGAUUUCUUAUGAAAUUCUUUUGAGCUUUCCUUAUUAAAAAUGCUUGAGCUUUUAUCACCUAAUACGGAUAUCAAUUAACUUGUGAACGAUUUUGUAAUGAAACUAGGAGUUAAAUAAGAUUUUUACAUGAUGAUCAACUUGUUAAUUUUGUAUAUUUCAUAUUCAACAGGAUUUGGGCACGGAACGUUUGGAUUCUAAUAUUUAUAUAUUUAGUUUUAAUCAGUUUGACUUUCGUAAUCUUUCUCGCCUCAUCAUUAAGGGAUUAAGAAUUAGAGAAACAUUAGAAACAGGAAGAAAAUAACUUCAGAAAUAAGUAAGAGGGAAUCCAAUGAGAAAUAUGAUAAGAGAACGUCAAUUACUUGUCAUUUUCUAUUUUUUCUAUGAGAUAUUUAUUUUGAGCAUUAGUUAUAGCAAAUCCUUGAAAUCUACUAAACAAAACAAUGCCCUGUCUCAUGAAUCGAUGUUGAAUUACAGCUGAAAUUGAAAGUCUGGCACCAGUUAUAGCAAAUAUUGAAUUACAAUAUUUCCCUUGCCAAACCGUACCUGCAUGUGGCAACGUGCCUUCUUCACUUGCUAACACCCUUUUCAACCUCUCACAAAACAGUCGGAGGUGGAAUUCCAGCAUAUCUCCUUCUCUCCGCAGCACUCAGAGGUAUAGUUGAAAGAUUAAACACCAUGGAAGAAUUUGAAAGGAAAAUGCCAAGAAACUGUGUAAGUGGCUAAAUUCCACAAAUAUGACAUUAUUGCUCAUUUUUUAACUCAAAAAAAGGGUACGCGUUCAUUUAGAGAAAAGUCCAAGACGCGUGCUUUUUAAAAAGAACAGGUAUCCAACCUCUAUCUUAUUAAAUUACAACCAUGACAUAAUUGAUGGUGCUUAAAUCAAUUGUUUCUUUUUUAAUUUAAAGAAUUUUUCAUUAAAAAAAUAUUUUAAUAUCAAAUUGCCUUCAGUGGCGUAACUGCCUCAGGCCCAGUAACAGGACUAAUUAAAAAUUUUACAAUUUUUGGGCAUGGAAAUAGUAGUAUUAAACAUUAGAAAGGUAAGGUUGUUCUGUUAAAGAAUUGAUAUUGACAUAAUUUUAUUUUGGUUUUCGUGGAAAAAAAAUUUGUUGACAAGUAAGAAAAUAUUUUUAUUUUUAUAAAAUUUAUUAUGCAUAUUUAUCAUAUUAAAGUAAUUUUAAUAAUAAAUAGAAACAUAAUAUUACAAUAAAUAAAUCAAAGUUUAAAUUAUUUUGAAUAUUAUAAAAAAUAAUGUUAAUAUUAUUAAUAGGAAGACAUUUUGUUAAUUUUAAAAUCUUUUUAAUCCAAAGGUUUAUUUAAAAUCUCUAUAAUAAAUACAAAUAUAAGAUUAAAAUAAAAAUCAUAAUUUGAAAAUUUUAAUAUUAUUUUAAAUGUUAAAUAUACUUUAAUGUUAUUAGCCUACUACGUAAAUUUUAUUAUUUAUAUUAUAUUCGUAUUGAUUAAAAUUUUUUAAAGUCAAUUUUUUAGUUAGUACAUUCACGAGGUAUAAUAGUUAAAGAAAAAAUUUUGGUGCAACUGUUUUAAAAUUUCAGGGUAUAAAUGAUAAUUUUUUUAAAAAUUUUAAGUAGGUAUUAUUUUUCCGACAAUUUAUUUUAUUGAGGGAAACCCGAUGAGAAAUAUCAUCAGAGAACAUUAAUUUAACAUUCUUUACCUUUAUGAAAAAAGUGGAAACCAAGAACUAUUCAAUUUUUUUUUUUUUGUGUAAUUCAAAAAAUGCAUCCACCAAACAAGCUUAUCUUAAUUUUCCCACUUUAUUCAUUUUCGAUGCUUUUCAAAAGAGGUUCCUUUAAUCCAUCUAGCAUCUGCAGCCCCCACUAUUUUUACAAAUCUCCAUCCCACAUCUACACUAUCAAAAAAGUUGAUGGAAAUUGAACCCAUUAAUUAAGUUAUGUUCAUUACAGGUCAUUAUCUUUCUAUGAGCCACUUAUUUUGAGCAUUAGCGAUCUUAUAAGGAAUCAUGCCUUUUCCGGAUCGUUUUCUUUCAUUUCCUUAUUGACUUAUUGUAGUAGUUAAUUAAAUAAAGAACGAACAAGUGAACUUAAUUUGUCUAUUUCGAGGAAGAACAAGGUUUCCAAUACUAGAGGAACUUUGAAGAAAAUUAAUUGGAAGCCUUUAUUCAUCUUUGAAGAAAAUUACCACACUUUAAAUCCUGGAUUAAAAAAAAUUUAUUCAUCUUCGGACUAUGAAUUUAUAAAAUAAUAUUGCUAGGACUAAGAAAAAAAUAUUAUUUUAGAUACGUUAUUUAUUUAUUAUUGAAUGAAAAAUUUAUCAUGAUAAAUAAAAUUUCUUAAUUUAAAGAGAGAUUUUUUUUUUGGUUUUAAGAAGAGUUUUUUUGGUACAUGCACACACUAAUAAAGAAACACAAAAAGUGCUUCCUCAAGUCAAUAGUAUUUACUUUAAUCGCUAAGGUGCAUAAUAAUGUAGCUUAGUUAGGAAAUUUGUAAUUACAUUAUGGCUCCGUUUGGUAUAACUUUUUAAUUAGAACUUAUUUAAAGAGAAUUUAUAUUAGUAGAGUUUUUAUAAAUAGAGAUUUUUUUUAUAAAAAAAAUUAUAGUUAUUUAGUUAUCAAUGUCCAAAUUGAUGAAGUAUUGUUCUUUUUAUUAACAUGUGUUUGUUUUACUUAAUAAUAAAAGUUUAGUUUACAAUUACACCGGUGUCAAAUCAGCAGAGCAUCGGCAAGAGUUUUCGAUUGUUGCAAUUUGCAAUGCACGCGGUGAGAGAAAAUGAGAAUCUUGUUUAAUUGUCAAUAAUGACAAACCUAAUCCUUUCAUUAGGAGUAAAUUAAUAAUCGUUGGUUAUAAUUGAAUAUGUAUAAAGAAAGGAAAAUUAUAUUCAUAGAUUUGACUUAUUUUUUAUUUAACGUAACUAAUCAUUCAACCAUCUUCGUUUGCCUCUGGCCAAUGCCCUUGUAGAUUAGUUGAAGCGUUAAUUACAUAAUUCAGAUAAUUACAACGUCCUUUUCGCUAAUUAAUUAUGAUUAUGUACAUUUUCAUAUAGCAAGUGGCAUUGUAGAUCUAAACUACGUUGCUAUUUCAAUACGUUAAUUAAGUGAUUCUCGUCAUUGUCAUCAGCGUUAUAAACAGGAAUUAUGCAAACAGUACACAAUGCUGCAGCAAGGCGUGGUUGGCUAGAGUUUUGCAACCACCCUCGAGAUCAUGUGCUGCCAGUAGUAAAAGAAUUUUACGCCAAUUUGGUAAGCCUUGGUCAGCACAAUAUUUGGGGUAAGAAACUCACUUGUUCCAUUAGACUCUCGAGUUAUAAAUGUUUUUUAUAAUUUACCUGCUGAAAUUAAUUGUGAGUAUGCCAAGUUGCUUGACAAAUUGACCUCACAACAAUGGAACACAAUUUUCACGACACUUACAGUAGAGGGUGCAUCGUGGGCUAAUGAGGAGGGGCGUGUAAUUAACAGGAUAGAUUUAAAACUCAUUGCUAAGGUGUGGGUGAAAUUUCUGAAAUCUAGGCUUAUGCCAACCAUCCACACCAUUACUGUUUUACAGGAAAGGUUGGUGCUGUUACAUGCUAUUGUUAGAGGGCUUUCCAUAGAUGUGGGAAGUAUUAUCGAAAAAGAAAUUCGAGAUUGUACCAUGAAAAACCACAAGGUUGUUGCCUUGUUAUUUCCUUCACUCAUAACCAGCAUAUGUGUAGUAUCGGGUGUUCAUCUUGAUGCAAAGGAUAAAAUUUGUAAUUAUAUUAUGGCUCCAUUUGGUAUAACUUUUUAAUUCGAACUUAUUUAAGGAGAUUUUUAUUAGUAGAGCUUUUAUAAAUAGAGAUUUUACUAAAAAAAAAUUAUAGUUAUUUAGUUGUCAAUGUCCAAAUGGAUGAACUAUUGUUCUUUUUGUUAACAUGUGUUUGUUUUACUUAAUAAUAAAAGUUAAGUUCACAAUUACACCGGUGUCAAAUCAGCAGAGCAUUUUUGCAGGGGUAAAAUCUCAUUUAGUCCCUAUAUUUUAAGCUUAGUAUCCAUUUGGUCCCUAUAUUUUUAAAAAUACCUCAAAACAUCCCUACCGUUAAAGUAUUGAUACCCCUACCGUUAAAGUAUUGAUACCCCUACCGUUAUCUUUAAUUUAUUUUGGCUUACUUUUACAAUAUUACCCUUUUAUAAUAAUUUUUUUAGACAUGAAUAAAAAAUAAUAAUUAAAUUACCAAUUUAACCCAAAAAAAAUUAAAAAAAAAAUUAUAUUAAUUUUUUUUGCAAACACCAUUUGCACACUUGAUAGUUUGCAUACAAUUUUAGAUAAUUAAAUUUCAACACAAGACUGAGUUUUUCAUCAUUCAAACUUCUCAUGUCUAAACUUUAUUUAUUGAGGUGCUAAAAGAUAAAUAUAUUGGCAAUUGGGAAAUGAAGUCAAUGAUAAGUUUGAUACAACCGUUGAUUAAAUAUCAUUAAAAAAAAAAAAGUACCUACAACUAGAAGUUAAAAAAAAAUGUCACCAUAGCCCACGUAUAAAUCCAUUUUGUAGUGCGUCAAAACUUAUGAAUAUCCUCUUGAAGUACGUCGCUACACCUUAUGUUUCAUAUUGAAUUUUCACCAUUGCCCUUUUAUUCUUUAUAAGAAGAACGUUGGCAUAGUCAUGUAACUUUGCAUAAGAUUUUGUGUAGUCACUAUCAGCAAUUUUUAGAACCCUUUUUUUGGCCAUAUACAGCCUUUUCUUUGUAGUUGAACAAGAAAACCUCUUCCUCAAUUCAUCUGACAUGGAUUCACAACCGAUAUCAGGAUUAAAACUAAUAAAACCAUACAAUUUCUGAGCUAUCCAUCUACUAGUUACUUCAGGAUUCUUAAACAGCUCUUUGCACUUAUGUUCACCACCUUUUAAAGUUUUAAUCUGGAAUGUAACUUUGUCAACCAAUAAAGAUGCAUGGAUUCUCCAUGGACAUUCCUUUCCUUCUUUGUCCUUCCCAGCACACACGGCUGUAACUCUACAUUUGUCAUUCUUUUUCCUUUUCAAAACUCUUGACUCUUGAAUAGCAUAAUCCUUCAAUACAUUCUUAAACUCUUGAGCACAACUAAAAGUUUGCCCAACUUCCAAAACAAUAUCAUCAUCACCAUCGGGUUCUUGAACUUUUUUUUCUUAAAUCCCUUUUCAUCUUCAAUAUUAUAGCGUCAUCUUCUUCAUCACUUGUAAUAGAUACAUCUUCAUUAUCACUCUCACAAUCUGACAUGCCAUCAUCUCCAUCAAAUUCAUUAAUAUCAAACCCUAAAUCAACUUCAGGUUCACUAUCAGACUUAACAAUAUCACCAAUAUCUUCAUCAGACCAGUCAAUAGACUCAACACUGAUUGCAUCAUCACUUUCACCAUCUAAAAUACAAACAUUAACUGCAUUUGAGGCAAAAUGAUUAUCUUCAGGGCGAGUUUGAGCUAAAACGGGUGACAAGCUGGCCAAGGAUAACGCAUCCAUCUCCAAAUUAAUAGAAUUAAGACCCUUGGCUUGAAUUAAGUUAACCAAAUUCUGGAAGUCUUUAUCAUUAUUCAAUUCAAUCCCUUCAUUGGACCAUGGGACAAUGCCAGUAAGCUUAAAGCUCUCAUCAUAAUGCUUGUGCCUUCCAAAGACAUUAUUCAAGACAUCGUUGAUGAGGGAUACAAGAAUCAAGCAAUCAGGAUCAUAAGCAUCCUCCACAUCUUUGCCUAAAAAUCGAACUGAAAUGCUGAUUUGACUCAUUUUGAAUCUGCCAACAUAAAGAUGAACAAAAAAUAUCAGAAACUUAAAACUAUUACAUACGAAAUCAUAAAAUACAAAAUCGACAUUAUAGAACUUUAUAUGAUUAUGAUUUUUUUUUACAAAAAAAUACUCAAUCAAGUGAAGUUAAAAUAAUUUCUUUUCGAUUACAAAUCAAUUCCACUACCAAUAUUAAGCUACGAAACAACCAUGAAAGGGUUAAAAAAAAGAAAGAAAGAAAACAAAAACCGUUCAACUUUUAGUCUACUGCAAAACAAAAACCGUUCAACUUUUAGUCUACUUCAUAUGGAAUUUUAGUCUUGGGAAGAAAUACCCAUUCAAGUGGAAAAAAAAAUAAUUUCUUUUCAUUGAACACAUGGAAGAUUAAAAAAAUAAAUAAAUAAACAAGACCAAUGUGAGACGUACCAGAAUAGGCCAAUUUCCUUCGUUGUCGGUUUUGACAUCUACUGCAAGACUACGUUUCCAAUAGAAAAAAUUUUACAGCAAUAAAAUUGUUAUGAGUUUUAAAAAAGCAAGUCACUUAAGUUCUUAAAGCGAGGGUUUUAAAGAAUAUUAGGGUUAAAAUACGUUUUUGCGAUUAUGGAUCUAGGUUAUCGUAAUAAUUUUUUAAAAUUUUAAAUUUUACCAAGAAAAAUACAUUUUUACCCUCAUUAAUCUAGAAUUAACAGUAACGGAGGUGAUGCUAAGGGUGUUUUGAGGUAUUUUUAAAAAUACAAUGACUAAACAGACAUUAAUCUAACGCUUUUUCUCCCAUGUAAAUUCUUAAUGUCGUUUUUCCAUAGUAUAGGAUGUAAAAUUGCCAGGAUUCAUGCUUUAAUCUGAUCAAUGGUCCUCCAACGAGAACUGAGUCAGGAUGAAUCGUCUGUCCAUUUUCCAAUUCGAACGAGGAAAGGAAGGCUGGAUCAGUGACCGUUAUAAUUACUCUACUUCCAUUCUGAUUCUCAGGAAGUACUUCUUCAAGAUCAUCCAAUACGUCGUCACCCUCUUUGUAGUAAUCAUCAAGCACAAUAAAGUACUUCUUGUUUGUUAGGUAAUCUCGAAGAAUAGAUUUCUUCAAUUGAUAAUCUUCACCGAUAACUACACUAACCCGAGAUGGAGGCAUCACAGACUUGAUUAUGUCAUCCAAUAUCAUGCGAAAAUCGUAGGAUAUAGCAACCCUUGUUAGGAAAUUGAGCUUCCUCCCAAGAUCACUCCAAGCAAUUUAUCAAGCAACAAAUUAACAGAAAAAUUUAAUGGAGAAUACAUCAAUCACACAACACAAGAUUUACGUGGAAAACUCUAAAUCCGGAGAAAAACCACGGCCGUUGUCAAAAAGACAACCAGAGAAAAUAUUCACUAUAUGGAAAAUUAUUACAACCACACUCUCAAAAAUAAUUUUCUCUCACCCAAGCCCCAAAUACAUAAUCCUGAGAAAUAUCCCUUAACAAAGCAAACCCGUAAUACCCAUAUUACGGAGCCAAAUGCUCCUUCAAUAUAACUACAUGCUUAAGAACUUUUCUCUCUCUCAAUUUCUCACCAAAACUUGGAUUCCUUCUCUGGGAUUUGGAUUGCUUCUCUCAAUGGCCAACAGUUCAUGUCUAUUUUCUUUAGCAAAGCCGAAGCUCAUUGCUACUCAUUUCUCAUCAAAUGACAUUCCAAUUUAUAGCCAAACUAUCACACCAAAAAUCUAAUAAGUCGGCAACAACUUUCUUCCUUUUUUACAAAUUCAUCAUGCGGUUCAAAAUUGGCAUUUUGCUUGUCAAAGUCCAUCCACCCAUUUGAAUGCAAUCAAUGUGUUCCCAUUUCACUUUUCCUUUUUUUUUAAUCAAUUUCAACAAUCUCCACCUUGAUUAAAAAAAAAAUUCAUAACUACUGCUACAAAACACUGUCUUCACCAACAGUCAUAAUUCUUAACAUAGAGAAUUAUCAUACUCCACCAUAAAGAGUAUACCACUUAGAAACAACCAUUCUAAGAUUUUUCUCGGCACAUGUCAAAAUAUCUUGCUGAAAUUUAUGGUACAAUUCUCAUGCUUGGUUUCCCUAAGAAUUCUUCAGCCAUGACAUAACUUUUCCACUACACACCUUGCAUUUAUACCAAGCCAAUGCCCGCGUGCAAACUUGUGGACCCCGCUGAUCAUAGCAUGUUCUCUUUCAUGACAACUUGGAGAUUUACAUGCCAAAAGAACUAACCCAAUCUCCUAUCAAAAGGAAACUCACAAUCUACGAGAAUAUCAUUAUCUCCUUUACUGAUUCUGGAGUAAUUUGCCGAGCCCACUCCACCUUCUUGACAAUUUUCUUGAGGUGCCAAAAAUUGUCUCACACCUUCAAAUCUUUGUGCAUACCAGAUUGGAUACACCUUUGACUUGAAUUCUCCACAAGCCAAUAAAAUCAUUCUUCCAUUAAUUUUUUUUUUUAACAACAUCAAACUCCACCAAGUUUAAAAAACACCAGCUACUGACAUAUAUGCUUUACAUAAACAGUAUCGUAUACCCCAAGUACAAACCGUUGGCUCUGAUACCACUGUUAGGAAAUUGAGCUUCCUCCCAAGAUCACUCCAAGCAAUUUAUCAAGCAACAAAUUAACAGAAAAAUUUAAUGGAGAAUACAUCAAUCACACAACACAAGAUUUACGUGGAAAACUCUAAAUCCGGAGAAAAACCACGGCCGUUGUCAAAAAGACAACCAGAGAAAAAUAUUCACUAUAUGGAAAAUUAUUACAACCACACUCUCAAAAAUAAUUUUCUCUCACCCAAGCCCCAAAUACAUAAUCCUGAGAAAUAUCCCUUAACAAAGCAAACCCGUAAUACCCAUAUUACGGAGCCAAAUGCUCCUUCAAUAUAACUACAUGCUUAAGAACUUUUCUCUCUCUCAAUUUCUCACCAAAACUUGGAUUCCUUCUCUGGGAUUUGGAUUGCUUCUCUCAAUGGCCAACAUUUCAUGUCUAUUUUCUUUAGCAAAGCCGAAGCUCAUUGCUACUCAUUUCUCAUCAAAUGACAUUCCAAUUUAUAGCCAAACUAUCACACCAAAAAUCUAAUAAGUCGGCAACAACUUUCUUCCUUUUUGACAAAUUCAUCAUGCGGUUCAAAAUUGCCAUUUUGCUUGUCAAAGUCCAUCCACCCAUUUGAAUGCAAUCAAUGUGUUCCCAUUUCACUUUUCCUUUUUUUUUAAUCAAUUUCAACAACCCUGACCCAAGCAUGACAGUCAAAAUAGAACUUGACAUGAUUAUUGUUGUAAGUAUCAGCAGCAAAAGCAGUCUUAUCGAAGCUACUGCUGUCGAGAAUUGCAACCACUGAAAGCUGUGGUUGUCCCUCAAUCAAUAAAUCAAACAACUCCUCUCUGCCGUUUUCAAAUUCACUCUUAUCAAGCUGUGAUUGUCCCUCAAUCAAUAAGUAAGUGAAUUCGUUCCUUCGUUCUCUGAAAUCAAAACCAUUGCCUUCAGGUGGAAUUUGUUGCAACCGAUUUCUAAUAUCAAUGAUUUUACUGUGGAUUCCGACAAGAAGAGCAAUGCAAGUAGUGCUUUCACUUUCACUGCUUUGCUGCUGCGUGAUGUUGAUGAAGAAUGUGUCAAUAGCUUUCUCUGAUUCACGGACAAAGGAAUUGAUGUCUCUCAGAAGUUCCCAAAUGCCGAUAACGCGAAGGUAUUUCGUCUUCAUCGAAAUGUUCUCUAAUGAGUUGAAUCAAAACCCGAGCCAUUUCAGCUUCAUAGUUUCCCAGCAGAGUAGUGGCUAUAAUUUCGGACUCCGUAAGAAGGUUUUGAAAAAGUGGAGUUAAAUUUGUUGAAUCAGGCAAAGUUAACGUGCCUUCUUCACCUGCUAACACCAGUUUCAACCUCUCACAAAAUAGUGUGAGGUUAAUUUCCAUAUCUUUCCCUCUCUCAGUAGUACUCAGAGGUACGUAUUGUUAUUUGUUAGUGUUGAUGACGAAAGCUGAAUAACAAAACAACAGUGUACACAAUCAACAGAAGCCAAAGUAUGUUAAUUUGAGAUCAAAGGAUAUAAAUAAAGGAAAAGUUUUCGUCGAUUGAGAAUGGAUGGAUGCAAAGAAUGACUGAUAUUAAAUGAUUUCUAUAAAUGAGACAUGCAAAGAAUGAAAUUUAAAGGUAACCCCCUUUUUUUUUUUUUUAAAGUACUCUAUUGAAAGCCAAAGUUCCUUUGGCCAAUUAAUUUAGAAGUGAAGGAAAGAAUAAAGUUAGUCCUUGAUGUCUUUUGAAAUUAGAAAUACAUUUUGAAUGCUUUAAUAGAUGCAGAGCAAACUGGCUCGAUAUCUACCUAUUUUUAGUGCUAAAAUCAUUUAAUAGAAGUUGUAGCAUUAAAAAAAAAAAAAAAAAAAAACUGGCUUGAUAUCCAAUUUUGUUAUUGAAUAUGUCUCAUGUGAGAGUAAAAAAAAACUGGCUUGAUAUCCAAAAUUUAAAGGUAACUCCUUGAAUUUGAUUGAAAAAUUAUUGAGACGGACAAGGCUGGACCAUUGUUCGAGACUGAAACUACACAUCAGUCUUAGAAAAUUGUAAUUUUGUUGGCUUAUCAUGAUUUUGAUCGUCUCACAUUGAUUUUCCUAUGAUGUCUCUGUCGAGUGGCUAUGCUUACAUUUUUAGGUAUUUAAUUCUAAAAAUUAACUUAUUAAAUGGAGGGACCAAUUCUACCUAUAAAUCCAAGUGGCUUCCCUUUACUAACUCAUAUGAGAUACAACAAUAAUUUUCUUUGGACAAAACCACUGUUGGAGGGUUAUUUUCGUUCAACAUACAUGAGUUGUUCCACCACCAUAUUUUGAGGGUUUGUUUUGGAUAUGACUUGGGGGAGCUAAGGCUAAGAUUUCUAAGUAUCAACAUAAAAACCUUGCCGGAAGGACCAAUCCUACUUUAAAGUCUAAAUGACUAAUUCUUGAGGACACAACUCAACAGCCCAAUAUAAACUUUUGACGUCCCAUUUUAUUACUUUCCAGUGCUUUUACUUUUGCUGUCUAGAGCCCUACCAUGCUAUUAAGCAGAAAAUAUUUCAAGGCACUCUCGGUCCAGUAGAUAACUUUGGUAUUUAUCAUCUAUUUUCUUUCCAUUUUAUGCAUACCCCGAUCUUUACCUCUGAUUGGUUGUAGAUUCUUUUGUUGCUUUGGGGUUAGGGGGUGGUUUUCAUAACUAUUCAGUUGAUCAAUGCAGAAAAUCACCAUCAAGAAAUUAUAAAGGAUUGUUAGUUCUAUCUGACAAACAACAUUAAUAUGAAGGAUGAUGAUUGUUCUGUUCAAGAGUUUAUAAUGACAUAAUUCUACUUUGGUCUUUUAAAAAAAGUAAUUUAGAAACGAGGAGUAUGUGAGUGAUGAUUUUUACAAAAUAAAUUACAUGCGUAGUGAUGAUUUUGACACAUGAAAAUGAAAAAAGAAAUAUAACUUGUGAAUAAUAAUUGAAGUACCUGCUAUUGUUAUAUUGAGUAAUCAAGGACUUCAAUAUUCGGACGAUAUAAGCAACACAAUCAAAUAUUAGUUGGAAGGCAUAGCAAAAUUAGAAUGUAGAACAAACUGGGUAUUGAUAAAUGGAUGGUUUUGGAAGAAUUGAAAAUGAUGGCAUAAGUAAACCAAAGUUUAGAGAAAAGAGAAAGAGCAUUUGAACUUUACUUGUAAGAAAAGGCAAAUAUCUUGGUUCAAGAAAAGAUAAGAGAUAUCAAACUAGCAAUAGGAAAAAGGAGGAAGGUUAAGACAGCAUCUUAACAAAAGCUAAAGAAAAGAAAAACUUAGUUCAAGCAAAGAACAAUGUGCUAAUGUCGUGUAAUCUUGUUUAAUUUCUUUUUCUUCUCACAUUUUCCAGGGCUUAAAUAAUACAAUAUACAUUUUCAAGCAAAGAACAAUAUGCAAUUGCAGUACUUCUGAGCACACAACAACAAAUAAAUAAUACAAUAUACAUACCCACUAAAUUAAAAAAAAAAUAUUAUCCAAGUUUGUGGACUAUAGCCAUGGCGUCGUCGAAAUCUACUGACAGCUGAAACAAAGAAAGAAUGGAUGAAUGCUGGAUCACAGUUGAAAUUGAAGGUCUGGUAGGUGAUGUUUCCCUCUCUGAUUUUCCCUAAACAAAUACAAGAAAAUAAGAAUCACAAAUGAAAAUCUGCUAUUACACUGUUCUUACUUAUUAAAAUACAGAGGUUUCUUUGUUUCUCUGCAGCAAUGUCCAUGGCUAUUAGAAACAAGAACAAUUAGACCAGCAUUUGUAAGAAUCCUUUAAGGUAUUACUGCAGAUAUAAAUCGACUGAGGAAAUGGAAAAAUUGAAUACCAAAUUAGGCAAGUUAACUGAAGAUUGAGUUAAUCAUAGAAGAAUAAAACUCAUCCAAUUCAAUCCAUCAAAUUCCAUAAGGGUACAACUGGAUGUCAUACUGCUGCUCCAUAUCCUCAAGAGCCCGUAGAUUUUGCCUCAACUCUGGCUGAGGCCAAUGUAAGUCCAAUUUGCAAAAGCUCUUUAUGCACCAUAGCUCUUCAGGAAGCUUUCUCAAGUAAGCACAAGGGUUGACAAUUAUGCUUCCAAGUUUUGGCAUUGCUCCAGCCCCUAUCGUCCACUCCUCUAGCAAAUACAUUGAUUUCAGGUGCAAUACCUUGAGCUCCGGGAAACCACAAGAGCAAACACAAGCCAGUUUUCUUCCUGAAUAUGAGUUCUGGUUCAAUUUCAGCACUUGAAGGUGUGGAAGCUUGUCUAGUGUUAGCAUGGUAUCCUCCAAUAACUCAGUAUUUGAUAAGCUUAGAUGGAUCAGACUUGGAGAAGCUGGUAUUUAGACAGGGCCAUCCGAGAGAGCUACCACCUCUGGUUUCGUUCACCAGCUUCAAGCAUUCAAGUUUGUGUAGUUCGCAUAGGCUUUUGGAAACCCCAGAACGAUAAUAACUCAAAUCUCCAGAUACUAAGAGUUUGAAAAUGAGGUAGUCUGCCUGUUAAAGUAGCUCACUAUGUUGAACAAAUGAAGGAGAAAGCUAAGCUGGAGAAAAUACAGGGCAAGAGUAUUAGCUGUGCCAGCUCAACUGACAGCUCAGCAAAAUCAGUUAAAUUUUGUUACAAGCCCCCUGUGCAUUGUGCUGAAGAUUAGUUAGUUUAAUAAUGAUUAGUUUUAGAUUAGUUAAAAUGUAAUCAUGAUUAAGAUAUAUAUAUAUAUAUAUAUAGCUGCUGUACUGAUAUCAUGGAUUAAGUGUUGAGAAAUAAAAUUCAUUAAGCAUUUCCAGAACUCUUGAUUUUCUUUCUCAGUAGCCAAACAACUUCACUCUCAUUUUUUUUUUUCAACAAUGAGUUCUCAAACCACUCAGGUAUCAUUUUCAGACAUUCUUGGCCUUGUACUCACCAUCAAAAUGGGUUGGUUGAGAGAAAACAUAGGCAUAUUGUUGAAUUAGGUUUGACUCUGUUGGCUCAAGCUCAACUUCCUUUUAAAUUCUGGUGGGAUGCAUUCCAUACUGCUCUAUCAUCAAUAGAUUACCAUCUUCUGUUUUCAAACUUUCGACCCCAUAUGAGAAGAUAUUCAAGCACAAACCUGAUUAUGAUUUUCUCAAAUGUUUUGGUUGUAUUUGUUAUCCUUACUUGAGAGACUAUAACAAACAUAAGUUUGCCUAUCAUUCCAGUAACUGUAUAUUCAUUGGUUAUAGUCCUUCACAAAAGGGUUAUAAAUGCUUACAUUCUUCAGGUCAUGUCUAUGUGGCAUGACUUGUUAUCUUUGAUGAGUCAACCUUUCCUUAUGCUACUGAAUCUGUUUUUCAUAGUCACACAAAUUCUGAUUCUCAUUCUUCAAACUUAUUUACUCCACAGCAUGUCUAUUAUCUUUCUACUUUACCUGUCAUACCAGUAUUUCUAAGUAACAACACUGAUAAUCUAAACUCUACAAAACUAAAAUACCAGCUUUUUGGUGUUAGCAAUAGGAAACAACUUACCACAACCAUUAAUUAUCCAUAAUUUCAUUGUUUAUCCUCAGUUUUCUUCAUAAAUGUUACAGCAUUCUUCACGAGAAAGCGCAAGGGCAUUUCAAAAGUUCUGAAAUAAUACCUCAAUUCUAUUGCAAAAAUAAAUAAUCUCAAACAAGAACCAAUAAUCAUAUUUCGUUACUGUCAAACACAAUGCAUCUGAGCAAAACAUUGGAAGCCAACACCAGAAUACAUAUGAAUAAACAAUUAAAGAUAGAGAAAAAAGGCUUAAACCUUGGGGGAAAAAAGUGAAAAAAACAUGAAAGACAAAUUACACAUGUACAGUAAUCAUCGAACUUAUCAGUCACAGCUGCAUCCAUUACAUUGCUCCAACAACACAAUGGCAAACCACCAGUUUCAAAUUGAGGAUAGCUAUCGAGAAUGAGAAAGUGUCCAAAACGUCAUAAAUAGACAUGUUCCUAUUGUGCAUAAUUUACAUUAUAGGCAAAUAUUCUUAUACCAUCAAAGGCAACACAUGACACUAACAAUUGAUCCCCCCCCCCCCCCCCCCCAAACAACCAAAAAAAGGAAAAAGAAACAAUACAGAAAAGAUUGAAACAGAUAAGGCUACACUGAGCACAGGAUGCCAUGAAACAUAAUCCAGGAACCAAAUUAAUAAAAAAGGAGGCCAAACCAUUAUUUAACAAUCUGUUUUGUAUUUGGGAAAGUCUGAUAAAAUCUACUGAGGGAUAAUUAGAGAACCUCAACUAUUAAUCACACCUCAUAAAUGAACUAACAUUAACCAUCUACCAUCCCCACGUCACACAAACAUUCUCUAUACUUCUGAACCUAAUACUUCCAUCUUCAAUAGGGGGUUUUUUUUCUUUUUUUUGGGGGGGGGGGGAGUUAUCAAUUUUCUAAGCUUGCUUAGCUUCUGUGUAGGACUGAAAUGCUCAUUUCGAAUCACUAACAGUAAAAUUGGAAGCUCAUGAAAAAACAGUUUUAUCCCAAAAUUGCAUCUCGAUAUAAAUUCUCUUUUCAUUUCCUUCAACUUUCUAAUUAAGCUUAAAAAAUGUACCUUCAACCACAAAGGGGUUUAAAAUUUAAAAUAUAAAAAAUAAAUUCAGAUAAAAAUAAUUAAUUUAAUUAAAAAUAUAAAUAGAGUUACAGAGAAAGAGAAAAUAGAGAAAGACCUAAUGUUGAGUCCUUUGGCGCAUGUCUCUUCAUAGGUCCGAACCAUUUCUUCGGGCGUGGGUUACGGCCGAGAUUGGAUAAUGAUGGAGGAGGAGAAGAUUAGCGAUGACGACGCCGAUGAAAUGGAAGGGUUUACCAGAGGAGUGGAUGCGAAGAGUGCAGGGACGGCCGCAGAGAGAGAGCGGCGGAGAGCGGCGACGGACGGAUGGCGGUAUGGGCCAUUGCUUGCGCGUCGGUGAUUGUCUCGAGUGAGAGAGUGAAGGGUUUUGUUUAGGGUUUUGGGAAAUGAAAAAUGCAAAUGUUUGAUUUUGUUGCUAGAAACUUCUUCUGCUGCUGCCUUUUAUUGUCGCUAUAAUAAUAAUAAUUUGUUAAUCAAAUAUUUUCUUAAAAAAGAUAAAUUUCUACAACAAAAUUUAUAUUAAAUCAAAUUGUAAAAAUGUCUAAUAGGGUUAAUUUCUCCUUAAUAUUAUUAUUAGUAGAAGUAGAUUUUCAAAUUAGUCUUGAUAUAUAUCAGAGUUGUAUUAUAAAUGUAUAUGUAUCUGGAUUGCAAUUAUAUUUUAAAAAAAAUAAUUUUUUUAAUUAUUGCACAAUAAAUGUAGAAAGUGUCUAUAAAAUAAUAUUAUUGGAACUAUGAAAAGAUAUUAUUUUAGAGUAGUUAUUUAUUUAUUUUUGAAUAAAUAAUUUAUUAAUUUAUUGAUAAAUUAAAUAAAUAUUAAUUUAAACAGAGAAUUUUUUUUUUGUGGGUUUUUAAGAAGAGUUUUGUUGGUAUAUGUGCAAACUUAUAAAGAAAUACAAAAAAUGCUUCCUCAAGUCAAUAGUAUUUACUUUAAUUCAUAAUAAGAUAGUUUAAUCAAGAAACUUGUAAUUAUACUAUAUCUUUCUUUCUUUGUUCUGUUUGGUGGGAUAUUGUGAUAAAUCAUUGGAUUACAAUGCAUUUCUAAAUGAAAACUUGUUAAAACCUAAUUUAUUUGGGAACCACAUUUUAUUUGUCAGUCUUAUUUCUCAACUUAGCAAAUUAUUUCUAACUUAUCGGUCUCUAUUGGUUCUCUUAAGUACCUGUUUGGUAUAUCUUAUUUAAUGGCAAUAAGUACUUAUUUAAUCUCAUAAUUUUUUUCCCUCUCUGACAAUUGAGGUAGGGGGUCAAACUUGAAAGUAUCUUAAAAUCAGACAACAAUUUAACUAUUUUUUUUUUUUAGAUAACUGCUAAUAUGCUCUAUUAGACAAUGAUAAGUGAUUGCAUUUAUGCAUCCCCACCAAUAUUUAAGCAAUUUAAUUACAGAAACAUUUCUUGAGGAAAGAAACUCAUAUCACCACUAGGCUUUUAAUGAGGCUCAUUUUUAUGAAUCUGGAUAGCAUUAGAUAUCUCUCCGAAUAUUGGUGGGAGUAGAUCGCAGAUCUCUGGGCUAUACUACAAAGUGUAUGUACGUUGACUCUCAAUAAACACAAACGAUUCCCUGAUAUGAUUCAAAACAUCAGUGCAUGCAUCAUUUUAACGAGAGAGAAUAUUCCCAGAAAUGUACACGCAUGAGGAAUUUUUCCUAGAAGAUUGAUAUUUCUUUAACUAGCAAACCAUACAAGUCCGGGGCUUAAAUGGAGUACUUGUAAGCAUAAAACAUUAAUCAAAACACAGUAUAGACACACACACACACACACCCCUACAUACAUACCAGCAAAUUCGAAAUAGAAAAAGAAGUGCAGCUAUUCAAGUUUGUAGACAAUAUUUCAACCAUGGCAUAUUAAAGCAAAUCCUUGAAAUCAGCUAAACAAAACAAUGCCCUGUCUCAUGAAUCGAUGCUCAAUUAAAAUUGAAAUUGAAAGUCCGGCUGGUGUUGUUUCCCUCUCCAGUUUUGCCUACAUAAGUAAAGGGAAAUGAGAAUCAUAAAUGAAAAUCUGCUUUGACAGUUCUUAUUAGAUAGAUAUAAAUGGAUCUUUCUUUGUUUCUCUGCUGUAAUUUGUGGCUACCCCACUCUGUUUUGCCAGUCAAGCUGAGUCUACGUUAAGGCAUAAUUUUGACAUCAGAAGCAACCUCAAUUAGUUUGGCAUUUUCAUGACCUCCUUGAAGGUUUUACGAUAAACAUAAAUCCACUGAGAAAGUGGGAAAAAAAGAAAAUUCAUAUAAAAGUAUGAGUUAUCAGAUAAGAUUAAAACUCACCCAAUUCAAUCCAUCAGAUUCCGUAAGGAUAUAACUGGAUGUCAUACCGCCACUCCAUAUUCUUGAAAGUCCGUAGUGUUUGUCUCAACUCUGUCUGGGGCCAAUGUAAGUCCAAUUUGCGCAAGCUCUUUAUGCACCACAGCUCUUCUGGAAGCUUUCUCAAGUAAGCACAUGGGUUGACAAUUAAGCUUUCAAGUUUCGGCAUUGCUCCAGCCCCCAUCGUCCACUCAUCUAGCCAAUACAUUGAUUUCAGGUGCAAAACCUUAAGUUCGGGAAAGCUACUCAAGCCAACACAAGCAAGCUUUCUUCCUAAAUACGAGUUCUGCUUCAGUUUCAGCACUCGAAGGCGUGGAAGAUUUUCCAGAAUUGGCAUGGGAUCCUCCAUUAGCUCAGUAUUUGAUAAGCUCAGUUGGAUCAGACUUGGGGGAAAUUGGUAUUCAGACUGGACCAUCCGUGAGGGCUUGCUCUCAUUCACCAGCUUCAAGCAUUCAAGUUUGUGGAGUUCGCAAAGGCUUUUGGAAACCCCAGAUUGAUAGUAACUCAAAUCUCCAGAUAUCCGAAGAGUCUGAACACUUGGUAGUCUGCCCAAUAUAUCAGGAGUACAACUACUAGGGUUUAAAGCUGAUAUGAAAAUGAGUUUUUUCAGAGAGCUAGAAUAAUUUUUUGGAGGUGCGGGCAGAGUGAUAGAACCAAAGUUUAGAUGCAUGAGUUUUUGCAUCAUCCAAAUAUCCUCUGGUGACUGAUCUAUGUAGCUAGAUGGCAUUUCUAGUGUUUCAAGGUUUAAAAGGGUGCAUAGCAGUGAAGGAAGGCAUUUGAGCGAAGGGAUAUUCAAUUUCAAAUACUUCAAAAGAUAUAAAUUUUCUAAUGCGGGUGGAUAUUGGUCCAGGACUGCAGAACCCAUGUUCAAUACCCGAAGGUAUUUGAACCUUUUAAAAAAAUUCUCGCAAUCUUUCGGAUUAAGAUGAUUGCUUUCUGAACUGUGAUUCAGAAAUGAUUGGAGAUACAUGUCAGACUGUUGUAAAAAAAAGAACUCAAGCAGAUCUUCCAAAAUGAAGCACCGUUUAGCAUUUUCAAUUGAUUCCCCUAUCCAUGCAGGCAUUCGGACAAAUCUCGUCUUCUCUGCCACCAAACCCAAUGAAGUAAAUACAAAACUUGGAACAUAACACGCUUUAAUUGUGCCUCCGGCUCUUCUCGUACUCACUUUAAUGAAGCCGCGAUGGAUUAGUUCUUUCAAGUAAUGUUCGGCAGUUUCUUCACCGUUGUAUGGUAUGAAACCUUCAGCUACCCACAACUGAUAUAAUUGCCUCGUGGAUAUCUCGAUGCCUGGAGGGAAGACACACAAAUAGAUGCAGCAGACUUUCAAGUGAAAAGGUAACUCCAUCACAGAGAAAAUUUGUCUCCAUACUGUCGGAAUCGCUUCGCUUUGAAGAUAAUUUUCUAAUGGCAUACUUCCAUAGUGUAGGAUGAAAAAUUGCCAGGCCUCAUGCUUUAGUCUGAUCAAUGGUCCUCCAACGAGCACUGAACCAUGCCGAAUCUUCUCUCCAUUUUCCAUUUCCAACGACUCAAGGAGGUCUGGAUCAGCGGCCAAUAUUAAUACUCUGCUUCCAUUCUCAUUAUCAGGGAGAACUUCUUCGAGAUCAUCCCAUAUCUCACGGUCAUUGAAGACGUCAUCAAGCACAAUAAAGUACUUCUUGUUUGUUAGGUAAUCUCGAAGAAUAGAUUUCUUCAAUUGAUAAUCUUCACCGAUAAUUACACUAACCCGAGCUGGAGGCAUCACAGACUUGAUUAUGCCAUCCAAUAUCUUGCCAAAAUCAUAACGUAGAGAAACCCUGACCCAAGCAUGACAGUCAAAAUAGAACUUGACAUGAUUACUGUUAUAAGUAUGUGCAGCAAAAGCAGUCUUAUCGAAGCCACUGCUGUCGAGAAUUGCAACCACUGAAAGCCCAGAUGGUCCCUCAAUCAAUAGAUCAAAAAACUUCUCUCUGCCCCUUUCAAAUUCACUGAUAUCGAGCCGAGGUUGUCCCUCACUCAAUAGGCGAAUGAUUUCGUUACGUUUUUCACUGAUAUCAAAACCAUUGUCGCCGGGUGGAAGUUGUUGCGUCCGAUUUCUAAUAUCAAUGAUUUCACUGAUAUCAAAACCAUUAGUGCUGCUUUCACUUUCGUUUUCACUGUUUUGCUGCUGCAUAAUGUUGAUGAAGAAUGUGUCAAUGGCUUCCUCAGAUUCAUGGACAAAGUGAUUGAUGUCCUUAAGAAUUUCCAGAAUGUCUGAUCUUUUAACGUCUUCUUCAUCACUUUCUUCUAAGUCCAACAGUUGCAAUAAAGGCAAAGACAUAUUGGAUUCAGCGAAUUCUUGUCUGAAUAGUUGAGACAAAAUCCGAGCCAUGUCAGCUUCAUAGUUUCCCGACAGAGUAGUAGUAAUAAUUUCAGACUCCGUAAGAAGGUUUUGAAAAAGCGGGGCUAAAUUUGUUGAAUCAGUCAACGUUAACGUGCCUUCUUCACCUGCUAACACCCUUUUCAACCUCUCACAAAAUAGUCGGAGGUGGACGUCCAGCAUAUCUCCUUCUCUCUGUAGCACCCAGAGGUAUUGUUUUUUGCUCCAAGAAAUAUUAAAAGGAUUGGUUCUAUCUCAAAGUGGUUACUGGUGUAAAAUUAAACGCCAUGGGAGAAUUUGAAGGGAAGAUGCCAAGGAACUGGCGAUGUGGCUAAAUUACACAAAUACGGCAUUAUUGCUCAUUUUUAACUCAAAAAAUUGAUACCAAGACGCUUGCCUUUUGAAAAGAAGAGGUAUCCAACCUUUAUCUUAUUUAAUUACUACCAUGACAUGAUUGAUGGUGCUUAAAUCAAUUGUUUCUUUAUUAAUUUAAAGAAUUUUUCAUUAAAAAAAUUAUUUUAAUAUCAAAUACCCUUCAAUGGCAUAACUGCCGCAGGCCCAGAAACAGGAUUAAUUAAAAUUUUUUGAAUUUUUGGGCAAGGAAAGAUUUGAAAUUCUAGUUAUGCAACCCAAGAGGGAGUGAAUUAGAAUUCUAUAAAUUAUUUAAUUUAUAAAGAAAACCUUAAUGCAAAUAUAAACCAAAUUCAAAGCAAUAACAAAUAAGGUGAUCACAAUAUAAAAAGAUAAGGGAAGAGAGAUUCAAACACAUAGAUUUUUACUUGGUUCGGCCAACCUCGCCUACGUCCGCGCCUCCAAGCUUUCCGAGCUUAAAGAUUCCACUAAGCAAGCCUCCAAGGCUUCAAAUGCUUACACUUGACUUCCAAGGUGUCAAUAACCUUUACAACAAGAGAUUAUCCCAAUCUCUUUAACCCAAGUGUAUCCCAACACUUACAAUCACUCAAAACAAAAGAUUACAAAUUUGUUUUGACUCUCACAAUAUUUAAGAUUACACAAUGAUGCCCAAUAUGUCAAUAGAUGAAGCAAGAAUGUGUUCAAAGCUCUAUGAAGAUUGUAUUCUCGAGUAUAAGCUCAAUAGUCGUGUUGUGAUCAAUCUUGUUUGAAUUUGAAUGAGCUUAUUUAUAUUUGGAGCUGAAAAACUAGCCAUUACAAACUGUCGGCCCGAAAACGGUUCGCUGUUAACCAUUAACGGUUAACCGUUUAGGCUGGUCAAAAGUUACCGUUGGGCCAAAUUUCAAAUAAACGGUUUGCCGUUUAGGAUUACCCCUUCGCCGUUAAAUUCUAGAGACCUGCAAGAUGAAUAUCAGUUAUCCGUUUACAUUAAACGGUUAAAGAUUUGCAUGAAGUGACUUCUCUGGAUAUUAUCGGUUAACCGUUUGUAAUAAAUGGUUCGCCGUAUGUUUCCAGUAACCUGCAAAACAAUUUAGCCUUAUCCGAUUUUGUUAAACGGUGCCAGAAGAGUACAACCUUCAAUUCUGGAUUUUAUCGGUUAACCGUUUAAAUAAACGGUUCACCGUUAAAUUCCAGUAGCCUUCCCAGCUUUUUGUGUUUUCCAUUUUUCUUAAUCGGUUAGAGCUUAGGCAAUAUGUUGCUCUCUGGUUUUAAUCGGUUAACCGUUUGAAAGAAAACGAUUCACCGUUUAUUUCCAGAAUCACAUUUUAAACCAGAUUUUGCAGAAAGUCAUUUUCUAAUUUGAAAGUCCAUCUUUUAUGAAUAUGAUUGGAAUGAUUAUAAGGCUUUCAUUUAUUAAGGAAUAGCUCCAACAUUUUAAUCAAAAACCAUUUAAAGUUUGUUAUCAUCAAAAUCAAUAUUAUUAACAUAUUCAUGUUAACAAUAGUAGUAUUAAACAUCAGAAAGCUAAGGUUGUUCUGUUAAUGAAUUGAUAUUGACAUAAUUUUAUUUUGGUUUCCGGGGAAAAAAAAACAUUUGUUGACAAGCAAGAAAAUAUUUUUAAAUUUUACAAUUUAUUAUACAUAUUUUAUCAUAUUACAAUAAUUUUAAUAAUAAAUAGAAACAUAAUAUUACAAUAAAUAAGUUAAAGUUUAAAUUAUUUUAAAUAUUAUAAAAAAUAAUUUUAAUAUUAUUAAUAGGAAGACAUUUUGUUAAUUUUAAAACCUUUUUAACCCAAAGGUUUAUUUAAAAGCUUUAUAAUAAACAUAAAUAUAAGAUUAAAAUAAAUAUCAUAAUUUGAAAUUUUUAGUAUUAUUUUAAAUAUUAAAAAUACUUUAAUAUUAUUAGCCUACUACAUUGAUUUUAUUAUUUAUAUUAUAUUCAUAUUGAUUAAAACUUUUUAAAGUCAAUUUUUUAGUCAGUAUAUUCAAGAGGUAUCAUAGUUAAAGAAAAGAUUUUGGUGUUAUUUUUUGAAAAUUUUAAGGUUUAAAUGAUAAUUUUUUAAAAUUUUAAGGAUGUAGGUAUUAUUUUUCCGACAAUUUAUUUUAUUUUUGAGGAAUUCGAUGAGAAAUAUCAUGAGAGAAGGUUAAUUUUACAUUCUUUACCUUUAUGAAAAAAGUGGAAACCAAGAAGUAUUCAAUUUUGUAUUUUUUGUUUGUAAUUCAAAAAAUGCAUCCACCAAACAAUCUUAUCUUGAUUUUUUCACUUUAUUCAUUUUCGAUCCUUUAAUCCAUCUAGUAUCUGCAGCCCCCGCCAUUUUUACAAAUCUCCAUCCGACAUCUACCCUAUCAAACAAAGUUGAUGGAAAUUGAACAAUUGCUUUUUGAAGUGGACCCAAUAAGUGGACAUUUUAUUAAUAUUAAACAAAGUUGACGGAAAUUGAACAAUUGCUUUCUAUGAGCCACUUAUUUUUAACAUUAGCGAUCUUAUCUGGACUACUCCAAUUAUUGAUGUAACUCCAAUGGUUGCAUCAACAGUUGAAUGUAAGAUAGUGUUAGCUCUUCUUUGAGAAUAUAGAGUGAUCUUUCUUUGUUUCUCUGUUGCGACGUGCUACUAUAAAUUUCUUUACCUUGCAGUUUAUAUAGUCUUGCUGUUAAUGAAUUCGCGGAGGCAUUAUUGAUCCAAUCUCAGUGAAGUAAUUGUGGGUGGAAAAUGAAUAAAGGGUAAGAGAACGUAGCUCAAGUGCUGAAUUGGCUAUUAAAGAAGAGUGUCACUUGAUCACAAUCACAUUGAUGCACAACUCACUCGAGGCAAAUUUCAUCUAUAUAUGUACUGCAAAUUCAGCCAAACCAUACAUGCAGGAACAAAACUAAAAUGUAGUUCUAAUCAAAACUGUAAUUAAAGCUACAAAAGGCUUGCUCAAUCCAAAAACUUAAAAGGAAGAUUUUACUCAAGUUUGUCCCCAAAAGACAGCUGAAUUGAAAAAUAUUGACUAUUGAAUCAAUGCUCAAUUACAUUUGAAAUGGAAAGCUUGGCUGCAGUUACGAUGUUUUUCCCUCUGAUUUUCUUCCAAAACAAAUUCAUUUGUAAACAAUAACGGAAGUAGCAAUAAUUUAUUCAUCAAAGAAAAUAUCCAAGUUUUCAACUAACAAAUCCUUUUGUCUAAACUAAAAAAACUUAUAUUUUUAAAAUCUAUCUACAAAAUGUUGGAAAUAAAGAGUGAUCUAUCAACUCGGUAAAUAAACUCAUACAUAAUGUUUACAAUAAUGAUAAAUUACAUAAUAAUUAUUAUAAAGAAUCAUAAAUUAGAAAAAUAUUUUAAGAUCAAAUUGCCUUCAAUGCUGAAUUACAUUUGAAAUGGAAAGCAUGGCUGCAGUUACGAUGUUUCCCCCUCUGAUUUCCUCCAAAACAAAUUCAGUUGUAAACAAUAACGGAAAUAACAAUAAUUUAUUCAUUACUCAAAUUUUUUCAACUAACAAAUCCUCUUGUCUAAACUAAAAAAACUCAUAUCUCUAAAAUCUAUCUGCAAAAUGUUGGAAAUGAGGGGUGAUCUGUCAAUUCGGUAAAUAAACUCGUGCAUAAUGUUAACAAUAAUGAUAAAUUACAUAAUAAUUAUUAUAUAGAAUCAUAAAUAAGAAAUAUUAAUCAUUUCACAAUCUAUUACGUAAGUAAGAUAAAUUUCAUAAUAAGUUAAGUUAUAAUGUAAUAAAUAUUUUCAAUAUGCUAAGAUAGGAUUGGUCCUAUCUCAAAGUAGUUAGUGGUGUAAAACUGAUGGUUGUCGAAGCCAGCAAAAAUAAAUACCUACUCUAAAUAAAUUGUGUAUAGUGAUUGAGCAGGGUCGUGUCCACAGAGAUCGGUAAUUAUUUAAAUCAUUUUAAAAUGUAAAAUGCAAAAUGGGGGAAUUGUUGACAAUAAUAAAAAUCAAAUUAAAAUAACAAGAAUGUAAAUUAAAAUUGUAAUUCAAAUUGGGGAAAAAGUAGUAUUAGACUUCAGAAAGCUAAGGUUGUUAUGUUAAAGAAUUCAUAUUGACAUAAUUUUAUUUUGGCUUUCGGGGAAAAAAAUAUUUGUUGACAAGCAAGAAAAUAUUUUUGUAUUUUACAAUUUAUUAUACAUAUUUGAUCAUAUUAAAGUAAUUUUAAUAAUAAAUAGACACAUAAUAUUACAAUAAAUAAAGUAAAGUUUAAAUUAUUUUGAAUAUUAUAAAAAAUAAUUUUACAUUUGAAAUGGAAAGAGUGGUUUUAAACACCAGAAAGCAAAGAUUAUUCUGUUAGACAAUUGUUAUUGACAUAAAAAAUAAUUUGGUUUUCAAGGAAAAAAAACAUAUUUGUUGACAAGCAUGAAAUUUUUUUUUUGUAUUUUACAAUCUGUUAUUACAUAUUUUAUCAUAUUAAAGUAAUUUUAAUAAUAAAUGUAUAUGUAUCUAGAUUGUAACUAUAUUUUAAAAAAUAUAAUUUUUUUAAUUAUUGCACAGAAAAUGUAGAAAAAUGUCUAUGAAAUAAUAUUAUUAGGACUAAGAAAAAAUAUUAUUUUAGAUAAGUUAUAUAUUUAUUAUUGAAUGAAUAAUUUAUUAAUUUAUUGAUAAAUAAAUAUUUAUUAAUUUAAAGAGAGAUUUUUUUUGGUUUUAGUAAUAGUUUGUUUGUUACAUGUACACACUUAUAAAGAAACACAAAAAGUGCUUGCUCAAGUCAAUAGUAUUUGCUUUAAUCGCUACUGUUCAUAAUAAUGUAGCUAAGUUAGGAAAUUUGUAAUUAUACUAUGGUUCUGUUUUGUAACGCCCAAAUUUCUAUUAUUUUAUUUUAUUUUUAAUGGAAUUUAUAAAUGGCGUUACUGCCCUUAUAAAAAGGGUUAUUCAUGGGAUAAUUUUUAGGAAAUGGUUAUUUUUCCAAAUUCAAUAGGGUUUCUUAAGACUCCCUAUAAAUUAAUAUUUUUUUUCCCUUCGAUACUCGAAGUCCACGACGAUUCUUCUUCUUCUCUGCUGCUCAUUAUGCUCCUACCCAAACCCUAGGAUUCAAACUUUUGCUUAGGAGAGAAUCAAAGCGAUUGGUGUUGGAGGUGAUUGAGGCUCUUAGAGGCUUAGAGGUCUGUUAAUUCAAAUUCUUUUGUCGAGAUAAGUAAUUUCAUUCCUAAUAUACUGGAUAUGUAUAAGUAUUUUGAUGUUAUUAUAAGAGUUUUUAUACUUCUUAGAAGAUUAAUAGAUUUUCAUACCAAAAUCAGUUUAUGAAAAUGUUUUCAAAUCUGAAUUCUUUUGAUAAAAUAUUUUAUAAAUGCGUUUUAAUAUGUAAAUUAUUUUAUGACAUGACUGCCUUUUAUAAUUUUGUCUAUGAAAUAUUUUUGCAAGCCUAAAUUGUUGCUAUAGACUUUCAUGAAUCUAAUACGAAUGUUUUGUGCCUAUGUAUGAUUUUAAUUAUUUAUGACUGUACGGGGGCCACCUCUUGAGACUAUAUGGGGGCCACCUCUUGAGGGCCAAAGCGCCGCAAAGUGCCACAUAUAGUGCAAAGUGCCACGUAUAAGUCAUUAUGUUUUGGCUCAUUGUCCGUAGUUAUUCUGAUUCUAAUUCUGAUUGUAUUAUACGAUAUAUUUGUUCUGGACUAGUACUAGGUUUAUGUUCUAAGUGUGCACACGAUAUUCUGAUUCUGUUUCUGGUCAGGUCACCGAGACUAUAGGUGAUACUAUGUGACAUGAGCUAACUAUCUGCUUUCUGUAUACACUUUAUACGAUUUGCUUUCAUAAUUGAUUAUUCUUUUGAUACUCUGAAUUACCAUGAAUUUAUGUUAUAUAAUUGAAAUAUGUUGUUUUAUGAAGUUUAUGAGUUAUAAUAUAUGUUUUUGAAUAAAAGAAGGCUUGCAAUAUUUUUGAUAUCGAUAGGCCUAGUGUAUUAGGAAUGAUUUUACCUACCGAGUUGACAGCCCACCCCUCGUUAUUACUUUUUGCAGAUUAAGUUCCUUUUAAGAGGUAUGCGUAGCUUUGGAGUUAGAGAUUUCGUUUCCGUUUGCUAUUUGAAUAAGAAGAGGAAUAGACUCAUGUUUCUUUUUAGUUUAUUUCUGUUAUGAACUUGUAAUUUGGAGUUUGAGACUUUUGUUAUUGUUAUGUUUUGGAAGAGAUUAUUUAGUGUUAGACGUAUUAAUUUGUGGAUUUAUUUGAAUAAGAAUUUGAGGUAUUUGAGUUUGGAAUUUAUAAGUAAGGAUUACGAUUUGUAAGUAACCUCCUUCUUCAUGUGCUCCGCACGUGUUAGAUUUGGGGUGUCAUAUGUUUCGUAUAACUUUUGAAGUAGAGCUUAUUUAAAUAGAGUAUUCGUCAAUAAAGCUUCUAUAAAUAAAGAUUUUACUAAAAAAAAUUUAGUUGUUUGGUUGUCAAUGUCCAAAUUGACGAACUUUUGUUCCUUUGCUAACAUGUAUUUGUUUUAUUUAAUAAUAGAAGUUUGGUUUACAAUUACACCACCUUCAAAUCAGCUGAGCAUUUUUGCAACCGGUCACAUUAUACAUUAUACUAAUAGCAUCGGCAAGAGUUUUCGAUUGUUGCAACUUGCAAUGGACGCGAUGGGAGAAAAUGAGAAUCUUGUUUAAUUGCAAUAUUGACAAACCUAAUCCUUUCGUAGGGAGUAAUUUAAUAAUCGCUUGUUAUAAUUGAAUAUGUAUAAAGAAAGGAAAAUUCUAUUCAUAGAUUUCGACUUAUUUUUUGUUUAAAGUAAUUAAUCAUUCAACCAUCUUCAUUUGCCUCUGGCCAAUGCCCUUGUAGAUUAGUUGAACCGUUAAUUACUUAAUUCAGAUAAUUACAGUGUCCUUUUCGCUAAUUAAUUAUGAUUAUAUACGCUUUCAUAUAGCAAGUGGCUUUGUAGAUCUAAACCAAGUUGCUAUUUCAAAACGUUAAUUAAGUGAUUCUCCUCAUUGUCAUCAGCGUUAUACGCUCUAGGAAAAUAGCUCAAUUGUUUCCCUGCAUUGAUUUUCAUUGGUACGUGAUUUCUUAUGAAAUUCUUUUGAGCUUUCCUUAUUAAAAAUGCUUGAGCUUUUAUCACCCAAUACGGAUAUCAAUUAACUUGUGAACGAUUUUGUAAUGAAACUAGGAGUUAAAUAAGAUUUUUACAUGAUGAAUUUUUAUUUUUUUAAUUUUUUGAUGUAGUCAAUUUGCUAAUUUUAUGUAUUUCAUAUUCAACGGAAUUUGGGCACGGAAAGUUUGGAUUCUAAUAUUUAUAUGUUUAGCUUUAAUCAGUUUGACUUUCGUAAUCUUUUUCCCCUCAUCAUUAAGGGAUUCAGAAUUAGAGAAACGUUAGGAAGAGGAAGAAAAUAAUUUCGGAAAUAAGUAAGAGGGAAAAAAUUAUCAAAUUAGGAAUGAUUUUUUGUAGAGUAUGUUGCGUUUACUAAAAUGAAAUCGAAAUGAGCUGGAAUCAGAAUGGAUAAAAAUGCGAAUGUGCUGGAAUAAGAAUAAGUAAUGAGAAUCAGAAUAAGUUGUUUACUUGAACUGUAAGAAUCGAAAUCGAAAUGAGCUGGAUUGCAAUUACUUUGUCCUACAAUUAGAAUCAAAAUGAGUUAGAUUGUAACAAAUUACUAAAAGGUACUUAAUGAAUUAUUGUCAUAAUUAUUAUUUUAUAUUUUAAUUAUAGUGAUUAUUUAUUCUAAAUUAUUAUUAUUAAUUAUUUUCAAUAAUAUAUUAAUAUGUUAAUUAAUUUUAAAAAUUAUUAAUUAAUUUAUUAUAAUAAUAUACUAAUUAAUUAUAAUAAUUAUAUUAAUAAUUAUUAUAAAAAUAUAUUAAUUAUUAAUAAUGAAAUUACUUAUUUAAUUAUAAUAAUAUAUUAAUUAUUGUGAUUAUUUAUUCAAAAAUUAUAAUUAUUAAUAAUUAUUGUUAAUAAUGUAUCAAUAUAUUUUAUAUUAUGAAAUUGUGAUGUAUUGUAGACAAAUAAGGGAAUUUGGUACAAUAAAUUCUUAAUAUCUUAGUACAAAGUAUGGUACAAUGAUAUUUUAACUUAUUGUAGACAGAUUAAAUUUCGACACACUUAAUCCAUAAUAAAAUUAGUGGAAAAUAAUGAUAAUUUAUACAAUUAAUCUUUUGAGCAAUAAAAAAAUAAAAGAAAAAGAAGUUACUAAAUUAUGUUUACUGUUAAGAGUGAAUCCACAAUCCUAAAUAAUUUAUUUCCAUCGUUUCACUUAAAUUAAAUAGUGUGAAUUUAAAUUCUAAUUUUUUGAUAAAUUAAAAAGAAAUAAAAAAUUAAAAUUUUUCUCUAUGGAUCGACCUCGGAUUGAUCAAUUUAUUUCAUAACAACACACUUUUAUACUUGAGAGUUAUAAAUAACUUUGAAGUUGUGUUAAGUUUUUGACGCUCUUACGGGGGAAAAAUAUUUAUUUUAUUUUAUGUAUGGGUCAAACUUGAAAGUAUAUUUUAAGAUAGCUGCUAAUAUGCUCUAUUAGACAAUGAUAACGUAGUUGUUUGUGGUGUUCAUAAUGAGUUUAAUUAUGAUUCAACAAUUUAAAAUAUGAAAACAUAUGGAAGAUGGCCGUAAUUAAAUUGAUUGCAUGAAAAUAUUUCAAUGAAAUUUUAAAAAUUUGGUACUUAUUAUCUUAUCAAAAGUUUUUUAAAUUAUAUUACUACUUCAACUUAACUCCUCCUGGAUUGAUUGUAUUGAAUUUCCAGCACCGCCAUUGCUUCUACUUGAAAGCCAUUUAAGUUUGUGUAAGCUACCUAUAGUUUGAAUAACAAUUUACUCAUGAAUUGCUGUUCAUGAUAACAAUUUGAUUGAAAGUGCGGCUGCACUAAUUGUUCUCGUACGACCCCAGAAUGCUGUUAAAUCAGUUGUAUUGGAAAUUAAUCAACUGGUUACAACUCUACACCCCAUCAAUAUUUAAGCAGUCCACAGAACAUUAAUUGUGUUUUGAAAUUUUAAUGAGUCUCACGUGUUUUUCACGUGAUAUGCAGUAAAAACAAAAUUAAAAAAAUGAAAACAUUCAGCCCCAAAGCCAAAAUCCCCAACUCCUUCCAAAUUGGUUCCGCAGCCCCCAAAUCCCUUAAACCCAAAGCACUCUAAAACGACUCUCCUCAGCCAAAAAGAAAAAGGUCACCUCACCUCUCCUCUUCUUCUUCCAUGGCGAUCAACGGCGGCACAAGCACGGGCUGAUCUCCUUCGUCAGUAACGAUCAACGGCGGUACAAGCAUGGACAGAUCUUUUUUUUGGCAAUGAUGAACAGCGGCACAAGCAGAGUCGUCCUCAGGUACGGAUUUGAUGUUGGUUGUGUUGUCAAGUAGCGAUUCAUGUUUGGAAGAGAAUCCGCUCACAAGGACCUGGAGCACUUAAUCGAAGAUCUUAAGCGAGGAAUUCGCUUCCUCCUCAUUCCUAAUCGGUGCCUGAUUCAUCAGUAUGAUUAAGGAUGAAAAUUGAGAAAGAAGGACGCAUUAGGUUUGAGACAUUGGUUGAAAAACGCUACCCCGGUGGCCACGCUGGAAACAUAUGUUCCGUGGCUUCUUGCGUUGUCUGUGAGGAAUAUGUACUGCUGUAGAAGAUAAUUAUGAAUCAAUGGUAAUUGGCGUGUUGGUUUUGGUGCCGAUUUCCUCUUAUUUUCCAGAAAAGGCUUGUAAUUUGUUCACCUCAAGAUUCAAUUUUGUUAUUGAAAAUGGAUGGCUGUAAAGACCUAUUGGCCUUUCAUUAUAUUAAUGUUUUUGACAGUAAGUUUGUAAUAGUUAGUGCAGGGAACUUAUUGAUUCUUGAUUAUAUAUAACGGUGGCCCUUAUUACUUUAAAAAAAAAAAAAAAAUUGAUGAUGGGUUUCGUUUUGUAUAAGUGUUUGGAGUGUUGGAAAAUUAACAUUGUAUAUUUUAGAUAGUUGAGUUCCAUAGUAAUAAAAAGCUACGGAUUUGUUUUCUUUUUAUUGAAAUGAAAACAUUUUUCACUUGUAUAAUAGAAAAUAUACUAUAUCUUUAAUACUUUUGUCAAAUUUAUUAUUUAAAAUUUAUAUUUACUACAUAUUAUUAAUUUUUGUUUCAUAGUCAUAGCUUUUUUUCCACAGUAGCUGUAGCUUAAAAGAUACAGCACCUCAAUUCCAAACGCACUCUAAUUAAAAAUUUUAGAAUUUUUGGGCAUGGAAUUGAAAAGAGUAGUAUUAAACAUCAGAAAGCUAAGGUUGUUCUGUUAAAGAAUUGAUAUUCACAUGAUUUUAUUUUGGUUUUUGGGGAAAAAAAAAAUUGUUGACAAGCAAGAAAUUAUUUUUAUAUUUUACAAUUUAUUAUACAUAUUUUAUCGUAUUAAAGUAAUUUUAAUAAUAAAUAGAAGCAUAAUAUUAAAUAAAGUUUAAAUUAUUUUGAAUAUUAUAAAAAAUAAUUUUAAUAUUAUUAAUAGGAAGACAUUUUGUUAAUUUUAAAAUCUUUUUAACCCAAAGGUUUAUUUAAAAUGUUUAUUAUAAAUAAAGAUAUAAAAUUAAAUAUCAUAGUGUAAAAUUUUUAAUAUUAUUUUAAGUAUUAAAAAUAUUUUAAUGUUAUUAGUCUACUACAUAGAUCAUAUUACUUAUAUUAUAUUUGCAAUGAUUAAAAAAUUUUAAAAUCAAUUUUCUAGUUACUAUAUUCGCGAAAUAUUAUGGUUAAAGAAAAGACCUUGGUGUUACUUUUUACAAAUUUGAGUGCCUGCAUGAUAAUUUUUUCAAAAUUUAAGAAUGUAUGUGUCCUUUUCUCCAAUAAUUUAUUUCACUUUUGAGGGGAAUCCAAUGAGAAAUAUGAUAAGAGAAUGUCAAUUACUUGUCAUUUUCUAUUUUUUCUGUAAGCUAUUUAUUUUGAGCACUGGUGAUCUUGUCUUGACUACUCCAAUUAUUGAUGGAACUCCAAUGGCUGCAUCCACAGUUGAAUAUAUGAUAGUGUUAGCUCUUAUUUGAGAAUUCAGAGGGAUCUUUCUAUGUUUAUCAAUUGCAAUGUGCUAGUAUAAAUUUCUUUACCUUACAGUUUAUAUAGUCUUGCUGUUAAAGAACUCACUGAGGCAUUAUUGAUUCAAUUUCAGUGGAGCAAUCGCGCGUAGAGGAUAAAUAAAGGAUAACAGAACAGAGCUGAAGUGCUAAAUUGGCUAUUAAAGAAGGGUGUCACAUGAUCACAAUCACAUUGAUGCACAACUCUCUGGAGGCAAAUUUUGUCUGUAUGUUCUCUAAAUUCAGCCAAACCAUACAUGCAUGAACAAAAAUUAAACCGUAGUUCUCACCACAACAGUAAUUGAAGCUACAAAAGCCAGCAAAUCUGAACAAAAACUUAAAAGAAAGAUCUUAUUCAAAUUUGUCCCCAAAAGAGUGCUGAGAUGGAAAAUAUUGACUAAUGAAUGGGUCAAUGCUGGAUUACAUUUCAAAUGGAAAGCUUGGCAGCAGUUACAAUGUUUCUCCCUCAGCUUUUCCUCCAAAACAAAUUCAGUUGUAAACAAUAACCGAAGUAGAGAUAAUUCAUUCAUCAAAGAAAAUACCCAAGUUUUCAACUAACAAAUCCUUUUGUCUAAACUAAAAAACUCAUAUCUCUAAAAUUUAUUUGCAAAAUGUUGGAAAUGAGGAGUGAUCCGUUAUCUCCGUAAAUAAACUCAUGCAUAAUGUUAACAAUAAUGAUACAUUACAUAAUAAUUAUUAUAAAGAAAUAUAAAUUGGAAACGCUAAUCAUUCUACAAUCUAAUAAAUAAGUAAGAUAAAUCUCGUAAUAAGUUAAGUUAUAAUGUAUAAAUGUUUUUAAUAUAUAAUUAUUUAAGAAGUCAUUUAAUAAUAAAAUAUUUAUUCUAUUCAGUUGAUCAUAUAGCGUUAUCGAAACUCUUGACGAUAUUAUUAUUACACUUUUCUCAAAAAAACAUGAUUAACAUUUAGAGAAAAGUCAUGCCUUUUAGAUAGAAUAUGUACAUAAGCUAUCCAUAUUUUAUCUUACCAUGAAAAAAUUGAUGGUGAUUAAAUCUACUUUUAAAAUAGAUUUAAUGCACAAAUAUGAUGAUUUUUGGCAAAAAUUAGUUUCGGAAGAUACAAUGGUAGAAAAUAGUGAUGAUUAUUGUUUAAAUGUGUAAAUAGCCUAGGCAUAGCCCGUAAUACCAAUAUCCAUUUACCUUCAUUUAGAUUAUCACAUCUCAUGAUAUUUUUUCAUUCACGACCAUUGUUCGAGAUUUGAACUUGAUCAUAAAUUAAGCUGCAACGGAGUUACUUAUGUUUCUAAGCUUUUCAAUCGCGAUUCCUCCAUGCCUUUCUUGGAUACCAUUUUACUGACCUUGUAAUUGGUGUGUAUAAGGAGUCAUGCCCUUUCAGGAUCGUUUUCUUUUUUUUUUUUCCUGAUUGUAGUGUCAAAUAAAUAAAGAACGAACAAUUGAACUUAGUCUAUUUCGAGGAAAACCAAGGCCUGCAAUAUUAGAUGAACUUUGAACAAAAUUAAUCUACUAUUCUACAUCCCCACCAAAAUUUAAACAGUCGACAUUGUGGAAAGAAACACAUUUCGCCACUAGGCUUUUAGUGAGGCUAAUUUCUCUGAAUUUGGACAGAGUAGGUCCUCCAACGAGAACUGAAUCAGGACGAAUCGGCUCUCCAUUUUCUAAUUCGAACGAGCAAAGGAAGCCUGAAUCUGUGACCGUUAUCAAUACUCUGCUUCUAUUCUGAUUCUCAGGAAGUACUUCUUCAAGAUCAUCCAAUACAUCGUCACCCUCUUUGUACUAAUCAUCAAGCACAAUAAAGUACUUCUUGUUUGUUAGGUAAUCUCGAAGAAUAGAUUUCUUCAAUUGAUAAUCUUCACCGAUAAUUACACUAACCCGAGAUGGAGGCAUCACAGACUUGAUUAUGUCAUCCAAUACCAUGCGAAAAUCGUAGGAUAUAGAAACCCUGACCCAAGCAUGACAGUCAAAAUAGAACUUGACGUGAUUAUUGUUGUAAGUAUCAGCAGUAAAAGCAGUCUUAUCGAAGCUAUUGAUGUCUUUCAGAAGCUCCCAAAUGUCUGUUCUUUUAACAUUUUCUAAGUGCAAGAGCUGCCGAUAACGCGAAGGUAUUUCAUCUUCAUCGAAUUGUUCUCUAAUGAGUUGAAUUAAAACUCGAGCCAUGUCAGCUUCAUAGUUUCCCAGCAGAGUAGUGGCUAUAAUUUCGGACUCCGUAAGAAGGUUUUGAAAAAGUGGAGUUAAAUUUGUUGAAUCAGGCAAAGUUAACGUGCCUUCUUCACCUGCUAACACCAGUUUCAACCUCUCACAAAAUAGUGUGAGGUUAAUUUCCAUAUCUUUCCCUCUCUCAGUAGUACUCAGAGGUACGUAUUGUUAUUUGUUAGUGUUGAUGACGAAAGCUGAAUAAUCAAAACAACAGUGUACACAAUCAACAGAAGGCGAAGUAUGUUAAGUUGAGAUCAAAGGAUAUAAAUGAAGGAAAAGUUUAAGUACUCCGUUGAAAGCCAAAGUUGCUUUGGCCAAUUAAUUUAUAAGUGAAGGAAAGAAUAAAGUUAGUCCUCGAUGUCUUUUGAAAUUAGAAAUACAUUUUGAAUGCUUUAAUAGAUGCAGAGCAAGCUGGCUCGAUGUCUAACUAUUUUAAGAGCUAAAAUCAUUUAUUAGAAGUUGUGGCAUUGAAAAAAACUGGCUUGAUAUCCAAUUUUGUUAUUUAAUGUCUCACGUGAGAGUAAAUAACUGUUGUGUUACUGGCAGAUGAUUGAGACGGACAAGUUUGGAACAUUGUUCGAGACUGAAACUACACAUCAGUCUUAGAAAAUUGUAAUUUUGUUGAAAAAUUAUAGAUUGAAAAAUUAUUGAGACGGACAAGUUUGGACCAUUGUUCGAGACUGAAACUACACAUCAGUCUUAUAAAAUUGUAAUUUUGUUGACUUAUCAUGAUUUUGAUUGCCUCCCAUUGAUUUUCCUAUGAUGUCUCUGUAGAGUGGCUAUGCUUACAUUUUUAGGUAUUUAAUUCUAAAAAUUAACUUAUUAGAUGGAAGGAUCAAUUCUACCUGUAAAUCUAAGUGGCUUCCCUUUACUAACUCAUAUAAGACACAACAAUAAUUUUCUUCGAAAAAAACCACCAUCGGAGGGCUAUUUUCGUUCAACAUACAUGAGUUGUUCCGCCACCAUAUUUUGAGGGUUUGCUUCUAAUACAACUUGGGGAAGCUAGGGGUAAGAUUUCCAAGUAUCAACAUAAAAACCUUGCCGAUUGGAUAGAAGGACCAAUCUUACUUAUAAGUCUAAAUGACUAAUUUUUGAGGACACAACUCAACAGACCAAUAUAAACUUUUGGCGUCCCAUUUUAUUACUUUUCAGUGCUUUACUUUUGCUGUCUAUAGCCCUACUAUUCUAUUAAGCAGAAAAUAUUAUCUAUUUUCUUUCCAUUUUAUGUAUACCCCGAUCUUUACCUCUGAUUGGUUGUAGAUUCUUCUGUCGCUUUGGGGUUAGGGGAUGGUUUUCAUCAAGAAAUGAUAAAGGAUUGUUAGUUGUGUGACAAACAGCAUUAAUAUGAAGGAUGAUGAUUGUUCUUUUCAAGAGUUUAUAAUGACAUAAUUCUGCUUUGGUCUUUUAAAAAAAAGUAAUUUAGAAAUGAGGAGUAUGUGAGUGAUGAUUUUUACAAAUAAAUUGCAUGCGUAGUGAUGAUUUUGACACAUGAAAAUGUAAAAAGAAAUAUAACUUGUGAAUAAUAAUCGAAGUACCCUGCUAUUGUUAUAUUGAGUAAUCAAGGACUUCGAUAUUCGGACGAUACAAGCAACACAAUCAAAUAUUAGUUGGAAGGCAUAGCAAAAUUAGAAUGUAGAACAAACUGGGUAUUGAUAAAUGGAUGGUUUUGGAAGAAUUGAAAAUGAUGGCAAAAAAAAAACAAAGUUAAGAGAAAAGAGAAAGAGCAUUUGAACUUUACUUGUAAGUAAAGGCAAAUAUCUUGGUUCAAGAAAAGAUAAGAGAUAUCAAACUAGCAAUAGGAAAAAGGAGGAAGGUUAAGACAGCAUCUUAACAAAAGCUAAAGAAAAGAAAAACUUAGUUCAAGCAAAGAACAAUGUGCUAAUGUAGUGUAAUCUUGUUUAAUUUCUUUUUCUUCUCACAUUUUCCAGGGCUUAAAUAAUACAAUGUACAUUUUCAAGCAAAGAACAACAAAUAAAUAAUACAAUAUACAUACCCAGUAAAUUAAAAAAAAUAUAUUAUUCAAGUUUGUGGACAAUACUGUAGCCAUUGCGUCGUCGAAAUCUACUGACAGCUGAAACAAAGAAAGAAUGGAUGAACGCUGGAUCACAGUUGAAAUUGAAGGUCUGGUAGGUGAUGUUUCCCUCUCUGAUUUUACCUAAACAAAUACAAGAAAAUAAGAAUCACGAAUGAAAAUCUGUUAUUACACUGUUCUUACUUAUUAAAAUACAGAGGUUUCUUUGUUUCUCUGCAGCAAUGUCCAUGGCUAUUAGAAACAAGAACAAUUAGACCAGCAUUUGCAAGAAUCUUUUAAGGUAUUACUGCAGAUAUAAAUCGACUGAGGAAAUGGAAAAAUUGAAUACCAAAUUAGGCAAGUUAACUGAAGAUUCAGUUAUCAUAGAAGAAUAAAACUCAUCCAAUUCAAUCCAUCAAAUUUCAUUAAGCAUUUCCAGAACUCUUGAUUUUCUUUCUCAGUAGCCAAACAACUUCAAUCUCAUUUUUUUUUUUCAACAAUGAGUUCUCAAACCACUCUGGUAUCAUUUUAAGACAUUCUCGGCCUUGUACUCACCAUCAAAAUGGAUUGGUUGAGAGAAAACAUAGGCAUAUUGUUGAAUUAGGUUUGACUCUGUUGGCUCAAGCUCAACUUCCUUUUAAAUUCUGGUGGGAUGCAUUCCAUACUGCCCUAUAUCACAUCAAUAGAUUACCAUCUUCUGCUUUCAAACUUUCGACCCCAUGUGAGAAGAUAUCCAAGCACAAACCUGAUUAUGAUUUUCUCAAAUGUUUUGGUUGUAUUUGUUAUCCUUACUUGAGAGACUAUAACAAACAUAAGUUUGCCUAUCAUUCCAGUAAGUGUAUAUUCAUUGGUUAUAGUCCUUCACAAAAGGAUUAUAAAUGCUUACAUUCUUCAGGUCAAGUCUAUGUGGCAUGACAUGGUAUCUUUGAUGAGUCAACCUUUCCUUAUGCUACUGAAUCUGUUUUUCAUAGUCACACAAAUUCUGAUUCUCAUUCUUCAAAUUUAUUUACUCCACAGCAUGUCUAUUAUCUUUCUACUUUACCUGUCAUACCAGUAUUUCUAAAUAACAACACUGAUAAUCUAAACUCUACAAAACUAAAAUGCCAGCUGUUUGGUGUUAGCGAUAAGAAACAACUUACCACAACCAUUAAUUAUCCAUAAUUUCAUUGUUUAUCCUCAGUUUUCUUCAUAAAUGUUACAGCGUUCUUCACAACAAAGUGCAAGGGCAUCUCAAAAGUUCUGAAAUAAUACCUCAAUUCUAUUGCAAAAAUAAAUAAUCUCAAACAAGAACCAAUAAUCAUAUUUCGUUACUGUCAAACACAAUGCAUCUGAGCAAAACAUUGGAAGCCAACACCAGAAUACAUAUGAAUAAACAAUUAAAGAUAGAGAAAAAAGGCUUAAACCUUGGGGGAAAAAAGUGAAAAAACAUGAAAGACAAAUUACACAUGUGCAGUAACCAUCGAACUUAUCAGUGACAGCUGCAUCCAUUACAUUGCUCCAACAACACAAUGGCAAACCACCAGUUUCAAAUUGAGGAUAGCUAUUGAGAAUGAGAAAGUGUCCAAAACGCCAUAAAUAGACAUGUUCCUAUUAUGCAUAAUUUACAUUAUAGGCAAAUAUUCUUAUACCAUCAAAAGCAAAACAUGACACUAUAACAAUUGACUCCCCCCCCCCCCCCCCCCCCCCCGCACACAAAAAAAAAGGAAGAAACAAUACCGAAAAGAUUGAAACAGGUAAGGCUACACUGAGCACAGGAUGCCAUGAAACAUAAUCCAGGAACCAAAUUAAUAAAGAAGGAAGGCAAACCAUUAUUUAACAAUCUGUUUUGUAUUAGGGAAAGUCCGAUAAAAUCUACUUAGGGAUAAUUAGAGAACCUCAACUAUUAAUCACACCUCAUAAAUGAACUAACAUUAACCAUGUACCAUCCCCACAUCAGACAAACAUUCUCUAUACUUCUGAACCUAAUACUUCCAUCUUCAAUUGGGGUUUUUUUCUUUUGUGGGGGGGGGGAUAAGCUAUCGUUUUUCUAAGCUUGCUUACCUUCUGUGUGGGACUGAAAUACUGAUUUCGAAUCAUUAACAGUAAAAUUGGAAGCUCAUGAAAAAACAAUUUUAUCUUUUAACAAAAGUUAAAAUUACAUCUCCAUAUAAAUUCUCUUUUCAUUUCCUUCAAUUUUCUAAUUAAGCUUAAAAAAAUGUACCUUCAACCACAAAGGGGUUUAAAAUUUAAAAUAUAUAAAAAAAUAAAUUCAGAUAACAAUAAUUAAUUUAAUUAAAAAUAUAAAUAGAGAUUACAGAGAAAGAAAAAAUAGAGAAAGACCUGAUGUUGAGAGCAUCGACGGCCGGCAGUGACCGGCGGAAGAUGGCGAGAGAUGGCGGCGUGGGCCAUUGCUUGCGCAUCAGUGAGUGUCUCGAGUGAGAGAGUGAAGGUAGGGAUGGCAAUGGGGAGGGAGGGAGGGUCCAAUCUCUCUGUACCCAUCUCCCAAUUUGUCCCCGUCCCUCCCCGUCCCCAUUUGCUUAGAAUCUGUCCCCUACUCGAAUAAUAAUUCUCGAAUAAUAACAUAAAAUGCUCGAGGUUCUCGAUUUAUGAAUAAUUAAUAUAUUUUUUAUUUUAAAUUUUAAAUUAACUAUAUUAAAAUAAAAAAUUUAAAUAAAAAUAAAAUUUGAAAUAUAUUUUAUAUUAAUAUUGAUCCAUUAUAAAAAUUACAUACAAAAUAUAAAUUAUCAAAAUAAUUAUCUUUAUCAAUCUUCAUAAUCCUACAAUAAAAAGAAAAAAAAUUUACUUUUAUAUUGAUAAUAAAAUAAAUGUAGAUAAUUAAUUAAUAUUUUUAAUAAAAUAAAAUUAAAAUAAAAUAAAAUUUUUAGGCUAAUAUAAUCUACCCGACUUUUUUAAUGUGUUAAAUAAAAAUUUAAGACUUUAAUUAGUUAAUUAGGCCUAAAAGCUUAAUAAUAUAAAUAUUUUGAUAUUUAUUAUUUUUACUAAUAUUUAUAAUUUUAUAAUAUAUUCAAUUUUUAUUAUUUAUUUACUAGUAAUUUUAAAAAAUAAAAAUAAAAUUAAAAAAUAAAAUGGGGGAAAUGGGGAGGGGAUGGGGAUUCCACCUCAUCCCCGUCCCUUCCUUGUAGGGAUGGCAAAAGUUCGGGUCGGGUCGGGUCUGGGGCUGCCUGGAACUGACCCGGAUUUCACACAUAGCUGCCCGGACCCGGACCGUGCCCGGAUUUUUUCUAUGCGGGCCGGGUAUAUGGCUGGCACUAUCCGGGCACAGGUUUUUUUUGGGUUUUCUCUACCCACAUUUUCAAAACUGGCUAAAAAAAAAUUGAUAGAAAAGGCUAAAUAAGUAAACAAAAUUGCAAUUGGGCCUGGAAAUUCAUAACUUAUCCCUGAAUUAUAUAUAUAUAUAUAUAACUUCUAAUUCUUUGUUGAUACAAGUUUUUUCUAAUUCAUUAUAAAAUCACAUUAUAUAUAUUAUUUCCUCAUCAGAUAAUAAGUGACAAUUGCUCACCAGUUUAUUAACAUCUCUACGAAACCGUCUUUUAUGGCAUUAUUAUUAUUAUUGUUGUGGCUGAAACCAUGUAGUAUGUGAUUGAAGAAAUUGCAUUAAAUGUUGGAGUGGAGGUGAUGUAGGUGAGAAAGGAUUCCCUGGAGACUGUUAAACAAGACACAAGGCAUUUCCGGAAGAAAACAGAAGACAACUGGAUAAGACAAAACGGACAAAAGGGUAAGAGAGGUGGGUGGGAAAUUAAGAUAGGCAAUUUGUCCAGCAGAAACAUAAUAAUACCUCGUGGUCGUGGGUCGUGGCUGUGUUGGUGAAGUUGCAGCUGAACAAGAACAGUUGAUGCUGUCGCGUGGUGGCUGCCGUUGAGAAGAUGACCAAACGAUGAAGAGCUCUGUGACGGGAUGGUUGUGCUUUGCGAGGAGAAAUAGAGUUGACUGAGGAAGGUAAGAGGUUCGUGGAGGGAAAGGUGCGGACAACACUGCAUCAGUGCCGGUGGGUGGUGGAGAGACGGAGAGAGGUGCCGCCGAUUUGGAGAUUUCAGGGUGGGUGCUGACUGCUGCAGUGCUGCGUUGUUCUGCAAGUUGCAAUCGCGAUUUAGGGUUCAGUACCAGUUUUGGGGGCAAUUGGGCAAAGUAAAUUUUAUUUUCGCUUUUAUAUUUUCUUUUUUUUUACUUAAUAAAAAACCGGGCAUUGAAAAUCAAUGUCCGGAUCCGCUUUUUCCAUUCAUGUGGUCCGGGUAAAACCCGAACCGCACACGCCGGGUCUGGGCCGGAUCCGGUCCGGGUGGGUUUUUCUGCCACCUCUACUUCCUCGAAUAAGAAAUUUGGUAAAAAAAAUUUCCCGUCCCUUCCUCGAAUAAAAAAUCGGGUAUAAAAUUAUCUCUGUAUCCUCCCCGAAUGAGAAAAAUCCCCGAAGAUACCCAUACCUGUGGGGAUUUUUACCAUCCUUGAGUGAAGGGUUUUGUUUAGGGUUUUGGGAAAUGAAAAAUGUAAAUGUUUGAUUUUGUUGCUAGAAACUUCUUCUGCCGCUGCUUUUUAUUUUCGCUAUAAAAAUAAUAAUUUGUUAAUCAAAUAUUUUCUUAAAAAAGAUAAAUUUCUAGAACAAAAUUUAUAUUAAAUCAAAUUGUAAAAAUGUGGAAUAGGGCUAAUUUCUCCUUAAUAUUAUUAUUAGUAGAAGUAGAUUGUCGAACUAGUCUUGAUAUAUUUUAGAGUUGUAUUAUAGAUGUAUACGUAUCUAGAUUGUAAUUAUAUUUUAAAAAAUAUAAUUUUUUUUAAUUAUUGCACAAUAAAUGUAGAAAAUAUCUAUAAAAUAAUAUUAUUAGAACUAUGAUACAGCACCUCAAUUCCACAGUAGCUUAAUAUUAUUAGAACUAUGAUACAGCACCUCAAUUCCAAACGCACUCUAAUUAAAAAAUUUAGAAUUCUUGGGCAUGGAAAGAGUAGUAUUAAACAUCAGAAAGCUAAGGUUGUUCUGUAAAAGAACUGAUAUUGACAUUAUUUUAUUUUGGUUUUCGGGGAAAAAAAUAUUUGUUGACAAGCAAGAAAAUAUUUUUAUAUUUUACAAUUUAUUAUACAUAUUUUAUCAUAUUAAAGUAAUUUUAAUAAUAAAUAGAAACAUAAUAUUACAAUAAAUAAAUUAAAGUUUAAAUUAUUUUGAAUAUUAUAAAAAAUAAUUUUAAUAUUAUUAAUAGGAAGACUUUUGUUAAUUGUAAAAUCUUUUUAAUCCAAAGAUUUGUUUAAAAUUCUUAUAAUAAAUACAAAUAUAAAAUUAAAUAUCAAAAUUUAAAUUUUUUAAUAUUAUUUAAAUUUUAAAAAUACUUUAAUGUUAUUAGUCUUCUACAUAAAUUAUAUUAUUUAUAUUAUAUUUGUAUUGAUUAAAAUCUUUUAAAGUCGAUCUUCUAGUUAUUAUAUGCAAAAGGUAUUAUCAUGUUACAAUUUUUUGAAAUUUUAGGGAUGUAGGUUACGAUGAUUUAUUUCACUUUUGACAAAAUCCAAUGAGAAAUAUGAUAAGAGAAAGUCAAUUUAAUGUUCUCGACCUUUAUGAAAAAAAGUAAAAACUAAGAAUUAUUCAAUUUUAUAUUUUUUGCAUCCACCAAAUAAGUUUUGCACAUUUAUGUUAUCAUAAAACGAAAAAAAGGGUUUACCAAAAAAUGGUACCAAGCAUACCUUUAAUGUCCCACGUGAUUUCUUAUUAAGCCCAAUAUUAGAUAUAUUUAUACAUUUUACUGCAUUAAGUAUUUUAAUUAUAAAAGAAGUUGGUCCUUCCUCUAGUUACAAAAGAUAACUUUAUUUCAAGACUACCACUAAAUUCUUACGUAGAAUUAGUGCAAGGCCAAGAGAGAGUAACACAAUUUUACUUUUCCAUUACCAUUUUGAAAAUAGAAAGAUAUGGAUCCGUGUAUUUAAGAGUUAUUGUAAAAAUCAUACAAUUCAAUUUCCUGACGUGUAUUAUGUAUAUUUAGGCACAUUUGCCAAAAGCAUAAAUAGAUAGAAAGUAAAUUUACAAUCCACCCUUACUCACAAUUAUUGAAGUGAAGAUGCAUUACAACUGUCACUACUUUAACUUUAUUUAUUUAUUUGUUUUAAAUAAAAGUGUGAGAGAGACGGUGAACAUCAUGGACGAUAACAAAGGUUAAAGCCUAAAGGUGACCCAUUUUCUUUUUAAAGUGCUCUGCUGAAAGCCUAACUUCCUUUGGAUCCGCCGAAGUGGCCGAAGUGGUGGGCUGCUGCCCUCACAAGCAUUGUGAGGGCAGCGGUUCUAGCCCCCACAAAAGCAUUGUGGGGGUUAAAUGUUCUUUAUAUUUAAAAAUUUUUCUCCCUUGCGAAAUACAAGUGGAGUAUGGACAUCCCUCUCCUGUGAGGGGUUAUUUGUUUGGGCAUGUACUUCAUAGAAUUUAAUGUAAUAAUGUAAGUCCCAAUAAUGUAUAUCUGAUUGUAAAUAUCAGUAUAAUAUCUCUGCUACAAUAGCAAUUAUUGUAAAUAUUUGUGUAAUACAGUAAUCUGAUGAUUAAUCAGUAUUCAAAAAAAAAAAAACUUCAUUUGGAUCCGCCUAAGUUACUGCUUUGUAAAAUUUUAUAAAGCCCCUUAUACUCUAUAUUAUUUAUAAUUUGUUCAUAAAUAUUAUAAAACUUUCUGCAUUAUAUAAUUUUAUUGAGCCCCUUGUACUAUAUUUUAUUUCAUUGAAACCCUUAAAGUACCAAUUCGCCCUCUAUAAUUUUAAAUUACUAAAAUACCCUCCAUUUAAUUAAAAAUAUAAUGAUUAUUAAAUGAUUAUAAUUAUCUGGAGUACAAAUUCAGUAAUAAACAAUAACUAAAGUAUUAACAAUUUAUUCAUCAAAUAAAAUACUCGAGAUUUCAGCCGACAAAUCCUCUUGUCUAAACUAAAAAACUCAUAUCCCUAAAAUCUAUUUGUGAAAUGUUAGAGAUGAGUGGUGAUUUGUCAACUGGGUAAAUAAAUUUAUGCAUAAUGUUUCCGGUAUUGAUAAAUUACAUAAUAAUUAUUACAAAGAAAUCAUAAAUUGGAAACAUUAAUCAUUUUACAAUAUGUUACAUAAGUAAGAUAAAUCUCAUAGUAAGUUAAGUUAUAACGUAAUAAAUAUUUUCAACAUAUACUUAUUUAAGAAGUCAUUUAACAAUAAUAUUUUUUAUAUUUCAGUUGAUCAUGUCAUAUAGCGUUAUCUAAACUCUUGGCCAUAUUAUUAUUACUCAAUUUUCUCCCAAAAAAAAAAAAAAAAAAACAAAAACAAACAUGAUUAAUGAUUAGAGAAAAGUCAUGCCUUUUAGAAAGAAUACGUAUACAAGCUAUCCAUACUUUAUCUUACCAUGAUGGUGAUUAAAUAUAUUUUUAAAAUAGAUUUAAUGCACAAAUAUGAUGACUUUUGGCAAAAAUUAGUUUCGGAAGAUAUAGUGGUAGAAAAUAGUGAUGAUUAUUGUUUAAAUGUGUAAAUAGUCUAAGCAUAGCCCGUAAUACCAAUAUUCAUUUGCACCUUCAUUUGGAUUAUCAUAUUUUAUGAUGUUCUUUCAUUCAUAACCAUUGUUCAAAAUUUGGAUUUGAUCAUAAAACAAAACUAAAAAAUAUUAGAGAUACUAACAAUUGAGUCCCAUUUUAAGUCCCAAUACAAUGUGUUAUUUCUCAAUGUUGUGUCAUUCAUUAAUUAAGUGAUGAAUUUCAGAAUUAAUAAUUAGUUCAGACUUUAAUUAAGAUUUAAAUGUUAGAAUAUCUAGCAUCAUUCAAUCACAAUAAACAAAAUUCAAAUUGAAACGGCAAUAUUGUAUUUUCUUUAAUUAAUUUUGAUGCUGAAGCAAAUAUUUUGCUUGGGUUUUUCACUUCUUGAUUUUGAUUGGAAAAGUUUCUGAGACGAAGUAUUUUGGAUAAUUUUUUCGGGAUUGAAACCACAACUUGGUAGAGGAAAUUAGUUGGAGUAGUGAUGGCUUUGUCUUCAUUUUUGGUUCCUUUUGUGUCGGCAGCCCCUUACUAUUCUCUUGACCCUGAGUUUGAGAUAGAAAUUUAUCAACCUCCAACCCCACAUCCACAAACAAGUUGAUUGAAACAAUUGCUCUUUUAAUUAAGAGGACCCAAAUGAUUUAGGUUUCAGUUCUUAUCAUUUGUCUAUUAUUUAUUUGAAACAUUUAUUUUGAGCGUUACUGAUCUUAAUUAUCUGUAUUUCUCCAAUUAUUGAAGCAUUUCAAGUGGCCACUUUUUCUCCUUUUUAUAUAUGUUUAUUUUUUGGAGUGAUCAAACGGGGGCAAAAUCAAGUAUUCGCUGGUCUGUAGUUUAGCCAACGAUGGCUGAUCCACACAGUUGAUUAUAUGAUACUAUUAGCUCUCAAAAUCUUUCUUAUUUGAGAAUACAAGUUGCCCAAUAGAGUUGAACUAUGUUACCCAACUCCAUGCUCAUACAUUAAAUGUUUAGGUAGUUUUACAAAAUGAUAGCAGCAUGCCAAAACUUGUUGUUGUCAUUUUCGACAUUUCAAAUUGAAAAAUAUGCAAGCAAUCUUCAGUGAACAUUACGUUUUUAUUGAAUAAUUUAAAUGGCCAGUAAAUCAACAGUCCGUGAGUUUUAAAUCUAUUAUGACUUAAUGUAUCUUUCUGUAUUCGUACACAGGUUAUAUUAUCAUAGUUUAAAAUUUUAAUAUUAUUUUAAAUGUUAAAAAUACUUUAAUGCUAUUAGUCUACUACACAUGUUAUAUUAUUUAUAUUAUAUUUGUAUUAAUUAAAACUUUUAAUGUAAAUUUUCUAAUUACUAUAUUGAAAAGGUAUUAUGGUUAAGAAAAAGUUUUGGCAUUUCUUCUUGAAAAUUUGAGGGUCUGCAUGACAAUUUUUCCAAAUUCUAAGGGUAUAGGUUUGAAAAUUUAAUGUUCUUUAACUUAAUGAAACAAAAGGGGGAAACCAAGAACUAUUCAAUUUUGUAUUUUUUGUUUGUAAUUCAAAAAAUGCAUCCACCAAACCAGUUUUACGCAUUAAUGCUGUCAUAAAACAAAAAACAGUUUGCCAAAAAAUGGUACCAAACAUAUCCUUAAUGUCUCACAUGAUUUCUUAGUAAGCCCAUAUUAGAUAUAUUUAUACAUUUUAGGUAUUUUAGUUAUAAAAGAAGUUGGUCCUCCCCCUAUUUAUAAAAGAUAACUUUGUUUCGAUAUUACCACUAAACUCUUACAUAGAAUUAGUGUAAUGUUAAGAGAGAGUAAAACGGUUUUCCAUUACCAUCUUUGAAAAUAGAAAGAUAUGGAUGCGUGCAUUUAAGAGUCAUCGUGAAAAUCAUACAAUUCAAUUUCCUGACAAGAAGUUGGUCCUCCCCCCCUUUUUUUUUUUUUUUCAAUUACAGUGUGAUGGAGACAUUAAGGAUGAGCAUAAUAGUUAAAGAUGACUCAUUUCUCAUUUUCUUUUUAAAGUGCUCUGCUGAAAGCCAAACUUCCUUUGGCUAAUUAAUUUAGAAGUAAAGCAGAGAAUAAAGUCCUAGAUGCCUUCUGAAAUUAGAAAUACAUUUUAUAUGCUUUAAUUAUGAUUAUUUGGUAGACUAAAGACCUAAAAGAUAUGUCAAAAGUAUAAAACAGAGCGAUUAAAGAAAAAAGAAAAAAAAAACAGAGCAUUUGUGACGUAGAACAAUUGGUAAAUAAAUCCUAAAUAUUUGAGUUGUUAAAAGCAAAUAUAACAGAGACAGUAAGAGAGAUGCUGAAACAGAAAACUAUUAGCUUAUCUUGAUUUUCCCACUAUAUUCAUUUUCGAUGCUUUUCAAACGAGAUUCUUUUAAUUCUUCUGGUGUCUCUUAUAGAUCUCCAUCCCACAUCUGCACUACGAACAAGUUGAUUAAAAUUAAAUACUGUUGGAGAUGUGGGGUGAGCGGUCAACUUGGUAAAAAAACUAUGUGUAAUAUUGUUAAUAAUAUAAAAUAUAUAAUAAUAAUUACAAAGAAUCAUAAAUUAGAAAAAUUAUUUAUUUUACAAUCUAUUUCUUAAGUAAGAUAAAUCUCGUAAUAAGUUAAGUUAUAAUGUAAAAAAUAUUUUCAAUUUAUAAUCAUUUAAGGAGUCAUUUAACAAUAAAAUCUUUCUUUUUUUGAUCAAUUGGUCAUGGUACAGAGCAUCAUCUAUAUUCAUGGUGAUAUUAUUAUUACUCCGUAUUCUCAAAAAACACGAUUUAACAUUUAGAGAAAGUUCCUACCUUUUAAAAAGAACAUGUAUGCAACAACUACCCAUACUUUAUCUUACCACGACAAAACUAAUAGUGACUAAAUCAAUUUUCUCGAAUAAAGCAAAAUUUCUUAAAAUUAAUUUAAUAUACAAAUAUGAUGACUUUUUGCAAAAAUUAGUUUUGGAAAAUUAGUGACAGAAAAUAGUAAUGAUUAUUGUUUAGAUGUGUAAAUAGCCUAAACAUGAUCCCUAAUACCAAUAUCCACGUGCAUCUUAACACCUUUCGUCAUAUUCUUUCAUUCAUGGUCACUGGUUCAAGAUUUGAAUUUGAUCAUUAAAUAUGUUCAAUAAUAUUAGAGAUCCCAACAAUUGAGUACCAACUUAAAUCCCAAUGCUAUGUGUCAUUAACAAAUGUUGUGUCAUUUAUAAUUAUUGAAUGAAUAAUUCGUUAAUUUAUUGAUAAAUGAAAAUUUAUUAAUUUAAAGAGAGAUAUUUUUUUUUUUGGGUUUUAAGAAGAGUUUUGUUGGUACAUGUACAUACUUAUAAAGAAAUAAACUUGUAAUUAUACUAUAUCUUUCUUUCUUUAUUCAGUUUGGUGGGAUAUUGUGAUAAAUCAUUGGAUUAAAAUGCAUUUCUAAAUUAAAACUUGUUAAAAUCUAAUUUAUUUGGGAAGCGCAUAUUAUUUGUCAGUCGUACUUCUCAAGUCUCAACUUAGCAAGUUAUUUCUAACUUGUCAGUCUCUAUUGGUUCUCUAAAGCUAAUAGUCUCGAAUCUCCCGCAUUUGAUAUCUUGCCAUUAUUGUUGGCAUUAACAUGUUACCUGAGAUUGGGAUUCAUUAAAAUCCUCAAUGUAAUCGGUGGAACGAAUGGAUUUCUUCUGUUCACCAAUCCACCAAAAUUUCUGUAAUUAAAUUCAAGAGUCAAGAUCUAUGCUUAUAAUCUAUUCUAACAGCUAAUAUUCUAUUUUAUAUUUACUUAAAUAUGAAGAGCUAUGCUUGUCAUUAACUUCAAAUGUGAUCGAAGCAGCCUUACAUCUGUAUAUUACUUAUUCCCAACCUUUUUUUUUUGACUUCAUAUACUUUAUUUUCAUGUUAUUUACUCUUUUUUUCCCCUUUCUGACAAUUGAGGUAGGGGGUCAAACUUGAAAGUAUCUUAAAAUCAGACAAAUUUUUUUUUUUUUAAGAUAGCUGCUAAUAUGCUCUAUUAGACAAUGACAAGUAAUAACCUAGUUGUUUGCAUUAGAAAUGAUAUUUUUUGUGGUGCUGAUAAAGAGGUUGAUUAUGAUUCAACAAUUUAAAAUAUGAAAACAUGUGGAAGACGGCCGCAAUUAAAUUGAUUGUAUGAAAAUAUUUCAAUGAAAUUUUAAAAAUUUAGUACUUGUUAUCUUAUCGAGAGUUUUUUUAAAUUAUAUUACUACUUGAACUUGGCUGCUUUUGUAUUGAAUUCCCAGCGUUGCCAUUGCUUCUACUCAAAAGCCAUUUAAGUUUGUGUAAGCUACCUAUAGUUUGAACAACAAUUUACUCAUGAAUUGUUGUUCAUAAUAGCAAUUUGAUUGAAAGUGCGGCUGCACUAAUUUUCUAGAUGAAUUUUUUCCUACAUGCUUGUUCUCGUAUGACCCAAAAUCCUGCUACAUCAGUUGUAUUAGAAAUUAAUACUGGGUUACAAUUAUGCAUCCCCACCAAUAUUUCUUGAGGAAAGAAACUCAUAUCGCCCCUAGGCUUUUAAUGAGGCUCAUUUUUAUGAAUCUGGAUGGCAUUAGAUAUCUCUCCGAAUAUUGGUGGGAGUAUAUCGCAGAUCAAUGGGCUAUACUACAAAGUGUAUGUACGUUGACUCUCAAUAAAUACAAACGAUUCUCUGAUAUGAUUCAAAACAUCAGUGCACGCAUCAUUUUAACGAGAGAGAAUAUUCUAAGAACGAAAUUGAAGGUGCAAUCAGCAACUAAAAUGAAGCCAGAAAUGUACACGCAUGAGGAAGUUUUCCUAGAAGAUUGAUAUUUCUUUAACUAGCAAACAAUACAAGUCCAAAGCUAACCAAACCAUACCUGCAAGUCCGGGGCUUAAAUGGAGUACUUGUAAGCAUAAAACAUUAAUCAAAACACAGUAUAGACACACACACACACCCCUACAUACAUACCAGCAAAUUCGAAAUAGAAAAAGGAGUGCAACUAUUCAAGUUUGUUGACAAUAUUGCAACCAUGGCAUAUUAAAGCAAAUCCUUAAAAUCAGCUAAACGAAACAAUGCCCUGUCUCAUGAAUCGAUGCUCAACUAAAAAUUGAAAUUGAAAGUCCGGCUGGUGUUGUUAUUAGAUAGAUAUAACAAGAUCUUUCUUUGACAGUUCUUAUUAGAUAGAUAUAAAAAGAUCUGCUUUGACAGUUCUUAUUAGAUAGAUAUAAAAAGAUCUUUCUUUGUUUCUCUGCUGUAAUUUGUGGCUAUCCCACUCUGUUUUGCCAGUCAAGCUGAGUCUACGUUGAGACAUAAUUUUGACAUCAGAAGCGGCCUCAAUUAGUUUGGCAUUUUUAUAACCUCCUUGAAGGUUUUACGAUAAACAUAAAUCUACUGACAAAGUGGGCAAAAAGAAAAUGCAUGUAAAAGUAUGAGUUAUCAAAUAAGAUUAAAACUCACCCAAUUCAAUCCAUCAGAUUCCGUAAGGAUACAACUGGAUGUCAUACCGCCACUCCAUAUUCUCGAAAGUCCGUAGUCCUUGUCUCAACUGUGUCUGGGGCCAGUGUAAGUCCAUUUUUGCGCAAGCUCUUUAUGCACCACAGCUCUUCUGGAAGCUUUCUCAAGUAAGCACACGGGUUGACAAUUAAGCAUUCAAGUUUCGGCAUUGCUCCAGCCCCCAUCGUCCACUCAUCUAGCCAAUACAUUGACUUCAGGUGCAAAACCUUAAGUUCGGGAAAGCUACUCAAGCCAACACAAGCAAGCUUUCUUCCUAAAUACGAGUUCUGCUUCAGUUUCAGCACUCGAAGGCGUGGAAGAUUUUCCAGAAUUGGCAUGGGAUCCUCCAUUAGCUCAGUAUUUGAUAAGCUCAGUUGGAUCAGACUUGGGGGAAAUUGGUAUUCAGACAGGACCAUCCGUGAGGGCUUGCUCUCAUUCACCAGCUUCAAGCAUUCAAGUUUGUGGAGUUCGCAUAGGCUUUUGGAAACCCCUGAAUGAUAGCAACUCAAAUCUCCAGAUAUCCGAAGAGUUUGAACAUUAGGUAGUCUGCCCAAUAUAUCAGGAGUACAACUACUGGGGUUUAAAGUUGAUAUGAAAAUGAGAUUUUUCAGGGAGCUAGAAUAAUUUUUUGGAGGUGCGGGCAGAGUGAUAGAACCAAAGUUUAGAUGCAUGAGUUUUUGCAUCUUCCAAAUAUCCUCUGGUGACUGAUCUAUGUAGCUAGAUGGCAUUUCUAGUGUUUGAAGGUUUAAAAGGGUGCAUAGCAGUGAAGGAAGGCAUUUGAGCGAAGGGAUAUUCAAUUUCAAAUACUUCAAAAGGAAUAAAUUUUCUAAUCCGGGUGGAUAUUGGUCCAGGACUGCAGAACCCAAGUUCAGUACCCGAAGGUAUUUGAACCUUUUAAAAAAAUUCUCGCAAUCUUUCGGAUUAAGAUGAUAUCUUUUUGGACUGUGAUUGAGAAAAGAUUGGAGAUACAUGUCAGAAUGUUCUAAAGAAAGGAACUCAAUCAAAUCAUCGACAAUGAAGCACCGUUUAACAUUUGCGGGUGGUUCCUCUUCCACGUCAUGCAUCCAGACAAAUCCCGUCUUCUUUGCCACCACAAACAAUGAAGUGUAGUAUACAAUACUUGGAAAAUAACACGAUUUAAUUGUGCCUCCGGCCCUUCUUUUACUCACUUGAAUGAAGCCGCGAUGGAUUAGUUCUUUCAAGUAAUGUUCGGCAGUUUCUUCACUGUUGUAUGGUAUGAAACCUUCAGCUACCCACAAAUGAUAUAAUUGCCUCGUGGAUAUCUCAAUGCCUGGAGGGAAGACACACAAAUAGAUGCAGCAGAUUUUCAAGUGAAAAGGUAACUCCAACACAGAACAAAUUCCAAUGAAAAUUGUCGGAAUCGUUUCGCCUUGAACAUAAUUUUCUAAUGGCAUACUUCCAUAGUGUAGGAUGAAAAAUUGCCAGGCUUCAUGCUUUAAUCUGAUCAAUGGUCCUCCAAUGAGCACCGAAUCAAGCCGAAUCUUCUCUCCAUUUUCCAUUUCAAGCGACGCAAGGAGGUCUGGAUCAGUGACUGUUAUCAAUACUCUGCUUCCAUUCUGAUUAUCAGGAAGAACUUCUUCAAGAUCAUCCCAUAUGUCAAUGUUAUCGCAGACAUCAUCAAGCACAAUAAAGUACUUCUUGUUUGUUAGGUAAUCUCAAAGAAUAGAUUCCUUGAAUUGAUAAUCUUCACCGAUAAUUACACUAACCCGAGAUGGAGGCAUCACAGACUUGAUUAUGUCAUCCAAUAUCUUGCCCAAAUCGUAGAAUACAGAAACCCUGACCCAAGCAAGACAGUCAAAAUAGAACCUGACAUGAUUAUUGUUGUAAGUAUCUGCAGCAAAAGCAGUCCUAUCGAAGCCACUGCUGUCGAGAAUUGCAACCACUGCAAGCCCAGAUGGUCCCUCAAUCAAUAGAUCAAACAACUUCUCUCUGCCCCUUUCAAAUUCACUGAUAUCGAGCCGAGGUUGUCCCUCAUUCAAUAGGCGAAUGAUUUCGUUACUUUUUUCACUGAUAUCAAAACCAUUGUCGCCGGGCGGAAGUUGUUGCAUCCGAUUUCUAAUAUCAAUGAUUUCACUGUGGACAUGAAGAGCCAUAUUAGUGCUGCUUUCACUUUCGUUUUCACUGUUUUGCUGCUGCAUUAUGUUGAUGAAGAAUCUGUCAAUGGCUUCCUCAGAUUCAUGGACAAAGUCAUUGAUGUGCACCAGAAUUUCCAAAAUAUCUGGUCUUUUAACGUCUUCUUCAUCGCUUUCUUCUAAGUCCAACAGUUGCAAAAAAGGAAAAGAUAUUUCGAAGUCAUCGAAUUCUUCUAGAAUGAGUUGAAACAAAUGCCGAGCCAUGUCAGCUUCAUAGUUUCCCAGAAGAGUAGCAGCAAUAAUUUCGGACUCCGUAAGAAGGUUUUGAAAAAGUGGGGUUAAAUUUGUUGAAUCUGGCAGCGGCAACGUGCCUUCUUCACCUGCUAACACCCUUUUCAACCUCUCACAAAUCAGUCGGAGGUGGAAUUCCAGCAUUUCUCCUUCUCUCCGUAGCACUCAAUUAGAAUUAUCUUCGAAUUCUAAUUUAAUUGACUAAGUAGUUAUAGCUAUUCUAUUGAUUAGGUCUAGCUAUUAUAUUCUAAAUGAUUAAUUGAGAGGUAUAGUUGAAAGAUUAAACACCAUGGAAGAAUUUGAAAGGAAAAUGCCAAGAAACUGUGUAAGUGGCUAAAUUCCACAAAUAUGACAUUAUUGCUCAUUUUUUAACUCAAAAAAAGGGUACGCAUUCAUUUAGAGAAAAGUCCAAGACGCGUGCUUUUUAAAAAGAACAGGUAUCCAACCUCUAUCUUAUUAAAUUACAACCAUGACAUAAUUGAUGGUGCUUAAAUCAAUUGUUUCUUUUUUAAUUUAAAGAAUUUUUCAUUAAAAAAAUAUUUUAAUAUCAAAUUGCCUUCAGUGGCGUAACUGCCUCAGGCCCAGUAACAGGACUAAUUAAAAAUUUUACAAUUUUUGGGCAUGGAAAUAGUAGUAUUAAACAUUAGAAAGGUAAGGUUGUUCUGUUAAAGAAUUGAUAUUGACAUAAUUUUAUUUUGGUUUUCGUGGAAAAAAAAUUUGUUGACAAGUAAGAAAAUAUUUUUAUUUUUUAAAAUUUAUUAUGCAUAUUUUAUCAUAUUAAAGUAAUUUUAAUAAUAAAUAGAAACAUAAUAUUACAAUAAAUAAAUUAUAGUUUAAAUUAUUUUGAAUAUUAUAAAAAAUAAUGUUAAUAUUAUUAAUAGGAAGACAUUUUGUUAAUUUUAAAAUCUUUUUAAUCCAAAGGUUUAUUUAAAAUCUCUAUAAUAAAUACAAAUAUAAGAUUAAAAUAAAAAUCAUAAUUUCAAAAUUUUAAUAUUAUUUUAAAUGUUAAAUAUACUUUAAUGUUAUUAGCCUACUACGUAGAUUUUAUUAUUUAUAUUAUAUUCGUAUUGAUUAAAAUUUUUUAAAGUCAAUUUUUUAGUUAGUACAUUCAAGAGGUAUCAUAGUUAAAGAAAAGAUUUUGGUGCAACUGUUUUAAAAUUUCAGGGUAUAAAUGAUAAUUUUUUUUAAAAUUUUAAGGAAGUAGGUAUUAUUUUUCCGACAAUUUAUUUUAUUUUGAGGGAAAUCCGAUGAGAAAUAUCAUCAGAGAACAUUAAUUUAACAUUCUUUACCUUUAUGAAAAAAGUGGAAACCAAGAACUAUUCAAAUUUUUUUUUUUUGUGUAAUUCAAAAAAUGCAUCCACCAAACAAGCUUAUCAUAAUUUUCCCACUUUAUUCAUUUUCGAUGCUUUUCAAAAGAGGUUCCUUUAAUCCAUCUAGCAUCUGCAGCCCCCACUAUUUUACAAAUCUCCAUCCCACAUCUACACUAUCAAAAAAGUUGAUGGAAAUUGAACCCAUUAAGUUAUGUUCAUUACUGGUCAUUAUCUUUCUAUGAGCCACUUAUUUUGAGCAUUAGCGAUCUUCUAAGGAAUCAUGCCUUUUCAGGAUCGUUUUCUUUCAUUUCCUUAUUGUAGUAGUUAAUUAAAUAAAGAACGAACAAGUGAACUUUGUCUAUUUCGAGGAAGAACUAGGUUUCCAACACUAGAGGAACUUUGAAGAAAAUUAAUUGGAAGCCUUUAUUCAUCUUUGAAGAAAAUUACGUGCCAAUGUAACCAAGGCUUUUAUUCAUCUUCGGACUAUGAAUUUAUACAAAAACAUUAACAGAAAAUAACAAAGACACAGCUAAAUGAUAGCAACAAGUGUUGAUUUAGUGGACCACUUCUACAAGUAAAUAAAAACUAAAUAUUUAUUUAAGGAGGGCUUUUGUUAGUAGAGUUUUUAUAAAUAGAAAUUUAACAAAAAAAAAUUAUAGUUAUUUAGUUGUCAAUGUCCAAAUUGAUGAAUUAUUGUUCUUUUUGUUAACAUGUGUUUGUUUUACUUAAUAAUAAAAGUUUAGUUUACAAUUACACCGGUGUCAAAUCAGCAGAGCAUUUUUGCAGCCAGUCACAUUAUACAUUAUAUACUAAUAGCAUCGGCAAGAGUUUUCGAUUGUUGCAACUUGCAAUGCACGCGAUGCGAGAAAAUGAGAAUCUUGUUUAAUUGCAAUAAUGACAAACCUAAUCCUUUCAUUAGGAGUAAAUUAAUAAUCGUUUGUUAUUAUUGAAUAUGUAUAAAGAAAGGACAAUUCUAUUCAUAGAUUCGACUUAUUUUUUGUUUAAAGUAAUUAAUCAUUCAACCAUCUUCAUUUGCCUCUGGCCAAUGCCCUUGUAGAUUAGUUGAAGCGUUUAUUACUUAAUUCAGAUAAUUACAACGUCCUUUUCGCUAAUUAAUUAUGAUUAUGAACAUUUUCAUAUAGCAAGUGGCAUUGUAGAUCUAAACUACGUUGCUAUUUCAAUACGUUAAUUAAGUGAUUCUCCUCAUUGUCAUCAACGUUAUAAACAGGAAUUGUGCAAACAGUACACAAUGCUGCAGCAAGGCGUGGGUGGCUAGAGUUUUGCAACCACCCUUGAGAUCCUGUGCUGCCAGUAGUAAAAGAAUUUUACGCCAAUUUGGUAAGCCCUGGUCAGCACAACAUUUGGGUAAGAAACUCACUUGUUCCAUUAGACUCUCGAGUUAUAAAUGUUUUUUAUAAUUUACCUGCUGAAAUUAAUUGUGAGUAUGCCAAGUUGCUUGACAAAUUGACCCCGCAACAAUGGAACACAAUUUUCACGACACUUACGGUAGAGGGUGCAUCGUGGGCUAAUGAGGAGGGGCAUGUAAUUAACAAGAUAGAUUUAAAACCCAUUGCUAAGGUGUGGGUGAAAUUUCUAAAAUCCAGGCUUAUGCCAACCACCCACACCACUACUGUUUCACAGGAAAGGUUGGUGCUGUUAUAUGCUAUUGUUAGAGGGCUUCCCAUAGAUGUGGGAAGCAUUAUCGAAAAAGAAAUUCGAGAUUGUGCCAUGAAAAACCACAAGGCUGCUGCCUUGUUAUUUCUUUCACUCAUAACCAGCAUAUGUGUAGUAUCAGGUGUUCGUCUUGAUGCAAAGGAUGAAAUUUGUAAUUAUAUUAUGGCUCCAUUUGGUAUAACUUUUUAAUUCGAACUUAUUUAAGGAGAAUUUUUAUUAGUAGAGUUUUUAUAAAUAGAGAUUUUACUAAAAAACAAAAAUUAUAGUUAUUUAGUUGUCAAUGUCCAAAUUGAUGAACUAUUGUUCUUUUUGUUAACAUGUGUUUGCCAGUCACAUUAUACAUUUUUGCAACUUGCAAUGCAAGCGAUGAGAGAAAAUGAGAAUCUUGUUUAAUUGUCAAUAAUGACAAACCUAAUCGUUUCAUUAGGAGUAAUUUCAUAAUCGUUUGUUAUAAUUGAAUAUGUAUAAAGAAAGGAAAAUUCUAUUCGUAGAUUCGACUUAUUUUUUGUUUAAGGUAAUUAAUCAUUCAACCAUCUUCAUUUGCCCCUGGCCACUGCCCUUGUAGAUUAGUUGAAGCGUUAAUUGCUUAAUUCAGAUAAUUACAACGUCCUUUUCGCUAAUUAAUUAUGAUUAUAUACGUUUUCAUAUAGCAAGUGGCAUUGUAGAUCUAAAUUAUGUUGCUAUUUCAAUACGUUAAUUAAGUGAUUCUCCUCAUUGUCAUCAAGUGGAAAAUAGCUCAAUUGUUUCCCUGCAUCGAUUUUCAUUGGUAAGUGAUUUCUUAUGAUAUUCGUUUGAGCUUUCCUUAUUAAAAAAGCUUGAGCCUUGAUCACCUAAUACUGAUAUCAAUUAACUUGUGAACGAUUUUGUAAUGAAAUUAGGAGUUAAAUAUAUAAGAUUUUUACGUGAUGAAUUUUGAUUUUUUUAAUUUUUUGAUGUAGUCAAUUUGCUAAUUUUAUAUAUUUCAUAUUCAACGGAAUUUGGGCACGGAAAGUUUGGAUUCUAAUAUUUAUAUAUUUAGCUUUAAUCAGCUUGACUUUAGCAAUCUUUUUCCCUCAUCAUUAAGGGAUUCAGAAUUAGAGAAACGCUAGGAAGAGGAAGAAAAUAACUUUGGAAGUAAGUAAGAGGGAAAAAAUUAUGAAAUUUGGAAUUAUUUUUUGUAAAGUAUGUUGCGUUUACUAAACUGGAAUUAGAAUGAGCUGAAAUCAGAAUGAAUAGGAAUGCGAAUGUGCUGAAAUCGGAAUAGGUAAUGAGAAUAAGAAUAAGUUGUUUACUUGAACUGUAAAAAUCAAAAUCGGAAUGAGCUGAAUUGCAAUUACUUUGUCUUGGAAUCGGAAUCGGAAUCGGAAUGAGUUAGAUUAUAACAAAUUACUGAAAAGUACUUAAUGAAUUAUUGUCAUAAUUAUUAUUUUAUAUUUUAAUUAUAGUGAUUAUUUAUUCAAAAAUUAUUAUUAUUAAUUAUUUCCAAUAAUAUAUUAAUAUGUUAAUUAAUUUUAAAAAUUAUUAAUUAAUUUAUUAUAAUAAUAUACUAAUUAAUUAUAAUUAUUAUUAUAAAAAUAUAUUAAUAAUAAAAUUACUAAUUUAAUUGUAAUAAUAUAUGAAUUAAUUAUAAUAAUUAUUAUAAUAGUAUAUGAAUUAAUUAUAAUAAUUAUUAUAAUAGUAUAUUAAUUAAUAAUAAUAAUAAAAAUAUAUUAAUUAUGUGAUUAUUUAUUCAAAAAAUAUUAUUAUUAAUAAUUAUUGUUAAUAAUGUAUCAAUAUACUAAUUAAUUAUAAUAAUUAUUAUAAAAAUAUAUUAAUUAUUAAUAAUAAAAUUACUAAUUUAAUAAUAAUAAUAAAAAUAUAUUAAUUAUGUGAUUAUUUAUUCAAAAAUUAUAAUUAUUAAUAAUUAUUGUUAAUAAUGUAUCAAUAUAUUACUUAAUUAUAAUAUAUUAAUUAAUUAUAAUAAUAUAUUAAUUAAGUAUAAAUGAGGACAAAGUGGGUAUUUUUAAUUUCACGAAGGGGCAAAAUGGUCAAUUCUAGUAAUGGGAGACUCACUCCCACCCUCUCCUUUGGGAAUGAGUCUCCCAUUCCUCAUUCCCAAAUUGUGGUGGGCCCCAUGAUUUUGACUCCGAUUUCUAACUCAAUUUUGCGAAGUAAACGCUACCAAUGAUUCCGAUUUCGGAUUCUGAUUCACUUAUCUGAGAAGUAAAAGCAACAUAAAUGUGUAUGAAUAAUUGAUACCUAUGAAUAGUUUUGGGAGUUUUAGCUAGGAGUCAUCUAUUGAAGAUGUUUAGCAAUUGAAGAUCUCUGUCUCAGUAGUUUUCCCAAUCAAAAUCAAGAAGCAAAAAAACUUGCCAUUUUUCUACUUGAUAAUUAAUUGAAAUUUAAGAAAAUACAAUGGCAUUUCAAUUAGAAUUGGUAAUUGUUUAUCUUUUUUCAUUGAUCAAAUUCUAAUCGUGAUCCAAUAGUUAUGGAUGAAGGAAAUAUUAUGAGAGGCGAUAGGCCAAGUGAAGACGUACCAGCAAAUUCAAAAUAGUCGGGAGGUGGACGUCCAGCAUAUCUCCUUCUCUCUGUAGCACCCAGAUGCAUUGUUAUUUGCUCCAAGAAAUGUUAAAAGGAUUGGCCCUAUCUCAAUGUGGUUAGUGGCAAGGGCGGAGACAGCAUAUUAAUUGACUGUGGGCUUACUCAACUGCGAUAAAAAAAAUUUAAAAAAUAAUAAAUAAUAAAUUUAAAAGAUUUAUCAUACUUCAAUAUAUGUUUAUAAUUAUCCUUUACGAGUUUUCAUACAUUGAUAACGUUGUAUUACAACUUCAUUAUCAAUAUUAUUGUGGGCUGUUUAAAAAUUUGAUUAAUAUUAAUAUUUAUAGGCUUGAUUUUAUUUUGUAAAGCCCAUCUCUUUUUAUUUGUUUUAAAAACUUAGAGUGUGAGAAUUUAAGUAUAAUUAUGUAUUAGGAACUUGAAUAUAAAUUAGUGGGGGCUUAGGAAAAAUUUAUUAGAAAUUUUUGGCAAAUCAAAUUAGUUAGUAAAAGAUUUUUUUUUUUUUUUUCAGUGGGGACUUAAGUCCCCACUGGUCCCAAGCUAGAUCCGCCACUGGUUAGUGGUGAAAAAUUAAACACCAUGGAAGGAUUUGCAAGGAAUAUGCCAAGAAACUGGCUAAGUUCCACAAAUAUGGCAUUAUUGCUCUUUUUUUUUUAAAGAAAAAUUAUACACGUUAAUUUAGCAAAAAGUCUAAGACACGUGCCUUUUGAAAAGAAUAGCUAUUACCAUGACACAAUCGAUGCGGCUGAAACCAAAAUUUUCUUUUCUUAAUGUAAAGUUUUUUUUUUAAAUAGAUUUUAAUAUCAAAAUGCCCUUCGAUGUUAUUACUCUCACAAGCCCUGUAACAGGAGUAAUAAAAAAGUUUAGAAUUUUUGGGCAUGAAAAAAGUAGUAUUAAACAUCAGCAAGCAAAGGUUGUUCUGUUAAAGAAUUGAUAUUGACGUGAUUUUAUUUUGGUUAUCGAGAAAAAAAUAUAUUUGUUGACAAGUAAGAAAAUAUUAUUAUAUUUUACAAUCUAUUAUACAUAUUUUAUUAUAUUAAAUAAUACUAAAUAGAAACAUAAAAUUAGAAUAAAAUAAAUUAAAAUUAAAAUUAAAAUUAUUUUGAAUAUUAUGUAAAAAAUAAUGUUAAUAUCAUUGUUACUUGUAAAAUAUAUUUAGCCUAAAGAUUUAUUUAAAAUUUUAUAAUGAAUAAAAAUAUAAAAAUAAAUUAAAUAUCAUAGUUUAAAAUCUUAAUAUUAUUUUAAAUAUUAAAAAUACUUUAAUGUAUCUUAAUAUUAUUUUAAAUAUUAAAAAUACGUUAAUGUUAUUAUUCUACUACACAUGUUAUAUUAUUUAUAUUAUAUUUGUAUUAAUUAAAAAUUUUAAAGUCAACUUUCUAGUAACUAUAUUCAAAGGUAUUAUGGUUAAAUAAAGGUCUUAGUGUUUCUUUUUCAAAAUUUGAGGGUCUACAUGAUAAUUUUUCCAAACCCUAAGGUAUAGGAGUCCUUUUUGUCAAUAAUUUAUUUCACUUUUGAGAGAAUACGAUGAGAAAUAAGAUCAGAGAAAUGUCAAUUUAAUGUUCUCUAGCUUAAUGAAAAAAAAAUGGAAACCAAGAACUAUUCAAUUUUGUAUUUUUUGUUUGUAAUUCAAAAAAUCCAUCCGCCAAACAAGAUUCACGCAUUUAUGUUGUCAUAAAAUGAAAAAACAGUUUGUGAAAAAAUGGCACCAAACAUACCCUUAAUGUCCCACAUGAUUUCUUAUGAAGCCCAUAUUAGAUAUAUUUAUACAUUUUACUGCAUUUAGGACAUGUUUGAUAGCCUGCAUUAUAUAGGAUAAAAACAUAAUUUUGUAUUAAAUUAAUGCACACUCACGUUUGGCGCUAAAAGUAACUCCAGCCGCAUUGCAUUAAUGGGCUGCUACUGCGGCAAUUGCCGCACUAGCUUGCCUCUUUUUCUUUUUAAUUUUAUUUAUAAUAAUAAUAAUAAUAAUAAUAAUAAUAACAUAAUAUAACUUUUAUUUUAAUAUAAUAUUAAGUAUAAUUUUUAUUUUUACAUUAUAAUUAUUGAUAUAAAUUAAUAAAUUUAUUAUUUAUUAUUCAAUAAUAUUAUAUUAUUAUUUUUUUAUUUUUACAUUAUAAUUUAUUAGUAAAUUUAUAAUUUAAUAUAAUUAAUGAUAAUAGAAAAUAUCAUUACAUGUACUACAAAACUCUUACUUGGAUUAUUUAACACAAUUUAUUUUAUUCGUGAAUAUGUUAUAACAAUUGUAUCACUUUAUUGUUUUGUUAUUAUUUUGUGGUAUGUAUAAAUUUUUAUUCUAUUAUUCAAAGAUGACUUUUGAACUAAUCUUAUAGGUUUUAACUAUUUAUUUAUGUUGUUAUAUUAUUAGAGAUUAUUUGAUUAAAUUAUUUGCUUCGAUCUUUAUUUUACAGGUCAUAUAUUUAGAAAUUACUGAAAAAUAAAUGUUCUACUUCCAAAAAAUUUAAGGCUAUAAGCUCGAUCUUUAUGAAUAAUUGUGAUAUUUUUUAACAUUUACACUAAAAAAAUUGUUAAAUUUCUAAAAUUUAAGACUUCUAUAUUUAGUAUUUUUCCAAUUACUAAUAAGUAUUAUUUUCUAAAUAUAUAAUUUAAAUUAAUCACAAAAAAUUAAUACAGUACAGUGCAAUAUCAAAUAUAAUAUAAUUAAAAAUUAUACAGUACAAUGUAGCACCAAAUAUUGUACAAUAUUAUUAUAAAAUAGUACUGAUGCAAUACAAUAUAAUACAAUAUAGUGUGCCAAACGCACCCUUAGAGUGUGUUUGGAACAUGGGAUUAUAGGGUAUUAAAACACUGUUCACAUUAGCUUAAUACCAAUAUCAUGUUUGGAAAGAAAUUUUAAGGGAUUAAAGGGGGGUGAGCUAAUGCCAUAACUGCGCCAUUAGUGUCUUGGUUUUUUUUUAAAUAAUAAUAAAAAAUAUAAAUUCCUAAUUUUAUGUAAUAUUAUAUAAUAUUAAUUUUUAUUUUCUUUGAUCUUUACAUUAUAGUAAUUAAUAUAAGUUAAUAAAUUUAUAAUUUAUUAUUCAUAUUUUAAUUUUUAUUAUAUUAAAAAUAUAACUAAAUAAUUUAAUUUUAAUUAUAUAAUAAUUAAUGUAUAAAAUUGAUUAAUAUUUAAUAAGUUAAUACAACUAGUAAUAAGUGCUUAAAUAAUAUAUAAAAAUAAAAAUAUAACAUAAUAUUACAUUAUUUAAUUAUAUUACAAUAACUAAUAUAUAAAAAUUGAUUAUUAUUUAACAAUUUAAUAUAGCUAAUAAUAGAUACUUAAAUAAUAAUUUAAUAUAACUAAUAAUGAAUAUUGAUAUAUGAAUAUAUUUAAAUAAUAUUAAUACCAAUAUAUAUAAUAAUAUAAAAUAUUAUUACAUGUACUGUAGUAUUCUUACUUGGAUUAUUUAGCGCAAUUUAUUUUAUUAGUGAAUAUGUUACAACUAUUGUAUCACUUUAUUAUUUAAAUUAAUCAAAAAAAUUAAUACAGUACAAGAUAGCACUAAACAUUGUAUAACAUUAUUAAAAUACAGUGUUAAUGCAAUACAAUAUAAGACAAUACAUCUAUAUUAAAAUAAAAUAAAAUAAUUUAAUUUAAUAUAAUACAGUAUGUCAAACGCACCUCGUAUAUUUUAAUUUCAAAAGAAGUUGGUCCUUCCGUUAUUUAUAAAAGAUAACUUUAUUUUCAGAUUACCACUAAACUCUGAAGUAGAAUUGGUGUAAUGUUAAGAGAGAGUAACACAGUUUUCCAUUACCAUCUUUGAAAAUAGAAAGAUAUGGAUCAGUGUAUUUAAGAGUUAUCGUGAAAAUCAUACAGUUCAAUUCCCUGACACAUAUAUUUAUGAGCAUAUGCCAAAAGAAUAAAUAGAUAGAAAGUAAAUUUACAAUCCUCACUUCCUCACAAUUGUUAAAAUGAAGAUGCAUUACAACUGUGAACUGUCACUAUUUUAGCCUUUUUUAUUUUUUACUUUUAGUUAUAGUGCGAUGGAGACAGUGAACAUCAAGGAUGAGAAUAAAAGUUAAAGAUGACCCACCCACUUUCUUUUUAAAGUGCUCUGCUCAAAGACAAACUUCCUCUGGCUAAUUAAUUUAGAUGUGAAGAGAGAAUAAAGUCCUAGAUGCCUUCUGAAAUUAGAAAUACAUUUUAUAUGCUUUAAUUAUGAUUAUUUGGUAGACUAUAGACCUAAAAGACAUGUUAGAUUAUAAAACAGUGCGAUUAAAAAAAAAAGAGUAUUUGUGACGUCAAAUAACAAUUGGUAACUAAAAUCCAAAAUAUUUGAGUUGUUAAAAGCAAAUAAAAAAAAAGAAGGUAAGAGUGAUGCAGAAACACAAUAUUAGCUUAUCUUGAUUUUCCCACUUUAUUCAUUCUCGAUGCUUUUCAAAACAAAUUCUUCUAAUCUUUCUGGUGUCUGCAGCCCCUUGUCACGGGACGAGAGGUUUCGAGCCCGUGCGGUACUCUCGCAUCCCAUACUGCGAGAGUAAACCUAGUGGAAGUGGCACAAUAUCGACUGGUUUCACCCUGUCUUGGGCUCAUCAGGAGAACGGCUCCAGUUCCCAACCAGUGUGUGAAGAGCUUCGCCUAAACCCCUCUUCAACGUUAAGUCCUUGACUAGCGACAAGCUCCCCAAACUCAACCAGGUUGGCCUGCCUGAACUCCAAGAAAUCUAGGAUCAUUGUAUUCCCCACACGACGCCCCUGAAGCACGUCUCCUACAAUCAGCACAACCCUUAUCGAUACCAGCGUACAAACGCAUAUCUUCGGCGUCACAAUUGCAGUCCGUGACACCCUGCUCUUGUUAUAAAACUCCACCCCAAAUCUACACUACAAACAAGUUGAUUGAAAUUAAACAAUUGCUUUUUGAAGUGGACCCAUUGAGUCGUGGUCAUUACUCGUCAUUGUCUAUUUUUUCUAUGAGCCAUUUAUUUUGAGCAAUAGUGAGCUUCUCUGAACUACUCCAAUUAUUGAUGUAACUCCAGUGGCUGCAUCCAUAGUUGAAUAUAUGACAGUAUUAGCUCUUAUUUGAGAAUAUAGGGGGAUCUUUCUUUGUUUCUUUGUUGCAGUGUUCUAGUUUAUAGUCUUGCUGUUAAUGAAUUCACUGAGGCAUUAUUAAUUUAAUUUCAGUGAAGUAAUUAUGGAUGAAAAAUAAAUAAAGGAUAACAGAAUAGAGCUGAAGUGCUGAAUCGGCUAUUAAAGAAAGUGUCACGUGAUCACAAUCACACUGAUGCACAACUCUCUCUAUGUACUCCAAAUUCAGCCAAACCAUACAUGCCUCAACAAAAUUAAACCGUAGUUCUCAUCACUACAGUAAAUGAAGCCCACAAAGACAGCUGAAAUGGAAAAUAUUGACUAUUGAAUGGAUCAAUGCUGAAUUACACUUGAAAUGGGAAGCUUGGCUGCGGUUACGAUGUUUCCCCCUCUGAUUUUUCUCCAAAACAAAUUCCGUUGUAAAUAAUAUUCAAUGUAGCAACACUUUAUUCAGCAAAGAAAAUACCUAAUUUUUCAACUAACAAAUUCUCUUGUCUAAACUAAAAAAACUCACAUCUCUCCAAUCUAUCUACAAAAUAUUGGAGAUGAGAGGUGAUUUGUCAACUCGAUAAAUAAAUUCAUGCAUAAUGUUACCAAUAAUGAUAAAUUACUUAAUAAUUCUUAUAAAGAAUCAUAAAUAAGGAACAUUAACCAUUUUACAGUCUAUUACAUAAGUAAGAUUAAUCUUAUAAUAAGUUAACUUAUAACGUAAUAAAUAUUUCAAUUCAUAAUUAUUUAAGAAGUCACUUAACAAUAAAAUAUUUUUUUAUUUAAUUGAUCAUGUCAUAUAACGUUAUCUAAACUCCUGACGAUAUUAUUAUUACUCACUUUUCUCAAAAAAACAUGACUAACGUUUAGAGAAAAGUCAUGCCUUUUAGAUAGAUAGAAUAUGAUUACAAGCUAUCCAUACUUUAUCUUACCAUGACAAAAUUGAUGGUGAUUAAAUCUAUUUUUAAAAUAGAUUUAAUGCACAAACAUGAUGACUUUUGCCAAAAAUUAGUUUCAGAAGAUAACUAAAUUAAGUUGCAAAGGAGCUUACUUCAAUUUCUAAGCUUUUCAAUCAUGAUUCCUCCAUGCCUUCCUCUGAUACCAUUUUGUUACGUGCCAACGUAAUUGACCUUGUAAUUGGUUUGUAUAAGGAAUGAAGCCCUUUCAAGAUCGUUUCUUUUGUGUCCAUAUUGUAGUAGACUAGUAGUCAAGUAAAUAAAGAGUGAAUAACUGAAUUUGGUCUAUUUCGAAGAAGACUAUGGCCUCCACACUACAAGAAAAUAGGCGAUAGAUAACGGGAAAUAACCGUCAUAAAAGGUGGUGUAUGACAGACAGUUUAUUCGUCAUCUAUGUCACUGUCAUUAAUUUAUGACAGAAUAUUUUCCGUCAUGAAUUCUUGAUGUUAUUUUACAAUCAUAUAUCCAUCACACAAUAUUUUAAUGAGAAAAAAUAAUUAAAUAAAAUUUGAAUUUAUUAAAAUUUUUGCUCUAUUUUUUAAUUUUUUGGCGGAAAAUUAAAUUGUCAUUUGUAAAUUUCUUAUUCAAUUUUGGUGGAAAAUUUUUUUAUGACAGACUUUAUGAUGUGUAUUUCCCAUCAUAAAGUUAAUUUUUUUAAAUUAUAUUGUGAUUAUAGUUUAUUUCUGAAUUCCUGUUUACAAAUUUAAUUAAUUAAUAAAAAAUGAAUAUUGUCAAAAAAUAAAAAAAUAAUAGUAACUAAAAUCCAUUCAAUCCAACAAAUUAAUUUCAAAAUAAAUACAUCUAAUAUUCAAUGUCAUUACCACUAAUACAUAAUAAAACAUCCCAAAUUAAAAAAAAGAAUGUCAAAAUAUAAAACAAUAGUUAAAUUCCAAUUAAAUUCCAAGAAAUGUAAUUCAAAUUCCGGACACCGAGCCAAGCUCCCCAGCAAAACUUCCAAAGAUUAAUGGAAAUAUUCCAAUAGCAAGACUUCCAGAAGCAAUACCCUCUUCCAGUGGCAAUACAUUGACUAAUCUUUGAAGCCAUGACUCCUCAAGCCAAUGCCAAAAAUGUGUGCAAAAUUAAUGCUCUAUCCACAAAAAUUUCAGUCUAUAUUGGUAAGAAGAAACAUGAAGAAACAAUUACCUCAGCAUCAUCGUCAUUGGAAGCCAAAUCAGCUGUAAAGACCACAAAAUGUUUGGUUAGAACUAGUGGAAGUCUUACUCUAAAACUUUUAAUUUUUGAAUUUCGAAAGAUCUAGUAAUGACAAAGAUUCUCAUAUCCAGUGACCAAGUUUUGAAAAUUAGAAUACGGAAUAACGUCAACUAAAUUCACUAAUAUAGGGUGCAUUUGAGAUUGAGGUUGGACAGCUGUAGCUUAAAAGCUACAGUAGUAAAGUGUUUGGUAAACACUAGUUGCUGUAAUUUAAAAACUAUGUUGAUAUGAUUUUUCACUUGUAUAAUGGAGAAUCUAUUUUUUUAAAUAAUUAUGUCAAAAUUAUUAUUUAAAAUUUAUAUUUACUACAUAUUAUUAAUUUUUGUUUCAUAGUCACAGUUUUUUUUCCACAGCAGUUGUAAAGCUACAUCACCUCAAUCCCAAACGCACCCUAAGCUAGAGGAAUCCCUAGUUGAUAUAGCACACAUGCACACAUGAUAUGCAUGCAUCAGAAUACACAAUAAUAAAUUAUCUCAAAGUCAAUAAGAAGCCAAAACUAGAGAUAAACCUUUAGCCACUAUAAGGAAGACUGAUAUUUGCAGUGUGAUUACAAUAAACAAACAGAAACUUCACUACCCAUAAGUAAAGCAAAAUAAAUAAAGGAUAAUAACUAACCAAGAAAUGGAAAAGCUCACAUUCUCUGAACACGCACCCCAAAAAGAAAGAAAGAAAUAAAUGUUCCCAUUGGAUCUGAAGCACAAGCAAUCCACUGACAUCCUUCUAUAAUUAGGUAAUUUAAAGGGGUUAAGCUCACAUCUUUUACGGAAGCAACAAGAGAAUUAACAACAUUCCAGAGGAUUUAGGGAAAAACCACGAGGCAAGAAAAAAGAAAGAUCCUUCUUCAAUCUAGAUAUCUUGACACUGCUCACCAUCUACAGCAGUCUGGGGCUUAAAAAGCAUGAUCUCUCCCCCCCUCUGGCACCAUUUUCUCUCAUGUGAAUCUGUCAUUGCCCGUAGAAACAAACCAGAACUGCAUAAAUUCUCUUAUCUUCCAGCAGCUUCUUUUCUCCAGAAAUAGGCACAACUAUUUGACAUGGAAACAAUUUAUCUAACAUGGCCACCUUUAAAGACAAAGACAUACUAAGGACAUGGUUUUAGAUACGGAUACAAGAAACAAUCACAAAAUGUAAAAUCUAUACAUAUGAUAUUAAUUUCCAAUGGAUACAGCACUUCAUUCUUUGACUUAACUUCAUUAGAUUACUAGGUUUGAUUAGGUUAUACACACAUUUAUUCAUUUAUGGUUUUCAACCUAUAAUCUACAUGCACUUAGAAUGAGAGGUACCUAUAAAAACAAGUUACCAGAAAACAAUACAGCUAGAAAACAUUAAAACAUUAAUCUAAGCAGUUCUAUAGGUUUAACUAACUGCAGGAAAAAACCGUUGAUUUUGUCCGUCGGAUUAUUGAGAUCCUAAUUCUGGUAAAAAGAAAAUGAGAUAAUAGAAAAUCAAAAAUUAAAUAGACACAAAAUGAGAAAUCAAGAUCAUACGGCAACUAAUAUAUAGCAUGGGCUGCAGCUAACAAGCAAUAUAAGCCAUGAUAUUAUGCCAGAUACAAAAUUUUGAGAUCCAAGAGAGAUCAAGAAGCAUGAAUAUUGAAAGAAGUGAGUGCAGAAGGAUAAGAAAUCAGGUUGAUAUUCUUCAUACUUUGGGUCAACACGUAGUGAUGCAAUAAACUUGUAAUUAGCUUCAAGUGUAUAGGCUACCAUGUCAACAUUUCCGAAAACACACAAGAUUGUGCUGGAUUCAUAUAUAGUACAUAUAUAAAAAAACAAUCUGCUUCUAAACUUCAUGAGAACAUCGAAUAAUGAACUUACAAUUUGAUCCCUCAUCAUCUUCAUCGCACCAUUUGUUCCAAUCAACCUUAAUGUAAGGUGCUGGUUUCUCUUCUGACUUGAGUAGCCUUUUCCACCAACCUUUCUCUUCUUUUUGCACCGAGCAUAUUAUGUUCCUUAAGCCAACUUUAGUCUUACAUUUCUGCACCACCAGCAACAAAAUUCAAAGCAUUACAAAAGAGGUAUAUUUAGCCGCUCUUGACUCGAGUGAGAGAACAGGAUAAACAGCCUAGGUAUAUCCACAUCCAUGUUAUGAGAUUAAUUAUGCAACAACUAACUUUAAUAUAAAGUUUGUGCUCCAACAAAGACUAAAAUGUUUGUAAUUGUUAUGCUUCCGGAGCUAAAAUGUUUCGCAAACACUCACUUUUACUCUGCAGCUAAUAUCUAGCACCCAGCCACACAAAGUCCGUAGUCUUUGUCUCAACUUUGUCUGAGGCCAAUGUAAAUCCAAUUUGCACAAGCUCUCUAUGCACCACAGCUCUUCUGGAAGCUUUCUCAAGUACGCACAAGGGUUGACAAUUAAGCUUUCAAGUUUUGGUAUUGCUCCAGCCCCCAUCGUCCACUCAUCUAGCCAAUACAUUGAUUUCAGGCGCAAAACCUUAAGUUCCGGAAAGCCACCCGAGCAAGCACAGGCCAGCUUUCUUCCUAAAUACAAGCUCUGCUUCAGUUUCAGCACUUGAAGGCGUGGAAGCUUUUUGAUAAGGAAAGGGAGCCACGGAGGUCAACAAAGGUUCAUAAGCCUAACUACAGAUACGAGGGCUUUGUUUGAACAUUCGUAAGUCUCAUGCAGCCAUGCAUGCGGUCAUGCAUGUUGCAUGCAAUACCAUGCAAGACUUAUUUACGCAUGGAUUAAAGAGUAGUCUGUUUCUAGUUUUUUAUUUAAGAUUGCUCAGUUAUUUAAAUUGAUUUUAGCCGUGAAUUGUGGCUACAAAUCCUUAGUAGUGUUUGUAUUAACUACUAUAAAUAAGCUCCAGCAAUUAAUAAAAGGAUUAUGCAAAAAAUUAUCUCAAAGUACUAUUCUUGGUCGUUUUCACCGUAAGUAGAACAACGUAAACUUAGCUAUUGUUGAACGUUUUUGAUUGGGACCUAUCACUUUUCCAGCCUUGGCAUGGGAUCCUCCAUUAGCUCAGUAUUUGAUAAGCUCAGUUGGGUCAGACUUGGAGGAAAUUGGUAUUCAGACAGGACCGUCCGUGAGAGCUUGCUUUCAUUCACCAGCUUCAAGCAUUCAAGUUUCUCUAGUUCGCAUAGGCUUUUGGAAAUCCCAGAUUGAUAGUAACUCAAAUCUCCAGACACUCUAAGAGUUUGAAGAUUAGGUAGUCUGCCCAAUAUAGCUGGAGUGCAACUACUAGGGUGUAAGGCUGAUAUGAAAAUGAGAUUUUUCAGAGAGCUGGAAUAAUUUUUUGGAGGCGCAGGCAGAGUGAUGCAACCGAAGUUUAAAUGCACGAGUUUUCGCAUCAUCCAAAUAUCCUCUGGUGAAUGAUCUAUGUAGCUUGAUGGCAUUUCUAGUGUUUGAAGGUUUAAAAGAGUGCAUAGCAGUGAAGGAAGGCAUUUGAGCGAGGGGAUAUUCAAUUUCAAAUACUUCAAAUGGAAAAAGUUUCUAAUCCGGGCGGAUAUUGGUCGAGAAUUGCAGAACCCAAGUUCAAUACCCCAAGGUGUUUGAACGUUUGACGAAAAUUCUCGCAAUCUAUCAGAGCGAGAUGAUCGCUUUCUGAACUGUGAUUCAGAAAAGAUUGGAGAUAGAUGUCAGGAUGUUCUAAAGAUAAAAACUGAAUCAGAUGUUCCAAAAUGAAGCACCGUUUAACAUUUGCCAGUGGUUCCUUUUCCCUUUCAUGCAUGCAGACAAAUUCCGUCUGCGCUGCCACCAAAAACAAUGGAGUACAUAAAAAACUUGGAACAUAACACGCUUUAAUUGUGCCUCCGGCUCUUCUCUUACUCACUUGAAUGAAGCCGCAAUAGAUUAGUUCUUUCAAAUAAUGCUCGGCAGUUUCUUCACUGUUGUAUGGUAUGAAACCUUCAGCUACCCACAAAUGAUAUAAUUGCCUCGUAGAUAUUUCAAUACUUGGACGAAAGACACACAAAUAGAUGCAGCAGACUUUCAAGUGAAAAGGUAACUCCAUCAAAGAAUAACUGUGUCUCUAAAUUGUCGGAAUCGCUACGCCUUGAACAUAAUUUUCUAAUGGCAUACUUCCAUAGUGUAGGAUGAAAAAUUGCCAGGCUUUAUGCUUUAAUCUGAUCAAUGGUCCUCCACUGAGCACUGAAUCAAACCGAAUCAUCUCUCCGUUUUCCAUGUCCAACAGCGUAAGGGGGCAUGGAUCAGUGACCAAUAUCAAUACUCUGCUUCCAUUCUGAUUGUCAGGAAGAACUUGUUCAAGAUCAUCCAAUACAUCGUCACUCUCUUCACAGUAAUCAUCAAGCACAAUAAAGUACUUCUUGUUUGUUAGGAAAUCUCGAAGAAUAGAUUUCUUCAAUUGAUAAUGUUCACCGAUAAUUACACUAACCCGAGAUGGAGGCAUCACAGACUUGAUUAUGUCAUCCAAUAUCUUGCCAAAAUCGUAGAGUACAGAAAUCCUGACCCAAGCAAGGCAGUCAGAGAAUUGCAACCACUGCAAGCCGAGGAUGUCCUUCAAUCAAUAAAUCAAACAACUCCUCUCUACCACUUUCAAAUUCGUUGAUAUCAAGCCGAGGUUUUCCCUCAAUCAAUAAGUGAAUGAGUUUGUCCCUUUGUUCAGUGAUUACGAAACCAUUGUCGCCGGGUGGAAGUUGUUGCAUCCGAUUUCUAAUAUCAAUAAUUUUACUGUGGAGUCCAACAAGAAGAGCCAUAUUAGUACUGCUUUCACUUUCUUCUUCACUGUUUUGCUGCUGCAUGAUGUUGAUGAAGAAUGUGUCAAUGGCUUCCUCAGAUUCAUGGACAAAGUCAUUGAUGUCCUUCACAAUUUCCAGAAUGUCUGAUCUUUUAACGUCUUCAUCGCUUUCUUGUAAAAAAGCCAAAUAUAUUUCGGAUUCAUCGAAUUCUCCUCUAAUGAGUUGAAACAAAAGCCGAGCCAUGUCAGCUUCAUAGUUUCCCACCAGAGUAGUAGCAAUGAUUUCUGACUCCGUAAGAAGGUUCUGAAAAAGUGGAGUCAAAUUUGUUCAAUCAGGCAACGUUAACGCGCCUUCUUCACCUGCUAGCACCCUUUUCAACCUCUCACAAAAUAGUCGGAGGUUCACGUCCACCAUAUCUCCUUCCCUCCGUAGCACUCAGAGAAGAUUGGUCCUAUCUCAAAGUGGUUAGUGCUGUAAAAUUAAACACCAUGGAAGAAUUUGAAAGGAAUAUGCCAAGAAACUGGCCAAGUGGCUAAAUUCCACAAAUAUGACAUUAUUGCUCAUUUUCUCUCAGACACGUGAUACACGUUGAUUUAGAGGAAAGUUCAAGAAUUUUGCUUUAAAAAAAAAAAUUGAUGGUGCUUAAAUUAUUAUUUUUUUAAUUUAAAGAGUUUUGCUUUUAAAAAAAAAUUAAUAUCAAAAUGCCUUCAAUGUUAUUACUGCCACAAGCCCAGUAACAAAACUCAUUAAAAAUUUUAGAAUUUCUGGCCAUGGAAAGAGUAGUAUUAAACAUCAGAAAGCAAAGGUUGUUCCGUUAAAGAAUUGAUGUUGACAUAAUUUUAUUUUGGUUUUCGGGAAAAAAAAAAUAUUUGUUGGCAAGCAAAGAAAAUAAUUUUAUACUUUACAAUCUGCUAUACAUAUUUUAUCAUAUUAAAGUAAUUUUAAUAUCUAUCAAAAAAAUAAAUUUAAUAAUAAUUGGAACAUAAUAUUACAAUAAAUAAAUUAAAAUUAUUUUAAAUAUUAGGAAAAAAAUAUUAUUAAUAGGAAGAUAUUUUGUUAAUUGUAAAAUCCUUUUAUUCCAAAUAUUUUAUUUAAAUUUUUUAUAAUAAAUAAAAAUAUAAAAUUAAAAUAAAUAUCAUAAUUUAAAUUUUUUAUAUUAAAAAUAUUUUAAUGUUAUUAGUCUACUACAUAAAUUAUAUUAUUUAUAUUAUAUUCGUAUUGAUUAAAAUCUUUUAAAGUUAAUUUUAUAGUUACUAUAUCCACAGGGUAUUAUAUUAUAUUUAAGAGUAAUUUUUUCAAAUUUUAGGAUUGCAGAUGUCCUUCUUCCGAUAAUUUAUUUCACUUUUGAGAGAAUCCAAUGAGAAAUAUGAUAAGAGAUGGUCAGUUUAAUGUUCUCUGCCUUUAUGGAAAAAAAGUAAAAAGUAAAAACUAUUCAAUUUUGUACUUUUUGUGUCCACCAAAUAAAUUUUACACAUUUAUGUUGUCAUAAAACGAAAAAAAAGGGUUUGCCAAAAAAUGGUACCAAGCAUACCUUUAAUGUCCCACGUGAUUUCUUAUUAAGCCCAUAUUAUAUAUAUUUAUACAUUUUAUUGCAUUAAACAUUUUUAUUAUAAAAGAAGUUGGUCCUUCCCCUAGUGAUAAAAGAUAAAUAUGAUAAUGUUUGAGAUGGGUUUAGUCUUUUAUAUUUGCUGAGUCCAGUGGGUUAAAGAAUUAGAGUAAAGCAUCUGGGCAUUCUUUCAUGCAAAACUAAAAAUCCUGAAAAUAGUUGGCUUUAACUGAUUAAGACAAGCUUGGUCGAAUUGAGUUGAACUUCAUAUAUAAAAGCCAAAUAUAUUGCGGAUUCAUCGAAUUCUUCUCUAAUGAGUUGAAACAAAAGCCGAGCCAUGUCAGCUUCAUAGUUUCCCACCAGAGUAGUAGCAAUGAUUUCUGACUCCGUAAGAAGGUUUUGAAAAAGUGGAGUCAAAUUUGUUAAAUCAGGCAACGUUAACGCGCCUUCUUCACCUGCUAACACCCUUUUCAACCUCUCACAAAAUAGUCGGAGGUUCACGUCCAGCAUAUCUCCUUCUCUCCGAGAAACUGUGUAAGUGGCUAAAUUCCAGAAAUAUGACAUUAUUGCUAUUUUUUUAACUCAAAAAAAUGGUACGCGUUCAUUUAGAGAAAAGUUCAAGACGCGCGCCUUUUGAAAAAUGGUACCCGUUCAUGUAGAGAAAAGAACAGGUAUCCCAAUCGGUAUCCAACCUUUAUCUUCUUUAAUUACCACCACGACAUGAUUUUUUUUUUUUUUUUUUGAUGACAUGAGACUAUUGCUUAAAUUACAACUCAAAUUACAACUCAUAUUACAUGAGAGUAUAAUUGAUAUGUACAAUCAUAUAUACAUACUGAGAUCUAUUGACAUUAAUGCUGAUAUGACACUGCUCAGAUUUUUGUAACCCUCUCAAAUAUUCGAGGGACGUCAAACUCCUAUCCUGGGAGAAAGACUGCCUUCACUCGAGCUCUGUGGCUCCAAGGAAGGAAAUAUAAAUUAAACCUCUACAAUGCGACUGCGGAGGCUCGAACCCCUUCCCUCACAUAUGUGAGGGAGUGGCUCUAGCCACUUGGGCUAGCCCAAGUGGUUCCACGACAUGAUUGAUGGUGCUUAAAUCAAUUGUUUCUUUUUUAAUUUAAAGAAAUUUUCAUUAAAAAAAUAUUUUAAUAUCAAAUACCCUUCAAUGGCAUAACUGCCGCAAUCCCAGAAACAGGAUUAAAUAUUUUUUUUUUUUUGAAUUUUUGGGCAUGGAAAGAGCAGUAUUAAAAAUCAGAAAGCUAAGGUCGUUCUGUUAAAGAAUUGAUAUUGACAUAAUUUUUUUUUGGUUUUCGGGGGAAAAAAAAAAUUGUUGACAAGCAAGAAAAUAUUUUUAUAUUUUACAAUUUAUUAUACAUAUUUUUUUUUUUUGGAUCAAUAAUGGGCUCUAAAAGAGCUAAAGCACCAGUAAACGGGAGUGGGCAACCCCAGACACAUCGUUAUGAAGAAUACUCUGUAAAUUAGGAGGAGCAACAGUAAGUAACUGCAAUCCUAAAGGACAAGACAAAUUAAAUGAGGCCAGAAAAUCUGCUGCUAUGUUUGCUUCUCGAUAGAUGUGGUUCACUUUCACGACCCAGUCCCUGCUGAUCAGCUCACGAAUGGCAAGGAUAAGAGAAUGAUGCUCAUUAACAGGAGUGGUCGGAUUCUCCAAGAUUUGAGAUUUAUUAUACAUAUUUUAUCUUAUUAAAGUAAUUUUAAUAAUAAAUAGAAACAUAAUAUUACCAUAAAUAAAUUAAAGUUUAACUUAUUUUGAAUAUUAUAAAAAAUAAUUUUAAUAUUAUUAAUAGGAGGACAUUGUAUUAAUUUUAAAAUUUUUUAACCCAAAGGUUUAUUUAAAAUCUUUAUUAUAAAUACAAAUAUAAAAUUAAAUAUAAUAAUUUAAAAUUUUUAAUAUUAUUUUAAAUAUUAAAAAUAUUUUAAUGUUAUUAGUCUACUACAUAGAUCAUAUUACUUAUAUAAUAUUUGUAUUAUUAAAAAUUCUUAAAAUCAAAUUUUUAGUUAGUAUAUUUAUGAGGUAUUAUGGUUAAAAAAAAAACCUUAUUAUUACUUUUUAAAACAUUGAGGGCCUGCGUGAUAAUUUUUUCAAAAAGAAAAUGCUUGGUAUCUAGGAGGGUUAGAGAAACAGGACUACCAAAAUCUCUCACCCUUUUUUAAUUAAAAAAAAUUAAAAUAUCAAUAAAAAAAAUAAAGAAAAUAGAAUUUUAUCUGCUCCUUACUCCAUUUUUGUAACUCUCUCACCAUCUCUGUCGAGCAGCCCUCUCUUUCACUGUCUCUCACUAUUUCACAAUCUCUCUCUCACUCACACAGUCCUUUAGAAAAGCCCAAAAUAGGCCCAAUAAGCCCAUAAUUAAAAUAAUCGAAUCGAAUUAUUUCAAUUAAUCGAGUAUUUGAUUAUUUCGGUAAUUUGAUUAAUCGCGAUUAUGAUUUUAAAAUAAUCGUAAUCGAACGAUUAUGAAAAAUUUAGUAAAAAACCGAAUUGAACCGAACCGCACCCACCCCUACAUAAAAGAACAACAAUUACUUGUCAUUUUCAAUUUUUUCUAUAAGCUAUUUAUUUUGAGCAUUAGUGAUCUUGUCUGGACUACUCCAAUUAUUGACGUAACUCCAGUGGCUGCAUCCACUGGAAAAAGUGGAUGAGAACAUUUUUUUUUUUCAUAAAGGUAACUACUCCAAUUAUUGACAUAAUUGAUGGUGCUUAAAUCAAUUUUUUUUUUUAAUUUAAAGAAUUUUGCUUUAAAAAAUAAUUAAUAUCAAAAUGCCUUCAAUGUUGUUACCGCCACAAGCCCAGUUAGAGGACUCAUUAAAAAUUUUAGAAUUUUUAGGCCUGGAAAGCGUAGUAUUAAACAUCAGAAAGCAAAGGUUGUUAUGUCGAAGAAUUGAUGUCGACAAAAUUUUAUUUUAGUUUUCGGAAAAAAAAAAAAAUUUGUUGACAAGCAAGAAAAUAUUUUUUAUACUUUACAAUCUGCUAUACAUAUUUUAUCAUAUUAAAGUAAUUUUAAUAAUAUAUGGAAACAUAAUAUUAUAAUAAAUAAAUUAAAAUUACUUUGAAUUAUUGAAUAUUACAAAAAGAUAAUUUUAAUAUUAUUAAUAGGAAAACAUUUUUAAUUGUAAAAUCUUUUUAAUACAAAAAUUCAUUUAAAAUCUUUAUAAUAAAUACAAAUAUAAAAUUAAAAAAAUAUCAUAAUUUAAAUUUUUUAAAAUUAUUUAAAUAUUAAAAAUACUUUAAUAUUAUUAGUCUACUACAUAAAAUAUAUUAUUUAUAUUAUAUUCGUAUUGAUUAAAACGUUUUAAAGUCAAAUUUUUAAUUAGUGUAUUCAAAGAUACAAAAGAUUUUAGUAUUAUUUUUAAAAAAUUUCAGGAUAUGAAUGAUAAUUUUUUCAAAUUUUAAAGAUGUAAGAAUCUUUUUUUCUGAUAAUUUAUUUCACUUUUGAGAGAAUCCGAAAACGUUAAUUUAACAUUCUUUACCUUUGUGAAAAAAGUGAAAAUCAAGAACUAUUCAAUUUUGUUUUUAUUUGUAAUUCAAAAACUUUAUUCAUUUUCGAUGCUUUUCAAAAGAGACUCCUCUAAAUCCUUUUGGUGUCUGCAGCUCCUGCAAUUCUCAUAAAUCUCCAUCCCACAUCUACACUAUCAAACAAGUUGAUGGAAAUUCUUAUCAAAAAAAAAAAAAAAAACAAGUCGAUGGAAAUUGAUCAAUUACUUUUUGAAGUGGACCCAUUGAGUCAUGUUCAUUUCUGGUCAUUGUCUACUCUUUCCAUCAGCCAUUUAUUUUGACCAUUUGCGAUCUUAAAGGAUAUGAGAACGUAGCUGAAGUGCUGAAGGGGCUAUUAAAGAAGAGUGUCACUUGAUCACAAUCACAUUGAUGCACAACUCACUCGUGGCAAAUUUCGACUAUACGUUCUGCAAAUUCAGCCAAACCAUACAUGCAUGAACAAAACUAAAAUGUAGUUCUAAUCACAACUGCAGUUAUAAUGUUUACCCCUCUGAUUUUUCUCCAAAACAAAUUCAGUUCAAAACAAUAAUUAAAUAGCCACAUUUUGUUCGUCAAAAUAAAUGCCCAAAUUUUCAAUUAACAAAUCAUCUUCUCUAAACUAAAAAUCCCACAUCUCUAAAAUCAAUCUACAUAAUGUUGGAGAUGAGGGGUGAAUUGUUAACUCAGUAAAAAAAACUCAUGCAUAAUAUUACUAAUAAUAUAAAAUAUAUAUUAAUCAUUAUAAAGAAUCAUAAUUAGAAAAAUUAAUCAUUUUAUAAUUUAUUACACAAGUAAGAUAAAUCUCAUAAUAAGUUAUAACAUAAAAAAAACGUUAUCAAUAUAUAAUCAUUUAAGAAGUCAUUUAACAAUAAAAUCGUUCUUUAAUCAGUUGGUCAUGUCACAUAGUGUCAUCUAUAUUUACGGUGAUAAUAUUAUUACUCAGUAUUAUCAAAAAACAUGAUUUAACAUUUAGAGGAAAUUCUUGCCUUUUAAAAAAAACAUGUAUGCAACAACUACCCAUGCUUUAUCUUACCAUGACAAAUAUUUUCUCAAUGAAAGAAAAUUUUUUAAAAAUUGAUUUAAUGCACAAAUAUGAUGAUUUUUCCAAAAAUUAGUUUUGGAAAACAUAGUGAGAGAAAAUAGUGACGAUUAUUGUUUAGAUGUAUAAAUAGCCUAAACAUAAUCCUUAAUACCAAUAUCCUAAUGCAUCUUAUCAUCUUUCAUGAUAUUCUUUCAUUUAUGUCCAUUGGUUCAAGAUUUGAAUUUGAUCAUUAAAUCAUGUUCAAUAAUAUUAGAGAUUCUAACAAAUGAGUACCAACUUAAAUCCCAAUGUUAUGUGUCAUUGACCAAUUUUGUGUCAUUUUGUUAUUAACUAGGUGAUGAAUUUGUAGUUGAUAAAAUCACUUAAAAAUAUCUUAAAAAUCAAACAAUAGUUUGCUUAAUUUUUCCAAGUUAACUGCUCAAGAUGCUCUAUUAUAAAUAAUAACCUAAUUAUAUUCAUAAAAAAUGAUAUUUUUUUUGUGGUGUUGAUAAUGAGAUUAUCAUUCAACAUUUUAAAAUGUGAAAACAUAUGGAAGAUGGUUGUAAAUUGAUUGAAUGAAAACAUUUCAGUGAAGUCUCAAAAAUUUGGUACUUGUUGUCUUAUCGAAAGUUUUCUAAAUUAUAUUCGUGGCACAGCCACUAUCCAAACCAUACAAGUCCAAAGCUAUCCAAACCAUACCUGCAAGUCCGGGGCUUAAAUGGAGUACUUCUAAGCAAAAAAACAUUGACUAAAAUAGAAUAUAUACAUACAGACACACAUACAUACCAGCAUAUUCAAAAUAGCAAAAGGAGUGCAAAAGUUCAAGUUUGUAGACAACAUUGCAACCAUAGCAUGUUUAUAGCAAAUCCUCAAAAUCUGCUAAAUAAAACAAUGCCCUGUCUCAUGAAUCAAUGCUGAAUUAAAAUUGAAACUGAAAGUCUGGAUGGUUUUGUUUGUUGAGAAUGUCAAAUAAAACGGCAUUGAAGGAAGUUUUCAAAGGCAGAAUCCGCACUUGUCAAAGGGAUGAUCUGCACUUGUCAAAGACACUAUCCGCGCCGAACGGAUCGACACAUUUCCUUCCGUAUUCACAUAUGUAAUCUUUGAAAAAAUAUAGCUUCUGCAUCUAUAAAUAACGCUCAGUGUAUAAUGUUUUAUUCAAGAAAUAAAAACAAGUUUCUACAUGGUAUCAGAGCCAUGAAUGCGCUCAAGUUUCUUCAAGUUUCGCUGCUCUGUUUGUCACAAAAACAGAGGAAACCAAUUAAAUUCGUCCCACAACCAUUUUUUCCACCAUUUUCUUCCUUAAAAUCAUUCCUAACAUUACAGAAAUCCAUGCCGAUCAAAAAACAUGAAAGACAAAUUACACAUGUGCAGUAACCAAUGAUCAUAUUUCGUUACUGUCAAACACAAUGCAUCUGAGCAAAACAUUGGAAGCCAACACCAGAAUACAUAUGAAUAAACAAUUAAAGAUAGAGAAAAAAGGCUUAAACCUUGGGGGGAAAAAGUGAAAAAACAUGAAAGACAAAUUACACAUGUGCAGUAGCCAUCGAACUUAUCAGUGACAGCUGCAUCCAUUACAUUGCUCCAACAACACAAUGGCAAACCACCAGUUUCAAAUUGAGGAUAGCUAUCGAGAAUGAGAAAGUGUCCAAAACGUCAUAAAUAGACAUGUUCCGAUUGUGCAUAAUUUACAUUAUAGGCAAAUAUUCUUAUACCAUCAAAGGCAAAACAUGACACUAACAAUUGAUCACCCCCCCCCCCCCCCCCCCAACAACAAAAAAAAGGAAAAAAACAAUACAGAAAAGAUUGAAACAGAUAAGGCUACACUGAGCACAGGAUGCCAUGAAACAUAAUCCAGGAACCAAAUUAAUAAAAAAGGAAGCCAAACCAUUAUUUAACAAUCUGUUUUGUAUUUGGGAAAGUCUGAUAAAAUCUACUUGGGGAUAAUUAGAGAACCUCAACUAUUAAUCACACCUCAUAAAUGAACUAACAUUAAACAUCUACCAUCCCAACGUCACACAAACAUUCUCUACACUUCUGAACCUAAUACUUCCAUCUUCAAUUGGGGUUUUUUUUUCUUUUUCUUUGGGGGGGGGGGGGGGGGGGAUUGAAAUGCUGAUUUCGAAUCACUAACAGUAAAAUUGGAAGCUCAUGAAAAAAUAGUUUUAUCUCAAAAUUACAUCUCGAUAUAAAUUCUCUUUUCAUUUCCUUCAACUUUCUAAUUAAGCUUAAAAAAUGUACCUUCAACCACAAAGGGGUUUAAAAUUUAAAAUAUAAAAAAUAAAUUCAGAUAACAAUAAUUAAUUUAAUUAAAAAUAUAAAUAGAGUUACAGAGAAAGAGAAAAUAGAGAAAGACGUAAUGUUGAGUCCUUUGGCGCAAGUCUCUUCAUAGGUCCGAACCAUUUCUUCGGGCGUGGGUUUCGGGUCUUUAGGAUACUCCAUAGUGAUAAGCCAGUGAUUGUAAUCGCAACCCUCGAACAGAAUCGUGUCGGGUGUGAUCUCGUCGCCGUCCUUAUACAAGUGGUACGUCUUGUUAACCGACGGCGUAGACGAGAGGGAGAUCGUCGGGGACGAUCUGAACGGCCGAGAUUGGAUAAUGAUGGAGGAGGAGAAGAUUAGCGAUGACGACGCCGAUGAAAUGGAAGGGUUUACCAGAGGAGUGGAUGCGAAGAAUGCAGGGACGGCCGCAAAGAGAGAGCGGCGGAGAGCGGCGACGGACGGUAGUGACCAGCGGAGGCGGAAAAUGGCGGUAUGGGCCAUUGCUUGCGCGUCGGUGAGUGUCUCGAGUGAGAGAGUGAAGGGUUUUGGGAAAUGAAAAAUGCAAAUGUUUGAUUUUGUUGCUAGAAACUUCUUCUGCCGCUGCCUUUUAUUUUCGCUAUAAUAAUAAUAAUUUGUUAAUCAAAUAUUUUCUUAAAAAAGAUAAAUUUCUACAACAAAAUUUAUAUUAAAUCAAAUUGUAAAAAUGUCUAUUAGGGUUAAUUUCUCCUUAAUAUUAUUAUUAGUAGAUGUAGAUUUUCGAAUUAGUCUUGAUAUAUUUCAGAGUUGUAUUAUAAAUGUAUAUGUAUCUGGAUUGCAAUUAUAUUUUUAAAAAAUAUAAUUUUUUUAAUUAUUGCACAAUAAAUGUAAAUAGUAUCUAUAAAAUAAUAUUAUUAGGACUACGAAAAAAAUAUUAUUUUAGAGAAGUUAUUUAUUUAUUAUUGAAUGAAUAAAAAAAUUAGUUUGGCAUUUUUAUAACCUCCUUGAAGGUUUUACGAUAAACAUAAAUCUACUGAGAAAGUGGGAAAAAAAAAAGAAAAUGCAUAUAAAAGUAUGAGUUAUCAGAUAAGAUUAAAACUCACCCAAUUCAAUCCAUCAGAUUCCGUAAGGAUAUAACUGGAUGUCAUACCGCCACUCCAUAUCCUCGAAAGUCCGUAGUCCUUGUCUCAACUGUGUCUGAGGCCAGUGUAAGUCCAAUUUGCGCAAGCUCUUUAUGCACCACAGCUCUUCUGGAAGCUUUCUCAAGUAAGCACAUGGGUUGACAAUUAAGCUUUCAAGUUUCGGCAUUGCUCCAGCCCCCAUCGUCCACUCAUCUAGCCAAUACAUUGAUUUCAGGUGCAAAACCUUAAGUUCGGGAAAGCUACUCAAGCCAACACAAGCAAGCUUUCUUCCUAAAUACGAGUUCUGCUUCAGUUUCAGCACUCGAAGGCGUGGAAGAUUUUCCAGAAUUGGCAUGGGAUCCUCCAUUAGCUCAGUAUUUGAUAAGCUCAGUUGGAUCAGACUUGGGGGAAAUUGGUAUUCAGACAGGACCAUCCGUGAGGGCUUGCUCUCAUUCACCAGCUUCAAGCAUUCAAGUUUGUGGAGUUCGCAAAGGCUUUUGGAAACCCCAGAUUGAUAGUAACUCAAAUCUCCAGAUAUCCGAAGAGUCUGAACACUAGGUAGUCUGCCCAAUAUAUCAGGAGUACAACUGCUACGGUUUAAAGCUGAUAUGAAAAUGAGAUUUUUCAGAGAGCUAGAAUAAUUUUUUGGAGGUGCGGGCAGAGUGAUAGAACCAAAGUUUAGAUGCAUGAGUUUUUGCAUCAUCCAAAUAUCCUCUGGUGACUGAUCUAUGUAGCUAAAUGGCAUUUCUAGUGUUUCAAGGUUUAAAAGGGUGCAUAGCAGUGAAGGAAGACAUUUGAGCGAAGGGAUAUUCAAUUUCAAAUACUUCAAAAGAUAUAAAUUUUCUAAUCCGGGCGGAUAUUGGUCCAGGACUGCAGAACCCAUGUUCAAUACCCGAAGGUGUUUGAACUUUUUACAAAAAUUCUCGCAAUCUAUCAGAGCGAGACGAUCGCUUUCUGAACUGUGAUUCAGAAAAGAUUGGAGACGCAUGUCAGAAUAUUCUAAAGGAAAGAAGUCAAUCAGACGUUCCACAAUGAAGCACCGUUUAACAUUUGCCACUGAUUCCUCUUCCAUGUCAGGCGUCCAGACAAAUCCCGCCUUCUUUGCCAGAAAAUACAAUGAAGUGUAUACAAAACUUGGAACAUAACACGCUUUAAUUGUGCCGCCGGCGCUUCUCUUACUCACUUGAAUGAAGCCGCGAUGGAUUAGUUCUUUCAAGAAAUGGUCGGCAGUUUCUUCACCGUUGUAUGGUACGAAACCUUCAGCUACCCACAACUGAUGUAAUUGCCUCCUGGAUAUCUCAAUACUUGGAGGGAAGACACACAAAUAGAUGAAGCAGACUUUCAAAUGAAAAGGUAACUCCAUCACAGAAAAAAUUUGUCUCCAAACUGUCGGAAUCGCUUCGCCUUGAAGAUAAUUUUCUAAUGGCAUACUUCCAUAGUGUAGGAUGAAAAAUUGCCAGGCUUCAUGCUUUAAUCUGAUCAAUGGUCCUCCAAAGAGCACUGAAUCACGCCGAAUCUUCUCUCCGUUUUCCAUUUCCAACGACGCAAGGAGGUCUGGAUUAGUGACUGUUAUCAAUACUCUGCUUCCAUUCUGCUUAUCAGGAAGAACUUCUUCAAGAUCAUCCCAUAUGUCACUGUCAUUGAAGACAUCAUCAAGCACAAUAAAGUACUUCUUGUUUGUCAGGUAAUCUCGAAGAAUAGAUUUCUUCAAGCGAUAAUCUUCACUGAUAAUUACCCUAGCCCGAGAUGGAGGCAUCAAAGAAUUGAUUAUGUCAUCCAAUAUCUUGCCAAAAUCGUAGGCUAUAGAAACCCUGACCCAAGAAAGACAGUCAAAAUAGAACUUGACAUGGUUAUUAUUGUAAGUAUCUGCAGCAAAAGCAGUCUUAUCGAAGCCACUGCUGUCGAGAAUUGCAACCACUGAAAGCCCAGAUGGUCCCUCAAUCAAUAGAUCAAAAAACUUCUCUCUGCCCCUUUCAAAUUCACUGAUAUCGAGCCGAGGUUGUCCCUCAUUCAAUAGGCGAAUGAUUUCGUUACUUUUUUCACUGAUAUCAAAACCAUUGUCGCCGGGUGGAAGUUGUUGCAUCCGAUUUCUAAUAUCAAUGAUUUUAGUGUGGAGUCCAACAAGAAGAGCCAUAUCAGUACUGCUUUCACUUUCGUUUUCACUGUUUUGCUGCUGCAUUAUGUUGAUGAAGAAUCUGUCAAUGGCUUCCUCAGAUUCAUGGACAACGGGAUUGAUGUCCUCCAGAAUUUCCAAAAUAUCUGCUGUUUCAACGUCUUCUUUAUCGCUUUCUUCUAAGUCCAACAGUUGCAAAAAAGGCAAUGAUAUUUUGGAGUCAUCGAAUUCUUCUCUAAUGAGUUGAAACAAAUGCCGAGCCAUGUCAGCUUCAUAUUUUCCCAGCAGAGUAGUAGCAAUAAUUUCGGACUCCGUAAGAAGGUUUUGAAAAAGUGGAGUUAAAUUUGUUGAAUCAGGCAAAGUUAACGUGCCUUCUUCACCUGCUAACACCCUUUUCAACCUCACACAAAACAGUCGGAGGUGGAGUUCCAGCAUAUCUCCUUCUCUCCGCAGCACUCAGAGGUAUAGUUGAAAGAUUAAACACCAUGGAAGAAUUUGAAAGGAAUAUGCCAAGAAACUGUGUAAGUGGCUAAAUUCCACAAAUGCGGCAUUAUUGCUCAUUUUUAACUCAAAAAAUUGAUACGCGUUCAUUUAGAGAAAAGUCCAAGACGCGUGCCUUUUGAAAAGAACAGGUAUCCCAAUCGGUAUCCAACCUCUAUCUUAUUUAAUUACUAUCAUGACAUAAUUGAUGGUGCUUAAAUCAAUUGUUUCUUUUUUAAUUUAAAGAAUUUUUCAUUAAAAAAAUAUUUUAAUAUCAAAUUGCCUUCAGUGGCGUAACUGCCUCAAGCCCAGUAACAGGACUAAUUAAAGAUUUUACAAUUUUUGGGCAUGGAAAUAGUAGUAUUAAAUAUUAGAAAGGUGAGGUUGUUCUGUUAAAGAAUUGAUCUUGACAUAAUUUUAUUUUGGUUUUCGUGGAAAAAUAAAAUUUGUUGACAAGCAAGAAAAUAUUUUUAUAUUUUAAAAUUUAUUAUGCAUAUUUUAUCAUAUUAAAGUAGUUUUAAUAAUAAAUAGAAACAUAAUAUUACGAUAAAUAAAUUAAAAUUUAACUUAUUUUGAAUAUUAUAAAAAAAAUUUUAAUAUUAUUAAUAGGAAGACAUUGUAUUAAUUUUAAAAUUUUUUAACCCAAAGGUUUAUUUAAAAUCUUUAUUAUAAAUACAAAUAUAAAAUUAAAUAUCAUAAUUUAAAAAUUUUAAUAUUAUUUUAAGUAUUAAAAAUAUUUUAAUGUUAUUAGUCUACUACAUAGAUCAUAUUACUUAUAUAAUAUUUGUAUUAUUAAAAAUUCUUAAAAUCAAAUUUUUAGUUAGUAUAUUCAUGAGGUAUUAUGGUUAAAAAAAAAAAAGACCUUAUUAUUACUUUUUAAAAAAUUGAGGGUCUGCGUGAUAAUUUUUUCAAAAAGAAAAUGCUUGGUAUGUAGGAGGGGUAGAGAAACAGGACUCCCAAAAUCUCUCACCCUUCUUUAAUUAAAAAUAAAUAAAAUAUUAAUAAAAAAUAAUAAAGAAAAUAGAAUUUUAUCUGCUCCUUACUCCAUUUUUGUAACUCUCUCACCAUCUCUGUCGAGCAGCCCUCUCUUUCGUUGUCUCUCACUAUUUCACGAUCUCUCUCUCACUCACACAGUCCUUUAAAAAAGCCCAAAAUAGGCCCAAUAAGCCCAUAAUUAAAAUAAUCGAAUCGAAUUAUUUUAAUUAAUCGAGUAUUUGAUUAUUUCGGUAAUUUAAUUAAUCGCAAUUAUGAUUUUAAAAUAAUCGUAAUCGAACGAUUAUGAAAAAUUUAGUAAAAAAACCGAACUGAACCGAACCGCACCCACCCCUACAUAAAAGAACAUCAAUUACUUGUCAUUUUCAAUUUUUUCUAUAAGCUAUUUAUUUUGAGCAUUAGUGAUCUUGUCUGGACUACUCCAAUUAUUGACGUAACUCCAGUGGCUGCAUCCACUGGAAAAAGUGGAUGAUAACAUUUUUUUUUUUUUCAUAAAGGUAACUACUCCAAUUAUUGACAUAAUUGAUGGUGCUUAAAUCAAUUUUUUUUUUAAUUUAAAGAAUUUUGCUUUAAAAAAUAAUUAAUAUCAAAAUGCCUUCAAUGUUGUUACCGCCACAAGCCCAGUUAGAGGACUCAUUAAAACUUUUAGAAUUUUUAGGCCUGGAAAGCAUAGUAUUAAACAUCAGAAAGCAAAGGUUGUUAUGUCGAAGAAUUGAUGUCGACAAAAUUUUAUUUUAGUUUUCGGAAAAAAAAAAUUUGUUGACAAGCAAGAAAAUAUUUUUUAUACUUUACAAUCUGCUAUACAUAUUUUAUCAUAUUAAAGUAAUUUUAAUAAUAUAUGGAAACAUAAUAUUAUAAUAAAUAAAUUAAAAUUAAAAUUACUUUGAAUUAUUAAAUAUUACAAAAAGAUAAUUUUAAUAUUAUUAAUAGGAAAACAUUUUUAAUUGUAAAAUCUUUUUAAUACAAAAAUUCAUUUAAAAUCUUUAUAAUAAAUACAAAUAUAAAAUUAAAAAUAUCAUAAUUUAAAAUUUUUAAUAUUAUUUUAAUAUUAAAAAUACUUUAAUAUUAUUAGUCUACUACAUAAAAUAUAUUAUUUAUAUUAUAUUCGUAUUGAUUAAAACGUUUUAAAGUCAAAUUUUUAAUUAUUGUAUUCAAAGGUACAAAAGAUUUUAGUAUUAUUUUUUAAAAAUUUUAGGAUAUGAAUGAUAAUUUUUUCGAAUUUUAAAGAUGUAAGAAUCUUUUUUUCUAAUAAUUUAUUUCACUUUUGAGAGAAUCCGAAAACGUUAAUUUAACAUUCUUUACCUUUGUGAAAAAAGUGAAAAUCAAGAACUAUUCAAUUUUGUUUUUAUUUGUAAUUCAAAAACUUUAUUCAUUUUCGAUGCUUUUCGAAAGAGAUUCCGUUAAAUCCUUUUGGUGUCGGCAGCUCCUGCUAUUCUCAUAAAUCUCCAUUCCACAUCUACACUAUCAAACAAGUUGAUGGAAAUUCUUAUAAAAAAAAAACAAGUCGAUGGAAAUUGAUCAAUUACUUUUUGAAGUGGACCCAUUGAGUCAUGUUCAUUUCUGGUCAUUGUCUACUCUUUCCAUCAGCCAUUUAUUUUGACCAUUUGCGAUCUUAAAGGAUAUGAGAACGUAGCUGAAGUGCUGAAGGGGCUAUUAAAGAAGAGUGUCACUUGAUCACAAUCACAUUGAUGCACAACUCACUCGUGGCAAAUUUCGACUAUACGUUCUGCAAAUUCAGCCAAACCAUACGUGCAUGAACAAAACUAAAAUGUAGUUCUAAUCACAACUCCAGUUAUGAUGUUUACCCCUCUGAUUUUUCUCCAAAACAAAUUCAGUUCAAAACAAUAAUCAAAAUAGCCACAUUUUGUUCGUCAAAAUAAAUGCCCAAAUUUUCAAUUAACAAAUCAUCUUCUCUAAACUAAAAAUCCCACAUCUCUAAAAUCAAUCUACAUAAUGUUGGAGAUGAGGGGUGAAUUGUUAACUCAGUAAAAAAAACUCAUGCAUAAUAUUACUAAUAAUAUAAAAUAUAUAUUAAUCAUUAUAAAGAAUCAUAAUUAGAAAAAUUAAUCAUUUUAUAAUUUAUUACACAAGUAAGAUAAAUCUCAUAAUAAGUUAUAACAUAAAAAAAACGUUAUCAAUAUAUAAUCAUUUAAGAAGUCAUUUAACAAUAAAAUCGUUCUUUAAUCAGUUGGUCAUGUCACAUAGUGUCAUCUAUAUUUACGGUGAUAAUAUUAUUACUCAGUAUUAUCAAAAAACAUGAUUUAACAUUUAGAGGAAAUUCUUGCCUUUUAAAAAAAAACAUGUAUGCAACAGCUACCCAUGCUUUAUCUUACCAUGACAAAUAUUUUCUCAAUGAAAGAAAAUUUUUUAAAAAUUGAUUUAAUGCACAAAUAUGAUGAUUUUUCCAAAAAUUAGUUUUGGAAAACAUAGUGAGAGAAAAUAGUGACGAUUAUUGUUUAGAUGUAUAAAUAGCCUAAACAUAAUCCUUAAUACCAAUAUCCUAAUGCAUCUUAUCAUCUUUCAUGAUAUUCUUUCAUUUAUGUCCAUUGGUUCAAGAUUUGAAUUUGAUCAUUAAAUCAUGUUCAAUAAUAUUAGAGAUUCUAACAAAUGAGUACCAACUUAAAUCCCAAUGUUAUGUGUCAUUGACCAAUUUUGUGUCAUUUUGUUAUUAACUAGGUGAUGAAUUUGUAGUUGAUAAAAUCACUUAAAAAUAUCUUAAAAAUCAAACAAUAGUUUGCUUAAUUUUUCCAAGUUAACUGCUCAAGAUGCUCUAUUAUAAAUAAUAACCUAAUUAUAUUCAUAAAAAAUGAUAUUUUUUUUGUGGUGUUGAUAAUGAGAUUAUCAUUCAACAUUUUAAAAUGUGAAAACAUAUGGAAGAUGGUUGUAAAUUGAUUGAAUGAAAACAUUUCAGUGAAGUCUCAAAAAUUUGGUACUUGUUGUCUUAUCGAAAGUUUUCUAAAUUAUAUUCGUGGCACAGCCACUAUCCAAACCAUACAAGUCCAAAGCUAUCCAAACCAUACCUGCAAGUCCGGGGCUUAAAUGGAGUACUUCUAAGCAAAAAAACAUUGACUAAAAUAGAAUAUAUACAUACAGACACACAUACAUACCAGCAUAUUCAAAAUAGCAAAAGGAGUGCAAAAGUUCAAGUUUGUAGACAACAUUGCAACCAUAGCAUGUUUAUAGCAAAUCCUCAAAAUCUGCUAAAUAAAACAAUGCCCUGUCUCAUGAAUCAAUGCUGAAUUAAAAUUGAAACUGAAAGUCUGGAUGGUUUUGUUUGUUGAGAAUGUCAAAUAAAACGGCAUUGAAGGAAGUUUUCAAAGGCAGAAUCCGCACUUGUCAAAGGGAUGACCUGCACUUGUCAAAGACACGAUCCGCGCCGAACGGAUCGACACAUUUCCUUCCGUAUUCACAUAUGUAAACUUUGAAAAAAUAUAGCUUCUGCAUCUAUAAAUAACGCUCAGUGUAUAAUGUUUUAUUCAAGAAAUAAAAACAAGUUUCUACAUGGUAUCAGAGCCAUGAAUGCGCUCAAGUUUCUUCAAGUUUCGCUGCUCUGUUUGUCACAAAAACAGAGGAAACCAAUUAAAUUCGUCCCACAACCAUUUUUUCCACCAUUUUCUUCCUUAAAAUCAUUCCUAACAUUACAGAAAUCCAUGCCGAUCAAAAACAUGAAAGACAAAUUACACAUGUGCAGUAACCAAUGAUCAUAUUUUGUUACUGUCAAACACAAUGCAUCUGAGCAAAACAUUGGAAGCCAACACCAGAAUACAUAUGAAUAAACAAUUAAAGAUAGAGAAAAAAGGCUUAAACCUUGGGGGAAAAAGUGAAAAAACAUGAAAGACAAAUUACACAUGUGCAGUAACCAUCGAACUUAUCAGUGACAGCUGCAUCUAUUACAUUGCUCCAACAACACAAGGGCAAACCACCAGUUUCAAAUUGAGGAUAGCUAUCGAGAAUGAGAAAGUGUCCAAAACGUCAUAAAUAGACAUGUUCCUAUUGUGCAUAAUUUACAUUAUAGGCAAAUAUUUUUAUACCAUCAAAGGCAAAACAUGACACUAACAAUUGAUCACCCCCCCCCCCCCCCCCCCCAACAACAAAAAAAAGGAAAAAACAAUACAGAAAAGAUUGAAACAGAUAAGGCUACACUGAGCACAGGAUGCCAUGAAACAUAAUCCAGGAACCAAAUUAAUAAAAAAGGAAGCCAAACCAUUAUUUAACAAUCUGUUUUGUAUUUGGGAAAGUCUGAUAAAAUCUACUUGGGGAUAAUUAGAGAACCUCAACUAUUAAUCACACCUCAUAAAUGAACUAACAUUAAACAUCUACCAUCCCAACGUCACACAAACAUUCUCUACACUUCUGAACCUAAUACUUCCAUCUUCAAUUGGGGGUUUUUUUUUUCUUUUUCUUUGGGGGGGGGGGGGGAUUGAAAUGCUGAUUUCGAAUCACUAACAGUAAAAUUGGAAGCUCAUGAAAAAAUAGUUUUAUCUCAAAAUUACAUCUCGAUAUAAAUUCUCUUUUCAUUUCCUUCAACUUUCUAAUUAAGCUUAAAAAAUGUACCUUCAACCACAAAGGGGUUUAAAAUUUAAAAUAUAAAAAAUAAAUUCAGAUAACAAUAAUUAAUUUAAUUAAAAAUAUAAAUAGAGUUACAGAGAAAGAGAAAAUAGAGAAAGACGUAAUGUUGAGUCCUUUGGCGCAAGUCUCUUCAUAGGUCCGAACCAUUUCUUCGGGCGUGGGUUUCGGGUCUUUAGGAUACUCCAUAGUGAUAAGCCAGUGAUUGUAAUCGCAACCCUCGAACAGAAUCGUGUCGGGUGUGAUCUCGUCGCCGUCCUUAUACAAGUGGUACGUCUUGUUAACCGACGGCGUAGACGAGAGGGAGAUCGUCGGGGACGAUCUGAACGGCCGAGAUUGGAUAAUGAUGGAGGAGGAGAAGAUUAGCGAUGACGACGCCGAUGAAAUGGAAGGGUUUACCAGAGGAGUGGAUGCGAAGAAUGCAGGGACGGCCGCAAAGAGAGAGCGGCGGAGAGCGGCGACGGACGGUAGUGACCGGCGGAGAGCGGAAGAUGGCGGUAUGGGCCAUUGCUUGCGCGUCAGUGAGUGUCUCGAGUGAGGAGUGAAGGGUUUUGUACUUUUGUUUAGGGUUUUGGGAAAUGAAAAAUGCAAAUGUUUGAUUUUGUUGCUAGAAACUUCUUCUGCCGCCGCUUUUUAUUUUCGCUAAAUAAUAAUAAUAAUUUGUUAAUAAAAUACUUUCUUAGAAAAGAUAAAUUUAUAGAACAAAAUUUAUAUUAAAUCAAAUUGUAAAAAUGUGGAAUAGGGCUAAUUUCUCCUGAAUAUUAUUAUUAGUAGAAGUAGAUUUUCGAAAUAGUCUUGAUAUAUUUCAAAGUUGUAUUAUAGAUGUACAUGUAUCUGGAUUGUAAUUAUAUUUUAAAAAAUAUACAUUUUUUUUCAUUAUUGCACAAUAAAUGUAGAAAGUGUCUAUAAAAUAAUAUUAUUAGAACUAUGAAAAUAUAUUAUUUUAGAGUAGUUAUUUAUUUAUUUUUGAAUAAAUAAUUUAUUAAUUUAUUAAUUUAUUGAUAAAUUAAUAAAUAUUAAUUUAAAGAGAGAUUUUUUUUUUUGGGGGUUUUUAAGAAGAGUUUUGUUGGUAUAUGUACAAACUUAUAAAGAAAUACAAAAAAUGCUUCCUCAAGUCAAUAGUAUUUACUUUAAUUCAUAAUAGUAUAGUUUAAUCAAGAAACUUAUAAUUAUACUAUAUCUUUCUUUCUUUGUUCUAUUUGGUGGGACAUUGUGAUAAAUCAUUGGAUUAAAAUGCAUUUCUAAAUGAAAACUUGUUAAAACCUAAUUUAUUUGGGAACGACAUUUUAUUUGUCAGUCGUAUUUCUCAACUUCGUAAGUUAUUUCUAAUUUAUCGGUCUCUAUUGGUUCUCUUAAGUACCUAUUUGGCAUGACUUAUUUAAUAGUAAUAAGUGCUUAUUUAAUCUCAUAAGUUUUUUCCCUCUCUGACAAUUGAGUUAGGGGGUCAAACUUGAAAGUAUCUUAAAAUUAGACAACAAUUUAACUAUUUUUUUUUUUUUAGAUAACUGCUAAUAUGCUCUAUUAGACAAUGAUGAGUGAUAACCUAGGUGUUUGCAUUUAAAGGGAUACUUUUUGUGGUGUUGAUAAAGAGGUUAAGUAUGAUUCAACAAUUUAAAAUAUGAAAACAUAUGGAAGACGGCCGCAAUUAAAUUAAUUGUAUGAAAAUAUUUCAAUGAAAUUUUAAAAAUUUAGUAUUUGUUAUCUUAUCGAGAGUUUUUUAAAAUUAUAUUACUACUUGAACUUGACUGCUUUUGUAUUUAAUUCCUACCGUUGCCAUUGCUUCUACUCAAAAGCCAUUUAAGUUUGUGUAAGCUACGUAUAGUUUGAACAACAAUUUACUCAUGAAUUGUUGUUCAUAAUAGCAUCAGUGCAUGCAUCAUUUUAAUGAGAAAGAAUAUUCUAAGAACGAAAUUGAACGUGGGAGGUAUCGGGAAGGAAUUGGAAUGGAAUAAUAUCGAUUCAUAUAGAUACAGAAGAAAAAGUUCUCUAUUGAUUCAAAUGCUGUGCCUAUGGGAUAAGGAUAGAGAAAGAGGAAAAAACCGAAGCCAGAAAUGUACACGCAUGAGGAACUUUUCCUAGAAGAUUGAUAUUUCUUUGACUAGCAAACCAUACAAGUCCAAAGCUAGCCAAACCAUACCUGCAAGUCGGGGGUUUAAAUGGAAUACUUCUAAGCAUAAAACAUUGAUUAAAACAGAAUACACACAUACAUACCAGCAAAUUCAAAAUAGCAAAAGGAGUGCAAAAGUUCAAGUUUGUAGACAACAUUGCAACCAUGGCAUGUUUAUAGCAAAUCCUCGAAAUCUGCUAAAUAAAACAAUGCCCUGUCUCAUGAAUCAAUGCUGAAUUAAAAUUGAAACUGAAAGUCCGGCUGGCGUUGUUUCCCUCUCCAAUUUUGCCUACAUAAGUGAAAAUAAGAAUAAUAAAUGAAAAUCUGCUUUUACGGUUCUUAUUAGAUAGAUAAAAGGGGGAUCUUUCUUUGUUUCUCUGCUGCAAUGUGUGGCUAUCCCACUCUGUUUUGCCACCCAAGCUGAGUCUAUGCUGAGACAUAAUUUUGACAUCAGAAGCAAUCUCAAUUAGUUUGGCACUUUUAAGCAAUCUCAUAUUUUGCUCACUUGAAGGUUUUACGAUAAACAUAAAUCUACAGAGAAAGUGGGAAAAAAAAAAGAAAAUGCAUAUAAAUAUAUGAGUUAUCAGAUAAGAUUAAAACUCACCCAAUUCAAUCCAUCAGAUUCCGUAAGGAUAUAACUGGAUGUCAUACCGCCACUCCAUAUCCUUGAAAGUCCGUAGUGUUUGUCUCAACUCUGUCUGAGGCCAAUGUAAAUUCAAUUUGCGCAAGCUCUUUAUGCACCACAGCUCUUCUGGAAGCUUUCUCAAGUAAGCACAUGGGUUGACAAUUAAGCUUUCAAGUUUCGGCAUUGCUCCAGCCCCCAUCGUCCACUCAUCUAGCCAAUACAUUGAUUUCAGGUGCAAAACCUUAAGUUCCGGAAAGCUACUCAAGCCAACACAAGCAAGCUUUCUUCCUAAAUACGAGUUCUGCUUCAGUUUCAGCACUCGAAGGCGUGGAAGAUUUUCCAGAAUUGGCAUGGGAUCCUCCAUUAGCUCAGUAUUUGAUAAGCUCAGUUGGAUCAGACUUGGGGGAAAUUGGUAUUCAGACAGGACCAUCCGUGAGGGCUUGCUCUCAUUCACCAGCUUCAAGCAUUCAAGUUUGUGGAGUUCGCAAAGGCUUUUGGAAACCGCAGAUUGAUAGUAACUCAAAUCUCCAGAUAUCCGAAGAGUCUGAACACUAGGUAGUCUGCCCAAUAUAUCAGGAGUACAACUACUAGGGUUUAAAGCUGAUAUGAAAAUGAGAUUUUUCAGAGAGCUGGAAUAAUUUUUUGGAGGUGCGGGCAGAGUGAUAGAACCAAAGUUUAGAUGCAUGAGUUUUUGCAUCAUCCAAAUAUCCUCUGGUGACUGAUCUAUGUAGCUAGAUGGCAUUUCUAGUGUUUCAAGGUUUAAAAGGGUGCAUAGCAGCGAAGGAAGGCGUUUGAGCAAAGGGAUAUUCAAUUUCAAAUACUUCAAAAGGAAUAAAUUUUCUAAUCCGGGUGGAAAUUGGUCGAGAACUGCAGAACCGAAGUUCAGUACCCGAAGGUGUUUGAACUUUUUACAAAAAUUCUCGCAAUCUAUCACAGCGAGAUGAUCGCCUUCUAAACUUUGAUUGAUAAAAGAUUGGAGAUAGAUCUCACCAUGUUCUAAAGAAAUGAAGUCAGUCAGAUGUUCCAAAAUGAUGUAGCGUUUAACAUUUGCAAAUGGUUCCGCUUCCAUUCCAGGCAUCCAGAGAAAUUUCGUCUUGUCUGCCACCAAACCCAAUGAAGUAUAUACAAAACUUGGAACAUAGCAAGCUUUAAUUGUGCCGCCGGCUCUUCUCUUACUCACUUGAAUGAAGCCGCGAUGGAUUAGUUCUUUCAAGUAAUGUUCGGCAGUUUCUUCACCGUUGUAUGGUAUGAAACCUUCAGCUACCCACAACUGAUAUAAUUGCUCCGUAGAUAUCUCCAUACUUGGAGGGAAGACCAACAAAUAGAUGCAGCAGACCUUCAAGUGAAAAGGUAACUCCAUCACAGAAAAAAUUUGUCUCCAAACUGUCGGAAUCGCUUCGCCUUGAAGAUAAUUUUCUAAUGGCAUACUUCCAUAGUGUAGGAUGAAAAAUUGCCAGGCUUCAUGCUUUAAUCUUAUCAAUGGUCCUCCAAUGAGCACUGAAUCACGCCGAAUUUCCUCUCCAUUUUCCAUUUCCAACGACACAAGGAGGUCUGGUUCAGUGACUGUUAUCAAUACUCUGCUUCCAUUCUCAUCAUCAGGGAGAACUUCUUCCAGAUCAUCCCAUAUCUCACAGUCAUCGAAGACGUCAUCAAGCACAAUAAAAUACUUCUUGUUUGUUAGGUAAUCUCGAAGAAUAGAUUCCUUGAAUUGAUAAUCUUCACCGAUAAUUACACUAACCCGAGAUGGAGGCAUCACAGACUUGAUUAUGUCAUCCAAUAUCUUGCGAAAAUCGUAGAGUAGAGAAACCCUGACCCAAGCAAGACAGUCAAAAUAGAACUUGACAUAGUUAUUAUUGUAAGUAUCUGCAGCAAAAGCAGUCUUAUCGAAGCCACUGCUGUCGAGAAUUGCAACCACUGAAAGCCCAGAUGGUCCCUCAAUCAAUAGAUCAAACAACUCCUCUCUGCCCCUUUCAAAUUCACUGAUAUCAAGCCGAGGAUGUCCCUCAUUCAAUAGGCGAAUCAUUUCGUUACUUUUUUCACUGAUAUCAAAACCAUUGUCGCCGGGUGGAAGUUGUUGCAUCCGAUUUCUAAUAUCAAUGAUUUCACUGUGGAGUCCAUCAGGAAGAGCCAUAUUAGUGCUGCUUUCACUUUCGUUUUCACUGUUUUGCUGCUGCAUGAUGUUGAUGAAGAAUGUGUCAAUGACUUCCUCAGAGUCACGGACAAAGUUAUUGAUGUCCUUCAGAAUUUCAAAAAUAUCUGCUGUUUCAACGUCUUCUUCAUCGCUUUCUUCUAAGUCCAACAGUUGCAAAAAAGGCAAAGAUAUUUUGGAGUCAUCGAUAUCUUCUCUAAGGAGUUGAAUCAAAUGCCGAGCCAUGUCGGCUUCAUAGUUUCCCAGAAGAGUAGUAGCAAUAAUUUCGGACUCCGUAAGAAGGUUUUGAAAAAGUGGAGUUAAAUUUGUUGAAUCUGGCAGAGGCAACGUGCCUUCUUCACCUGCUAACACCCUUUUCAACCUCUCACAAAACAGUCGGAGGUGGACGUCCAGCAUAUCUCCUUCUCUCUGUAGCACCCAGAGGUAUUGUUUUUUGCUCCAAGAAAUAUUAAAAGGAUUGGUUCUAUCUAAAAGUGGUUACUGGUGUAAAAUUAAACGCCAUGGGAGAAUUUGAAAGGAAGAUGCCAAGGAACUGGCGAAGUGGCUAAAUUCCACAAAUACGGCAUUAUUGCUCAUUUUUAACUCAAAAAAUUGAUACGCCUUCAUUUAGCGAAAAGUCCAAGACGCUUGCCUUUUGAAAAGAAGAGGUAUCCAUAGAUAUCCAACAUUUAUCUUAUUUUAAUUACUACCACGACAUGAUUGAUGGUUGUUAAAUCAAUUGUUUCUUUUUUAAUUUAAAGAAAUUUUCAUUAAAAAAUAGUUUAAUAGACACAUAAUAUUACAAUAAAUAAAGUAAAGUUUAAAUUAUUUUGAAUAUUAUAAAAAAUAAUUUUAAUAUUAUUAAUAGGAAGACAUUUUGUUAAUUUUAAAAUCUUUUUAACCCAAAGGUUUAUUUAAAAUCUUUAUUAUAAAUACAAAUAUAAAAUUAAAUAUCAUAAUUUAAAAUUUUUAAUAUUAUUUUAAGUAUUAAAAAUAUUUUAAUGUUAUUAGUCUACUACAUAGAUUUUAUUAUUUAUAUUAUAUCUGUAUUGAUUAAAAUUUUUUAAAGUCAAUUUUUUAGUCAAUAUAUUCAAGAGGUAUUAUAGUUAAAGAAAAGAUUUUGGUGUUAUUUUUUGAAAAUUUUAAGGUUUAAAUGAUUUUUUUUUUAAUUUUAAGGAUGUGGGUAUUAUUUUUCCGACAAUUUAUUUUAUUUUUGGGGAAUCCGAUGAGAAAUAUCAUGAGAGAAGGUUAAUUUUACAUUCUUUACCUUUAUGAAAAAAGUGGAAACCAAGAACUAUUCAAUUUUGUAUUUUUUGUUUGUAAUUCAAAAAAUGCAUCCACCAAACAAGCUUAUCUUGAUUUUCCCACUUUAUUCAUUUUCGAUCCUUUAAUCCAUCUAGCAUCUGCAGCCCCCGCUAUUUUCACAAAGAGUAAUGAUACAGCCACAAAUUCUUGUACAAAUUUAUUUUGUAUAAACUGACGUGGCAUGAUAAGAUUGGUUGAAUUAAAUAUCACUUGGCCCACAUGAUUUGUUUUUAUUAUUUUAUAUUUUUAUUCAACCAAUGAAUUAAUGCCACGUCAGUUUGUACAAAAUAAAUUUGUACAAGAGUUUGUGGCUGUAUCAUUACUCUGUCAAGAAUCUCCAUCCCACAGCUACACUAUCAAACAAGUUGAUGGAAAUUGAACAAUUGCUUUUUGAAGUGGACCCAUUAGGUUAUGUUCAUUACUGGUCAUUGUCUAUUCUUUCUAAGAGCCACUUAUUUUGAGCAUUAGCGAUCCUAUCUGGACUACUCCAAUUAUUGAUGUAACUCCAAUGGUUGCAUCAACAGUUGAAUGUAAGAUAGUGUCAGUUCUUUUUUGAGAAUAUAGAGGGAUCUUUAUUUGUUUCUCCGUUGCAGCGUAUUAGUAUAAAUUUCUUGACCUUACAGUUCCUACAGUCUUCCUGUUAAUGAAUUCGCUGAGGCAUUAUUGAUCCAAUCUCAGUGAAGUAAUUGUGGGUGAAAAAAAAAUAAAGGAUAAGAGAACGUAGCUCAAGUGCUGAAUUGACUAUUAAAGAAGAGCGUCACCUGAUCACAAUCACAUUGAUGCACAACUCACUCGAGGCAAAUUUCAUCUAUAUAUACUGCAAAUUCAGCCAAGCCAUGCAUGCAUGAACAAAACUAAAAUGAAGUUCAUAAUCACAACUGUAAUUAGAGCUACAAAAGGUGGCAAACCAUACAUGCAUGAACAAAAUUAGACAUAAAUUGAAGCCACAACAUUAAUUGAAGCCACAAAAGCCAGCAAAUCCAAAUGAAAACUUAAAAGGAAGAUCUUAUCGAAGUUUGUCCCCAAAAGACAGCGGAAAUGAAAAAUAUUGACUAUCGAGUGGAUCAAUGCUGAAUUACAUUUGACCUGGAAAGCUUGGCUGCAGUUGCGAUGUUCCCCCUCUGAUUUUCCCUAAAACAAAUUCAGUUGUAAACAAUAACUGGAGUAGCAACAAUUUAUUCAUUAUAGAAAAUACCUAAAUUUUCAACUAUCAAAUCCUCUUGUCUAAACUAAAAAACUCAUAUCUCUAAAAUCUAUAUACAAAAUGUCAUAAAUGAGGGUGAUCUCUCAAUUCGGUAAACAAAUUCAUGCAUAAUAUUACCAAUAAUGAUAAAUUACAUAAUAAUUAUUAUAAAGAAUCAUAAAUUGGAAACAUUAAUCAUUUUAAAAUCUAUUACAUAAUAAAAAUAAAUCUUAUAAUAAGUUACGUUAGAACAUAACAAAUAUUUAAAAUGAUAUAUAUAAUUAUUUAAGAAGUCUUUUAACAAUAAUUUUUUUUUUCUUUUUCAGUUGAUCAUGUCAUAGCGUUAUCUAAAAUGCUAGCGAUAUCAUUAUUCCCCACUUUUCUCAAAAAAAAGAAAAAGAUAAAGAAAAAAGAAAUAUGAUUAACGUUUGGAGAAAAGUCAUGCCUUUUAAAAAGAAUAUGUAUACAAUACCAAUUCAUACUUUAUCUUACCAUAAAAAAAUUGUUUAAAAUAGAUUUAAUGCACAAAUAUGAUGACUUUUGGCAGAAAUGAGUUUCGGAAAUAUUGGGAUGAAAACCAUAUUGGUUCAGACUUAAAAUUACUUAAUAAAAUUACUUAACUACCAUUUAAUAAAUAAAAAUCAUAUUAGUUGAAAGUUAAAUUAAGAUUUAAAUGUUGAGAUAUCUAACGUUACUCAAUCAGAAUAAACAAUAAUCAAUUCAAAUUAUGACUAUCAUGUAGAAGCAAAUGUUUAUGCUUGGGUCUUUUACUUCUUGAAUUUGAUUGGAAAAAUUUCUGAGACAGGGAAGUGAGUGUUUUGGAUAAUAUUUUUCGGGAUUGAAACCACAAGUUGGUCGAGGAAAAUAAUUUUGGACAAAUUUUUAUUAUAUUGUAGAACCUUUUUGGUUCCUUUUGUGUCGGCAGCCCCUCACUAUUCUCUUAACCCUGAGUUUUGAGAUAGAAAUUUCCCGAACUCCAACCCCACAUCCACAGACAAGUUGAUUGAAACAAUUGCUCUUGUAAUUAAGAGGAUGAGUUAGGGUUCAGUUCUUAUCAUUGUCUGUUAUUUCUUUGAAUCAUUAUCUUAGUUAAUUACAUCAAUUGUUUCUUUUCUUAAUUUAAAGAAUUUUUCUUUUAAAAAAAUAUUUUAAUAUCAAAAUGCGUUAAAUGGUAUUACUGCCGCAAUCCCAGUAACAGGAUUAAUUAAAAAAAUAUUCUUAGGAAGAUAUUUUGUUUAUUGUAAAAUCUUUUUAACCCAAAGGUUUAUUUAAAAUCGUUAUAAUAAAUAAAAAUAUAAAAAAAAAUAAAUAUCAUAAUUUAAAAUUUUAAUAUUAUUUUAAAUAUUAAAAAUACUUUAAUGCUAUUAGUCUACUACACAGGUUAUAUUACUUAUAUUAUAUUUGUAUAAAUUAAAACUUUUAAAGUUAAAUUUUUAAUUACUAUAUUGAAAAGGUAUUAUGGUUAAAAAAAGUUUUGGCAUUUGUUUUUUGAAAAUUUGAGGGUCUGCAUGACAAUUUGUCCAAAUCCUAGAGGUAUAGGUGUCUUUUUUUUUCGAUAAUUCAUUUUACUUUUGAGGGAAUCCGAUGAGAAAUAAGAUAAGAGAAACGUCAAUUUAACGUUCUCUAGGGAAAACCAAGAACUAUUCAAUUUUGUAUUUUUUGUUUGUAAAACAAAAAACAGUUUGCCAAAAAAGGUACCAAACAUAUCCUUAAUGUCUCACAUGAUUUCUUAUUAAGUCCAUACUCGAUAUAUUUAUACAUUUUAGGUAUUUUAGUUAUAAAAGAAGUUGGUCCUCCCUCUGUUUAUAAAAGGUAACUUUAUUUCGAGAUUACCACUAAAGUCUUACAAAGAAUUAGUGUAAUGUUAAGAGAGACUAACACAGUUUUCCAUUACCAUUUUGAAAAUAGAAAGAUAUGGAUGUGUGCAUUUAAUGGUGCGUUUACUUGCCGGAUUGGGGAAUCAGAAUCUGGAAUCAGAAUGAUUGAUGGUGUUUACUUCACAAAUAUGGAGCAGGAAUCGGAAUUGGAAUGGUGGGGCCCACCACUAUUUGGGAAUGGGAGAUUGAUUCCCAUGGGGGAAGGUGGGAAUGAGUCUCUCAUUCCCUGGAUUGACCAUUUUGCCCUCCCUCAAAAUUAAAAAUGCCUACUUUGUCCUCUUUUAUAAUUAAUUAAUAUAAUAUUAUAAUUAAUUAAUUAAUAUAUAAAUAUUUUAUUAACUAUAAUUAUUAAAAAUUAUAGUUCUUGAAUAAAUAAUCACAAUAAUUAAUUUAUUAUUAUUAUUGUUAAUGAAUUAAUAUAAUUAUUACUAUUAAUUAAUAUAUUAAUAUAUUAUUAACAAUAAUAUAUUAAUAAUUAUUGUUCGUGAAUAAAUAAUCACAAUAAUUAAUAUAUUAUUAUUGAAAUUAAUUAAUUAAUAUACUAUUAUAAUAAUUAUUAUAAUUAAUUCAUAUAUUAUUAUUAAUUAAUUAAUAAAAUUAAAAUUAUUAAUUAAAUAAAUAAUAUAAUUAUUACUACUAAUUAAUAUAUUAAUAUAUUAUUAAAAAUAAUUAUUAAUAAUUAUAAUUUUUGAAUAAAUAAUCACAAUAAUUAAUAUAUUAUUUUAAUUAAGUAAUUAAUAUUAAUAUUAUUAGUUAAUAUAUUUUUAUAAUAAUUUUUGAUAUAGUUAUUAUAAUUAAUUAAAAUUUUUUACAAUUAAUUAAUAUAUUAGUUAAUAAUAAUUAUGACAAUAAUUCAUUAAGUACUUUUUAGUAAUUUGUUACAAUCUAAUUCAUUCCGAUUCCGAUUUCAAGACAAAGUAAACACAUUAAUGGCAAUCUAGCUCAUUCCGAUUUCGAUUCUUACAGUUCAAGUAAACAACUUAUUUUGAUUCCCAUUACCUAUUCCCAUUCCAGCCCAUUCUCAUUUCUGCCCAUUUCAAUUCCAGCUCAUUCCGAUUCCAGUUUAGUAAACGCAGCAUAAGAGUUAUCAUGAAAAUCAUACAAUUUAAUUUCCUGAAAUAUAUAUUUUAUUCACAUGUGCCAAAAGAAUAAAUAGAUAGAAAGUAAAUUUACAAUCCUCACUCCCUCAUAAUUGUUAAAGUGAAUAUGCAUUACAACUGUGAACUGUCACUACUUUAGCCCUUUAUUUGUUUUUUCAAUUAUAGUGUGAUGGAGACAGUGAACAUUAAGGAUAAAGUGCUCUGCUGAAAGCCAAACUUCCUUUGGCUAAUUAAUUUAGAAGUAAAGCAGAGAAUAAAGUCCUUGAUGCCUUCUGAAAUUAGAAAUACAUUUUAUAUGCUUUAAUUAUGAUUAUUUGGUAGACUAUUGACCAAAAGACAUGUUAAAGUAUAAAACAGAGCGAUUAAAGAAAAAAAAAAGGAGCGUUUGUGACGUAGAAUAACAAUUUGUAAGCAAAGUCCUAAUUUGAGUUGUCAAAAAGCAAACAUAACAGAGAAGGUAAGAGAGAUGCAAAAACAGAAAACUAUUAGCUUAUCUUGAUUUUCCCACUAUAUUCAUUUUCGAUGCUUUUCAAACGAGAUUCUUUUAAUCCUUCUGGCGUCUGCAGCCCCUGCUCUUCUUAUAAAUCUCCUUCCCACAUCUGCACUACGAACAAGUUGACUAAAAUUAAAUAAUGUUGGAGACGAGGGGUGAGCCGUCAACUUAUUAAAAAAAACUCAUGUAUAAUAUUAUCAAUAAUAUAAAAUAUAUAAUAAUUAUUAUAAAGAAUCAUAAAUUAGAAAAAUUAAUUAUUUUACAAUUUAUUUCUUAAGUAAGAUAAAUCUCGUAAUAAGUUAAGUUUAAUGUAAAAAAUAUUUUCAAUUUAUAAUCAUUUAAGAAGUCAUUUAACAAUAAAAUCUUUUUUUUGAUCAGGUGGCCAUGCCAUAGAGUAUCAUCUAUAUUCGUGGUGAUAUUAUUAUUACUCAAUAUCCUCAAAAGACACUAUUUAACAUUUAGAGAAAAUUUCUGCCUUUUAAAAAGAACAUGUAUGCAAUAGCUAGCCACACUUUAUUUUACCACGACAAAAUUGAUAGUGAUUAAAUCAAUUUUCUCAAUUAAAGAAAUUUUUUUUAAAUUGAUUUAAUGCACAAAUAUGAUGAGUUUUUGCAAAAAUUAGUUUUGGAAAAUAUAGUGAGAGAGAAUGGUGACGAUUAUUUUUCAGAUGUGCAAAUAGCCUAAACAUAAUCUCUAAUACCAAUAUCCUUGUGCAUCUUAACACCUUUCAUGAUAUUCUUUCAUUCAUAACCAUUUGUUCAAUAUUUGAAUUUGAUUAUUAAAUUAUGUUCAAUAAUGUUAGAGACCCCAACAAUUGGGUACCAACUUAAAUCCCAAUGCUAUGUGUCAAUGUAACAUAGCAAAAUCCCAUUAACAAAUGUUGUGUCAUUUAUCAUUAUUGAAUGAAUAAUUCGUUAAUUUAUUGAUAAAUGAAAAUUUAUUAAUUUAAAGAGAGAUUUUUUUUUUUGGUUUUAAGAAGAGUUUUGUUGGUACAUGUACAUACUUAUAAAGGAAAAACUUGUAAUUAUACUAUAUCUUUCUUUCUUUGUUCAGUUUGGUGGGAUAUUGUGAUAAAUCAUUGGAUUAAAAUGCAUUUCUAAAUUGAAACUUGUUAAAAUCUAAUUUAUUUGGGAAACGCAUAUUAUUUGUCAGUCGUACUUCUCAACUUAGCAAGUUAUUUCUAACUUGUCGGUCUCUAUUGGUUCUCUUAAAACUAAUAGUCUCGUAUCUCCCGCAUUUGAUAUCUUGCCAUUACUGUUGGCAUUAACAUGUUACCUGAGAUUGGGAUUCAUUAAAAUCCUCAAUGUAAUCGGUGGAACGAAUGGAUUUCUUCUGUUCACCAAUCCACCAAAAUUUCUGUAAUUAAAUUCAAAAGUCAAGAUCUAUGCUUAUAAUCUAUUCAACAGCUAAUAUUCUAUUUUAUAUUUACUUAAAUAUGAAGAGCUAUGCUUGUAGUUAACUUCAAAUGUGAUCGAAGCAGCCUUACAUCUAUAUAUUACUUAUGCCCAACCUUUUUUUUUGACUUCAUAUACAUUCUUUUCAUGUUAUUUACUCUUUUUUCCCCCUCUCUGACAAUUGAGGUAGGGGGUCAAACUUGAAAGUAUCUUAAAAUCAGACAAUAAUUUUUUUUUUUUAAAGAUAGCUACUAAUAUGCUCUAUUAGACAAUGAUAAGUAAUAACCUAGUUGUUUGCAUUAGAAAUGAUAUUUUUUGUGGUGCUGAUAAAGAGGUUGAUUAUGAUUCAACAAUUUAAAAUAUGAAAACAUGUGGAAGACGGCCGCAAUUAAAUUGAUUGUAUGAAAAUAUUUCAAUGAAAUUUUAAAAGUUUAGUACUUGUUAUCUUAUCGAGAGUUUUUUUAAAUUAUAUUACUACUUGAACUUGACUGCUUUUGUAUUGAAUUCCUACCGUUGCCAUUGCUUCUACUCAAAAGCCAUUUAAGUUUGUGUAAGCUACCUAUAGUUUGAACAACAAUUUACUCAUGAAUUGUUGUUCAUAUUAGCAAUUUGAUUGAAAGUGCGGCUGCACUAAUUUUCUAGAUGAAUUUUUUCCUACAUGCUUGUUCUCGUAUGACCCAAAAUCCUACUACAUCAGUUGUAUUAGAAAUUAAUCAACUGGGUUACAAUUAUGCAUCCCCACCAAUAUUUAAGCAAUUUAAUUACAGAAAUAUUUCUUGAGGAAAGAAACUCAUAUCGCCACUAGGCUUGUAAUGAGGCUCAUUUUUAUGAAUCUGGAUGGCAUUAGAUAUCUCUACGAAUAUUGGUGGGAGUAGAUCGCAGAUCUCUGGGCUAUACUACAAAGUUUAUGUACGUUGACUCUCAAUAAAUACAAACGAUUCUCUGAUAUGAUUCAAACAUCAGUGCAUGCAUCAUUUUAAUGAGAAAGAAUAUUCUAAGAACGAAAUUGAAGGUGCAAUCAGCAGCUAAAAUGAAGCCAGAAAUGUACAUGCAUGAGGAAUUUUUCCUAGAAGAUUGAUAUUUCUUUGACUAGCAAACCAUACAAGUCCAAAGCUAGCCAAACCAUACCUGCAAGGUGGGGGUUUAAAUGGAAUACUUCUAAGCAUAAAACAUUGAUUAAAACAGAAUACACACAUACAUACCAGCAAAUUCAAAAUAGCAAGAGGAGUGCAAAAGUUCAAGUUUGUAGACAACAUUGCAACCAUGGCAAGUUUAUAGCAAAUCCUCGAAAUCUGCUAAAUAAAACAAUGCCCUGUCUCAUGAAUCAAUGCUUAAUUAAAAUUGAAACUGAAAGUCUGGCUGACGUUGUUUCCCUCUCCAAUUUUGCCUACAUAAGUGAAAAUAAGAAUAAUAAAUGAAAAUCUGCUUUUACAGUUCUUAUUAGAUAGAUAUAAAUGGAUCUUUCUUUGUUUCUCUGCUGUAUUUUGUGGCUAUCCCACUCUGUUUUGCCAGUCAAGCUGAGUCUAUGUUGAGACAUAAUUUUGACAUCAGAAGCAAUCUCAAUUAGUUUGGCACUUUUAUGACCUCCUUAAAGGUUUUACAAUAAACAUAAAUCUACUGAGAAAGUGGGAAAAAAAAGAAAAUGCAUAUAAAAAUAUGAGUUAUCAGAUAAGAUUAAAACUCACCCAAUUCAAUCCAUCAGAUUCCGUAAGGAUAUAACUGGAUGUCAUACCGCCACUCCAUAUCCUUGAAAGUCCGUAGUGUUUGUCUCAACUCUGUCUGAGGCCAAUGUAAAUUCAAUUUGCGCAAGCUCUUUAUGCACCACAGCUCUUCUGGAAGCUUUCUCAAGUAAGCACAUGGGUUGACGAUUAAGCUUUCAAGUUUCGGCAUUGCUCCAGCCCCCAUCGUCCACUCAUCUAGCCAAUACAUUGAUUUCAGGUGCAAAACCUUAAGUUCGGGAAAGCUACUCAAGCCAACACAAGCAAGCUUUCUUCCUAAAUACGAGUUCUGCUUCAGUUUCAGCACUCGAAGGCGUGGAAGAUUUUCCAGAAUUGGCAUGGGAUCCUCCAUUAGCUCAGUAUUUGAUAAGCUCAGUUGGAUCAGACUUGGGGGAAAUUGGUAUUCAGACAGGACCAUCCGUGAGGGCUUGCUCUCAUUCACCAGCUUCAAGCAUUCAAGUUUGUGGACUUCGCAAAGGCUUUUGGAAACCCCAGAUUGAUAGUAACUCAAAUCUCCAGAUAUCCGAAGAGUCUGAACACUAGGUAGUCUGCCCAAUAUUUCAGGAGUACAACUACUAGGGUUUAAAGCUGAUAUAAAAAUGAGUUUUUUCAGAGAGCUAGAAUAAUUUUUUGGAGGUGCGGGUAGAGUGAUAGAACCAAAGUUUAGAUGUAUGAGUUUUUGCAUCAUCCAAAUAUCCUCUGGUGACUGAUCUAUGUAGCUAGAUGGCAUUUCUAGUGUUUCAAGGUUUAAAAGGGUGCAUAGCAGUGGAGGAAGGCAUUUGAGCGAAGGGAUAUUCAUUUUCAAAUACUUCAAAAGAUAUAAAUUUUCUAAUCCAGGUGGAAAUUGGUCGAGAACUGCAGAACCGAAGUUCAGUACCCGAAGGUGUUUGAACUUUUUACAAAAAUUCUCGCAAUCUAUCACAGCGAGAUGAUCGCCUUCUGAACUUUGAUUGAUAAAAGAUUGGAGAUAGAUCUCACCAUGUUCUAAAGAAAUGAACUCAGUCAGAUGCUCCAAAAUGAUGUACCGUUUAACAUUUGCAAAUGGUUCCGCUUCCCUGUCAGGCAUCCAGAGAAAUUUCGUCUUGUCUGCCAUCAAACCCAAUGAAGUAUAUACAAAACUUGGAACAUAGCAAGCUGUAAUUGUGCCGCCGGCUCUUCUCUUACUCACAUGAAUGAAGCCGCGAUGGAUUAGCUCUUUUAAGUAAUGUUCGGCAGUUUCCUCACCGUUGUAUGGAAUAAAGCCUUCAGCUAUCCACAACUGACAUAAUUGCCUGGUAGAUAUCUCAAUGCCUGGACGGAAGACACACAAAUAAAGGCAGCAGACUUUCAAGUGAAAAGGUAACUCCAACACAGAACAAAUUCGACUCAAGAGUGUCAAAACCACUUUUUCAUCCAUAUAAUUUACUAAUGGGGCACUUCCAUAGUGUAGGAUGAAAAAUUUCCAGGCUUCAUGCUUUAAUCUGAUCAAUGGUCCUCCAACAGGCACUGAAUAAAGCGGAAUGAUCCCUCCAUGCUCCAAUUCAAAAAAGGUAAGGAGGAAUGGAUCAGUGACCAAUAUCAAUACUCUGCUUCCAUUCUGCUUAUCAGGAAGAACUUCUUCAAGAUCAUCCCAUAUGUCACUGUCAUUGAAGACAUCAUCAAGCACAAUAAAGUACUUCUUGUUUGUCAGGUAAUCUCGAAGAAUAGAUUUCUUCAAGUGAUAAUCUUCACCGAUAAUUACCCUAGCCCGAGAUGGAGGCAUUAAAGAAUUGAUUAUGUCAUCCAAUAUCUUGCCAAAAUAGUAGCCUAUAGAAACCCUUACCCAAGCAAGACAGUCAAAAUAGAACUUGACAUGAUUAUUAUUGUAAAUAUCUGCAGCAAAAACAGUCUUAUGGAAGCCAUUGCUGUCGAGAAUUGCAAUCACUGAAAGCCCAGAUGGUCCCUCAAUCAAUAGAUCAAACAACUCCUCUCUGCCCCUUUCAAAUUCACUGACAUCAAGCCAGUGUUGUCCCUUACUCAAUAGGCGAAUGAUUUUGUUACUUUGUUCAGUGAUAUCAAAACCAUUGUCGCUGGGUGGAAGUUGUUGCAUUCGAUCUCUAAUAUCAAUGAUUUUACUGUGGAGUCCAACAAGAAGAGCCAUAUUAGUACUGCUUUCACUUUCGUUUUCACUGUUUUGCUGCUGCAUGAUGUUGAUGAAGAAUGUGUCAAUCGCUUCAUCAGAUUCAUGGACAAAGUGAUUGAUGUCGUCCAGAAUUUCCAAAAUGUCCCGUCUUUUUACGUCUUCAUCAGUGUCUUCUAAGUCUAACAGUUGCAGACAAAGCCAAGCCAUUUCAGCUCCAUUGAGUUGUUCUCUAAUGAUGCGUCGAAUCACACGACGAGUCAUGUCACCUUCAUAGUUCCCGAGCAGAGUAGUAAUAAUUUCAGUCUCCGUAAAAAGGUUUUGAAAAAGCGGGGCUAAGUUUGUUGAAUCAGGCAACGUUAACGUGCCUUCUUCACCUGCUACCACCCUUUUCAACCUCUCACAAAAUAGUCGGAGGUGGACGUCCAGCAUAUCUCCUUCUCUCUGUGGCACCCAGAGGUAUUGUUAUUUGCUCCAAGAAAUGUUAAAAGGAUUGGUCCUAUCUCAAAGAGGUUAGUGGUGUAAAGUUAAACACAAUGGAAGAAUUUGAAAGGAAUAUACCAAGAAACUGUGUAAGUGGCUAAAUUCCACAAAUAUGGCAUUGUUGCUCAUUUUUAACUCAAAAAAAUACACGUUAAUUUAGCGAAAAGUCCAAGACACGUGCUUUUUGAAAAGAACAGGUAUCCCAAUAGGUAUCCAACCUUUAUCUUAAUCAAUUACUACCAUGACAUACUUGAUGGUGCUUAAAUCAAUUUUUCUUUUCUUAAUGUAAAGAUUUUAUUUUUUUAAAACAGAUUUUAAUAUCAAGAAAAAAUAUCACUCGUAUAUCCUUAAAUGACACUUGUAUCAAACGUACUACAACACUUUUAACAUGUAUCACUUGUAUACCUUAAGUUGACAAAUUGUGUCUACCAUCCACCAAACCGUUAGUUGCCGUUUGCAAGCGCUGACAUCAUAAAGGUAAUCUAGUCUUUUCAAAUGGAAGAAACUUUGAUUAAAAAAACGACAUGUCAUCCCAUUUACCUCGUAAAAAAUGACAUAUCAUAUGAUAUAUAUUGACAAAAAAUGACAUGUCAUCCCAUUUAUCGGAAGAUGAUGUCAUCUAUGUGAAACAACGUUGUUUCAACGGGACUAAAAAAAAAAUGAUACUCCACAACCGAAUCGACUCCUCCAAACUUUAACUUGAAUAUUUGAAGAUCUACUCAUCCAAGCUCCAACUGGAAUUUUUUAUGGUAUAAUAUGUUGUUAAUAAUUUUUUAUGGUAUAAUAUGGAUUAUUUUUUAUGGAUAAUUGUUAAUAAUACGUACCAUUAAUAAUUCAUUUUUUAAUAAAAAAUGUAUUGUUAAUAAAAAAUAAAAAAUAUAUUGAAAAUUUACGUUAAUUUUUUGGGCAAAUAUGUAUUUUUACCUUAUUUUGAGUUUCAAGGGCGAAAUAGUCAAUUUGUCAUAAUUCUGUUAACUUUCUAAUGGUAGCUAACAGUUUGGUGGACAGCAGACACAUUUUGUCAACUUAGGGUGUACGAGUAAUACAUGUUAAAAGUGCUGCAAUACGUUUGAUACAAGUGUCAUUUAAAGGUAUAUGAGUGAUACAUGUUAAAAGAGUUGUAGUACAUUUGAUACAAGUGUCAUUUAAGGGGAUAUAAGUGAUAUUUUCCCUAAUAUCAAAUUGCCUUCGAUGUUUUUACAGCUACAAGCUCAGUAACAGGAUUAAUUAAAAAGUUUAGAAUUGUUGGGCGUGCAAAGAGUAGUUUUAAACACCAGAAAGCAAAGGUUGUUAUUGACAUAAUUUUAUUUUUGUUUUCGAGGGAAUUUGUUUUUUUUGUUGACAAGAAAAUAGUAUUAUAUUUUACAAUCUAUUAUACAUAUUUUAUCAUAUUAAAGUAAUUUUAAUAUUAAAUGGAAACAUUAAAUUUAAAUUAAUUAAUUAAAAAUUGAAUUAUUUUGAAUAUUAUGUAAAAAAUUAUUUUAAUAUCAUUAAUAAGGAGAUAUUUUGUUAAUUGUAAAAUAUUUUUAACCCAAAUAUAUAUUAAAUUUUUUAUAAUAAAUACAAAUACAAAUAUAAAAAUAAAAUAAAUAUCAUAGUUUAAAAUUUUAAUGUUAUUUUAAAUAUUAAAAAUAAUUUAAUGCUAUUAGUCUAUUACACAGGUUAUAUUAUAUUUGCAUUAAUUAAAAGUUUUAAAGUCAAUUUUCCAGUUUCUAUAUUCAAAGGUAUAAUGGUUAAAAGAAAGUUCUUGGUGUUUCUUUUUAAAAAUUUGAGGGUCUUAAUGAUAAUUUUUCUAAAUCGUAAGGGUAUAGGUGUCUUUUUUUCCGAUAAUUUAUUUCACGGGUAUCCAAUAAGAAACAUGGUAAGAGAACGUCAAUUACUUAUCAUUUUCUAUUUUUUCUAUGAGUCAUUUAUUUUGAGCAUUAGUGAUCUUAUCUGGACUACUCCAACUAUUGAUGCAACUCCAGUGGCUGCAUCCACAGUUAAAUAUAUGAUAGUGUUAGCUCUUAUUUGAGAAUUUAGAGGGAUCUUUCUUUGUUUCUCUGUUGCAAUGUGCUAGUAUAAAUUUCUUUACCUUAAAAUUUAUAUAGUCUUGCAGUUAAAGAAUUCACUGAGGCAUUGUUGAUUCAAUUUCAGUGAAGCAAUUGUGGGUGAAAGAUAAAUGAAGGAAAAGAGAACAGAGCUGAAGUGCUAAAUUGGCUAUUGAAGAAGGAUGUCACAUGAUCACAAUCACAUUGAUGCACAACUCUCUGGAGGCAAAGUUUGUCUAUAUGUACUCUGAAUUCAGCCAAGCCAUACAUGCAUGAACAAAAAUUAAACCGUAGUUCUAAUCACAACAGUAAUUGAAGCUACAAAAGCCAGCAAAUCUGAACGAAGACUUAAAAGAAAGAUCUUAUUCAAGUUUGUCCCCAAAAGACAGCUGAAAUGAAAAAUAUUGACUGUUGAAUGGGCCAAUGCUGAAUUACAUUUCAAAUGGAAAGCUUGGCAGCAGUUACAAUGUUUCCCCCUCUGAUUUUCCUCCAAAACAAAUUCAGUUGUAAACAAUAACCGAAGUAGUAAUAAUUUAUUCAUCAAAGAAAAUGCCCCCAAGUUUUCAAUUAAAAAAUCCUCUUGUCCAAACUAAAAGAACUCAUAUCUCUAAAAUUUAUUUGCAAAAUGUUGGAAAUGAGGAGUGAUCCGUUAACUCUGUAAAUAAACUCAUGCAUAAUGUUAACAAUAAUGAUAAAUUACAUAAUAAUUAUUAUAGAGAAUCAUAAAUUGGAAACGCUAAUCAUUCUACUAUUAUAUAAGUAAGAUAAAUAUCAUAAUAAGUUAAGUUAUAAUGUAAUAAAUAUUUGCAAUAUAUAAUUAUUUAAGAAGUCAUUUAACAAUAAAAUAUUUUUUUAUCCAGUUGAUCAUAUAGCGUUAUCUAAACUCUUGACAAUAUUAUUAUUACUCACUUUUCUCAAAAAAACAUGAUUAACUUUUAGAGAAAGUCAUGUCUUUGAGAAAGAAUAUGUAUACAAGCUAUCCAUACUUUAUCUUACUGUGACAAAAUUGAUGGUGAUUAAUUGUAUUUUUUAAAAUAGAUUUAACGCACAAAUAAGAUGACUUUUGGCAAAAAUUAUUUUCGGAAGAUAUAGUGAUAGAAAAUAGUGAUGAUAAUUAUUGUUUAAAUGUGUAAAUAGCCUAAGCAUAGCCCGUAAUACCAAUAUUCAUUUGCACCUUGAAAGAAACUUAGUUCUAUAUUGUUUGGCAAGCAAGAAAGUAAAGGAAAAUGAAAGAGAACUCUAAAGAACCUUUUUUAUUAUACUCAGAUAUCUCAACUUAAUGAAUACUGAUUGACAUUUAUACUAAGCUACAAUCUUCACUACACACACGAGUUUGUAACAUCACAUAACCAUUUGCUGCAUAACUAACUUUACACAUCAGCUCAACCAGCUAACUAACUUUGACAGGUCAGCUCAGUGAGUUGAUCUGCUACAACCAGCUACACAGCAACAGCAUGCUCUGCUCCAGCUAUACAGCAACAUCAUGCUCUGUUCCAGCUUUAUCCGCUCUGCUUUGCUCUGCUCCAGCUUUGACAGGUCAGCUCAGUGAGUUGAUCUGCUACAACCAGCUACACAGCAACAACAUGCUCUGCUCCAGCUAUACAGCAACAUCAUGCUCUGCUCCAGCUUUAUCCAAUUCACUAACAUCCCCCCUCAAGCUAAAAUGUUUAGGAUGAACAUUCAGCUUGCUUCUGAAGUAACUGAAUUGUUUGAAAGUAAGAGCCUUAGUUAACACAUCUGCUGUUUGAUCUGGACUAGGCACAUAGCAUACUGCAACCUCUUUAGCAGUGACCUUAUCUCGGAUAAAAUGUAUAUCCAAUUCAACAUGCUUAGUCUUAGCAUGAUAAACUGGAUUAUAAGCUAAAGCAAUUGCUCCUUGAUUAUCACACCACAUUAUAGGAGUGGAGCUUAAUGUGAUACUAAGUUCACCAAGUAAGGAUUUAAUCCAGGUAACCUCUGAAGCAGCAUGGGCAAGAGAUCUAUACUCAGCUUCUGUGCUGGAUCUGGAAACAACAACUUGUUUCUUUGACGACCAGGAAACAAGAUUAGGACCUAGAUAAACAGCAAAGCCAGCCACUGACUUCCUAUCAUCAUGAUCACAAGCCCAAUCAGAAUCUGAAAAACAAUGUAAUUGCAGAGCUCCUUGAUUGUAGAAAUGCAGCCCCAGAUGGAUAGUGCCUUUUAAGUACCUCAAUAACCUUUUACAUGCUUCCCAAUGUUGAGUUCUAGGACUGGAAAGGAACUGACUUAACUUGUUUACAGAGAAGGCAAUGUCAGGUCUGGUAAGAGUAACAUAUUGAAGAGCUCCUAUAACACUUCGAUAUUGAGAAACAUUUUCAAGUGGCUCUCCUGAGUCUUUGGUGAGAUAAAAGCCUGUAGACAUUGGAGUUGGCACAGGACUGCAGUCUGUCAUGCCAUGUUUAUCCAGAAUAUUAGCAAUGUACUUUGCUUGUGUCAAGGAAACCCCUUGUGAAGAUUUGCUGACUUCAAUCCCCAGAAAAUAGUGAAGUUCCCCCAGGUCUUUUAAAGCAAAAGCUUGAUGCAUAUGCUGGAUAACUUGUUGAAUUAUGGAUGGACUGGAACCAGUGAUGAUAAUAUCAUCAACAUAGACCAAAACAACAGUUAGAUGACCACUGUUCCAGGCAUAAAAGAGAGAGUUAUCAGACCUGGAAUGCUGAAAAUGCCACUUGGAGAUCAUUGCAUCCUUAAACCUAUCAAACCAGGCUCUAGGAGCUUGUUUUAAGCCAUACAAAGCCUUAUUUAGCUUGCAGAUAUGAUUAGGUUUAGUUGAAUCAACAAAACCUUGAGGUUGAGCCAUGUACACAUCUUCAAUUAAAAUGCCAUUUAGAAAGGCAUUGUUAACAUCCACCUGCCUUACAACCCAGUGACUCAAUACUGCUAAGCUAAGAAUAACUCUAACAGUGGAGGACUUAACCACUGGACUGAAGGUUUCUGUGUAGUCAAUCCCAUGUGUCUGAUGAAACCCUUUAGCCACAAGCCUGGCUUUAUACCUUGAAACUGAACCAUCUGAGUUAUACUUUACUCGAAAUACCCACUUGUUGCCAACUAUCUUCACUGGAGUAGCAGGUAAGACUAAAUCCCAGGUGUGAUUGGUUUUAAGAGCUAGAUACUCUUCUUGCAUAGCUUUAUACCACAUAGGAUCAGAAAGUGCUUUGGAAACAGAGGUUGGUUCUGACUUCUGAGCUAGUAAAGCUGACAAGUAGAUCUUGGGCUUGAAGAUACCUGCUUUUGACCUGGUUAUCAUUGGAUGACCAGAUGAUGCAGGUUGUGACAAGGUAUGUGGAGGUGAAUGAUGGGAUGGUGAAGAAGGAGAAGAAGAAGUGGAAUUGAAAUUAUCAGAAAAGUAAACUGGAGUAGAAUUUGGGAAGGAAAUAGAAGCAUGUGACUGAGAAUCAUUAAGAAGAUAUUCUGAUGAUGCUGCUAAAGGUGCUUGUAACUGAGUAACAAAAGGAGUAGAAGAAUUAAAAGAAGACUCAGAAUGAGUUGAUGACUGACAGUUUGAAGAAACUGAAGAAAAAUCUGUUCCUGACUCAUAAGGAAAAGAACGUUCAUAAAAGGUUACAUGAUUUGAAAUAUAGACCCUCCCAGAAGAGUGAAGACACUGAUAUCCCUUGUGUUGUGAACUGUAGCCAAUGAAUAUACAUCUAGCUGUUCUGAAAUCAAACUUAUGUCUAUUGUAUGGUCUGAGUGUUGGAUAACAAGCACAGCCGAAAAUUUUAAGUGUUGAAUAAUCUGGUUGGGAAUGAAACAACUUUUGAAAAGGAGAAAUGCUGUUUAGAACUGGAGUUGGAAGUCUGUUUAUCAAGUAGACAGCUGUAUGGAAUGCAUUCCACCAAAAUUUGAGUGGUAAAUGUGCUUGAGCUAAUAAAGUCAGUCCUACAUCAACUAUGUGUCUAUGUUUCCUCUCAAUUUUUCCAUUUUGAUGAUGAAUGUGGGGGCAAGGAUGUCGAAAAUGGAUGCCAGAAGUGGUGAGUAAUGAUGAAAAUGUUCUGAACUCCCCUCCCCAGUCAGUUUGGACAGUUUUGAUGGAAAGUUGAAGAUGCUUCUCAAUGAAUAUUUUGAAAUUGGUAAAAACUUCAAGAGCAUCAGAUUUUGCUGAUAAGGGAAAAAUCCAGGUAAACCUACUGUAAUCAUCUAGGAUUGACAAGUAGUAAUUAUAUCCUUGGGUAGAACAAACAUGAGAAGGGCCCCAAAGAUCUGCAUAUAUCAGUUGUAAAGGUGCUGAAGUUUUUGUUUCUACUGAAUCAAAAUGCAGCAUGUGAUUUUUACCAUAUUGGCAUGCUGAACAAAAUUUCAAACUGUCAACUUUAUUAAAAGCAGUAGAGUUGUUACAAGCUUUGAGAAUGGUUUUGAGAGUAUAAGAUGCUGGGUGUCAUAAUCUUCUAUGAAGAAGAUUUACAUCAAUAGAACCCUUUACAACAACUGACAGACAUGACUUUUUAUUCAACUCAUAAGAGCUAACAGUAGAGAGCUGAGCAGAAUUAAAAACAGGAGAACAAGCAAAAAGAGACUGAAUUUUGUUUUGACCAACUGAACUGAGAAAGACUGAAUGAACAGCAGCAUGAGAAGAGACUUUAUACAAGCUGUUGUGCAAAUUUUAAUGUACUCGCAAGCGCACGAAUCUAUUAUAGUAUAGAUCAAUGGUGACGAGUGUCGAUCCCACGAGGAGGUAGAUUUUAAUUGUGUAUAGAAUUAAUUUUGCAAAUGGUUGAUUGGAUUUGUAGUGGAAAUGAUUAGGAAUAUGCUAAAACUUAAAUUAAAAUGGCGAGAAUAAAUUCUAAAAUUGGAAUUGCAAUGGCGAGAAUAAAUUGAAGAGAAAUGUAUUGAAAUGACGUACUUGGGUAUCUGGAUCCGUAUCAACAUGCAUCAUGGGCUAAAUAAUCCGUAUUAAUGCCAAUUAAAUCAUGAGGGGGGAAUCCACACCUCAUGAACCACGCUCUAAUCAAUAUGGUGCUAAGGGCUUAUCGUGCCAAAUAAUAAUAACCUUAUACUAGAGAGCCGGUGUAACCAAGGCGGUAUCUAGACAAGAUCAGUAUUAUUUGUCGACGAUAAGUCAAAUCAUCCACAAAAACUAGAGGGGAAAAGAAAAUAAAUUUACCAAAUAAAGCCCAUGACACAUGUUGAGACUUCACCUUCAACCCAAGCUUGAAAGGAAAUUAGCUACUCAUAAUUGAACUAGGGGCAAAAUGGGAAUUUAUUAAAAUACAAAGAAAAUACAAGAUGGAGAGGGAAUUACAGAAAAUGGAUCCCAAAAAUGGAUUCAGAGAUAUCAAAUUAGGGGGGGAGGCCCAUUUUUUAUAGAUACAUGGAGUAAAUCAUGGCCAUCGGAUUAAAAACAGUUUGGACGCUCAGGAUUGCGCCACGUCAUCAGUCAACAGUCAACGGUUUGACCACGCGGAUGAACAGUAACAUGGUUUGGUUGAAAAUAAUCCUGUGUGAUGCAUACACCGUACGCGAGAUUUUUCGUCCACUGAUAUGCUGCCACGUCACCAUCAACAGUACAUAAGAAUUUUAGUCCAACAGGAUCGUGACACCUCAUCAGUCAAUGCCACAUCAUCGGUCAAUGCCACGUCAUCGAUCCGUCUAUGUGAACAGUGUCGUGAACAGUAACGUAGACAGUACCGUAUACGUGAAUAGUACCGUACAUGUGAAUAGUGCCAUUUUUCCUUUUAUGCUCCUCCUAAGGUUUUCGACCGUCCUGAGUUCAAAAGUGAUGUCCGUUUUGCCGUCUGAUCUCUCCUUUAUUGUGAAAUGACUAUAAUGCCCCUAAAAUACAUAAAAUACUUAAUUAAAAUAACACACACGUAAUUACAUCACAAGAGGGUUAAAUACAUAAAAGUAAGGGUUGUUAGUAAGACUUGAAACGUAAAAUGACGGUUUUCUCCUUUAUAAAUAUGCAUUUUCUAACACUCAACACAAGCCACCUUUAGCAACACCUUCAAGUAAAAUUUUCCCUGUGUUCCUGGCCUUUAUAAAACACAAAUUACCAAGAAAUUCAACAGUAACUGGAUUGUCAGCCAACAAUUUUGAGAUGCUAAGCAAAUUCUUAGUAAUAAAAGGGACAUGAAGAACAUGGUUAAGAAAUAAGGAUUGAGAAGCUGAAGUAUUUAGCACAACUGACCCUACAUGUGUAAUAGCUAAUGCAUUUCCAUCUCCAACAAAUAACCUUUCAGUACCAGUGUAAACUUUUGAAUCCAGAAGCUUACCUAGAUCAUUGGUAAUAUGAUUUGUUGCUCCACUAUCAAUAUACCAGGAAGGAUCUUCAAUGUGUUCAGGUGGGAGUGAAGAAGACAUAGCAGAGGAGGAGGAAGCACUUGACUGUUCCAGAUUAUUAUGUCCUAGACAGAAACAAAAUUAGAUGAUCCAGGGUUGAAUGAGAAAUAAGCAGAUGGGUUGCUUUCUGGAUAUACUAUAUUUCCUUGAUAGCCAAAACCCCUGGGGGCAUUACCAAAACCAACAUUUUGUCCAAAACCAGCAUUUGAACCAAAACCUCCAAAACCUCUUCCACUAUUACCAUUAAAGGCUCUUCCUCGACCAUAUUGCCCUUGAUUAAAACCUCUGCCACCAUUCAUAUUACCUCUACCAUGGUUCCUCUGUGGAACAAAAGAUGAGUUGUACCUAUUUCUGCAUUUAUAGGCUGCAUGACCAGGUAUGAAGCAAAUUUGGCAAACAACUUCAGAGAAAUUACUAUUAUUAUUAAACUGACCAUAUCCAUAUCCAGAAUUAUUACCACCUCCAGAGUUAUUUCCAUACUGUUUCUGAAAAUUUCCAUUAUUCUUUCCAGCAUAUGAGUUCUUCUGAACAAUAUUUGCUGUCAUGUUAUGCAUCACAUCACCAGCAAUUUUUCCUUUCUUUUGCUCAACUCUAUUUUCAUGAUUCAACAGCAAAGAAUAUAGUUCAUCUAAUGUUAUCUUUUCACCUCGAGCUAACACAGCAGUGACUAAAGAUUCAUAAUCUGAUGAAUCAAGACCAGUUAAUACAUGCAUCACAAGAUCAUUUAACUCAACAGGUUUUCCAGCUAGAGCUAAAGUAUCAGCUAUACGUUUUACUUUUACAAAGUAAUCAGACAUAUGCAUUGCACCUUUCUUAAUAGUUUGAAUCUGCAUUCUAAGUGUUUGAAUUCUAGCUUGUGAUUGAGAGAUAAACAUACUAGCAAGAGUCUCCCAAAGCUGUUUUGAGGUUGUUGAGUCAAUCACAGUAGCAAGCAGAUUUUGUUGUAUCAAUGACAUCAUCCAACUCAGCAGAAGUUGAUCAGCCUUCAUCCAAGCUACGAACUCUGGAUUAACAGAUCUGGAUCCAGAUUCAGUAACAGAUCUGGAUCCAGAUUCAAUUAAGAUUUCAGCUCCAUUGUUGUUGCCAGAAGAAAGAAACUGCUCAGGACAUUCUCGAUCACCAUUGAUAAAACCUUCCAAACCAUUUCCUUUGAUCGAAGCUAGAAUUUGUGUGCGCCACAAAAUAUAGUUGUUUUGAUCUAGCUUUACAGGCGUAACAAAACUAAAAGAGUUGUUGUUUUGAACUGUAUUUGCCAUUUAUGGCUCUGAUACCAUGAAAGAAACUUAGUUCUAUAUUGUUUGGCAAGCAAGAAAGUAAAGGAAAAUGAAAGAGAACUCUAAAGAACCUUUUUUAUUAUACUCAGAUAUCUCAACUUAAUGAAUAUUGAUUGACAUUUAUACUAAGCUACAAUCUUCACUACACACACGAGUUUGUUACAUCACAUAACCAUUUGCUGCAUAACUAACUUUACACAUCAGCUCAACCAGCUAACUAACUUUGAUAGGUCAGCUCAGUGAGUUGAUCUGCUACAACCAGCUACACAGCAACAGCAUGCUCUGCUCCAGCUAUACAGCAACAUCAUGCUCUGCUCCAGCUUUAUCCGCUCUGCUCUGCUCUGCUCCAGCUUUGACAGGUCAGCUCAGUGAGUUGAUCUGCUACAACCAGCUACACAGCAACAGCAUGCUCUGCUCCAGCUAUACAGCAACAUCAUGCUCUGCUCCGGCUUUAUCCAAUUCACUAACACACCUUCAUUUGUGUUAUCACAUUUCAUGAUAUUCUUUCAUUUAUGACCAUUGUUCAAGAUUUUAAUUUGAUUAUAAACUAAGUUGCAAGGGAGCUUACUUCAGUUUCUAAGCUUUUCAAUCGUGAUUCCUGCAUGCCAAACGUAACUGACCUUAUAAUUGGUCUGUAUAAGAAAUCAAGCCCUUUCAGGAUCGUUUUCUUUUUCUCCCUAUUGUAGUAGUCAACUAAAUAAAGAAUGAACAACUAAACUUGGUCUAUUUCGAGGAAGACUAAGGCUUCCAAUACUAGAUGAACUUUGAAGAAAAUUAAUCCGUUGUUUUUAUUCAUCUUUGGACUAUGAAUUUAUACAAAGACUUUAACAGAAAAUAACAAAGACACAGCUAAAUGAUAGCAAUAAGUGCUGACUUGGUGGACCACUUCUGCAAGUAAAUAAAAACUAAAUAUUUAUUUUGACUAUAACAACAACUACGCUGAUGAAUAGGAUUUCACAGCAGCCACGUGACAACUAAUUUCUCCUUAAUAUUAUUAUUAGUAGAAGUAGAUUUUAAAACUAGUCUUGAUAUAUUUCAAAGUUGUAUUAUCAAUGUAUAUGUGUCUAGAUUGUAACUAUAUUUUAAAAAAUAUAAAAUUUUUAAUUAUUGCACAGUAUAUGUAGCAAAAUAUCUAUAGAAUGAUAUUAUUAGGACUAAGAUUUUUUUUUAUUUUAGAUAAGUUAUUUAUUUAUUAUCGAAUGAAUAAUUUAUUAAUUUACUGAUAAAUGAAUAUUUAUUAAUUUAAAGAGAGAUUUUUUUGGUUUUAACAAGAGUUUGUUUGGUAAAUGUACACACUUAUAAAGAAACAUAAAAAGUGGUUCCUCAAGUCAAUAGUAUUUGCUUCAAUCGCAAUGGUUCAUAAUAAUAUAGCAUAGUUAGGAAAUUUGUAAUUAUAUUAUGGCUCUGUUUGGUAGUAAAACUCAUUUAAGUAGAGUUGUUGUUAAUAGAGCUUUUAUAAAUAAAGCUUUUACUAAAAAAAAUUUAGUUGUUUGCUUGUCAAUGUCCAAAUUGAUAAACUUUUGUUCUUUUGUUAAGAUAUGUUUGUUUUACUUAAUAAUAGCAUCGGCAAGAGUUUUCGAUUGUUGCAACUUGCAAUGCACGCGGUGAGAGAAAAUGAGAAUCUUGUUUAAUUGUCAAUAUAUAAUGACAAACCUAAUCCUUUCAUUAGGAGUAAUUUAAUAAUCGUUUGUUAUAACUGAAUAUGUAUAAAGAAAGGAAAAUUCUAUUCAUAAAUUUCGACUUAUUUUUUGUUUAAAGUAAUUAAUCAUUCAACCAUCUUCAUUUGCCUCUGGCCAAUGCCCUUGUAGAUUAGUUUACUUAAUUAUGAUUAUAUACAUUUUCAUAUAGCAAGUGGCAUUGUAGAUCUAAACUAAGUUGCUAUUUCAAUACCAGCAAAUUCAAAAUAGAAAAGGAGUGCAACUAUUCAACUUUGUAGACAAUAUUGCAACCAUGGCAUAUUUAUAGCAAAUCAUUGAAAUCUGCUAAAGAAAACAAUGCCCUGUCUCAUGAAUCGAUGCUCAAUUAAAAUUUAAAUUGAAAGUCCGGCUGGUGUUGUUUUCCUCUCCAGCGAAAUAAGAAUCAUAAGUGAAAAUAGGCUUUGACAGGUCUUAUUUCUUUGUUUCUCUGCUGCAAUGUGUGGUUAUCCCACUCUGUUUUGCCACUCAAGCUGAGUCUACGUUGAGACAUUAUUUCAGUAUUGAGGUAACAAUAAUUUCGGACUCCGUAAGAAGGUUUUGAAAAAGUGGAGUCACAUUUGUUGAAUCAGGCAACGUCAACGUGCCUUCUUCACCUGCUAACACCCUUUUCAACCUCUCACAAAAUAGUCGGAGGUGGACGUCCAGCAUAUCUCAUUCACAUUUGUUGAAUUUGCAUGGAAUUUGCAAGGAGUAUGCCAAAGAAUUUGCAAGGAAUAUGCCAAGAAUUUGCAAGGAAUAUGCCAAGAAACUGGCCAACCCGCUUAGCUUAAUUCCACAAAUAUGACGUUAUUGCUCAUUUUUCUCUCAAGCACAUAAUACACGUUCUUCGAGACGCGUGCCUUCUGAAAAGGACAGGUAUCCAACCUCAUCUUAAUUACUACCAUGACAUAAUUGAUGGUUGCUUAAAUCAAUUUUUUCUUCUUUUUUUUUUUUAAUUUAAAGAAUUUUCCCUUAAAAAAAAUUUAAUAUCAAAAUGCCUUCAAUGUUAUUACUGCCGAAAGCCAAACUUCCUUUGGGUAAUUAAUUUAGAAGUGAAGCAGAGAAUAAAGUCCUAGAUGCCUUUUGAAAUUAGAAAUACAUUUUAUAUGCUUUAAUUAAUCAAUUCACUGAGGCAUUAUUGAUCCAAUCCCAGUGAAGUAAUUGUGGGUGAAAAAAAAAUAAAGUGCUGAAUUGGCUACUAAGAAAGAGUGUCACUUGAUCACAAUCACAUUGAUCCACAACUCACUCGAGGCAAAUUUCAUCUAUGUGUACUGCAAAUUUAGCCAAACCAUACAUGCAUGAACAAAAUUAGGCCGUAGUCCUCAUCACAACAUUAAUUGAAGCCACAAAAGCCAGCAAAUCCAAACAAAAACUUAAAAGAAAAUGCUUGGUAUAGAGAAGCACGAGAGAAAGACGAGAAAAACAAUGAAGAAAGUGGUAGAGAGAGAGUGAGUGGGUAGAGAGAGAGCAAAAUUCUCUCGUCUUUCUCUCGUGCUUCUCUCUCUCUAUCACUACUCAAACUUAAAAGGAAGAUCUUAUUCAAGUUUGUCCCCAAAAGACAGCUGAAAUGAAAAAUAUUGACUAUUGAGUGGGUCGAUGCUGAAUUACAUUUGACAUGGAAAGCUUGGCUGCAGUUGCGAUGUUCCCCCUUCUGAUUUUCCUCCAAAACAAAUUCAUUUGUAAACAAUAACGGAAGUAGCAACAAUUUAUUCAUUAUAGAAAAUACCUAAAUUUUCAACUAUCAAAUCCUCUUGUCUAAACUAAAAAACUCAUAUCUCUAAAAUCUAUAUACAAAAUGUCAAAAACGGGUGAUCUCUCAAUUCGAUAAAUAAAUUCAUGCAUAAUGUUACUAGUAAUGAUAAAUUACAUAAUAAUUAUUAUAAAGAAUCAUAAAUUGGAAACAUUAAUCAUUUUACAAUAUAUUACAUAAUAAAGAUAAAUUUUAUAACAAGUUAAGUUAGAACAUAUCAAAUAUUUUCAAUAUAUAUAAUUAUUUAAGAAGUCUUUUAACAAUAAUUUUUUUCUUUUUCAGUUAAUCAUGUCAUAUACCGUUAUCUAAAAUGCUGGCGAUAUUAUUAUUCCUCACUUUUCUCAAACAAAAAAGAAAAGAAAAAAGAAACAUGAUUAACGUUUAGAGAAAAGUCACGCCUUUUAAAAACAAUAUGUAUACAAUAGCAAUCCAUACUUUAUAAAAUUGAUGGUGAUUACAAAGAAAAAUUGUUUAAAAUAGAUUUAAUGCACAAAUAUGAUGACUUUUGGCAAAAAUUAGUUUCGGAAAUGUUGGGAUGAAAACCAUAUUAAUUGAGAAUUAAAAUUACUUAAUAAAAUUACUUAACUACCAUCUAAUAGAUGAAAACCAUAUCAAUUGGGACUUAAAUUAAGAUUUAAAUGUUGAAAUAUCUAGCAUUACUCACAAUAACCAAUUCAAAUUAUGACUAUCAUGUAGAAGCAAAUGUUUAUGCUUGGGUUUUUUACUUCUUGAAUUUGAUUGGAAAAAUUUCUGAGAUAGAGAAGUGUUUUGGAUAAUUUUUUCGGGAUUGAAACCACAAAUUGGUAGAGGAAAUUAAUUUUGGACAAAUUUUUCUUAUAUUGUAGGACCUUCUAGUUGGAGUAGUGAUGGCUUUGUCUUCAUUUUUGGUUCCUUUUGUGUCAGCAACCCCUUACUAUUCUCUUGACCCUGAGUUUGAGAUAGAAAUUUAUCAACCUCCAACCCCACAUCCACAAACAAGUUGAUUGAAACAAUUACUCUUUUAAUUAAGAGGACCCAAAUGAUUUAGGUUUCAGUUCUUAUCAUUUGUCUAUUAUUUCUUUGAAACAUUUAUUUUGAGCGUUACUGAUCUUAAUUAUCUGUAUUUCUCCAAUUAUUGAAGAAUUUCAAGUGGCCACUUUUUCUCCUUUUUAUAUAUGUUUAUUUUUUGGAGUGAUCAAACGGGUGAAAAAUCAAGUAUUCGCUGGUCUGUAGUUUAGCCAACGAUGGCUGAUCCACACAGUUGAUUAUAUGAUACUAUUAGCUCUCAAAAUCUUUCUUAUUUGAGAACAUAAAUUGCCCAUUGAAGUUAAACUAUGUUACCCAGCUCCAUGCACAUACAUUAAAUGUUUAGGUAGUUUUACAAAAUGAUAACAGCAUGCCAAAACUUGAUGUUGUCAUAUUCGACAUUUCAAAUUGAAAAAUAUGCAAGCAAUCUUCAGUGACCAUUACGUUUUUAUUGAAUAAUUUAAAUGGCCAGUAAAUCAACAGUCCGUGAGUUUUAAAUCUGUUAUGACUUAAUGUAUCUUUCUGUAUUCGUACACAGGUUAUAUUAUCAUAGUUUAAAAUUUUAAUAUUAUUUUAAAUGUUAUAAAUACUUUAAUGCUAUUAGUCUACUACACAGGUUAUAUUAUUUAUAUUAUAUUUGUAUUAAUUAAAACUUUUAAUGUCAACUUUCUAAUUACUAUAUUGAAAAGGUAUUAUGGUUAAGAAAAAGUUUUGGCAUUUCUUCUAAAAAAUUUGAGGGUAUGCAUGACAACACUACAAGAAAAAUGACCUACCAUGACAGUCCUCUGUGUGACAGUUUUUGGUCUGCAGAGCUACUACGAUAGAUGGAUGAUAAAUUUUUUUUCUAUCAUUCAUUUAUGACAUACUUGUGAUAGAAAUUUCAUCUAUCAAGCACUUAUGAUAGACUGAUGAUAAAUUAUUUGGUUAUCAAGAAGUAAUGACAAGUUUGUGAUAUAAUUUAGAUCAUCAAGUAGCUUUUUUAUUUUGACUUUAUUUCACAAGGUUGACUGAAAAUUUUAAAAUGAAUGAAAAAAAUAAAUAAAGAAUAAACGGUACCGUUUGGAUUAAAAGUUUCUCUUUGGACAAGAAACGACACCGUUUAGAUUGAAGCUAAAUAAAAACAAAACCCUCUUCAGUUUUCACUAAUCGAAUUUUUUUUCCCUAAGUGUCGGCACUCUCACUCACUCUCGUCUCUCGCUCAGUCAUUCUCGUCAAUCUCACACUCACAAAGCCCUUUUCACCCGAAAUCCUUGCAUGGGCACUGAACCACUGCCGCCAUUCUCUUGUAUUUGACUAUCAAUUUUGGCUCUCACCGAGAACUAUAUGGAAUACCCACCAAACGCAUGUGCUUCUACUAUUGAAUUUCAAUACCCUAACUGAGAGCCCACGCUCACCCACUAUUGUAACCGUUCGAUCAAUACAGGUAAAUAAUAUUUCUAGUGUUGUGUUCCAUUUCAAUUUUAAUGUUCUUGUCAAACUCGAACCCUAUAUAUGUAAACUUAAAAACCCUAGAUGUGUUCUUGUCAAAUUCGAACCCUACACACCUAAAUCUUGUAAAACCUAGAUGUUUUCUUGUCAAAUUUGAACCCUGUACGUGUAAAACUUGAAAAUCCUAGGUGUGCUCUUGUUAAAUUUGGAUCUAUUUGAUUGGUCUUCUAUGUUUCUUUAUUUAUGGAAUUUUAAACAUUUAUUUGAUUUUUUUGGAAUUUAAUUAUUAUAGUUUUAUUGUUAAAUUAAUUUGAUUUAGGCUGUAAAGAUCCUUGCCAAUUUAAUCGUGAUGGGUGUUGGGAUAUUGUCUAGGCUGCUUUAUCUUUGGGGUUUUCUAAUAACUAAUUUUUUUUUUUCACUUUUUUGUGGAUGCAUGGAACUAUAUAUAUAGAUAAUUCUCAAAUUCGUUCACUGUGAUGCAAAGUCUUUUUUUUUUCAAUUUCAUUGGUUAAAUUCACUAAUUCGUUGAAAUUAGUGGUGAUUGUGGGCCGAGUCGCAUGUGCAGGAAGUGGUGUCAGGUCUGGGCGCACAUUGAGUCAUGCACUUGGUGGGCAAUUGGUAUUGUUUCUAUUGUGUGUGUUGGAAAUAAUGUCAAUAUCAUCCAACCAAUGUGUGUUUCUAGUGGCUGUUUUUGCACCGAGCAGAUAAUUUAUUAUUACAUCAGAGUUCCCCAUCCCUUGUUUCUCUUUUGGGUAAUGCAGGUAUUGACUAGUUCAUUUCCAUUUUCAUUUGUCUUGAGGGAAUGUUAUCAAUUUUUCGAUCUUACAAGAUAUUGAUUGAUACAUAUGUGUACAAUACAUUAAAAAUCAUUAAACAUUUUGCUCUUAGUUACAAUUUUGAAUGAAUGUCACAUGGAAAGAUCCUCUAAGAAUAUCAAUAGUAUUGUGGUUUCUACUCAAUUUCCACUCUCCGCACUCAUAUGAGCAUGGUUUGAAUCUCAAGCCUUUUGUACCAUUCAAAAAUUUAUACCAAUUAACAACAUAGCUUGCUAGCACCACAAAUUGUUUCAACUCCAAGGCAGAGAAUUCCUAGAAGAUAUAUACAUAUUGAUAUAUACUUGCAUGUAGCCGUAUGCUCACUACCUUCGAAUUGGGGAUAUAGUCACUAUUUUUGUAUUCCCUCCAAGUGUUUGAUAAAAAGCAUGAAUGAAUCUUGGCUCUUUAAUUGUUGCAGGCCAUUUCUACCUAUGAGGAGCAAAGGAAUAUGAAGCUUAUUAUAUUCAUUCACAAAGCAAAGCUGAUAUAAUUCAUGGCAAAGCUUGAUGAGGUGUUGUAUUUAAUCUUGCUCAUGAGAUCAAUUACCUAUCUUGUUGGACUUUAUUCUUGUAAUUAAGGUCCAUCCAAAGUUGAUGGCUUGUUUGUCAGAAAGAUAAUCUGAAGGCUAUGAUUGAUUACUUGCGGGCCGAUGGAAAUGUCUCCAUGAUUGGUUUAUGAGGUUGUUAAAUUACUAAAUAGGUAUAUUUACUUUUCAUGAGCUUUAUCUUCGUUUUUCCAUUAUGGAAAUGUCUCUAUGAUUGUAACUUUUAACACGUGGAACUCUUGAACCCUAUGUUUAGUUAUAUACUUAUAUUGGGACUUGUAUAAAUUAAUAUGAUGGUUUUAUUAUUAUUAUUAUUAGUAGUAGUAGUAGUAGUAGUAGCAGCUACAAAAGAUCAAAAGAACUUAAAGGUGUGGCUUGUGGCUUUCUUGCUGUUUGGGCUUUAACUGCUGCCUCACUUGUCAUUGUUGCUAAUCUGGUGUGCCACGUCCAUUUCAGUGUAAUUACAUAAGUUAGUUUGCUUGAUUAAUUAAUUAAUUAGUUAGCGGAUUGAAUAGCCAGAGUACUACAUUUUGCAUAGGUCUGAUGCUGGAUGAAUUUUCAUGUCUUGGCUUUGGGGCUGCUGGAUUUUGCUGCUGGAAGACUAGAUUUUGCAAUUUUGUUGCUGGAAGACUACAUUUUGUGUAGGUUUGUUGCUGGAUGUUGCUGAAUGCGGAGUACUUUGCUUGGUUUUGGAUUGGCCUUUGUUGUCUAUUGGCUCGACUUUGGAAUAUGGAUUAACUAAUGUAAUGUACUUUGGAUAUUUUUAUGGUUAAUAAAGUUCACUAAUUUAGUUCAUUAGUUUUGGAUUUAAUUGCAUUUAGUAAUUUAUUUUCUUUCAUAUAAUUUUAAUAAUUUUAAUAAUUUUAAUUUUUAAAUUUCAUAAUUUUUAUUUUAAAUUAAUAAAUAAAAUAAAUAAUCAAUUUUUUCAAAAAAAAUGUGAUAGAAAAUACUAGUCAUACACACAAUUGAUAUCCCAAAAAAAAAUACAAUCCAAAAAUUUCUAAAAAAAUGAAAAUAUAAAAUAAAAAAAUAAUUUCCCUCUUCUAAGUAGUAUGACAUAAUUAUGAUAGGUAAAAUCUAUCACAACUUGUGACGCGAUUUUAUCUGUCAUCUUUUCUUGACGCUGACUAUAAUGACAGUAAGGAUAACCGUCAUCUACCCCCUAAGAUGACAGUUUUUACCUAUCAUAAUAGGUCAUUUUUCUUGUAGUGCAAUUUUUCCAAUUCUAAGGGUAUAGGUUUGAAAAUUUAACGUUAUUUAACUUAAUGAAACAAAAGGGGAAACCAAGAACUAUUCAAUUUUGUAUUUUUUGUUUGUAAUUCAAAAAAUACAUCCACCAAACAAGUUUUACACAUUAAUGCUGUCAUAAAACGAAAAACAGUUUGCCAAAAAAUGGUACCGUCACAUGAUUUCUUAGUAAGUCCAUAUUAGAUAUAUUUAUACAUUUUAGGUAUUUUAGUUAUAAAAGAAGUUGGUCCUCCCCCUAUUUAUAAAAGAUAACUUUGUUUCGAUAUUACCACUAAACUCUUACAUAGAAUUAGUGUAAUGUUAAGAGAGAGUAAUGCGGUUUUCCAUUACCAUCUUUGAAAAUAGAAAGAUAUGGAUGCGUGCAUUUAAGAGUCAUCGUGAAAAUCAUACAAUUCAAUUUCCUGACAUAUAUAUUUAUGCACGUAUGCCAAAAGAAUAAAUAGACAGAAAGUAAAUUUAUAGUCCUCACUUCCUCACAAUUGUUAACGUGGAGAUGCAUUACAACUGUGAACUGUCACUACUUUAGCCUUUUUUUUUUUUAAUUAUAGUGUGAUGGAGACAUUAAGGAUGAGCAUAAUAGUUAAAGAUGACUCAUUUCUCAUUUUCUUUUUAAAGUGCUCUGCUGAAAGCCAAACUUCCUUUGGCUAAUUAAUUUAGAAGUAAAGCAGAGAAUAAAGUCCUAGAUGCCUUCUGAAAUUAGAAAUACAUUUUAUAUGCUUUAAUUAUGAUUAUUUGGUAGACUAAAGACCUAAAAGAUAUGUCAAAAGUAUAAAACAGAGCGAUUAAAGAAAAAAGAAAAAAAAAACAGAGUAUUUGUGACGUAGAAUAACAAUUGGUAAAUAAAUCCUAAAUAUUUGAGUUGUUAAAAGCAAAUAUAACAGAGACGGUAAGAGAGAUGCUGAAACAGAAAACUAUUAGCUUAUCUUGAUUUUCCCACUAUAUUCAUUUUCGAUGCUUUUCAAACGAGAUUCUUUUAAUUCUUCUGGUGUCUCUUAUAGAUCUCCAUCCCACAUCUGCACUACGAACAAGUUGAUUAAAAUUAAAUACUGUUGGAGAUGUGGGGUGAGCGGUCAACUUGGUAAAAAAACUAUGUAUAAUAUUGUUAAUAAUAUAAAAUAUAAAAUAAUAAUUACAAAGAAUCAUAAAUUAGAAAAAUUAUUUAUUUUACAAUCUAUUUCUUAAGUAAGAUAAAUCUCGUAAUAAGUUAAGUUAUAAUGUAAAAAAUAUUUUCAAUUUAUAAUCAUUUAAGGAGUCAUUUAACAAUAAAAUCUUUCUUUUUUUGAUCAAUUGGUCAUGCUACAGAGCAUCAUCUAUUCGUGGUGAUAUUAUUAUUACUCCGUAUUCUCAAAAAACACGAUUUAACAUUUAGAGAAAGUUCCUACCUUUUAAAAAGAACAUGUAUGCAACAACUACCCAUACUUUAUCUUACCACGACAAAACUAAUAGUGACUAAAUCAAUUUUCUCGAAUAAAGAAAAAUUUCUUAAAAUUAAUUUAAUAUACAAAUAUGAUGACUUUUUGCAAAAAUUAGUUUUGGAAAAUUAGUGACAGAAAAUAGUAACGAUUAUUGUUUAGAUGUGUAAAUAGCCUAAACAUGAUCCCUAAUACCAAUAUCCACGUGCAUCUUAACACCUUUCGUCAUAUUCUUUCAUUCAUGGUCACUGGUUCAAGAUUUGAAUUUGAUCAUUAAAUCAUGUUCAAUAAUAUUAGAGAUCCCAACAAUUGAGUACCAACUUAAAUCCCAAUGCUAUGUGUCAUUAACAAAUGUUGUGUCAUUUAUAAUUAUUGAAUGAAUAAUUCGUUAAUUUAUUGAUAAAUGAAAAUUUAUUAAUUUAAAGAGAGAUAUUUUUUUUUUGGGUUUUAAGAAGAGUUUUGUUGGUACAUGUACAUACUUAUAAAGAAAUAAACUUGUAAUUAUACUAUAUCUUUCUUUCUUUAUUCAGUUUGGUGGGAUAUUGUGAUAAAUCAUUGGAUUAAAAUGCAUUUCUAAAUUAAAACUUGUUAAAAUCUAAUUUAUUUGGGAAGCGCAUAUUAUUUGUCAGUCGUACUUCUCAAGUCUCAACUUAGCAAGUUAUUUCUAACUUGUCAGUCUCUAUUUGUUCUCUAAAAGCUAAUAGUCUCGAAUCUCCCGCAUUUGAUAUCUUGCCAUUAUUGUUGGCAUUAACAUGUUACCUGAGAUUGGGAUUCAUUAAAAUCCUCAAUGUAAUCGGUGGAACGAAUGGAUUUCUUCUGUUCACCAAUCCACCAAAAUUUCUGUAAUUAAAUUCAAGAGUCAAGAUCUAUGCUUAUAAUCUAUUCUAACAGCUAAUAUUCUAUUUUAUAUUUACUUAAAUAUGAAGAGCUAUGCUUGUCAUUAACUUCAAAUGUGAUCGAAGCAGCCAUACAUCUGUAUAUUACUUAUUCCCAACCUUUUUUUUUGACUUCAUAUACUUUCUUUUCAUGUUAUUUACUCUUUUUUUCCCCUCUCUGACAAUUGAGGUAGGGGGUCAAACUUGAAAGUAUCUUAAAAUCAGACAAUUUUUUUUUUUUUUAAGAUAGCUGCUAAUAUGCUCUAUUAGACAAUGAUAAGUAAUAACCUAGUUGUUUGCAUUAGAAAUGAUAUUUUUUGUGGUGCUGAUAAAGAGGUUGAUUAUGAUUCAACAAUUUAAAAUAUGAAAACAUGUGGAAGACGGCCGCAAUUAAAUUGAUUGUAUGAAAAUAUUUCAAUGAAAUUUUAAAAAUUUAGUACUUGUUAUCUUAUCGAGAGUUUUUUUAAAUUAUAUUACUACUUGAACUUGGGUACUUGUUAUCUUAUCGAGAGUUUUUUUAAAUUAUAUUACUACUUGAACUUGGCUGCUUUUGUAUUGAAUUCCUAGCGUUGCCAUUGCUUCUACUCAAAAGCCAUUUAAGUUUGUGUAAGCUACCUAUAGUUUGAACAACAAUUUACUCAUGAAUUGUUGUUCAUAAUAGCAAUUUGAUUGAAAGUGCGGCUGCACUAAUUUUCUAGAUGAAUUUUUUCCUACAUGCUUGUUCUCGUAUGACCCAAAAUCCUGCUACAUCAGUUGUAUUAGAAAUUAAUACUGGGUUACAAUUAUGCAUCCCCACCAAUAUUUAAGCAAUUUAAUUACAGGAACAUUUCUUGAGGAAAGAAACUCAUAUCGCCCCUAGGCUUUUAAUGAGGCUCAUUUUUAUGAAUCUGGAUGGCAUUAGAUAUCUCUCCGAAUAUUGGUGGGAGUAUAUCGCAGAUCUCUGGGCUAUACUACAAAGUGUAUGUACGUUGACUCUCAAUAAAUACAAACGAUUCUCUGAUAUGAUUCAAAACAUCAGUGCACGCAUCAUUUUAACGAGAGAGAAUAUUCUAAGAACGAAAUUGAAGGUGCAAUCAACAACUAAAAUGAAGCCAGAAAUGUACACGCAUGAGGAAGUUUUCCUAGAAGAUUGAUAUUUCUUUAACUAGCAAACAAUACAAGUCCAAAGCUAACCAAACCAUACCUGCAAGUCCGGGGCUUAAAUGGAGUACUUGUAAGCAUAAAACAUUAAUCAAAACACAGUAUAGACACACACACACACCCCUACAUACAUACCAGCAAAUUCGAAAUAGAAAAAGGAGUGCAACUAUUCAAGUUUGUUGACAAUAUUGCAACCAUGGCAUAUUAAAGCAAAUCCUUAAAAUCAGCUAAACGAAACAAUUCCCUGUCUCAUGAAUCGAUGCUCAAUUAAAAUUGAAAUUGAAAGUCCGGCUGGUGUUGUUUCCCUCUCCAGGUUUGCCUACAUAAGUAAAGGGAAAUGAGAAUCAUAAAUGAAAAUCUGCUUCGAUCACUGUUCACAAAUCACUGUUCACAAAUCCCUAAUUCAAAAAUUACUGUUGAUUAUCGUUUUACAGCAGCGCCUCAGCUCCAGCCUUCACCCCGCAACGCAAGCAGCAGCCAGCGCGAACCAGUCGCGCCCAACGCAAGCCCCAGCAACCCAGAUUGUUAGCUCCAGCCGCGCGCAACGUAGCUGAGCAGCAGCAGACCAGCAGCGCGAACCAGCUCUCGCGCGCAACACAACGCGAACGCAGCAGUGCGUAGAUGCAGCCCAGCAACGCAGCGCGAACCAGCAAUGCAGCCUCACCAGCGCGCAACGCAAGCCCCCGCACGCGCAGCACCAGCAUCCCGUUUCUCGCAGCGCAGCAGCGCGCAACGCAGCGCAGCACCCGCAAAGCAAGCCUCACCAGCGCGCAACGCAAGCCCGCAACGCAGCAACGAGCACGCCCUGCAACGCAACCAGCUUACGCCUUGUAUUCCAGCCGGGUAAAUCGAAAUCCGUGAGUACAAUUAUUGUAACAAUGCCGAAGAGGAAAGCAUCCACUUCCAAGUCAUCGAAAAAGACACCCAUCGCAAAGAAAUCUAAGAUUGCCGCUCCCACUACGGUUCCAUGGAACACAAUUUCAGAUUCACGCCAAGCCGUGAGACAAAGAUCGAAGCAUGGAAAAGGCAUGAGUAUUUUGCCACUUGCGGAAUCCAAUCUCGAAGGGUGCCUUGCAUUCGCGACUCAACAAGAGAAAGAGAGGUACAAAGAUAUUUCCACGGGCAAAAUACUUCCAGCUAAGAAUUUUUGGAUAUGUCUAUGUUUGAAAGAACAUGUGUGGUUGAAUUCAAGGAGGGGAGAUUUCAGUUUACUGAACCAGGACCCACUCAACUUCCGAAGAAGCUUUAUGCUAGGAGUGGUGCUACCUCUGAUGACGAGUUUGACGACGACACUGCUGCCCCGCCAACUAUUCCUUCUACAUCCGCACCACCUUUGAGCAUUCAAUUAGAGAAAAUGGAGCACAAGCUGAACAAGAUGGAGCAGAAUUUGGCCGCAUACUUCGAGAGUGUGGGAUUUACCCCACCAUUUCCGCCAAGCCCAUAGACGUUAUGUGGAUCAAAGCUCACAAUUCAGGGAAGUUUCUUUUUGCCCUUAAUCCUUUAUCCUUACGCUUUAAUUUUUAUGUGAGCUUUGAUUAUCUUACAUUGGGGACAAUGUAAGUUCUUGGUGUGGGGGAGGGAUUUUUGCAUUAUUGAUGUCUGGAAUUAUUGUUUUCACUCUACUUAUUUUUUUUUUUCACUCUACUCAUCCUUAAAUGAUUUUGGAGUUAGUAUGCUUUAUAUAUUAUUAUUUUUUCUUUUCUUUUAUUUCUCACAACUUUUUUUUUCCCAUCUAUCUCAAAUUAUUUACAUCUAUUUUUAUUCUAUCAUACUGUUUCAUCGCUCACAUUUUAUCUUUCACUUUUCAUCUUUCUCACUUCUUAUCAUUUUUACCUUUCCUUUUAUAUAUCACCCAUACCUUCUUCUCAUUCUACACCACUAUUGAUGGUUGAUUCAUUUGAAGAGUGUACAUGAUUUGAUGGCAAAUUUACCAACUUUGUGAGGAUUUGAGCCUAUGAGCAACCACUUUGCUCUAAUAUUUUUGUUAUGUGAAUAUCAAUCUUAGUUUGUUUAUUCUAGAACUUGCUUUGUUAUGCAUGUUGAAGCCGCAUUACGGGAUUUUAUGCACUAAAAUGAUAAGGGCAAACCCUUUUCCAUUUUUCUAUUCUCGCAUUUUUUUUCUCUACCCGAAGAUCUUUAUUUGCUAUCUUUGUUUGAGCCUUAACAAUUACCCAUCUAAUUCUCUCCGUCUACUUAACCAUUUUUCUUCUUUUUUUUGAGCCUCAAUUUAAGGAGAUUUUUGGACUCAUUGUGUGGAUAUAUUUUGUUGCUUUUUCUACCUUGUAAUAAAGUUUCUCAAUUAGAUCAACAAGCAUUAUGCUUGAAUUAAAUUGUGCAAGGUUCGUUUCUUUUGUUUGAUUCAAAAACAAAAACAAAAAAAAAAAAACAAAAAACAAAAAAAAAAAAGAAAAAAAAAGAAAAAAAAAAAGAAAAAGAAAAAUCACAAAAAAAAAACAAAAAAAAAUGUUUACAUUCUUGGUGACUUAAGUAGAAAUAAGCAUUUUGAUAUCAUAAGUUCAUUCAAUGAGUUCAUUUUUCUCGUUUUAAUCUCUUUUUCUUUCGUAAACCUUUCUUUUUCAUUUAACCCAUUUAACCCCAUUACAACCCUCUUAAGACCCUUAGAUUUUUGCAUUUUAUUCAUGUUUUGUGGAUUGAGAUGUGAUAUAUGAGCAAGCUUAUGGUAAUAGCAUUCUUUGAUUUGAUUUGAGUGGAUAAAUGACACCCUAAAAACUUUGAGUGCAUGGAGUGAAGUUAUUGAGAGGGCUAUUAAAUCUUGUUGCACUUGAAUUUUGAAUGGAUCUCCUUGGUGGUUGAAUGUUCUUAUUCUAUCUUAUGAAAUUCUAUGCUUUAAAAUCCUUGUCUCUCGAAUGUUAAUCGACUUAAUUUCUUGAGGUAUGCUUUCUUAAAAUUGUUUUUGGAUGAGUUGAGAUGAGAAUUGAGUGGAGAUUUGAGAUUAAUCUUGAGUUAUAUGCUUGAGGACAAGCAUCAUCUUGGUGUGGGGGAAUUUGUUAGAGUGCAAUUUAUGCACUAGUUUUGCAUUGUUUACUUCCCUUAAUAUCGAUGUUUUACACUUAAUAAUAAUGUUUUACUUGUGUUUUACUUUUGUAGGUGCAAUUCUAUUGAUUGGUGAUAAAAUUGAGCUAAAAGAUGAUGUUUAAGGAGGAUUGUUCUCUUGGAGAAAUUAUGAGCGUCGAAAGAACUUUGUUGAUAAGGCGUGGGCGCGUGCUGUCAACUGCGGACCUGCAGUUUUUAGUUUAACGUGUUUUGUAUUUUUGGUUAUUUUUGUAAUUACGAAUUUAAUAUUUCAGAUAUUAGUAUUUUAUUUUAAAUAGAAUUCUAAAAGAGAAGAGAGAGAGAGUAUUUAAGGGAGGAAUCUAUUGUGAAAAGGGGGAUUUGGAUUGGAGAAAAAGAAAGAAACCCUAGAUCUAAUUUUUCUCUUCUCUCUAUGAAGAACUAAACCUAUUUUUCUGGUUGAAGGAUAAUGACGCUUUGAUUCAUCACUACUGUGAGAUUUUUCUUAUGCUUUAAUUGUUUUAUUACUUUUUGGGUAUUUGUUUAUUCUCUGAAUUAGUUUCAUGAUUAUGUUUGUUAAUUAGGUAAUUGUCCACUAUUUAAUUAUCAACUUAAUCUAUUGUCAAUUAAAGGAUUCAUCGUAUGAAGAAUUUAAUGUUUGUGACAAAUAACAUAGCAGAGAGUUGUGUUGUGAGAAUAAACAAUCUAAUUUAAAUGAAUCAUCAUAUGUGUUGAUUAGGAUUUGGGUCUCUCUGGUUUUUCAGGCUGUCAAUUGAUUAAAUCCUAUGAUCGUAUCAAGGGUUGUCUAUUGAUUAGGGAAAUAUCCAACGGUCGUACCUUGGUUAUCGACUAGUUAAGGAGAGAUUGGCUAUUAGAGGGUCUCAAUAGCUAUAACCGGUCUAUUCAUAAGUAAUAAUAAUAUAUAUUUGAAUCAAUGAUCAGUAGUCGAAUCAAGCUGAGUUAAUUCCUUCAACCAGAGCUUUCUCCAAUUUGAAUUACAACUUUAAUUUGCAUUUUGUAUUUAAUUUGAUUUUUAUUAUUGUCUACAAUUCCCCCAUUUUAUGUUUUACGUUUCAAAAGGAUUUAAAUAAUUACCGAUCUCUGUGGACACGACCCUGCUCAAUCACUAUACACAAUUUAUUUAGAGUAGGAAUUUAUUUUUGUUGGCUUCGACACCCAUCAGUUGAUUUGUGUUGUUUAUUGCUAGAUUUCGCAUAAUUGUUUGCUGAUUACUAGAACUGGCUCUGUUUGGAUCUGAUACCAUGUUUAAAAACAUAAAAAAUCACUGAUCAGUUUGUUUGGUUGCUAAGAAAAUUUGCUCUGUUUGCUGAGAAAGUUUCAAAGAAGAUUCUCGAUUUUUUUUAUUUCAUCUUUCUUACUUCACGAAUGAUUACAAACACACCUUUUAUACACAACUCAACUAGCUAACAGAAAGAAAGCUACAAAACAGAAUCUCAGUAAGCUUAACUAAUUUUGCUGAGCUGGCAUUACACACUUAACUAACUUCGGCUAACUAAAUUCUCACAUGUGCUAAGCAUGAGCAGACUGUUUGUACACAUUAUGUGCUUCUUUAACACAAUGGAGUUUUAAAAAUUUGGUACUUGUUAUCUUAUCGAAAGUUUUCAAAAUUAUAUGAAUGUUCAAACUUAGCCCCUCCCGGCACUGCCACUGCUUCUACGUGAAAGUCAUUUAAGUUUGUGUUAGCUGCCUAUAGAUUGAAUAACAAUUUUACUCCGGAUUUUUUGUCCAUUAUGAAAAUUUGAUUGAAAGUGCGGCUGCACUAAUUUUCUAGAUGAACUUCCCUACAUGUUUUUUCUCAUAUGACCCAGAAUACUGCUAUAACAAUUGUAUUGGAAACUAUUCAACUGGGUUACUAUUCUACAUCCCCACCAAAAUUUAAACAGUCGACAUUGUGGAAAGAAACUCAUUUCGCCACUAGGCUUUUAGUGAGGCUAAUUUCUCUGAAUUUGGACAGAGUAGAUUUCUAAGCUAAUGCUUGGAAGAUCUCUGGCGAUAUUACAAAGUGCAUGUACAUUGAGUCUUAAUAAAUAUAAACGAUUCUCUAAUAUGAUUCAAAACAUCACUACAUGCAUAAGUUAAUAAGAGAAAAAAUUAUAAGAUUAUUUAUGCAUCACCAUUUAUAGUUGCACCCUCUCUAAUGAAAUUGAAGGUGCAGCCAGCAAUUAAAAUGAAGCAGAAAUGUACAUUGACCCUUAAUAAAUAGAAACUAAGGCGUUAUCGAUUCAACUUCAGUUGAUCAAUUGCGGGUGAAAGAUAAAUAAAGGAUAAGAGAAUAGAGCUGGAGUGCUAAAUUGGCUAUUGAAGAAGGGUGUCACAUGAUCACAAUCACAUUGACGCACAACUCUUUGGAGGCAAAUUUUGUCUAUGUGUACUCUAAAUUCAGCCAAACCAUACAUGUAUGAACAGAAUUUAAACCGUAGUUCUCAUCACAAUAGUAAUUGAAGCUACAAAAGCCAGAAAAUCUGAACAAAAACUUAAAAGGAAGAUUUUAUUCAAGUUUGCCCCCAAAAGACAGUUGAAAUGAAAAAUAUUGACUAUUGAAUGGGUCAAUGCUGAAUUACAUUUCAAAUGGAAAGCUUGGCAACAGUUACAAUGUUUCCCCUCUGAUUUUCCUCCAAAACAAAUUCAGUUAUAAACAAUAACUGAAGUAGGAAUAAUUUAUUCAUCAAAGAAAAUACCCUAGUUUUCAACUAACAAAUCCUGCUAUCCAAAUUAAAAAAACUCGCAUCUCUAAAAUUUAUUUGUAAACUGUUGGAAAUGAGGAGUGAUCUGUCAACUCCGUAAAUAAACUCAGGCAUAAUAUUAAUAAUAAUUAUAAAUUACAUAAUAAUUAUUAUAAAGAAUCAUAAAUUGGAAACGCUAAUCAUUCUACAAUCUAUUAUAUAAGUAAGAUAAGUCUCAUAAUAAGUUAAGUUAUAAUGUAAUAAAUACUUUCAAUAUAUAAUUAUUUAAGAAGGCAUUUAACAAUAAAAUAUUUUUUUUUCUAUUCGGUUGAUCAUAUAGUGUUAUCUAAACUCUUGACGAUAUUAUUAUUACUCACUUUUCUAAAAAAAAAACAUGAUUAACGUUUAGAGAAAAGUCAUGCCCCUUAAAAAUAAUAUGUAUACAAGCUAUCCAUACUUUAUCUUACCAUGACAAAAUUGAUGGUGAUUAAAUCUACUUUUAAAAUAGAUUUAAUGCACAGAUAUUAUGACUUCUGGCAAAAAUUAGUUUUGGAAGACAUAAUGGUAGAAAAUAGUGAUGAUCAUUAUUUAAAUGUGUAAAUAGCCUAGGCAUAGCCUGUAAUACCAAUAUCCAUUUGCCUUUAUUUGGAUUAUCACAUUUCAUGAUAUUCUUAUAUUUAUGACCAUUGUUCGAGAUUUGAACUUGAUCAUAAAUUAAGCUGCAAGAGAUUUUACUUCAGUUUCUAAGCUUUUCAAUCGUGAUUCAUCCAUGCCUUUCUUGGAUACCAUUAUGUUACGUGCCAAUGUAACUGACCUUGUAAUUGGUGUGUAUAAGGAAACAUGCCCUUUCAAGAUUGUUUUCUUUUGUUUCCUUAUUGUAGUAGUCAAAUAAAUAAAGAACGAACAAUUGAACUUGGUCUACUUCGAGGAAAACCAAGGCCUGCAAUAUUAGAUGAACUUUGAACAAAAUUAAUCUACUGCUUUUAUUCAUCUUUGGACUAUGAAUUUAUACAAAGACUUUAACAAAAAAUAACAAAGACACAACUGAAUGAUAGCAACAAGUGCUGACUUAGCGGACUACUGCAACAACUAAAUAAAAACUAAAUAUUUAUUUUGACUGUAACAACAAUUGCCCUGAUGAAUAGGACUCCACAGCAGCCACGUGACAACUAAUUUCUCCUUAAUAUUAUUAUUAGUAGAAGUAGAUUUUCAAACUAGUCUUGAUAUAUUUCGAAGUUGUAUUAUUAUCAAUGUAUAUGUAUCUAGAUUGUAACUAUAUUUUAAAAAAUAUAAUUUUUUUAAUUAUUGCACAGUAAAUGUAGAAAAAUAUCUAUAAAAUAAUAUUAUUAGGACUAAGAAAAAAAUAUUAUUUUAUAUAAGUUAUUUAUUUAUUAUUGAAUGAAUAAUUUAUUAAUUUAUUGAUAAACGAAUAUUUAUUAAUUUAAAGAGAGAUUAUUUUGGUUUUAAGAAGAGUUUGUUUGGUACAUGUACACACUUAUAAAGAAACACAAAAGGUGCUUCCUCAAGUUAAUAGUAUUUGCUUUAAUCGCUAUAGUUCACAAUAAUAUAGCAUAGUUUGGAAAAUUGUAAUUAUACUAUGUCUACGUUUGGUACAAUUUUUCAAGAAGAACUUAUUUAAAUAGAGUUUUUGUUAGUAGAACAUUUAUAAAUAAAAUUUUUACUGAAAAAAUUUAAGUUAUUUGGUUGUCAUUGUCAAAAUUGAUGAACUUUUGAUCUUUUGUUAACAUGUGUUUUUUUUACUAAAUAAUAAAUGUUAGGUUACAAUUAUUUUCAAUAGUUUUUGAAGGAAUCAAGUUAUGAAAUUUUUAUCAAUGAACUUUCAAUAUGUCAGCAUAUGGUCUGUAAAAUUUGAGAGUUUUCCAAUGAGGGAAUAAUUUAUUAAAAAUAAGAGAAUAUGGAUUGUUCUGUUUUAAGGGCCGAUUAUUGAGGACAUUUGAGGUUGAGCUUAGGAGAUGUUUAAAUUGAGAUAUUUGAGGACAUUAUGUUAGCCUAAAGGGCUACACAUAAUGUAAUUUUGAUGAUAACAAACAUGUGUCUUAAGUAAAAAUAAUAAAUAUUGUAUUUCACAUUUUCACUAGUUUUUGAAGGAUAAUAUUUAUGCAAGUGAAUCAAGUGAAAUCAAGAUUGAAGAUACUCAACGGACAACGGCGACAUCAAGAAUAUAGUUUAGAGCUCAAUGAACAAAUUAGUGCGAUAAAUUCUUGUAAAGCCGGUAUGAUUUAAUUGAUGCAUGAUUUAGCAUUUGAGAAGCUCAAGAGAUUAAUUUAAUUAAAUACUUUUCAUAAACUAAAAGGUUUUAUUUUUAUAAAGUAAAGUAUUUUGUGGAUUUGAGUAAUUUGGACUUAAAUGCUAAGAUUUGAAAUCUUUGAUUUUAAUAAGUAUUAAAUUUCGGAGUUGGACGUUUUGAUAAACAUUUGAAAUGUUUUGGGUCAUACUAUAAUUUAUAAAUAUUUUGGACUAAAGUGAAAGGUUUUGAGAACUUUGAAAAAUAUGGGUAUUAUGUUGAAAAGGACCUUUGUGCGAACUAAAAAUUUCUUUGGGGCCAUAUCAUAAUUUCAGAAAGUUUGGGAAGACAACUACUCUUAGGAAGUUCUGAAAUUGGACCUAUUUGCAAAGUUUUAUGACAUUUUGAGCCAUAGUAUAAUUAUAGAAAGUUUUGAGCCAAAGUAUAAUUUUAGUGAACAGUGUUACUAUAGCAAUUCAAAAAUAACGGUAAUAUCACUGUUCCUGAGCGGCUAGCCGGAUAAAUCAAGCGGCUAACUGCUUGGGCGAGGGAAUUUGCCUAUAACGGCUAGUUUUCAGGCUUUAACUAUAAAAACUCAGCUCAAACUUCAUUCUAAGUACUAAUGCAUGCAAAUAUAAGAUCAUACAACAUAUAUUGAGCUUCCAAAAUGCAAAUCAUCAUUGAUUGAAUCAUUGUUGAGCUAUUAGUUGCAUAUCCACUCUUAAAGAGAGUUUUUGUUGUAAUUUUCAUUUCUUAUCAAAUUGUGAGUGUGUGAGUGUGUAAGUGUGGGAAACACUUGGGGUGAAGAGAUUGGGGAGAUAAUCUCUUGGUUGUAAAGGUUCAUUGACACCUUGGAAGUCAAUUGUAAAAACUUGAACCCUUGAGAGGCUUGGAUAGUGAAAUCCUCGAGCAUGGUUGGCUUGGAGGCGUGGACGUAAGCAGGGAUUGCCGAACCACGUAAAAAUCCGCGUGUUUGUUUCUCUCUUCCCUUGCUCUUUUAUUUUUACGCUUGUUUGAAUUUAUUGUUCUCUAUUUCAUUAAGGCGUUAGAUUGAUUUAUUGUGCGAAUUGUAUUGCAUUAUUUUUAAAAACUCAAUUCACCCUCCCUCUUGGGUUGCAUUACUUGCAUUUACAUUAGAGUUUAUGAUUGAGACUCGAUUAUAUCUUAUGAGAAAUUUAUUGAUGAUUUUAGGUUGAUGAUAACAGUACGCAUUUGUUACAUGAGGAUGCCAAGAGGUAAGUAAACUAGACUUAAAAACGAAUCACAAUAAACAAUAUAUAUGUUUGACUUGUAUGAAAAGUCUAUUUUGAUAUGUACGAAUAUAGAUUUAUAUGUCUCUACUCAUGUGUUUAUGUGAUGUGUUGUUAUGUAUUGGGCGUGAUUAUGUACAUAGGCAUAUGUAUGUGUGAUGGUUCAUUGUCAUGAGCACGAAAAUGCAUUGAGUUUUCUAUGAAUGAAAAGUGGAUUUUAGCAAAUGAGAUUUCUCUUUUAUGAGAUUUUGCAUUGGGGGCCACCUCUUGAGGGCCAGAGUGCCGCAAAGUACCACGCACAACACAAAGUGCCACAUUGCAGGAUACGUAUUUUAUUGAAAGGAAAUAUGAAAGUUUGAAAGCGACAGAAAGAGAUUUUUAUGAAUUUGUUUUACAGUAUUUCCAAAAGAUCAUGGCAUAGCAUCCAUCUACAUUAUGUAUAAGUAUGCAUGUUUGCUUAUUGAGUUUUGUACUCAUUAUAGUUUAUUAUGAUUCAGUUUCCAGAAGUCAGGAUUGAUUCGUGAUGAGUGAGAAGAUGAAUUUAAAUUGAGGAUGGUAGAUGGUUUGGCUAAAUUUUUAAGUUAUUCCGCUGGCUUUUGUAUUCGAGGCUCGAAUUUUAUCGGUUGUAAAGAGUUAUUUAAAUUCAUAUGUGAGUUGUAGUCAGAUUUGCCCUCGGAGUUCGGGUUGGGGCGUUACAGAUGCAGAAACAGAAAACUAUUAGCUUAUCUUGAUUUUCCCACUAUAUUCAUUUUCGAUGCUUUUCAAACGAGAUUCUUUUAAUCCUUCUGGCGUAUGCAGCCCUUGCUCUUCUUAUAAAUCUCCAUCCGACAUCUGCACUAGGAACAAGUUGAUUGAAAUUAAAUAACAUUAGAGAUGACGGACGGUUGAGCCGUUAACUCGGUAAAAAAACUCAUAUAUAAUAUUACUAAUAAAAAAAAAUAUAAUAAUCAUUACUAAGAAUCAUAAAUUAGAAAAAUUAAUUAUUUUACAAUCUAUUUCGCAAGUAAGAUAAAUCUCAUAAUAAGUUAAGUUAUAACGUAAAAAACAUUUUCAAUUUAUAAUCGUUUAAGAAGUCAUUUAACAAUAAAAUCUUUCUUUUGGUCAGUUGGCCAUGCCACAGAGUAUCAUCUAUAUUCGUGGUGAUAUUAUUAUUACUCCGUAUUCUCAAAAAACUUGAUUUAACAUUUAGAGAAAAUUCCUACCAUUUAAAAAGAACAUGUAUGCAGCAGCUACCCAUACUUUAUCUUACCCCGACAAAAUUAAUGGUGACUAAAUCAAUUUUCUCGAUUAAAGCAAAAUUUUCUUAAAAACGAUUUAAUGCACAAAUAUGAUGACUUUUUGCAAAAAUUAGUUUUGGAAAAUAUAGUGAGAGAAAAUAGUGACGAUUAUUGUUUAGAUGUGUAAAUAGCCUAAACAUAAUUGCUAAUACCAACAUCCACGUGCAUCUUAACACCUUUCGUGAUAAUCUUUCAUUCAUGGUCACUGGUUCAAGAUUUGAAUUUGAUCAUUAAAUCAUGUUCAAGAAUAUUAGAGAUCCCAACAAUUGAGUUCCAACUUAAAUCCUAAUGCUAUGUGUCAUUGACCAAUAUUGUGUCAUUUUUUGUUAACUGGGUGAUGAAUUUCUAGUUGAUAAAAUUACUUAAAAAUAUCUUAAAAAUCAGAUAAUAGUUAGCUUAAUUUUUUGAAGCUAACUGCUCAAGAUGCUCUAUUAGAAAUGAUAACCUAAUUAUAUAAAAAAAAAAAUGAUGUAUUUUUUUCGGUGUUGAUAGUGAGAUUAUCAUUCAACAUGUUAAAAUAUGAAAACAUAUGGAAGAAGGUUGUAAAUUGAUUGAAUGAAAAUAUUUCAGUGAAGUCUAAAAAAUUUGGUACUUGUUAUCUUAUCGAAAGUUUUCUAAAUUACAUUCGUGGCACUGCCACUGCUUCCAUGUGAAGGUCAUUAAAAUUUGUGUUAGUUACCUAUAUGUUGAAUAAUAAUUUUAUUCAUGAAUUGUUGCUCAAUAUAGCAGUUUCUAGAUGAAUUUUCCUACAUGUUUGUCCUCAUAUGACCUAGAAUGCUGCCAUAUCAAUUGUAUUGGAAAUUAUUCAAGUGGGUUUGUGCUCUAUACCCCCACCAAAAUUUAAGCAAUCUACAGAACAUUCCUUGUGGAAAGAAACUUAUUUCGCUACUAGGUGGGAGUAGAUUUCUAAGCUAAUGCUCGGCAGAUCUCUAGGCUAUACUAAAAAGUGUAUGCACUUUGACUCUCAAUAUAUACGAGUGAUUCUAUGAUAUGACUGAAAACAUCAGUACAUGCAUGAUUUUAUAAGAAAGAAUAUUCUAAAAUUAUUUAUGUAUCACCAUUUGAAGUUGUACCCUCUCGAAUGAAGGUGCAAUCAGCAACUAAAAUGAAGCCCGAAAUGUACACGCGUGAAGCAGUUUUUCUAGAAGAUUGAUAUUUCUCAAACUAGCAAACCGUACAAGUCCAAAGCUAGAAAAAGGAGUGCUUCUAAGCAGAAAACAUUGAUUAAAACAGAAUGCACACAAACAUACCAGCAAAUUCAAAAUAGAAAAAGGAGUGCAACUGUUCAAGUUUGUGGACAAUAUUGCAACCGUGGCAUAUUUAUAGCAAAUCCUUGAAAUCUGCUAAAUAAACAAUGCCCUGUCUCAUGAAUCAAAGCCGAAUUAAAAUUGAAAUUGAAAGUCCGGCUGGUGUUGUUUCCCUCUCCAGUUUUGCCCACAUAAGUGAAGGGAAAUGAGAAUCAUAAACUAAAAUCUGCUUUUACAGUUCUUAUUAGAUAGAUAUAAAGGGAUCUUUCUUUGUUUCUCUGCUGCAAUUUGUGGCUAUCCCACUCUGUUUUGCCACUCAAGCUUAGUCUACGUUGAGACACAAUUUUGACAUCAGAAGCAACCUCAAUUAGUUUGGCAUUUUUAUGACCUCCUUGUACGUUUUACGAUAAACAUAAAUCUACUGAGAAAGUGGGAAAAAAAGAAAAUGCAUAUAAAAGUAUGAGUUAUCAGACAUGAUUAAAACUCACCCAAUUCAAUCCAUUAGAUUCCGUAAGGAUAUAACUGGAUGUCAUACCGCCAUUCCAUAUCCUCGAAAGUCCGUAGCCUCUGUCUCAACUCUGUCUGAGGCCAAUGUAAAUCCAAUAUGCGCAAGCUCUUUAUGCACCACAGCUCUUCUGGAAGCUUUCUCAAGUAAGCACAAGGGUUGACAAUUAAGCUUUCAAGUUUUGGCAUUGCUCCAGCCCCCAUCGUCCACUCAUCUAGCCAAAACAUUGAUUUCAGGUGCAAAACCUUACGUUCCGGAAAGCAACCAGGGCCAACGCAGGCCAGCUUUCUUCCUAAAUACGAGUUUUGCUUCAGUUUCAGCACUUGAAGGCGUGGAAGCUUUUCCAGCAUUGGCAUGGGAUCCUCCAUUAGCUCAGUAUUCGAUAAGCUCAGAUGGCUCAGACUUGGAGGAAAUUGGUAUUCAGACAGGAUAAUCCGUGAGGGCUUGCUCUCAUUCACCAGCUUCAAGCAUUCAAGUUUGUGCAGUUCGCAUAGGCUUUUGGAAACCCCGGAUUGAUAGUAACUCAAAUCUCCAGAUAUUCUUAGACUUUGGACAAGAUAUUCUUAGACUUUGGACAUUUGGUAGUCUGCCCAAUAUAGCUGGACUGCAACUACUAGGAUGUAAGGCUGAUAAGAAAAUGAGAUUUUUCAGAGAGCUUCAAUAAUUUUUUGGAGGUGCGGGCAGAGUGAUGCAACCGAAGUUUAGAUGCAUGAGUUUUUGCAUCAUCCAAAUAUCCUCUGGUGAAUGAUCUAUGUAGCUAGAUGGCAUUUCUAGCGUUUGAAGGUUUAAAAGGGAGCAUAGCAGUGAAGGAAUGCAUUUGAGCGAAGGGAUAUUCAAUUUCAAAUACUUCAAAAGGAAUAAAUUUUCUAAUCCGGCUGGAUAUUGGUCGAGAACUGCAGAACCCAAGUUCAAUACCCGAAGGUAUUUGAACUUGUCGCAAUCUAUCAGAGCGAGAUGAUCGCUUGCCGAACUGUUAUUCAGAAAAGAUUGGAGAUACAUGUCAGAAUGUCCUAAAGAUAAAAACCCAGUCAGAUCUUGGGCAAUGACGCACCGUUUAACAUUUGCCACUGGCUCCUCUUCCCUGUCACGCAUCCAUACAAAUUCCGUCUUCUCUGCCACCGAGCACAGUAAAGUAAAUUCAAAACCUGGAACAUAAAACGCUUUAAUUGUGCCGCCGGCUCCUCUUACUCACUUGAAUGAAGCCGCAAUGGAUUAGUUCUUUCAAGUAAUGUUCUGCCGUCUCCUCACUGUUGUAUGGUAUGAAACCUUCAGCUACCCACAACUGAUAUAAUUGUCUCGUAGAUAUCUCAAUGUCUGGACGGAAGACAAACAAAUAGGUGUAGCAGACUUUCAAGUGAAAAGGUAACUCCAUCACAGAAUAAAUUUGUCUCCAAAUUGUCCGAAUCGCUUAGGCUUGAAGAUAAUUUUCUAAUGGCAUACUUCCAUAGUGUAGGAUGAAAAAUUGCCAGGCCUCAUACUUUAAUCUGAUCAAUGGUCCUCCAACGAGCACAGAAUCAGGCCGAAUCUUCUCUCCAUUUUCCAUUUCCAACGACACAAGGAGUUCUGGAUCAGUGACUGUUAUCAAUACUCUGCUUCCAUUCUCAUUAUCAGGGAGACCUUCUUCGAGAUCAUCCCAUAUCUCACUGUUAUCGAAGACAUCAUCAAGCACAAUAAAGUACUUCUUGUUUGUUAGGUAAUCUCGAAGAAUAGAUUUCUUCAAUUGAUAAUUGAAAGAGUUUGUAUAUAGUGUUUGGUUUAAGAGAAACUAACAAGAAAAUAAAAGAAAAUCAUAAAGAACCAGAUCUGAAAAUGAUCAUAUUCUCAUUUUUUGACUAAUGAUUACAACUUGUUAUUUAUAGUAAAGAUCAGAGGCGUCACGUAGCUUGUCAGUUUGUUGGAUCUAAUAUGCAUGCAGUACAGUUCGUUAUCUUUGCUGCUGAGCUGGAUAACUAACUCAACACACGUAAGCAUCAGCAGCUCCAUUUAAUCAGAUGCUCUCAUCUAUACCAUAUUAUCAUACUCUAUAACAUCCUCCCUCAAGCUGAACUGACCUGGAUGGACAUUCAGCUUGCUUCUUAGAUAGUGAAACUGAUUGAAGGUUAGUGCCUUGGUAAGAACAUCGGCAUUUUGGUCUUCACUGGGAAUGAACUGAACUGUAAUUUGCUUAGCUGUUACUUUGUCUCUGAUGAAGUGAAUAUCAAGCUCAACAUGCUUAGUUUUAGCAUGAUAAACAGGAUUGUGAGCUAAAGCUAUGGCACUUUGAUUAUCACACCACAUUAUGGGGGCUGUGACAAGAUGAAUAUGUAGCUCUUUCAGUAAGGACUGAAUCCAAGUAACCUCAGCUGUAGCUUGAGCCAAAGCUCUGUAUUCAGCUUCAGUGCUUGAUCUGGAAACUACUGCCUGUUUCUUAGACGACCAAGAAACCAAAUUUGAACCAAGAUAAACAGCAUAACCAGCCACUGAUUUGCGAUCAUCCUUAUCACAUGCCCAAUCUGAGUCACUAAAACAAUUUAUCUGCAUAGUGCCGUAAUGAUAAAAAUGUAAUCCAAAAUGAAUUGUUCCUUUCAAAUAUCUAAGAAGCCUCUUACAAGCCUCCCAGUGCUCUGCUGUUGGUGAAGCUAAAAACUGACUAAGUUUGUUUACAGAGAAAGCUAUUUCUGGCCUAGUGAGAGUCACAUAUUGUAAAGCUCCAACUGCACUUCUAUAUUGAGAACUAUUUGAAAUAACACUUCCUGACCCCUUUGUAAGAUAAUGACCAGUGGCCAUGGGAGUAGGAACUGGACUGCAGUCAGCCAUAUUGUGUUUGGCUAGAAUAUCAGCUAUGUAUUUAGAUUGAGAGAGAUAAAUUCCAGAUGCUGUUUUGGUAACUUCUAUCCCAAGAAAAUAACUCAAUUUGCCCAGAUCCUUCAAAGCAAAAGCAUUUUGCAUAUUGGUAAUCACUUGCUGCACCAUUUGAUCACUUGAGCCUGUUAUGAUUAUAUCAUCCACAUAGACAAGAACAAAAAUUACUUGAUCACCUAUCCACUUGUAGAAAAGGGAGUUGUCUGACCUUGAAUUUUGGAAACCCCAUUUCACAACCAUAGCAUCUUUCAGUCUCUCAAACCAUGCCCUGGGGGCUUGUUUUAAACCGUAGAGAGCCUUUUUCAACUUACAGACAUGAAGAGGUCGAGAUGGAUCAAUGAAGCCCUCUGGCUGCCCCAUGUACACAUCUUCAACUAAUAUGCCAUUCAAAAAGGCAUUAUUCACAUCCACUUGUCUGAGCUCCCAUUUAUUCAUAACUGCCAAACUUAAAAUAACUCUGACUGUGGAUGCUUUAACAACUGGACUGAAUGUUUCUGUGUAAUCAACUCCUUGUGUCUGAUGAAACCCCUUAGCCACUAACCUGGCUUUGUAUCUAGAAAUGGUUCCAUCAGCAUGAUAUUUUAUCUUGAAUAUCCAUUUGUUACCAACUACCUUAACUGGUUCACUUGGCAAAACCAGAUCCCAUGUAUGAUUAUUCUGAAGUGCUUGAAAUUCUUCUUGCAUUGCCUUAAACCAUUUUGGAUUAGAUAAAGCAGCUGAAACAGAAGUAGGUUCUGAAGGUAUGGCUAGUAAAGCAGCUAAAUAAGAUUUAGGCUUAAAUAUACCAGCCUUGGAUCUGGUUAUCAUGGGAUGACCUAUAGGUGGUGCAGCAGGUAAUAUAUGAGGAGGAGAUUGUGUAUGAUGUAUAGGAUGUGUAUGUGAUGUCAAAGUAGAAGAUGAAGAGGAGGUUGAAGAAGGAGAGAAUACCUGUGGAGUGUCAGCAGGUAGGUAAUCACUUGCUAGAGAUUGUUGCAGGGGGGAUUGUACUUGUGGGAUUGGAACAAGAGUAACUUUGGACUCUGAAGAAAUAUCUGAGGGACUGCAAGACUGAGCAAUGGAAGAGAAGUCUAAUCCAGAUACAUAUGGAAAAGAUUGUUCAUCAAAGAUGACAUGAUUGGACACAUACACACGACCAGAUGAAUGAAGACACUGAUACCCUUUAUGAGAAGAGCUAUACCCAAUAAAAACACAUCUGUUUGAUCUAAAACUGAGCUUGUGUCUGUUAUAAGGUCUGAGAUAAGGAAAGCAAGCACAACCAAAGACCCUAAGAGAGACAUAAUCUGGUACUUGCUGAAAAAGUUUUUGGUAAGGUGAAAUGUAUUCAAAGUUGGUGUGGGUAGUCUGUUAAUAAGGAAUACAACAGUAUGAAAGGCAUUCCACCAGAACUUAAGUGGUAAAUUAGCUUGAGCUAACAGAGUGAGGCCAAUGUCCACUAUGUGUCUAUGUUUUCUCUCAAUUCUUCCAUUUUGAUGAUGGAUAUGUGGACAAGGAUGCCUGAACUGAAUUCCAAACUGAGUGAGAUAUGAUGCAAAGGUUCUAAACUCCCCUCCCCAAUCUGUUUGAACUGUUUUGAUGUGUUGUUGUAAGUGUUUUUCAAUAAAAGAUUUGAAUUCUGUGAAAACUUGGAGUGCAUCUGAUUUGGCAGUCAAAGGAAAAAUCCAUGUGAAUCUGCUAAAAUCAUCUAAAAUGGACAAAUAAUAUAUAUAGCCUUGAGUGGAUGCAACAUGUGAUGGUCCCCACAAAUCAGCAUAUAUAAGUUGUAAUGGUGCUGUUGUUUUUGUUGGAAUAGAUCCAAAAUGUAAAAGGUGACUUUUACCAUGUUGACAGGCAUUGCAAAAGUUUGGAGUUUUAUUGAGUACAUUGAAACUAUUACAAGCUUUCAAUACAGAUUUGAGUGUGUGUAAGGCAGGAUGUCCUAGCCUUUUAUGGAAAACAUUGACAUCGACUGAGCUAGUAUUGACAGCCAAGGCUGAUUUACACAGCAAAUGAUGAGACAAAGUACUCUUACUUAUUUCAGGAGAAAUAUCACUAGACAAAGGAGAAUGAAAAGCAAACAAAGACUGAGGUUUAUUGGAAGAAAGUUGACAAGACAAGGCUGAGCUAGUUUCAGAGACUUGAGCUGCAGAUUGGACUUGAUACAAUCCCCCUGUUGCAAUUCCUCUAAGCAAAGUGAUCCCUGAGUUCCUGGCCUUGACAACACAGACAUUUGCAAAAAACUCAAGUGUCACAUUAUUAUCUACUAAGAGCUUUGAAACACUGAGUAAAUUUUUCUUAAUAUUUGGAACAUGAAGAACAUGGUUUAAACACAAGGGUUUAUUUGCAGUAGUAGCUAGCAAUACUGAUCCAAUAUGCUGAAUAUGCAAUGCAGAACCAUUCCCAACAAGCAAUUUGUCAGUUCCAACAUAUGGCUUGAGAUCCAGUAAUUUACCUGGGUCAUUUGUGAUGUGGUUAGUAGCACCACUGUCAAUGUACCAAGCUGGAUCUUCAAUCAUCUCAGGUGCAUGAGCUGGAACAGGGACUGAAGGAGAUCCAGAGUAAUCUCCAGUAGGAGCAAAAGCAUGAGCAGGAGAGUAACCACCAUGAGAAUUAGAUGGUUGAUAAACAUUGAAAGCAGCUGGAUCUGAAUACAUCAAAUGGCCUUGAUAACCAGGUGCUCUUGGUAUGUUGAAAUUACCAAACUGAGAGUUACCAAUUCCAGCACCAUAUUGAGGAUUAAGAUUUCUACCAAAAUUACCAAAAUUUCCAUAAGCCAUAGAAGACCUAUUGCCAUUAGCAUAGCCAAAACCUCUACCAUACUGCCUCUGACCAGGCCUAAAAUUUCCAUUAAAACCACCUCUUCCUUGAUUUCUUGAAGGAACAAAAGCUGAGUUAAACCUAUUCCUGCAUUUAUUGGCACCAUGACCAGGAAUGAAAUAGAUCUGACAUACAAUUUGUGAGAAGUUACCAUCACUAGAUCCAGCUCCAGAAUUAUAACUUCCUCCAUACGAUCCAAUGUUAAACUUCUGAUUACCACUAGUGUUUUUACUAGGAUUGAACUGCUUUUGAGCAACAUUAGCUGACAAGUUAUGUGUAACAUCACUUGCAAUUUUUCCUCUCUUUUGUUCCACAUGAUUUUCAUGACUCAAUAACAAUGAAUAAAACUCAUCAAGACUGAUAUUAUCUCCUCUAGCUAACACAGUAGUAACUAGUGAUUCAUAAUCAGAGGAAUCCAAUCCAGUCAAAACAUGUUGAACGAAAUCAUUCACUUCAACAGGUUUUCCAGCUAAAGCCAAGCUAUCAGAUAUCCUUUUCAUUUUUGCAAAAUAAUCAGUUAUGGACAUCGAGCCUUUUUUAAGAGUUUGGAUUUGCAUUUUUAGAGGCAUUAUUCUAGCUUGUGACUGGGAAACAAACAUACUUGUAAGUGUAUCCAGCAGCUCCUUUGCAGUUGAGCAGUGGAUCACAGUUGUCAACAGAUUCGGCUGAAUAGAUGAGAGCAUCCAGCUCAGAAUCAAUUGAUCCGUCUUUAUCCACAUUGUGUAAGCUGGAUUGAUCUCUUGAUUCUCUGUUCCAGUUGAGAAACCAGCAGCAGAGCUUAUAGCAGAGAAAAAUUUUCCCGGACAGACUUGAUUUCCAUUGAUGAAAUCUUCUAAACCAUUUCCUUUAAUGGAUAUGAGAAUCUGAGUUCGCCAAACAAUGAAGUUAUUAUGAUCUAGUUUUAUCGGAGUAAUAAAACUAUAGGAUCCAGAAUUUUGAUUCGAAUUUGCCAUUUGUUAGCUCUGAUACCAUGAAAGAGUUUGUAUAUAGUGUUUGGUUUAAGAGAAACUAACAAGAAAAUAAAAGAAAAUCAUAAAGAACCAGAUCUGAAAAUGAUCAUAUUCUCAUUUUUUGACUAAUGAUUACAACUUGUUAUUUAUAGUAAAUAUCAGAGGCGUCACGUAGCUUGUCAGUUUGUUGGAUCUAAUAUGCAUGCAAUACAGUUCGUUAUCUUUGCUGCUGAGCUGGAUAACUAACUCAACACACGUAAGCAUCAGCAGCUCCAUUUAAUCAGAUGCUCUCAUCUGUACCAUAUUAUCAUACUCUAUAACAUCCUCCCUCAAGCUGAACUGACCUGGAUGGACAUUCAGCUUGCUUCUUAGAUAGUGAAACUGAUUGAAGGUUAGUGCCUUGGUAAGAACAUCGGCAUUUUGGUCUUCACUGGGAAUGAACUGAACUGUAAUUUGCUUAGCUGUUACUUUGUCUCUGAUGAAGUGAAUAUCAAGCUCAACAUGCUUAGUUUUAGCAUGAUAAACAGGAUUGUGAGCUAAAGCUAUGGCACUUUGAUUAUCACACCACAUUAUGGGGGCUGUGACAAGAUGAAUAUGUAGCUCUUUCAGUAAGGACUGAAUCCAAGUAACCUCAGCUGUAGCUUGAGCCAAAGCUCUGUAUUCAGCUUCAGUGCUUGAUCUGGAAACUACUGCCUGUUUCUUAGACGACCAAGAAACCAAAUUUGAACCAAGAUAAACAGCAUAACCAGCCACUGAUUUGCGAUCAUCCUUAUCACAUGCCCAAUCUGAGUCACUAAAACAAUUUAUCUGCAUAGUGCCGUAAUGAUAAAAAUGUAAUCCAAAAUGAAUUGUUCCUUUCAAAUAUCUAAGAAGCCUCUUACAAGCCUCCCAGUGCUCUGCUGUUGGUGAAGCUAAAAACUGACUAAGUUUGUUUACAGAGAAAGCUAUUUCUGGCCUAGUGAGAGUCACAUAUUGUAAAGCUCCAACUGCACUUCUAUAUUGAGAACUAUUUGAAAUAACACUUCCUGACCCCUUUGUAAGAUAAUGACCAGUGGCCAUGGGAGUAGGAACUGGACUGCAGUCAGCCAUAUUGUGUUUGGCUAGAAUAUCAGCUAUGUAUUUAGAUUGAGAGAGAUAAAUUCCAGAUGCUGUUUUGGUAACUUCUAUCCCAAGAAAAUAACUCAAUUUGCCCAGAUCCUUCAAAGCAAAAGCAUUUUGCAUAUUGGUAAUCACUUGCUGCACCAUUUGAUCACUUGAGCCUGUUAUGAUUAUAUCAUCCACAUAGACAAGAACAAAAAUUACUUGAUCACCUAUCCACUUGUAGAAAAGGGAGUUGUCUGACCUUGAAUUUUGGAAACCCCAUUUCACAACCAUAGCAUCUUUCAGUCUCUCAAACCAUGCCCUGGGGGCUUGUUUUAAACCGUAGAGAGCCUUUUUCAACUUACAGACAUGAAGAGGUCGAGAUGGAUCAAUGAAGCCCUCUGGCUGCCCCAUGUACACAUCUUCAACUAAUAUGCCAUUCAAAAAGGCAUUAUUCACAUCCACUUGUCUGAGCUCCCAUUUAUUCAUAACUGCCAAACUUAAAAUAACUCUGACUGUGGAUGCUUUAACAACUGGACUGAAUGUUUCUGUGUAAUCAACUCCUUGUGUCUGAUGAAACCCCUUAGCCACUAACCUGGCUUUGUAUCUAGAAAUGGUUCCAUCAGCAUGAUAUUUUAUCUUGAAUAUCCAUUUGUUACCAACUACCUUAACUGGUUCACUUGGCAAAACCAGAUCCCAUGUAUGAUUAUUCUGAAGUGCUUGAAAUUCUUCUUGCAUUGCCUUAAACCAUUUUGGAUCAGAUAAAGCAGUUGAAACAGAAGUAGGUUCUGAAGGUAUGGCUAGUAAAGCAGCUAAAUAAGAUUUAGGCUUAAAUAUACCAGUCUUGGAUCUGGUUAUCAUGGGAUGACCUAUAGGUGGUGCAGCAGGUAAUAUAUGAGGAGGAGAUUGUGUACACACUGAUCCAUGUACAACACAUCUCUUGAUUAUCUGUGUGUGUGCUGCUCAUCAAUGAUUAACAAGAUACAGUAGUUUUGUGAAGUCUCAUGUCUUGUGUUACAAAAUUUUGUGAUGGAAAGAAGGAAUAAUUCAACUAAAAAAAAAAAACACACGCGCGCAGCACACACACAGAGGGCCGCAACUAGCCCUUGAACCCCUAUUGAACUCGCACAAGAUACUAUUGAACUAAAUUCAAAAACAGCUGUUAAUAGCAUCUUAAAAUAUGGGUUCUAUCCAUACUCCCACCUGAAUCAUUUCUUGCGGCAUGACUCAAAAAUAACAAUAAGCCUGUCGCACCGAUAACUCAUUAGUGCAAUUUUUUUAACUCAAAAAAUUGAUACGCGUUCAUUUAGCGAAAAGUCCAAGACGCUUGCCUUUUGAAAAGAAGAGGUAUCCAAUAGAUAUCCAACCUUUAUCUUAUUUAAUUACUACCACGACAUGAUUGAUGGUGCUUAAAUCGAUUGUUUCUUUUUUAAUUUAAAGAAUUUUUCAUUAAAAAAUAUUUUAAUAUCAAAUUGCCUUCAAUAGCGUAACUGCCGCAGGCCCAGUAACAAGAUUAAUUAAAAUUUUUUGAAUUUUUGGGCAUGGAAAGAGUAGUAUUAGACUUCAGAAAGCUUAAGGUUGUUAUGUUAAAGAAUUGAUAUUGACAUAAUUUUAUUUUGGUUUUCGGGAAACAAAUUAUUUGUUGACAAGCAAGAAAAUAUUUUUGUAUUUUACAAUUUAUUAUACAUAUUUUAUCAUAUUAAAGUAAUUUUAAUAAUAAAUAGACACAUAAUAUUACAACAAAUAAAGUAAAGUUUAAAUUAUUUUGAAUAUUAUAAAAAUAAUUUUAAUAUUAUUAAUAGGAAGACAUUUUGUUAAUUUUAAAAUCUUUUUAACCUAAAGGUUUAUUUAAAAUCUUUAGAAAUCUCCAUCCCACAUCUACCCUAUUAAACAAGUUGAUGGAAAUUGAACAAUUGCUUUUUGAAGUGGACCCAUUGAGUUAUGUUCAUUACUGGUCAUUGUCUAUUCUUUCUAAGAGCCACUUGUUUUGAGCAUUAGCAAUCCUAUCUGGACUACUCCAAUUAUUGAUGUAACUCCAAUGGUUGCAUCAACAGUUGAAUGUAAGAUAGUGUUAGUUCUUUUUUGAGAAUAUAGAGGGAUCUUUAUUUGUUUCUCCGUUGUAGCGUAUUAGUAUAAAUUUCUUUACCUUACAGUUCCUACAGUCUUCCUGUUAAUGAAUUCGCUGAGGCAUUAUUGAUCCAAUCUCAGUGAAGUAAUUGUGGGUGAAAAAAAAAAAUAAAGGAUAAGAGAACGUAGCUGAAGUGCUGAAUUGACUAUUAAAGAAGAGCGUCACCUGAUCACAAUCACAUUGAUGCACAACUCACUCAGAUCAUUACAACGUCCUUUUCGCUAAUUAAUUAUGAUUAUAUACAUUUUCAUAUGGCAAGUGGCAUUGUAGAUCUAAACUACGUUGCUAUUUCAUUACGUUAAUUAAGUGAUUCUCCUCAUUGUCAUCAGCGCUUUUUGGGCAUGGAAAGAGUAGUAUUAAACAUUAGAAAGCAAAGGUUGUUCUGUCAAAGAAUUGAUAUUGGCAUAAUUUUAUUUUUGCUUUCGAGUAAAAAAAAAAAAAUUGUUGACAAGCAAGAUACUGUUUUUAUAUUUUACAGUCAGUUAUACAUAUUUUAUCAUAUUAAAGUAAUUUUAAUAAUAAAUGGAAACAUAACAUUACAAUAAAUCAAUUAAAGUUUAAAUUAUUUUGAAUAUUAUAAAAAAUAAUUUUAAUAUUAUUAAUAGGAAGAUAUUUUGUUUAUUGUAAAAUCUUUUUAACCCAAAGGUUUAUUUAAAAUCGUUAUAAUAAAUAAAAAUAUAAAAACAAAAUAAAUAUCAUAAUUUAAAAUUUUAAUAUUAUUUUAAAUAUUAAAAAUACUUUAAUGCUAUUAGUCUACUACCCAGGUUAUAUUACGUAUAUUAUAUUUGUAUAAAUUAAAACUUUUAAAGUUAAAUUUUUAAUUACUAUAUUGAAAAGUUAUUAUGGUUAAAAAAAGUUUUGGCAUUUCUUUUUGAAAAUUUGAGGGUCUGCAUGACAAUUUGUCCAAAUCCUAGAGGUAUAGGUGUCUUUUUUUUUUUUCGAUAAUCAUUUUACUUUUGAGGGAAUCCGAUGAGAAAUAAGAUAAGAGAAACGUCAAUUUAAGGUUCUCUAGGGAAAACCAAGAACUAUUCAAUUUUGUAUUUUUUGUUUGUAAAACGAAAAACAGUUUGCCAAAAAAGGUACCAAACAUAUCCUUAAUGUCUCACAUGAUUUCUUAUUAAGUCCAUACUCGAUAUAUUUAUACAUUUUAGGUAUUUUAGUUAUAAAAGAAGUUGGUCCUCCCUUUGUUUAUAAAAGGUAACUUUAUUUCGAGAUUACCACUAAAGUCUUGCAAAGAAUUAGUGUAAUGUUAAGAGAGAAUAACACAGUUUUCCAUUACCAUUUUGAAAAUAGAAAGAUGUGGAUGUGUGCAUUUAAUAUUGCGUUUACUUGCUGGAUUGAGGAAUCGGAAUCUAGAAUCGGAAUGAUUGAUGGUGUUUACUUUGCAAAUAUGGAGCAGGAAUCGGAAUUGGAAUGGUGGGGGCCACCACUAUUUGGGAAUGGGAGAUUGAUUCUCAUGGGGGAAGGUGGGAAUGAGUCUCCCAUUCCCUGGAUUGACCAUUUUGCCCUCCCUCAAAAUUAAAAAUGCCUACUUUGUCCUCUUUUAUAAUUAAUUAAUAUAAUAUUAUAAUUACUUAAUUAAUAUAUAAAUAUUUUAUUAACUAUAAUUAUUAAAAAUUAUAGUUCUUGAAUAAAUAAUCACAAUAAUUAAUUUAUUAUUAUUAUUGUUAUUUUAAUUAAUUAAUUAAUAUACUAUUAUAAUAAUUAUUAAUAUAAUUAAUUUAUAUAUUAUUAUUAUUAUUAAUGAAUUAAUAUAAUUAUUACUAUUAAUUAAUAUAUUAAUAUAUUAUUAACAAUAAUAUAUUAAUAAUUAUUGUUCGUGAAUAAAUAAUCACAAUAAUUAAUAUAUUAUUAUUGUAAUUAAUUAAUUAAUAUACUAUUAUAAUAAUUAUUAAUAUAAUUAUUAUAAUUAAUUCAUAUAUUAUUAUUAAUUAAAUUAAUAUUAUUAAAUAAAUAAAUAAUAUAAUUAUUACUACUAAUUAAUAUAUUAAUAUAUUAUUAAAAAAUAUUAAUAAUUAUAAUUUUUGAAUAAAUAAUCACAAUAAUUAAUAUAUUAUUUUAAUUAAGUAAUUAAUAUUAAUAUUAAUAUUAUUAGUUAAUAUAUUUUUAUAAUAAUUUUUAAUAUAGUUAUUAUAAUUAAUUAAUUUUUUUUACAAUUAAUUAAUAUAUUAGUUAAUAAUAAUUAUGACAAUAAUCCAUUAAGUACUUUUUAGUAAUUUGUUACAAUCUAAUUCAUUCCGAUUCCGAUUUCAAGACAAAGUAAACACAUUAAUGGCAAUUUAGCUCAUUCUGAUUUUGAUUCCUACAGUUCAAGUAAACAACUUAUUUUGAUUCCUAUUACAUAUUCCCAUUCCAACCCAUUCUCAUUUCUGUCCAUUCUCAUUUCUGCCCAUUCCGAUUUUAGCUCAUUCCGAUUUCAGUUUAGUAAACGCAGUAUAAGAGUUAUCAUGAAAAUCAUACAAUUCAAUUUCCUGAAAUAUAUAUUUUAUUCACAUGUGCCAAAAGAAUAAAUAGAUAGAAAGUAAAUUUACAAUCCUCACUCCCUCACAAUUGUUAAAGUGAAUAUGCAUUACAACUGUGAACUGUCACUACUUUAGCCCUUUUUUUUUUUUCAAUUAUAGUGUGAUGGAGACAGUGAACAUUAAGGAUAAAGUGCUCUGCUGAAAGCCAAACUUCCUUUGGCUAAUUAAUUUAGAAGUAAAGCAGAGAAUAAAGUCCUAGAUGCCUUCUGAAAUUAGAAAUACAUUUUAUAUGCUUUAAUUAUGAUUAUUUGGCAGACUAAAGACCUAAAAGAUAUGUCAAAAGUAUGAAACAGAGAGAUUAAAGAAAAAAGAAAAAAAAAAAAAAACAGAGUAUUUGUGACGUAGAAUAACAAUUGGUAAAUAAAUCCUAAAUAUUUGAGUUGUUAAAAGCAAAUAUAACAGAGACGGUAAGAGAGAUGCAGAAACAGAAAACUAUUAGCUUAUCUUGAUUUUCCCACUAUAUUCAUUUUCGAUGCUUUUCAAUCGAGAUUCUUUUAAUUCUUCUGGUGUCUGCAGCCCCGGCUCUUCUUAUAAAUCUCCAUCCCACAUCUGCACUACGAACAAGUUGACUGAAAUUAAAUAAUGUUGGAGAUGAGGGGUGAGCCGUCAACUUGUUAAAAAAAACUCAUGUAUAAUAUUAUCAAUAAUAUAAAAUAUAUAAUAAUUGUUACAAAGAAUCAUAAAUUAGAAAAAUUAAUUAUUUUACAAUCUAUUUCUUAAGUAAGAUAAAUCUUGUAAUAAGUUAAGUUAUAACGUAAAAAAUAUUUUCAAUUUAUAAUCAUUUAAGAAGUCAUUUAACAAUAAAAUCUUUCUUUUGAUCAUGUGGGCAUGCCAUAGAGUAUCAUCUAUAUUCGUGAUGAUAUUAUUAUUACUCAGUAUCCUAAAAAAAACACGAUUUAACAUUUAGAGAAAAUUCCUGCCUUUUAAAAAGAACAUGUAUGCAAUAGCUAGCCAUACUUUAUUUUACCACAACAAAAUUGAUGGUGAUUAAAUCAAUUUUCUCAAUUAAAGCAAAAUUUUAAAAAUUGAUUUAAUGCACAAAUAUGAUGAGUUUUUGUAAAAAUUAGUUUUGGAAAAUAUAGUGAGAGAAAAUGGUGACGAUUAUUUUCAGAUGUGCAAAUAGCCUAAACAUAAUCUCUAAUACCAAUAUCCAUGUGCAUCUUAAUACCUUUCAUGAUAUUCUUUCAUUCAUGGCCAUUUGUUCAAGAUUUGAAUUUGAUUAUUAAAUCAUGUUCAAUAAUGUUAGAGAUCCCAACAAUUGAAUACCAACUUAAAUCCCAAUGCUAUGUGUCAUUAACAAAUGUUGUGUCAUUUAUAAUUAUUGAAUGAAUAAUUCGUUAAUUUAUUGAUAAAUAAAAAUUUAUUAAUUUAAAGAGAGAUACUUCUUCUUUUUUUGUUUUAAGAAGAGUUUUGUUGGUACAUGUACAUACUUAUAAAGAAAUAAACUUGUAAUUAUACUAUAUCUUUCUUUCUUUGUUCAGUUUGGUGGGAUAUUGUGAUAAAUCAUUGGAUUAAAAUACAUUUCUAAAUUAAAACUUGUUAAAAUCUAAUUUAUUUGGGAAACGCAUAUUAUUUGUCAGUUGUACUUCUCAACUUAGCAAGUUAUUUCUAACUUGUCAGUCUCUAUUGGUUCUCUAAAAGCUAAUAGUCUCGAAUCUCCCGCAUUUGAUAUCUUGCCAUUACUGUUGGCAUUUGUUAAGUAUAGCUGAAGCUGGUGACGUGUAUAAGCUGCUGAUGAAGCUGCUGAGUUGGCUGGCUGGUGAUGUGUAUAAACUGAAGGUGCUGAGCUGGAUUGGGUUGUUGUUCACACCAACUAAAGAUGUAACAGAUUAUCCAGCUGGCUUGUUAUGAUUGGAAGUUAGAUUAGUUUGUUAAUACAGCAAACAAUGAGCUCUGUUUUGGUAGUUAGUUUUGAGUGUAACUAUAAAUACUGGCUAACAUGUUUUCAGUGUUAAGCUUGAGUUUUAAUCAAUAAAAAUCAAUUCAGUUAAAGUUUCUUUGUUAACUUUCUUUCACUUUCUCACUUGCCAAACAACCUAUUAAUUCUAAAAUGGUAUCAGAGCUUGCACCUAUGUCAGGAUCUAAUCAUAUAGCUUCCUCAUCACUUUCAUUCAAUUUUGUUCAACCUAUAAAACUCGAUAGAUCAAACUACUUGGUGUGGAAAGCUCAAGUUAGAACAUCGAUCAUUGCUAAUGGACUUGAGAGCUUCAUCAAUGGUGAGAGUGUAUGUCCAAAAUGUUAUCUCAUUGAUUCUAUUCAAGAACUUCAAAGAUCUGGAGCUGAAACAUCACAGAAGCAGGAAAAUCCAGAGUAUAUCUUAUGGAUGAAAACUGACAAACUUCUGCAGAGCUGGAUGCUUUCGUCAAUGGUGGACAAUGUAUUAAUCAUGGUGAUCAAUUGUGAAACAUCACUUGAACUUUCGGAGAUGCUUGCUAGAAUCUUCAUGUCACAAUCCAAAGCGAGAUAUCUGCCUUUGAAGAUGCAGAUUCAAUCAACAAAUAAAGGAUCUCUCUCCAUCAGUGAUUACUUCAAAAGGAUGAAGAAAAUUGCUGAUAGCUUGGCCAUUGGAGGUAAUCCAAUUACUUCGAAUGAACUGAUUAUUCACUUGCUUACUAGAUUGGAUGAAAACUAUGAAUCCAUAGUCACAAAUAUACUUACUAGACUGGAAAAAGAGAGACUUACUGCUGAAGAGGUGUACUCUAUGUUACUUAGUCAUGAAACUAGGUUGGAAAUGAGCAAAGGAAAAUCACAUAAUGAACCUCUGCAUGAUAUGACAUCAAAUUUUGCUCAGAAAGGCCAAGGUUAUAAUACUGGUCCUGGAAGAGAUGUUGUGUGUCAAAUCUGUUACAUUCCAGGCCAUGGAGCUUAUAAGUGUAAACAUAGAUUCAAUCAAGGGUUUAUUCCUAGAAACAAAGGCUUUGGUGGUUUCAGGCCAAGAGGUGGAGGUCAGAAUUAUAGAGGAUUCCCUAGAAAUAAUCAGAAUUAUUUUGGUAGAGGUUCUGGAUACAAUAGUUCUGCUUUUGGAUCUGGAUUCAGACCUAACUUUCCCAGGCAAGCCGGACCUACUGGACCUUUCUUUGGCUAUGUUGCCUAUCAGAAUCCAGGAUUCAUGAAUCCUCAAGGUGCCUUUGACUUUCCAAGUGCAAAUGGUGAUUAUACUGGUGUUCCAACAGCAAACAUGUAUGUUGGAAAUUAUGGCAUUCCUCAUAAUGUCUCUCCCUCUGCACAAUUGGCAAACUUCAGCAAUGUAGCUGAUUCAGCCUGGUACCUUGACUCUAGAGCAACAAAUCACAUUGCUCAAGAUGCAGGUAUACUUUCUAAGUGCUCAACUUACCAUGGCCUUGAAAAACUACAUGUAGGAAAUGGUAUGGGGCUGCCUGUUCAUAAUGUUGGUUUUGUUGCUGUUAAAACCUUGACUACAACACCUAUAUACCUAAAUCAUGUUCUGCAUGUCCCUAAAAUUACUAAAAACCUUAUCAGUGUUUCCAAAUUGCUUGCUGAUAACAAUGUUUUUAUUGAGUUUUACAACCAUGUUUGUUUUGUUAAGGACAAGAAUUCAAGAAUCACAUUGCUCAAGGGGAUUGUUAGAGGAGGUCUUUAUCAAGUUUCAAGCUUAAAUACAGUCUGUGAUAACUCCAGUUCAGUGUUCCCAGUGUCAACCACUUCUGAGUUUGUUUUUACUUCAAUAAGUACAUUCCCAGCAACUCCAGUGUCUAUGUUUACUCAACUAAGUUCAUUUGAUACUAAGUUUCACUCUUGUAUGCUUGUAAAUAAUUCUCAAAUCAAUAAGAAUGUCCCUGUGGCUCACUUUGCUUCAUAUAACAAGCCUAUUGAUUAUAGUUUACUGCACAAAAGAAUGGGUCAUCCAACUACUCAUGCUUUAAAACAGAUCAUGAAAUGCCUGAACUCAAAUUUUAUUCUUCCCAAAGAUUUCACAACACAGUUCUGUGAUGCCUGUCAACUAGGCAAGUGCCAUACGCAGCAUUUUCCCUCCAUAGAAACUUCAACCACUCAGCCCCUUGAAUUACUACAUGCUGACCUUUGGGGACCAGCUCCCAUUACCUCUUCACAAGGUUACACCUACUAUCUAUCUAUCUUAGAUGACUACACUCGAUACACUUGGAUUUUUCCUCUCAUUGCCAAAUCCAAAACCUUGUCAGCCUUUAUUGAAUUCAAAAACAUGAUUGAAAACUGCCUGAACUUGAAAAUUAAAUGUUUACAAACUGAUUGGGGUGGAGAAUUCAGGCCUUUUGUGUCAUAUCUUUCUAACCAGGGUAUACAAUUUUGACAUCCCUGCCCUUAUAUCCAUCAUCAACAUAUUACCUGAGAUUGGGAUUCAUUAAAAUCCUCAAUGUAAUCGGUGGAACGAAUGGAUUUCUUCUGUUCACCAAUCCACCAAAAUUUCUGUAAUUAAAUUCAAGAGUCAAGAUCUAUGCUUAUAAUCUAUUCAACAGCUAAUAUUCUAUUUUAUAUUUACUUAAAUAUGAAGAGCUAUGCUUGUCAUUAACUUCAAAUGUGAUCGAAGCAGCCUUACAUCUGUAUAUUACGUAUUCCCAACUUUUUUUUGACUUCAUUUACUUUCUUUUCAUGUUAUUUACUCUUUUUUCCCCCUCUCUGACAAUUGAGGUAGGGGGUCAAACUUGAAAGUAUCUUAAAAUCAAACAAUUUUUUUUUUAAGAUAGCUGCUAAUAUGCUCUAUUAGACAAUGAUAAGUAAUAACCUAGUUGUUUGCAUUAGAAAUGAUAUUUUUUGUGGUGCUGAUAAAGAGGUUGAUUAUGAUUCAACAAUUUAAAAUAUGAAAACAUGUGGAAGACGGCCGCAAUUAAAUUGAUUGUAUGAAAAUAUUUCAAUGAAAUUUUAAAAAUUUAGUACUUGUUAUCUUAUCGAGAGUUUUUUAAAUUUUUCUACUUGAACUUGACUGCUUUUGUAUUGAAUUCCUAGCGUUGCCAUUGCUUCUACUCAAAAGCCAUUUAGUUACUCAUGAAUUGUUGUUCAUAAUAGCAAUUUGAUUGAAAGUGCGGCUGCACUAAUUUUCUAGAUGAAUUUUUUCCUACAUGCUUGUUCUCGUAUGACCCAAAAUCCUGCUACAUCAGUUGUAUUAGAAAUUAAUCAACUGGGUUACAAUUAUGCAUCCCCACCAAUAUUUAAGCAAUUUAAUUACAGAAACAUUUCUUGAGGAAAGAAACUCAUAUCGCCACUAGGCUUUUAAUGAGGCUCAUUUUUAUGAAUCUGGAUGGCAUUAGAUAUCUCUCCGAAUAUUGGUGGGAGUAGAUAUGCUACAAAGUGUAUGUACGUUGACUCUCAAUAAAUACAAACGAUUCUCUGAUCUGAUUCAAAACAUCAGUACAUGCAUCAUUUUAAUGAGAAAGAAUAUUCUAAGAACGAAAUUGAAGGUGCAAUCAGCAGCUAAAAUGAAGCCAGAAAUGUACACGCAUGAGGAAGUUUUCCAAGAAGAUUGAUAUUUCUUUGACUAGCAAACCAUACAAGUCCAAAGCUAGCUAAACCAUACCUGCAAGUCGGGGGUUUAAAUGGAGUACUUCUAAGCAUAAAACAUUGAUUAAAACAGAAUACACACAUACAUACCAGCAAAUUCAAUAUAGCAAAAGGAGUGCAAAAGUUCAAGUUUGUAGACAACAUUGCAACCAUGGCAUGUUUAUAGCAAAUCCUCGAAAUCUGCUAAAUAAAACAAUGCCCUGUCUCAUGAAUCAAUGCUGAAUUAAAAUUGAAACUGAAAGUCUGGCUGGCGGUGUUUCCCUCUCCAAUUUUGCCUACAUAAGUGAAAAUAAGAAUAAUAAAUGGAAAUCUGCUUUUACAGUUCUUAUUAGAUAGAUAUAAAGGGAUCUUUCUUUGUUUCUCUGCUGUAAUUUGUGGCUAUGCCACUCUGUUUUUCCAGUCAAGCUGAGUCUACGUUGAGACAUAAUUUUGACAUCAGAAGCAACCUCAAUUAGUUUGGCAUUUUCAUGACCUCCUUGAAGGUUUUAUGAUAAACAUAAAUCCACUGAGAAAGUGGGAAAAAAAGAAAAUGCAUAUAAAAGUAUGAGUUAUCAGAUAAGAUUAAAACUCACCCAAUUCAAUCCAUCAGAUUCCGUAAGGAUAUAACUGGAUGUCAUACCGCCACUCCAUAUCCUCGAAAGUCCGUAGUCCUUGUCUCAACUGUGUCUGGGGCCAGUGUAAGUCCAAUUUGCGCAAGCUCUUUAUGCACCACAGCUCUUCUGGAAGCUUUCUCAAGUAAGCACAUGGGUUGACAAUUAAGCUUUCAAGUUUCGGCAUUGCUCCAGCCGCCAUCGUCCACUCAUCUAGCCAAUACAUUGAUUUCAGGUGCAAAACCUUAAGUUCGGGAAAGCUACUCAAGCCAACACAAGCAAGCUUUCUUCCUAAAUACGAGUUCUGCUUCAGUUUCAGCACUCGAAGGCGUGGAAGAUUUUCCAGAAUUGGCAUGGGAUCCUCCAUUAGCUCAGUAUUUGAUAAGCUCAGUUGGAUCAGACUUGGGGGAAAUUGGUAUUCAGACAGGACCAUCCGUGAGGGCUUGCUCUCAUUCACCAGCUUCAAGCAUUCAAGUUUGUGGAGUUCGCAAAGGCUUUUGGAAACCCCAGAUUGAUAGUAACUCAAAUCUCCAGAUAUCCGAAGAGUCCGAACACUAGGUAGUCUGCCCAAUAUAUCAGGAGUACAACUACUAGGGUUUAAAGCUGAUAUGAAAAUGAGAUUUUUCAGAGAGCUAGAAUAAUUUUUUGGAGGUGCGGGCAGAGUGAUGCAACCGAAGUUUAGAUGCAUGAGUUUUUGCAUCAUCCAAAUAUCCUCUGGUGACUGAUCUAUGUAGCUAGAUGGCAUUUCUAGUGUUUCAAGGUUUAAAAGGGUGCAUAGCAGUGAAGGAAGGCAUUUGAGCGAAGGGAUAUUCAAUUUCAAAUACUUCAAAAGAUAUAAAUUUUCUAAUCCGGGUGGAUAUUGGUCCAGGACUGCAGAACCCAUGUUCAAUACCCGAAGGUAUUUGAACCUUUUAAAAAAAUUCUCGCAAUCUUUCGGAUUAAGAUGAUUGCUUUUUGAACUGUGAUUCAGAAAAGAUUGGAGACACAUGUCAGAAUGUUCUAAAGAAAAGAACUCAAUCAGAUCAUCGUCAAUGACGCACCGUUUAACAUUUGCCACUGAUUCCUCUUCCACGUCAUGCAUCCAGACAAAUCCCGUCUUCAUUGCCACAAUAUACAAUGAAGUGUAUACAAAACUUGGAACAUAACACGCUUUAAUUGUGCCUCUGGCUCUUCUCUUACUCACUUGAAUGAAGCCGCGAUGGAUUAGUUCUUUCAAGUAAUGUUCGGCAGUUUCUUCACCGUUGUAUGGUAUGAAACCUUCAGCUACCCACAACUGAUAUAAUUGCUCCGUAGAUAUCUCAAUACUUGGAGGGAAGACAUACAAAUAGAUGCAGCAGACUUUCAAGUGAAAAGGCAACUCCAUCACAGAAAAAAUUUGUCUCCAAACUGUCAGAACCACUUCGCCUUGAAGAUAAUUUUCUAAUGGCAUACUUCCAUAGUGUAGGAUGAAAAAUUGCCAGGCCUCAUGCUUUAAUCUGAUCAAUGGUCCUCCAAAGAGCACUGAAUCACGCCGAAUCUUCUCUUCAUUUUCCAUUUCCAACGACGCAAUGAGGCCCGGAUCAGUGACUGUUAUCAAUACUCUGCUUCCAUUCUCAUCACCAGGAAGAAGUUCUUCGAGAUCACUCCAUAUCUCACUGUUAUCGAAGACAUCAUCAAGCAAAAUAAAGUACUUCUUGUUUGUUAGGUAAUCUCGAAGAAUAGAUUUCUUCAAUUGAUAAUCUUCACCGAUAAUUACACUAACCCGAGAUGGAGGCAUCACAGACUUGAUUAUGUCAUCCAACAUCUUGCCAAAAUCAUAGAAUAUAGAAACCCUGACCCAAGCAAGACAGUCAAAAUAGAACUUGACAUGGUUAUUAUUGUAAGUAUCUUCUGCAAAAGCAGUCUUAUCGAAGCCACUGCUGUCGAGAAUUGUAACCACUGCAAGCCGAGGGCGUCCUUCAAUCAAUAAAUCAAACAACUCCUCCCUGCCCCUUUCAAAUUCAUUGAUAUCAAGCCGAGGUUGUCCCUCACUCAAUAGGUGAAUGAUUUCGUUACUUUUUUUACUGAUAUCAAAACCAUUGUCGCCGGGUGGAAGUUGUUGCAUCCGAUUACUAAUAUCAAUGAUUUUACUGUGGAGACCAGCAAGAAGAGCCAUAUUAGUACUGCUUUCACUUUCGUUUUCACUGUUUUGCUGCUGCAUAAUGUUGAUGAAGAAUGUGUCAAUGGCUUCCUCAGAUUCAUGGACAAAGUCAUUGAUGUCCUUCACAAUGCCCAAAAGGUCCGCUCUUUCAACUUCUUCUUCAUCGCUUUCUUCUAAGUCCAACAGUUGCAAAAAAGGCAAAGAUAUUUUGGAGUCAUCGAAUUCUUCUCUAAUGAGUUGAAAGAAAUGCCGAGCCAUGUCAGCUUCAUAUUUUCCCAGCAGGGUAGUAGCAAUAAUUUCGGACUCCGUAAGAAGGUUUUGAAAAAGUGGGGUUAAAUUUGUUGAAUCAGGCAGCGUUAACGGGCCUUCUUCACCUGCUAACACCCUUUUCAACCUCUCACAAAACAGUCGGAGGUGGAAUUCCAGCAUAUCUCCUUCUCUCCGUAGCACUCAGAGGUAUAGCUGAAAGAUUAAACACCAUGGAAGAAUUUGAAAGGAAAAUGCCAAGACAUUAUUGCUCAUUUUUUAACUCAAAAGAUUGAUACGCGUUCAUUUAGAGAAAAGUCCAAGACGCGUGCCUUUUGAAAAGAACAGGUAUCCCAAUCGGUAUCCGACCGAUAUCUUAUUAAAUUACAACCAUGACAUAAUUGAUGGUGCUUAAAUCAAUUGUUUCUUUUUUAAUUUAAAGAAUUUUUCAUUAAAAAAAUAUUUUAAUAUCAAAUUGCUUUCAGUGGCGUAACUGCCUCAAGCCCAGUAACAGGACUAAUUAAAAAUUUUACAAUUUUUGGGCAUGGAAAUAGUAGUAUUAAACAUUAGAAAGGUAAGGUCGUUCUGUUAAAGAAUUGAUAUUGACAUAAUUUUUUUUGGUUUUCGGGGGAAAAAAAAUUGUUGACAAGCAAGAAAAUAUUUUUAUAUUUUAUAAUUUAUUAUACAUAUUUUAUCUUAUUAAAGUAAUUUUAAUAAUAAAUAGAAACAUAAUAUUACGAUAAAUAAAUUAAAGUUGAACUUAUUUUGAAUAUUAUAAAAAAUAAUUUUAAUAUUAUUAAUAGGAAGACAUUGUAUUAAUUUUAAACUUUUUUAACCCAAAGGUUUAUUUAAAAUCUUUAUUAGAAAUACAAAUAUAAAAUUAAAUAUCAUAAUUUAAAAUUUUUAAUAUUAUUUUAAGUAUUAAAAAUAUUUUAAUGUUAUUAGUCUACUACAUAGAUCAUAUUACUUAUAUAAUAUUUGUAUUAUUAAAAAUUGUUAAAAUCAAAUUUUUAGUUAGUAUAUUCAUGAGCUAUUAUGGUUAAAAAAAAAAAGACCUUAUUAUUACUUUUUUAAAAAUUGAGGGCCUGCGUGAUAAUUUUUUCAAAAAGAAAAUGCUUGGUAUGUAGGAGGGGUACAGAAACAGGACUCCCAAAAUCUCUCACCCUUUUUUAAUUAAAAAAAAAAAUUAAAAUAUCAAUAAAAAGUAAUAAAGAAAAUAGAAUUUUAUCUGCUCCUUACUCCAUUUUUGCAACUCUCUCACCAUCCCUAUCGAGCAGCCCUCUCUCUCACUGUCUCACUCACACAGUCCUUUUCACGAUUUGAAAUUCUUUGGCCCUCUGCAUUACAAGAAAUUAACGCUUUGGUUCUCCCAAGGGUAGAUUGGUUUUAUUGGGAAGCUAUUAAUUUUUUUUUUUUUUGAAUACUGAUUAAUCAUCAGAUUACUGCAUUACACAGAUAUUUACAACAACUGCUAUUGUAGCAGAGAUAUUAUACUGAUAUUUACAAUCAGAUAUACAUAAUUGGGACUUAUAUUAUGACAUUGAAUUCUAUGAAGUACAUGCCCAAACAAAUAACCCCUCACAGGAGAGGGAUGUCCAUACUCCACUCGCAUUUCGCAAGGGAGAAUGAUUUUUUGGAAGUAUAAAGAACAUUUAGCCCCCACAAUACUUUUGUGGGGGCUAGAACCGCUGCAGCAUUGUGAGGGCAGCAGCCCACCACUUCGGCCUUGGCCGAAGUGGCGGGAAGCUAUUAAUUAGAAGGAGGAAAAAGGACUAUAUUUAGAAUAUGAUUUGUUGGAGAAUCUCAGAGUUAGUCAAUUUUCAAGCCACACUUUCAAUAGCCAAUUGAUUUAGUAACCAUUAAUUACUUUAAUUUCCAUAAAUUGUAAUGACAGUGCAAAUGCAUCUGGUUGUGAUAGCUAAGGGUUAGCUUGAAGAAUUAAAUUUCAUAAGAUAUUACUGGAAAAUGCUUUGCAGAUAACGUGCUGCUUCCUUUGCUAGACUACAAUUUCAAAAAUCUCACGAGUUUUCCAUUGUUGUCACAAACCGAGAAAUUAUAAAAUACAUGGCCUGGUUCUUUGGCAAUGACCAUCUCAUCGUCGGCGGUCGUGUCGUCAUUGUCACUGUUCUUGCUCGACCGAGACAGUGAGAGAGAGGUUUGUUAGAUGGAGUUAGUGAGAGAGAGUUGUAAAGAUGGAAUGAUGAUAAAAGGAUUCUAUUUGUUUUUAUUGUUUUUUAUUAAUAUUUUAAUUUUUUAAAUUAAAAUGUGCUGCCGUUUCUCUAGCCUUUUUAGCUGCUUAACUUAACAGUAUUCUUUUCAAAAUUUAAGAAUGUAGUAGGUGUCCUUUUCUCUAAUAAUUUAUUUCAUUUUUAGGGAAUCCAAUGAGAAAUAUGAUAAAAGAACGUCAAUUACUUGUCGUUUUCAAUUUUUUCUAUAAGCUAUUUAUUUUGAGCAUUAGUGAUCUUGUCUGGACUACCCCAAUUAUUGACGUAACUCCAGUGGCUGCAUCCACUGGAAAAAGUGGAUGAGACCAUUUUUUUUUUCAUAAAGGUAACUACUCCAAUUAUUGACAUAAUUGAUGGUGCUUAAAUCAAUUUUUUCUUUCUUUUUUUUAAUUUAAAGAAUUUUGCUUUAAAAAAUAAUUAAUAUCAAAAUGCCUUCAAUGUUGUUACCGCCACAAGCCCAGUUAGAGGACUCAUUAAAAAUUUUAGAAUUUUUAGGCCUGGAAAGCAUAGUAUUAAACAUCAGAAAGCAAAGGUUGUUAUGUCGAAGAAUUGAUGUCGACAAAAUUUUAAUUUUGUUUUCGGAAAAAAAAAAAAAUUUUGUUGACAAGCAAGAAAAUAUUUUUUAUACUUUACAAUCUGCUAUACAUAUUUUAUCAUAUUAAAGUAAUUUUAAUAAUAUAUGGAAACAUAAUAUUAUAAUAAAUAAAUUAAAAUUACUUUGUAUUAUUGAAUAUUACAAAAAGAUAAUUUUAAUAUUAUUAAUAGGAAAACAUUUUUUAAUUGUAAAAUCUUUUUAAUACAAAAAUUCGUUUAAAAUCUUUAUAAUAAAUACAAAUAUAAAAUUAAAAAAUAUCAUAAUUUAAAAUUUUUAAUAUUAUUUAAAUAUUAAAAAUACUUUAAUGUUAUUAGUCUACUACAUAAAAUAUAUUAUUUAUAUUAUAUUCGUAUUGAUUAAAACGUUUUAAAGUCAAAUUUUUAAUUAGUGUAUUCAAAGGUACAAAAGAUUUAAGUAUUAUUUUUUAAAAAUUUCAAGAUACGAAUGAUAAUUUUUUCAAAUUUUAAAGAUGUAAAAAUCUUUUUUUCUGAUAAUUUAUUUCACUUUUGAGAGAAUCCGAAAACGUUAAUUUAACAUUCUUUACCUUUGUAAAAAAAGUGAAAAUCAAGAACUAUUCAAUUUUGUUUUUAUUUGUAAUUCAAAAACUUUAUUCAUUUUCGAUGCUUUUCAAAAGAGAUUCCUUUAAAUGUCUGCAGCUCCUGCUUUUCUCAUAAAUCUCCAUCCCACAUCUACACUAUCAAGUAUCAAACAAGUUGAUGGAAAUUCUUAUAAAAAAAAAAAAAAAAUUGAUGGAAAUUGAUCAAUUGCUUUUUGAAGUGGACCCAUUGAGUCAUGUUCAUUUCUGGUCAUUGUCUACUCUUUCUAUCAGCCAUUUAUUUUGACCAUUUGCGAUCUUAUCUGGACCUACUCCAAUUAUUGUUGUAACUCCGAUGGUUGUAUCUACAGUGGAAUGUAAGAUAGUGAAAGCUCUUUCUUUGAGAAAAUAGAGGGACCUUUCUCUGUUUCUCCGUUGCAACGUGCUCGUAUAAAUUUCUCUACCUUACAGUUUAUACGGUCUUGCUGUUAAUGAAUUCGCUGAGGCAUUAUUGAUCCAAUCUGAGUGAAGUAAUUGUGGGUGAAAAAUAAAUAAAGGAUAUGAGAACGUAGCUGAAGUGCUGAAGGGGCUAUUAAAGAAGAGUGUCACUUGAUCACAAUCACAUUGAUGCACAACUCACUCGUGGCAAAUUUCGACUAUACGUUCUGCAAAUUCAGCCAAACCAUACAUGCAUGAACAAAACUAAAAUGUAGUUCUAAUCACAACUGCAGUUAUGAUGUUUACCUCUCUGAUUUUUCUCCAAAACAAAUUCAGUUCAAAACAAUAAUCAAAAUAGCCACAUUUUGUUCGUCAAAAUAAAUGCCCAAAUUUUCAAUUAACAAAUCAUCUUCUCUAAACUAAAAAGCCCACAUCUCUAAAAUCAAUCUACAUAAUGUUGGAGAUGAGGGUUGAAUUGUUAACUCAGUAAAAAAAAAAAAACUCAUGCAUAAGAUUACUAAUAAUAUAAAUUAUAUAUUAAUCAUUAUAAAGAAUCAUAAAUUAGAAAAAUUAAUCAUUUUAUAAUUUAUUACACAAGUAAGAUAAAUCUCAUAAUAAGUUAUAACAUAAAAAACGUUAUCAAUAUAUAAUCAUUUAAGAAGUCAUUUAACAAUAAAAUCGUUCUUUGAUCAGUUGGCCAUGUCACAUAGUAUCAUCUAUAUUUAUGGUGAUACUAUUAUUACUCAGUAUUCUCAAAAAACAUGAUUUAACAUUUAGAGGAAAUUCUUGCCUUAAAAAAAAAACAUGUAUGCAACAGCUACCCAUGCUUUAUCUUACCAUGACAAAUAUUUUCUCAAUGAAAGAAAUUUUUUAAAAAAUUGAUUUAAUGCACAAAUAUGAUGAUUUUUGCAAAAAUUAGUUUUGGAAAACAUAGUGAGAGAAAAUAGUGACGAUUAUUGUUUAAAUGUAUAAAUAGCCUAAACAUAAUCCUUAAUACCAAUAUCCAUAUGCAUCUUAUCAUCUUUCAUGAUAUUCUUUCAUUUAUGUCCAUUGGUUCAAGAUUUGAAUUUGAUCAUUAAAUCAUGUUCAAUAAUAUUAGAGAUUCCAACAAUUGAGUACCAACUUAAAUCCCAAUGUUAUGUGUCAUUGACCAAUUUUGUGUCAUUGACCAAUUUUGUUAUUAACUAGGUGAUGAAUUUCUAGUUGAUAAAAUCACUUAAAAAUAUCUUAAAAAUUAGACAAUAGUUUGCUUAAUUUUUCCAAGUUAACUGCUCAAGAUGCUCUAUUAGAAAUGAUAACCUAAUUAUAUACAUAAAAAAUGAUGGAAAUUGAACAAUUGCUUUUUGAAGUGGACCCAUUGAGUUAUGUUCAUUACUGGUCAUUGUCUAUUCUUUCUAAGAGCCACUUGUUUUGAGCAUUAGCAAUCCUAUCUGGACUACUCCAAUUAGGAUAGUGUUAGUUCUUUUUUGAGAAUUUCUUUAUUUGUUUCUCCGUUGCAGCGUAUUAGUAUAAAUUUCUUUACCUUACAGUUCCUACAGUCUUCCUGUUAAUGAAUUCGCUGAGGCAUUAUUGAUCCAAUCUCGGUGAAGUAAUUGUGGGUGAAAAAAAAAAAAAAGGAUAAGAGAACGUAGCUCAAGUGCUGAAUUGACUAUUAAAGAAGAGCGUCACCUGAUCACAAUCACAUUGAUGCACAACUCACUCGAGGCAAAUUUCAUCUAUAAAUAAAAGAUCCCUUACUAUUCUCUUAACCCUGAGUUUUGAGAUAGAAAUUUCCCGAACUCCAACCCCACAUCCACAGACAAGUUGAUUGAAACAAUUGCUCUUGUAAUUAAGAGGAUGGGUUAGGGUUCAGUUCUUAUCAUUGUCUGUUAUUUCUUUGAAUCAUUAUCUUAAUUAAUUACAUCAAUUGUUUCUUUUUUUUAAUUUAAAGAAUUUUUCUUUAAAAAAAUAUAUUUUAAUAUCAAAAUGCCUUAAAUGGUAUUACUGCCGCAAUCCCAGUAACAGGAUUAAUUAAAAAUUUUAGAAUUUUUGGGCAUGGAAAGAGUAGUAUUAAAUAUCAGAAAGCUAAGGUUGUUCUGUCAAAGAAUUCAUAUUGGCAUAAUUUUAUUUUUGCUUUCGAGUAAAAAAAUAUAUAUAUAUAUAUUUGUUGACAAGCAAAAUACUGUUUUUAUAUUUUACAAUCAGUUAUACAUAUUUUAUCAUAUUAAAGUAAUUUUAAUAAUAAAUGGAAACAUAACAUUACAAUAAAUCAAUUAAAGUUUAAAUUAUUUGGAAAAUUAUAAAAAAUAAUUUUAAUAUUAUUUAUAGGAAGAUAUUUUGUUUAUUGUAAAAUCUUUUUAACCCAAAGGUUUAUUUAAAAUUGUUAUAAUAAAUAAAAUAUAAAAACAAAAUAAAUAUCAUAAUUUAAAAUUUUAAUAUUAUUUUAAAUAUUAAAAAUACUUUAAUGCUAUUAGUCUACUACAAAGGUUAUAUUACUUAUAUUAUAUUUGUAUAAAUUAAAACUUUUAAAGUUAAAUUUUUAAUUACUAUAUUGAAAAGGUAUUAUGGUUAAAAUAUGUUUUGGCAUUUCUUUUUAAAAAUUUGAGGGUCUGCAUGACAAUUUGUCCAAAUCCUAGAGGUAUAGGUGUCUUUUUUUUUCGAUAAUUCAUUUUACUUUUGAGGGAAUCCGAUGAGAAAUAAGAUAAGAGAAACGUCAAUUUAACGUUCUCUAUGGAAAACCAAGAACUAUUCAAUUUUGUAUUUUUUGUUUGUAAAACGAAAAACAGUUUGCCAAAAAAGGUACCAAACAUAUCCUUAAUGUCUCACAUGAUUUCUUAUUAAGUCCAUACUCGAUAUAUUUAUACAUUUUAGGUAUUUUAGUUAUAAAAGAAGUUGGUCCUCCCUCUAUUUAUAAAAGGUAACUUUAUUUCGAGAUUACCACUAAAGUCUUACAAAGAAUUAGUGUAAUGUUAACAGAGAGUAACAUAGUUUUCCAUUACCAUUUUGAAAAUAGAAAGAUAUGGAUGUGUGCAUUUAAUGGUGUGUUUACUUACCGGAUUGAGGAAUCAGAAUCUGGAAUUAGAAUGAUUGAUGGUGUUUACUUCGCAAAUAUGGAGCAGGAAUCGGAACUGGAAUGGUGGGGCCCACCACUAUUUGGGAAUGAGAGAUUGAUUCCCAUGGGGGAAGGUGGGAACGAGUCUCCCAUUCCCUGGACUGACCAUUUUGCCCUCCCUCAAAAUUAAAAAUGCCUACUUUGUCCUCUUUUAUAAUUAAUUAAUAUAUAAAUAUUUUAAUAACUAUAAUUAUUAAAAAUUAUAGUUCUUGAAUAAAUAAUCACAAUAAUUAAUUUAUUAUUUUUAUUUUUAUUUUAAUUAAUUAAUAUACUAUUAUAAUAAUUAUAAAUAUAAUUAAUUUAUAUAUUAUUAUUAUUAUUAAUGAAUUAAUAUAAUUAUUACUAUUAAUUAAUAUAUUAAUAUAUUAUUAAAAAUAAUAUAUUAAUAAUUAUUGUUCGUGAACAAAUAAUCACAAUAAUUAAUAUACUAUUAUUUUAAUUAAUUAAUAUAAUUAAUUUAUAUAUUAUUAUUAUUAUUAAUGAAUUAAUAUAAUUAUUACUAUUAAUUAAUAUAUUAAUAUAUUAUUAAAAAUAAUAUAUUAAUAAUUAUUGUUCGUGAACAAAUAAUCACAAUAAUUAAUAUACUAUUAUUUUAAUUAAUUAAUAUACUAUUAUAAUAAUUAUUAAUAUAAUUACUAUAAUUAAUUCAUAUAUUAUUAUAAUUAAUUAAUUAAAUUAAUAUUAUUAAAUAAAUAAAUAAUAUAAUUAUUACUACUAAUUAGUAUAUUAAUAUAUUAUUAAAAAUAAUUAUAAUUUUUGAAUAAAUAAUCACAAUAAUUAAUAUAUUAUUUUAAUUAAGUAAUUAAUAUUAAUAUUAUUAGUUAAUAUAUUUUUAUAAUAAUUUUUAAUAUAGUUAUUAUAAUUAAUUAAAUUUUGUUACAAUUAAUUAAUAUAUUAGUUAAUAAUAAUUAUGACAAUAAUCCACUAAGUAUUUUUGAGUAAUUUGUUACAAUCUAAUUCAUUUUGAUUCCGAUUUCAAGACAAAGUAAACACAUUAAUGACAAUCUAGCUCAUUCCGAUUUCGAUUCCUACAGUUCAAGUAAACAACUUAUUUUGAUUUUCAUUACCUAUUUACAUUCCAGCCCAUUCUCAUUUCUUCCCAUUCUCAUUUCUGCCAAUUCCAAUUCCAGCUCAUUCCGAUUCCAGUUUAGUAAACGCAGCAUAAGAGUUAUCAUGAAAAUCAUACAAUUCAAUUUCCUGAAAUAUAUAUUUUAUUCACAUGUGCCAAAAGAAUAAAUAGAUAGAAAGUAAAUUUACAAUCCUCACUCCCUCACAAUUGUUAAAGUGAAUAUGCAUUACAACUGUGAACUGUCACUACUUUAGCCCCUUUUUUUUUUUCAAUUAUAGUGUGAUGGAGACAGUGAACAUCAAGGAUAAAGUGCUCUGCUGAAAGCGGAACUUCCUCUGGCUAAUUAAUUUGGAAGUAAAACAGAGAAUAAAGUCCUACAUGCCUUCUGAAAUUAGAAAUACAUUUUAUAUGCUUUAAUUAUGAUUAUUUGGUAGACUAUUGACCAAAAGACAUGUUAAAGUAUAAAACAGAGCGAUUAAAGAAAAAAAAAGGAGUGUUUGUGACGUAGAAUAACAAUUUGUAAGUAAAGUCCUAAUUUGAGUUGUCAAAAAGCAAAUAUAACAGGGAAGGUAAGAGGGAUGCAGAAACAGAAAACUAUUAGCUUAUCUUGAUUUUCCCACUAUAUUCAUUUUCGAUGCUUUUCAAACGAGAUUCUUUUAAUCCUUCUGGCGUCUGCAGCCCCUGGUCUUCUUAUAAAUUUCCAUCCCACAUCUGCACUAGGAACAAGUUGAUUGAAAUUAAAUAACAUUGGAGAUGACGGACAGAUGAGCCGUCAACUUGGUAAAAAAACUAUGUUAAUAUUGUUAAUAAUAAAAAAAAAUAUAAUAAUCAUUACAAAGAAUCAUAAAUUAGAAAAAUUAAUUAUUUUACAAUCUAUUUCGUAAGUAAGAUAAAUCUUGUAAUAAGUUAAGUUAUAACGUAAAAAAUAUUUUCAAUUUAUAAUCAUUUAAGAACUCAUUUAACAAUAAAAUCUUUCUUUUGAUCAAUUGGUCAUGCCACAGAGUAUCAUCUAUAUUCGUGGUGAUAUUAUUAUUACUCCGUAUUCUCAAAAAACACGAUUUAACAUUUAGAGAAAAUUCCUACCUUUUAAAAAGAACAUGUAUGCAACAGCUACCCAUACUUUAUCUUACCACGACAAAACUAAUGGUGACUAAAUCAAUUUUCUCGAAUAAAGCAAAAUUUCUUAAAAUUAAUUUAAUAUACAAAUAUGAUGACAUUUUGCAAAAAUUAGUUUUGGAAAAUAUAGUGACAAAAAAUAGUAAUGAUUAUUGUUUAGAUGUGUAAAUAGCCUAAACAUGAUCCCUAAUACCAAUAUCCACGUACAUCUUAACACCUUUCGUGAUAUUCUUUCAUUCAUGGUCACUGGUUCAAGAUUUGAAUUUGAUCAUUAAAUCAUGUUCAAUAAUAUUAGAGAUCCCAACAAUUAAGUACCAACUUAAAUCCUAAUGCUAUGUGUCAUUGACAAAUGUUGUGUCAUUUUUUGUUAACUGAGUGAUGAAUUUCUAGUUGAUAAAAUUACUUAAAAAUAUCUUAAAAAUCAGACAAUAGUUUGCUUAAUUUUUUGAAGCUAACUGCUCAAGAUGCUCUAUUAGAAAUGAUAACCUAAUUAUAUACAUAAAAAAUGAUGUAUUUUUUGCGGUGUUGAUAGUGAGAUUAUCAUUCAACAUGUUAAAAUAUGAAAACAUAUGGAAGAAGGUUGUAAAUUGAUUGAAUGAAAAUAUUUCAGUGAAGUCUAAAAAAUUUGGUACUUGUUAUCUUAUCGAAAGUUUUCUAAAUUACAUUCGUGGCACUGCCACUGCUUCCAUGUGAAGGUCAUUAAAAUUUGUGUUAGUUACCUAUAUGUUGAAUAAUAAUUUUAUUCAUGAAUUGUUGCUCAAUAUAGCAGUUUCUAGAUGAAUUUUCCUACAUGUUUGUCCUCAUAUGACCUAGAAUGCUGCUAUAUCAAUUGUAUUGGAAAUUAUUCAAGUGGGUUUGUGCUCUAUACCCCCACCAAAAUUUAAGCAAUCUACAGAACAUUCCUUGUGGAAAGAAACUUAUUUCGCUACUAGGUGGGAGUAGAUUUCUAAGCUAAUGCUCGGCAGAUCUCUAGGCUAUACUAAAAAGUGUAUGCACUUUGACUCUCAAUAUAUACGAGUGAUUCUAUGAUGACUGAAAACAUCAGUACAUGCAUGAUUUUAUAAGAAAGAAUAUUCUAAAAUUAUUUAUGUAUCACCAUUUGUAGUUGUACCCUCUCGAAUGAAGGUGCAAUCAGCAACUAAAAUGAAGCCCGAAAUGUACACGCGUGAGGCAGUUUUUCUAGAAGAUUGAUACUUCUCAAACUAGCAAACCGUACAAGUCCAAAGCUAGAAAAGGAGUGCUUCUAAGCAGAAAACAUUGAUUAAAACAGAAUACACACACACAUACCAGUAAAUUCAAAAUAGAAAAAGGAGUUCAACUGUUCAAGUUUGUGGACAAUAUUGCAACCGUGGCAUAUUUAUAGCAAAUCCUUGAAAUCUGCUAAAUAAACAAUGCCCUGUCUCAUGAAUCAAAGCCGAAUUAAAAUUGAAAUUGAAAGUCCGGCUGGUGUUGUUUCCCUCUCCAGUUUUGCCCACAUAAGUGAAGGGAAAUGAGAAUCAUAAAUUAAAAUCUGCUUUUACAGUUUUUUAUUAGAUAGAUAUAAAGGGAUCUUUUUUGUUUCUCUGCUGCAAUUUGUGGCUAUCCCACUCUGUUUUGCCACUCAAGCUUAGUCUACGUUGAGACAUAAUUUUGACAUCAGAAGCAACCUCAAUUAGUUUGGCAUUUUUAUGACCUCCUUGUACGUUUUACGAUAAACAUAAAUCUACUGAGAAAGUGUGAAAAAAAGAAAAUGCAUAUAAAAGUAUGAGUUAUCAGACAUGAUUAAAACUCACCCAAUUCAAUCCAUUAGAUUCCGUAAGGAUAUAACUGGAUGUCAUACCGCCACUCCAUAUCCUCGAAAGUCCGUAGUCUUUGUCUCAACUCUGUCUGAGGCCAAUGUAAAUCCAAUUUGCGCAAGCUCUUUAUGCACCACAGCUCUUCUGGAAGCUUUCUCAAGUAAGCACAUGGGUUGACAAUUAAGCUUUCAAGUUUUGGCAUUGCUCCAGCCCCCAUCGUCCACUCAUCUAGCCAAUACAUUGAUUUCAGGUGCAAAACCCUAAGUUCCAGAAAGCAACCAGAGCCAACGCAGGCCAGCUUUCUUCCUAAAUACGAGUUCUGUUUCAGUUUCAGCACUUGAAGGCUUGGAAGCUUUUCCAGCAUUGGCAUGGGAUCCUCCAUUAGCUCAGUAUUCGAUAAGCUCAGAUGGCUCAGACUUGGAGGAAAUUGGUAUUCAGACAGGACAAUCCGUGAGCGCUUGCUCUCAUUCACCAGCUUCAAGCAUUCAAGUUUGUGGAGUUCGCAUAGGCUUUUGGAAACCCCAGAGUGAUAGCAACUCAAAUCUCCAGAUAUCCGAAGAGUUUGAACAUUAGGCAGUCUGCCCAAUAUAUCUGGAGUACAACUACUAGGGUGUAAGGCUGAUAUGAAAAUGAGAUUUUUCAGAGAGCUGCAAUAAUUUUUUGGAGGUGCAGGCAGAGUGAUGGAACCGAAGUUUAGAUGCAUGAGUUUUUGCAUCAUCCAAAUAUCCUCUGGUGAAUGAUCUAUGUAGCUUGAUGGCAUUUGUAGUGUUUGAAGGUUUAAAAGGGUGCAUAGCAUUGAAGGAAGGCAUUUGAGCGAAGGGAUAUUCAAUUUCAAAUACUUCAAAAGGAAUAAAUUUUCUAAUCCGGGUGGAAAUUGGUCGAGAACUGCAGAACCGAAGUUCAGUACCCGAAGGUGUUUGAACUUUUUACAAAAAUUCUCGCAAUCUAUAAGAGCGAGAUGAUCGCUUUCUGAACUGUGAUUCAGAAAAGAUUGGAGAUACAUGUCAGAAUAUUCUAAAGAAAGGAACUCAAUCAGAUCUUCCAAAAUGAAGCACCGUUUAACAUUUGCCAGUGAUUCCUCUUCCAUGUCAGGCGUCCAGACAAAUCUCGUCUUCUCUACUACCAAAGCCAAUAACGUAUAUACAAAACUUGGAACAUAACACGCUUUAAUUGUGCCGCCGGCGCUUCUCUUACUCACUUGAAUGAAGCCGCGAUGGAUUAGUUCUUUCAAGUAAUGUUCGGCAGUUUCUUCACCGUUGUAUGGUAUGAAACCUUCAGCUACCCACAACUGAUAUAAUUGCCUCGUUGAUAUCUCAUUGCAUGAAAGGAAGACACACAAAUAGAUGCAGCAGAUUUUCAAGUGAAAAGGUAACUCCAUCACAGAAAAAAGUUGUCUCCAAACUGUCGGAAUCGUUUCGCCUUGAAGAUAAUUUUCUAAGGGCAUACUUCCAUAGUGUAGGAUGAAAAAUUGCCAGGCCUCAUGCUUUAAUCUGAUCAAUGGUCCUCCUACGAUCACUGAAUCAAGCCGAAUCUUCUCUCCGUUUUCCAUUUCCAACAGCGUAAGGAGGUGUGGAUUAGUGACCAAUAUCAAUACUCUGCUUCCAUUCUGAUUAUCAGGAAGAACUUCUUCAAGAUCACUCCAUAUCUCACUGUCAUCGAAGACAUCAUCAAGCACAAUAAAGUACUUCCUGUUUGUUAGGUAAUCUCGAAGAAUAGAUUUCUUCAAUUGAUAAUCUUCCCCGAUAAUUACACUAACCCGAGAUGGAGGCAUCACAGACUUGAUUAUGUCAUCCAAUAUCUUGCGAAAAUCGUAGGCUACAGAAACCCUUACCCAAGCAUGACAGUCAAAAUAGAACUUGAUAUGGUUAUUAUUGUAAGUAUCUGCAGCAAAAGCAGUCUUAUCGAAGCCACUGCUGUCGAGAAUUGUAACCACUGCAAGCCGACGAUGUCCUAAAUCAAUAAAUCAAACAACUCCUCUCUGCCACUUUCAAAUUCAUUGAUAUCAAGCCGAGGUUGUCCCUCACUCAAUAGGCGAAUGAUUUUGUUUCUUUGUUCACUGACAUCAAAACCAUUGUCGCCGGGUGGAAGUUGUUGCAUCCGAUUACUAAUAUCAAUGAUUUUACUCUGGAGUCCAUCAAGAAGAGCCAUAUUAGUGCUGCUUUUACUUUCGUUUUCACUGUUUUGCUGCUGCAUGAUGUUGAUGAAGAAUCUGUCAAUGGCUUCCUCAGAUUCAUGGACAAAGCGAUUGAUGUCCUCCAGAAUUUCCAAAAUAUCUGGUCUUUUAACGUCUUCUUCAUCGCUUUCUUCUAAGUCCAACAGUUGCAAAAGAGGCAAAGAUAUUUUGGAGUCAUCGAAUUCUUCUCUAAUGAGUUGAAAGAAAUGCCGAGCCAUGUCAGAUUCAUAUUUUCCCAGCAGAGUAGUUGCAAUAAUUUCGGACUCCGUAAGAAGGUUUUGAAAAAGUGGGGUUAAAUUUGUUGAAUCAGGCAGUGUUAACGUGCCUUCUUCUCCUACUACCACCCUUUUCAACCUCUCACAAAAUAAUCGGAGGUGGGCGUCCAGCAUAUCUCCUCCUGUCUGUAGCAGCCAGAGGUAUUGUUAUUUGCUCCAAGAAAUGUUAAAAGGAUUGGUCCUACCUCAAAGUGGUUAGUGGUGUAAAAUUAAACACCAUGGGAGAAUUUGAAAGGAAGAUGCCAAGAAACUGGCAAAGUGGCUAAAUUCCACAAAUACGGCAUUAUUGCUCAUUUUUAACUCAACAAAUUGAUACGCGUUCAUUUAGAGAAAAGUCGAAGACGCGUGCCUUUUGAAAAGAACAAGUAUCCAAUAGGUAUCCAACCUUUAUCUUAUUUAAUUACUACCAUGACAUGAUUGAUGGUGCUUAAAUCAAUUGUUUCUUUUUUAAUUUAAAGAUUUUUUCAUUAAAAAAUAAUUUAAUAUCACAUUGCCUUCAAUGGCGUAACGGCCGCAAGCCCAGUAACUAGAUUAAUUAAAAUGAAAUUAUGAUUGCACUACUUUUUUAUUUAUUUAUUUAUCUAAUCACUAUAAAAUUUUAACAUAUUUUAUUUACUAUAUUUUUUUUAAAUUUGCAUCAAUUAGUCACUUUUACACUAAUACCGUUAAAUAAUUUAAACGGAAUGAUAAUUUUACCCCUAAAUAAAAUUAAAAGUUCAUUUUAUUUUAUAAAAACUUUGAAAAUAAAAAAUUAUAAUUAUAAAAUAUCCCUAAAUUUAAUAAAGAAAUAAAUCCCAAAAUUAGAAUGUUUAUUUUUAAUAAAAAUUAUUUUAAUAAAAAAUUAUAAUUAGAAAAAUAAUUACAAAAUUUUGGGAUUUAAUAAAAAUCCCCUAAAUGAUUAAAAUUUUAGGAUUUAUUUUUUAAUAAAUAAAUUCAGUUAUUUUAAUAAAAUUUUGCAAAAUUAUAAUUUUUAAUAAAUAAAUUCACUUAUUUUUAUUAUAAUUUUAAAAAAAUUUAAAUUUUUAAUAAAAAUAAUUAUUAAAAUUUUACAACAUCUAAAUUGAAUAAAAAUCAGCUGAGCACCUAUAUUUUGUAUUUAUUUUUAUUAAAUUUAGGGGUAUUUUUAUAAUUAUAAUUUUUUAUUUUUCAAAGCUUUAUAAGAUAAAAUGGUCUUUUAAUUUAUUUAGGGGUAAAAUUAUCAUUUCGUUUUAAUUAUUUAACGGUGUUAGUGCAAAAGUGGCUAAUUGAUACAAAUUUGAAAAGAAAUGUGGCGCAGAGAACAUAUUAAAAUUUUGUGGUGGUUGGAUGAACAUAAGGCAACAGAAAGGUGGUGCAAUAAUAAUUUCCCUAAUUAAAAUUUUAGAAUUUUUGGGCAUGGAUAGAGUAGUUUUAAUUAUGUUAAAGAAUUGAUAUUGACAUAAUUUUAUUUUGGUUUUCAACGAAAAAAAAUUUGUUGACAAGUAAGAAAAUAUUUUUUUUUUACUUUACAAUCGGUUAUACAUGUUUUAUCAUAUUAAAGUAAUUUUAAUAAUAAAUAGAAACAUAAUAUUACAAUAAAUAAAUUAAAGUUUAAGUUAUUUUGAAUAUUAAAAAAAUAAUUUUAAUAUUAUUAAUAGGGAGGCAUUUUGUUAAUUGUAAAAUCUUGUUAACCCAAAGGUUAUUUAAAAUCUUUCUAAUAAAUACAAAUAUAAAAUUAAAUAUCAUAAUUUAAAAUAUUUAAUACUAUAUUCAAUGUAAAAAUAUUUUAAUGUUGUUAAUAUACUACAUAGAUUAUAUUACUUAUAUUAUAUUUAUAUUGAUUAAAAAUUUUUAAAAUUAAUUUUCUAGUUACUAUAUUCAUAAGGUAUUCUGGUUAAAGAAAAUAUCUUGAUAUUACUUUUUGAAAAUUUGAGAGCCUGCAUGACAAUUUUUUCAAAUUUUAAGGAUGUAAUUAUCCUUUUUUCCAUAAUUUAUUUCAAUUUUGAGGGAAUCCAAUAAGAAAUAUGGCAGGAGAAUGUCAAUAGGCGAAUGAUUUUGUUACUUUGUUCACUGAUCUCAAAACCAUCGUCGCCGGGUGGAAGUUGUUGCAUCCGAUUACUAAUAUCAAUGAUUUUACUGUGGAGUCCAUCAAGAAGAGCCAUAUUAGUACUGCUUUCACUUUCGUUUUCACUGGUUUGCUGCUGCUUGUUGUUGAUGAAGAAUGUGUCAAUGGACAAAGUUAUUGAUGUCCUCCAGAAUUCCAAAAAUAUCUGCUGUUUCAACGUCUUCUUCAUCGCUUUCUUCUAAGUCCAACAGUUGCAAAAAAGGCAAAGAUAUUUUGGAGUCAUCGAAUUCUUCUCUAAUGAGUUGAAACAAAAGCCGAGCCAUGUCAGCUUCAUAGUUUCCCACCAGAGUAGUAGCAAUGAUUUCUGACUCCGUAAGAAGGUUUUGAAAAAGUGGUGUCAAAUUUGUUGAAUCUGGCAACGGCAACGCGCCUUCUUCACCUGCCAACACCCUUUUCAACCUCUCACAAAACAGUCGGAGGUGGAAUUCCAGCAUAUCUCCUUCUCUCCGUAGCACUCAGAGGUAUAGUUGAAAGAUUAAACACCAUGGAAGAAUUUGAAAGGAAUAUGCCAAGAAACUGUGUAAGUGGCUAAAUUCCACAAAUAUGACAUUAUUGCUCUUUUUUGAACUCAAAAAAAUGGUACGCGUUCAUUUAGAGAAAAGAACAGGUAUCCCAAUCGAUAUCCAACCUUUAUCUUAUUUAAUUACUACCAUGACAUGAUUGAUGAUGCUUAAAUCAAUUGUUUCUUUUUUAAUUUAAAGAAUUUUUCAUUAAAAAAAUAUUUUGAUAUCUAAUACCCUUCAAUGGCAUAUCUGCCGCAAGCCCAGAACAGGAUUAAUGAAUUUUUUUUUUAAUUUUUUGGGCAUGGAAAGAGCAGUAUUAAACAUCAGAAAGCUAAGGUUGUUCUGUUAAAAAAUUGAUAUUGACAUAAUUUUAUUUUGGUUUCGGGGAAAAAAAUAUUUUCUGAAAAGCAAGAAAAUAUUUUUAUAUUUUACAAUUUAUUAUACAUAUUUUAUCGUAUUAAAUUAAUUUUAAUAAUAAAUAGAAACAAAAUAUUACGAUAAAUAAAUUAAAGUUUAAAUUGUUUUGAAUAUUAUAAAAAAUAAUUAUAAUAUUAUUAAUAGGAAGACAUUUUGUUAAUUUUAAAUUUUUUUAACCCAAAGGUUUAUUUAAAAUCUUUAUUAUAAAUACAAAUAUAAAAUUAAAUAUCAUAAUUUAAAAAAUUUAAUAUUAUUUUAAGUAUUAAAAAUAAUUUAAUGUUAUUAGUCUACUAUAUAGAUCACAUUACUUAUAUUAUAUUUGUAAUGAUUAAAAAAUUUUUAAAUCAAUUUUCUAGUUAAUAUAUUCACGAGGUAUUAUGGUUAAAGAAAAGACCUUGGUGUUACUUUUUAAAAAUUUGAGCGCAUGCAUGAUAAUUUUUUCAAAAUUUAAGAAUGUAUGUGUCCUUUUCUCCAAUAAUUUAUUUCACUUUUGAGGGGAAUCCAAUGAGAAAUAUGAUAAGAGAAUGUCAAUUACUUGUCAUUUUCUAUUUUUUCUGUAAGGUAUUUAUUUUGAGCAUUGGUGAUCUUGUCUGGACUACUCCAAUUAUUGAUGGAACUCCAAUGGCUGCAUCCACAGUUGAAUAUAUGAUGGUGUUAGCUCUUACUUGAGAAUUCAGAGGGAUCUUUCUAUGUUUCUCAAUUGCAAUGUGCUAGUAUAAAUUUCUUUACCUUACAGUUUAUAUAGUCUUGCUGUUAAUGAACUCACUGAGGCAUUAUUGAUUCAAUUUCAGUGGAGCAAUCGCGGGUGAAGGAUAAAUAAAGGAUAACAGAACAGAGCUGAAGUGCUAAAUUGGCUAUUGAAGAAGGUUUUCACAUGAUCACAAUUAUGUAAAAUAAUCAUUUUUCUGAAAUUGUGUUUCCUAAAAUUAAUAAAUUUCCUUUUUUUUAAAAAAAAAAAAAAACUCUUCUACGACGUGGUUGCACAGCAAAUUAGAGAAUUAUAGGGUCUCUAAUCAAUACUCCAACCAAUAAUGAUAUGUGCACAAAAAAUAGUAUCAAUCACAACAAGAUUAAAAUUAAAAAAAGUAACUAUAAGAUGGAAAAAAAAAUUAUUACAAGAAAAUAAUUUUUUUGUCUUUUCUAUCUUUUAUACUAUUUUUGUUUAUAUGUACUCUAAAUUCAGCCAAACCAUACAUGCAUGAACAAAAAUUAAACCGUCGUUCUAAUCACAACAGUAAUUGAAGCUACAAAAGCCAGCAAAUCUGAACGAAGACUUAAAAGAAAGAUCUUAUUCAAGUUUGUCCCCAAAAGACAGCUGAAAUGAAAAAUAUUGACUAUUGAAUGGGUCAAUGCCGAAUUACAUUUCAAAUGGAAAGCUUGGCAGCAGUUACAAUGUUUCCCCCUCUGAUUUUCCUCCAAAACAAAUUCAGUUGUAAACAAUAACCGAAGUAGUAAUAAUUUAUUCAUCAAAGAAAAUACCCCCAAGUUUUCAACUAAAAAAUCCUCUUGUCCAAACUAAAAGAACUCAUAUCUCUAAAAUCUAUCUGCAAAAUGUUGGGAAUGAGGAGUGAUCUGUCAACUCCGUAAAUAAACUCAUGCAUAAUGUUAACAAUAAUGAUAAAUUACAUAAUAAUUAUUAUAAAGAAUCAUAAAUUGGAAACACUAAUCAUUCUACAAUCUAUUAUAUAAGCAAGAUAAAUCUCAUAAUAAGUUAAGUUAUAAUGUAAUAAAUAUUUUCAAUAUAUAAUUAUUUAAGAAGUCAUUUAACAAUAAAAUAAUUUUUUUAAAUCAGUUGAUCAUACAGCGUUAUCUAAACUCCUGACGAUAUUAUUAUUACUCACUUUUCUCAAAAAAAUAUGAUUAAUGUUUAGAGAAAAGUCAUGCAUUUUAGAAAAAAUAUGUAUACUAGCUAUCCGUACUUUAUCUUACCGUGACAAAAUUGAUGGUGAUUAAAUCUAUUUUUAAAAUAGAUUUAAUUCACAAAUAUGGUGACUUUUGGCAAAAAUUAUUUUCAGAAGAUAUAGUGGCAGAAAAUAGUGAUAAUUAUUGUUUAAAUGUGUAAAUAGCCUAAGUAUAGCCCAUAAUACCAAUAUCCAUUUGCACCUUCAUUUGGUUUAUCACAUUUCAUGAUAUUCUUUCAUUCAUGACCAUUGUUCAAGAUUUUAAUUUGAUUAUAAAUUAAGUUGCAAGGGAGCUUACUUCAGUCUCUAAGCUUUUCAAUCGUGAUUCCUGCAUGCCAACGUAACUGACCUUAUAAUUGGUCUGUAUAAGAAAUCAAGCCCUUUCAGGAUCGUUUUCUUUUUCUCCCUAUUGUAGUAGUCAACUAAAUAAAGAAUGAACAACUAAACUUGGUCUAUUUCGAGGAAGACUAAGGCUUCCAAUACUAGAUGAACUUUGAAGAAAAUUAAUCCGUUGUUUUUAUUCAUCUUUGGACUAUGAAUAUAUACAAAGACUUUAACAGAAAAUAACAAAGACACAGCUAAAUGCACUACUAAAAAAAUGAGUUUUACUGACACUAAUUUAGCGUCAGUAAUUACUUUUAUUGACACUUGUUAAUUGUGUCAGUGUUGCUCAAGCCAGAACACACUGACACUAAUUUUUGAUGUCAAUAAUUUUUGUGUCAGUAAUUUGUUUCACUAUAGUAUCACUAAAAUAAUGACACGAUGAUGUUGGUAUUUAAUAAUACUAUUUACACGUCAGUAAUUUAUGUGACUAUAGUAUCAAAAACUGACUCGAUAAUAUAAAAAAUUCUUAUUGUUAUUUUAAAUAUGUAGUGUCAGUAUUUAGUAAUGUUAUGCUGCUUUUGGUUAAUAGUAUAUUUUUUAUUUUAAUUAUAUUUUUCGUGUUUGUUGUACAACCAAAAGAAAACUCGAAAUAUAUUUAUUAUUAAAUAUCUUGCAACACAAUUCAUAUAAUAAACAUCUCAAAUACAUCACUUAAAUUCACACAAUUCAACUACAUCACUAUGUGUAAAAGACUUAACAUAAGUAUCAAAUUAAAUUUUCAACAAUCUCUAAACAACAAGUGCUAACUACUACUCAAUUAAGUUUCCAACCCAAAAGAAAAAAAAAAAAGCACAAGGUCACUCAAUAUCCAUCCACGGCUUCAUUUUGUUCCCACCUACAAAUGCAUAAAAUCAAUUAGUAUACUGUGAAAAAUAAAUCUUAGUUAUUUUGAAGCAAAAAUACUCAUAAAUUACUUCAACAUGGAAGAGUAGGAUUAAAAGAAGCAAGUUAAGGAAUCAGAAAAAGAAAUUGUAGAAUCUACACGUUCCCAAGUUAAUUACAGCCUGCAAUCAUGAUACCACAAAUUGCUUCACCAAAAGUAUUCUAUCAAGUAUUAAAGAGAACACUUAAUAAGUACAUCAAUAUUUAGUAAUGAUGACAUGAACAAUGGUGUCUACAACUUGACAAGCAUAAGUUAUUUUUUUUGUAAUCUAUUUCAUUGUCUAAAUUUAAAGUAAACAAUGCUAUAAUAUAUGAUCAAGUACAUUAAGUUAACAAGCACUAUAACAUUUAUUUAGCCCACAUUCAACGAUGAUCAGUUGGACCGAAAGCCAUAAAUUGAAAAACAAAAGAUAUUUAAUGAGCUUAAAGAGGAAAAAUAAAAGUUAACAAAAUUUAAACGACUAAUGAAGAAAUUAACCAAGCCGAGAUGAAAAACAGAAAUAGAAGGCCACUAUAAGCCAAACAUUACAAAUCAGGUUGCUUUUUAAGACACGAACCCAGUUUCCAAUUACAGUACUUUGCAAUUCUUUAAAAAAAAAAGGGUUUCCCAAUUACUAAAUCUUUUUAGGUUUGAAGUGGAUUGAUAAUUAAAUUGAUGAAAGAAAGGAAAGUGAAGCAAAAAUUAGAUUCAAGUAUGGGUCAAGUAAAAAAGUAAAAGAUAAAAAUCAGAUUCAGUGCAAACCUGGGUUUCAAAUGAUUAGCAAAGGAACAACUUCUUCUUUCUUCAAUCUAAUAUUCUUCUUCGAACAUGGAAUACUAACAAAAUACAAUUAGUAAUUCAUAAACAUAUAGUAAAAUGAGAUAGGUAUUUUUUGAGAGGAGAUUGAGAAAUACAUAUUUGAUUGAAGAAAGAAAACACAACAAAAAAAAAGGACCAGGUCUCCUCAAAGAAAAGCAAAAUGGGAAAAUAGGGGAAUAGUCUAUACAAAAGCCAACCCACCACCCUUGGAGGACCAUCCUUCUUCUGAGCAAAAAUCUAUACAAGAUUAGCCCAAACCUCCAAUAUAGUAAAAUGGGUUCGACAGACUAUUUCUAAUCUGUCAUUUGCAAAGUAAAGCUAAAAUUAGAAUUGUCUACUAACAACCUUCCUAUAGUUUGUCCACUAUAUUAUUACUAUAUUAUUAGAUGUAAAAUGCCCACUAUAAAAGGUAAUUAAUAGAGAAACUUCUCUGUAGUAUUUUCAUACCUGUGCCAAAACAGAGAAGAGAAAGAAAUGGUGUCUGACCUCGGUGGUAAAGGAACCGCUAUGGUAAAGGAUCGAACAUGGAUGAAAAAUAAACUUGUGCAAAUGGAGCCACCAGCAUUUUGCAAGAAUUAAAGAUUUUGGGUGAAAUCCUCUCUUAUAAACACUUAUUUGUAUUGGGAGCAUGCAUACUUCCGAGUAUGAUAUAAUUCUAUAAAAUUUAGACUCCUGAUAGAUAGAUAGAUAACACGUAUUAGCAUUAAUUAAAUGGAAGCAUCAACAAUAAUCAAUAAAUCAUUAUAGAAAAAAAAUUAAAAAUGAAAGGAGCUGAGGCACACCAUUGUGAUGCAAGAUUGACAAUCAAAAGAACCUUUCCUUUGUAGAUGCUAAGAUCAACAUCCUGUCCCUUCGCAUCCUGCAAAUAAGAUAAAUUUUUAUAAAAAUUAAAAAAUAUAUCUGUCAAAUCCCAAAUUGAAUUAAAAAUCAAAACAAGGGAAAGAAAAUGAAAGGAACAUGUCAUCAAAUUGUAGGUGGCUGGUGGUGCUUUUUAGUGAAGUGUUUGUAGAACUGUUAGAUGUAACCAUUCUUUACGCAUCAACUUCGCUAGUGAUUUGAUUUGAUGAAGAGGAUCUUUCCUUAUCUAGUUAUCUUCUUGUGUAGAUCCAUGUAGGAUUCCUUCACGAUUUCUUUUUUUUUUUUUUGGGGGGGGGGGGGGGGAGGUUUAAUUAACAAAACAAUAAGAGUAAAUGAGGAAUCAAUCCCUAAUUUAAGGCCUUCUAAGAUUGCUGAAGCUCUGCAUAAUCAAUGUCUCCAAGAAAAAGGUUUAUUUGCAGGCUGUAGCAGCAAUUUUCUUCCCCAUGAAAUCCAACUGAUCCAUUUGUAUUGAAUUUAAGCACACGCCUGAGGCUGGAAAAGACAAAGAAAUUAAUGAAAACAGGCUAUGUAUCUUUUUUACUUAUCAUUGCUCUAUGAAUUAAUUAUGCUACUAAUCACGACGCCGUUUAAAUCUUAGAACAAUAAUAAUCUUUUAGCAACAAAUAUGACGGUUCAAUAAUAUGUUCCGACUAGGGAUGUCAUAUUGUGAGGGCUGUUAAGUUUAAGAAACGAUCAAAUCUAAUUUUGUGUUCCAAAAACUCAUUGGCUUAACAGAUUAACUCCUCUGUAGUAUUUUCAUACCUGUGCCAAAAGAGAGAAGAGAAAGAAAUGGUUCUUGAUCUCGACGGUAAAGGAGCGGUGGCUGGCUGGGCUGAAGUUGAUGUGACGGCAUAAAAGCGGUAGCAGCGACAUACUGAAAGGUGGCUAGCUAGUCGUAGGUGGCUGAAGCUUGACAACAGUAGAGCAAAGGCGGCAGUGACGUCAAGGAACGGCGGCCGACAGCAGUGAAAGUCGAGGAGCAGCGGCCGGCAGCAGUGAAAGUCGAGGAGCAGCGGCCGGCAGCAGUGAAAGCCGAGGAGCAGCGGCCGGCAGUAGUGAAAGUCGAGGAGCAGGGGAGCGGUCGGCAGCAGUGAAAGUCGAGGAGCAGGGGAGCGGCGGCAGCAACUUAAGAAGUGGUGUGUUUGAUUCGGUUAGAUUUAGGGUUUCUUAUUUUCAUUUUAUACUUUGAAAAAUUAUACAGUGUAAUUGUUCGCAUUGUAAUUUAAUAAAACAACAAACUACAAGUCAACAUGUGGUCAAGUAAAAUUAUUAUUAUUAACAACGAAUUACAAGUUGACAUGUGGCAAAAUAAAAAAUAUUAUUCUCAAAACUAUUAUUAUUAUUAUUAUUAUUAUUAUUAUUAUUAUUAUUAUUAUUAUUAUUAUUAUUAUUAUUGUCCACAAAGUAAUUGUGUAAAAUUUAAUUAAAUAAAAAAAUUAAUCAAAUUGAAAAUUUAAAAACACAUGCAUCAAUGGUUUGCACUCUAAACUUACAAAUUUUAAGUUUAGAGAUCUUGAGUUCGAGUUCAAAUUAAAACAAAAUUAAUAUUAUUAUUUUUUUAUCACUGAUGCUUUAGUAUCAAUAAUCAUUGAAUUUUAAGCUACUGACACCUUAGUAUCAAUGAUUUAUGAUACAUACUUGUUAAAGGCGGAAAAUGGUCCAAACGUACACCAUUUCUGACACUUUUUACUAAGUGUCAGAAACAAAGUGUCAGUAAAUGUCAUUUUUGUAGUAGUGAUGAUAGCAAUAAGUGCUGACUUAGACACUUAGUGGACCGCUUCUACAAGUAAAUAAAAACUAAAUAUUUAUUUUGACUAUAACAACAACUACGCUGAUGAAUAGGAUUUCACAGCAGCCACGUGAGAACUAAUUUCUCCUUAAUAUUAUUAUUAGUAGAAGUAGAUUUUCAAACUAGUCUUGAUAUAUUUCAAAGUUGUAUUAUCAAUGUAUAUGUGUCUAGAUUGUAACUAUACUUUAAAAAAUAUAAAAUUUUUAAUUAUUGCACAAUAUAUGUAGAAAAAUAUCUAUAAAAUGAUAUUAUUAGGACUAAGAAUUUUUUAUUUUAUUUUAGAUAAGUUAUUUAUUUAUUAUCGAAUGAAUAAUUUAUUAAUUUAUUGAUAAAUGAAUAUUUAUUAAUUUAAAGAGAGAUUUUUUUGGUUUUAACAAGAGUUUGUUUGGUAAAUGUACACACUUAUAAAGAAACAUAAAAAGUGGUUCCUCAAGUCAAUAGUGUUUGCUUCAAUCGCAACGGUUCAUAAUAAUAUAGCUUAGUUAGGAAAUUUGUAAUUAUACUAUAACUUUGUUUGGUACAACUUUUCAAGUAAAACUUAUUUAAGUAGAGUUGUUAUUAGUAGAGCUUUUAUAAAUAAAGCUUUUACUAAAAAAAAUUUAAUUGUUUGGUUGUCAAUGUCCAAAUUGAUAAACUUUUGUUCUUUUGUUAAGAUAUGUUUGUUUUACUUAAUAAUAGCAUCGGCAAGAGUUUUCGAUUGUUGCAACUUGCAAUGCACGCGGUGAGAGAAAAUGAGAAUCUUGUUUAAUUGUCAAUAAUGACAAACCUAAUCCUUUCAUUAGGAGUAAUUUAAUAAUCGUUUGUUAUAACUGAAUAUGUAUAAAGAAAGGAAAAUUCUAUUCAUAGAUUUCGACUUAUUUUUUGUUUAAAGUAAUUAAUCAUUCAACCAUCUUCAUUUGCCUCUGGCCAAUGCCCUUGUAGAUUAGUUGAAGCGUUAAUUACUUAAUUAUGAUUAUAUACAUUUUCAUAUAGCAAGUGGCAUUGUAGAUCUAAACUAAGUUGCUAUUUCAAUACCAGCAAAUUCAAAAUAGAAAAGGAGUGCAACUAUUUAACUUUGUAGACAAUAUUGCAACCAUGGCAUAUUUAUAGCAAAUCCUUGAAAUCUGCUAAACAAAACAAUGCCCUGUCUCAUGAAUCGAUGCUCAAUUAAAAUUUAAAUUGAAAGUCCGGCUGGUGUUGUUUUCCUCUCCAGUUUUGCCUACAUAAGUAAAGGGAAAUAAGAAUCAUAAGUGAAAAUAUGCUUUGACAGGUCUUAUUUCUUUGUUUCUCUACUGCAGUUUUGCCUACUCAAGCUGAGUCUACGUUGAGACAUAAUUUCAGUAUUGAGGUAACAAUAAUUUCGGACUCCGUAAGAAGGUUUUGAAAAAGUGGAGUCACAUUUGUUGAAUCAGGCAACGUCAACGUGCCUUCUUCACCUGCUAACACCCUUUUCAACCUCUCACAAAAUAGUCGGAGGUGGACGUCCAGCAUAUCUCCUUCUCUCUGUAGCACCCAGAGGUAACAGGAUUAAUUAAAAAUUUUAGAAUUGUUGGGCGUGGAAAGAGUAGUAUUAAACAUCAGAAAGCAAGGUUGUUCUGCUAAAGAAUUGAUUUGUUGACAUAAUUUUUUUUUUUUUUUUUUGGUUUUCGAGGAAAAAGGCAUAUUUGUUGACAAGCAAGAAAAUGUUUUUGUAUUUUACAAUCUGUUAUACAUAUUUCAUCAUAUUAAAGUAAUUUUAAUAAUAAAUAGAAACAUAAUAUUAUGAUAAAUAAAUUAAAGUUUAAAUUAUUUUGAAUAUUAUAAAAAAAUAAUUCUAAUAUUGUUAAUAGGAACAUAUUUUGUUAAUUGUAAAAUCUUUUUAAUCCAAAGAUUUAUUUAAAAUCUUUAUAAUAAAUACAAAUAUAAAAUUAAAAUAAAUAUCAUAAUUUAAAAUUUUUAAUAUUAUUUUCAAUAUUAAAAUAUUUUAAUGUUAUUAGUCUACUAUGUAAGGUAUCAGAGCCAUACCCAUCCUUGAAUGGGUCAAUGCUGAAUUACACUUGAAAUGGAAAGCUUGCUGCAGUUACGAUAUUUCCCCCUCUGAUUUUUCUCCAAAACAAAUUCAGUUGUAAACAAUAACCGAAGUAGCAAUAAUUCAUUCAUCAAAGAAAAUACUCAAAUUUUCAACUAACAAAUCCUCUUAUCUAAACUAAUUAAAAAAAACUCAUAUCUCAAAAAUCUAUCUACAAAAUGUUGGAAAUAAAGGGUGAUCCGUCAACUCGAUAAAUAUACUCAUGCAUAAUGCUAACAAUAUGAUAAAUUACAUCAUAACUAUUAUAAAGAAUCAUAAAUUGGAAACACUAAUCAUUCUACAAUCUAUUAUAUAACUAAGAUAAAUCUUAUAAUAAGUUAAGUUAGAACAUAAUAAAUAUUUUCAAUAUAUAUAAUUAUUUAAGAAGUCUUUUAACAAUAAAUUUUUUUUCUUUUUCAGUUGAUCAUGUCAUAUAGCGUUAAUGGUGAUUAGUGACUGAUUACAAAGCAAAAUUGUUUAAAAUAGAUUUAAUGCACAAAUAUGAUGAAUUUUGGCAAAAAUUAGUUUCGGAAAUGUUGGGAUGAAAACCAUAUUAGUUGAGACUUAAAGUUACUUAAUAAAAUUAUAUCACUACCAUUCAAUGGAUGAAAACUAUUUUAGUUGAGACUUAAAUUUAGAUUUAAAUGUUGAGAUAUCUAGUAUUACUCAAUCAGAAUAAACAAGAACCAAUUCUGACUAUCAUGUAGAAGCAAAUAUUUAUGCUUGGAUUUUUUACUUCUUGAAUUUGAUUGGAAAAGUUUCUGAGACAGAGAAGUGUUUUGGAUAAUCUUUUUCGGGAUUGAAACCACAAAUUGGUCGAGGAAAUUAAUUUUGGACAAAUUUUUAUUGAGUUGUGCUAAACAUCAAGAAGGGCGAGAGAAUGCUGAGAGAAACGGCAGCUUUGUGCUGCUGUUUCGACUUCUCACUCUCUCGCCAUUCUAAUAAUUUUUUAUUAUUAAAAAUAAAAAAGCGGAGAAAAUGAUAGCAGACAACCCACAUCUACCAAAUCUCCAUCACUCCAUCACUCUCUUUCUCUCUCUCCCUCUCUUGAUUUUCAUCCUCUCUCUGGCUUCCUCACUCUCUACGGCUCCCCAUCAAGCUUCCUCAGUCUCUUCGGCCUCACUAUCUCUAGCCUCACUCUCUCCAGAUUCUUUCAUUUUCUCCUUUUUUUUAUAUUUUUAACAAUAAAAAAUUAGCAUUCUGCUGAGAAAGAGAGUGGUACACGACUCUUGAACAAUUUUUUUUCUGUCGUGAUCGUCUAUCAAACCACCUAAAAAUGAGCCAAGGGGGUUCUCAGCCCUAGCAGCUCACGUACUUUCAAGAUUUAGAGUAUGGUUCCAGUCCAAGCUAUUUAAUUAGUAUUGGGAUUCGAUUUAGUUGUUCUUCUAAUUUAAUAGGAUAAAGAAUUUAAUUGGAGAAAUGUCAUUAAUAUCAUAGGAGCAUAUAUAUUGUUUUGAUUUAAAUAUUGCUAUUUUUUUAUUGUUGAAAAAAAAAACACUAGAAAAUGGGAAGCCAAAAUCUUAGCCCUGUGUUUUUACUUUUACUUUUCUCUUAAACAUUUUAAAGAUGUAAAGGAAAAUGCUCAGAAUGGUGAGAGAGUGAUGGACGUGAUGGGCUAUCUUCUAUCCUUUUUUUAAUAAAUUUUUAAGAAUAAAAAAUUUAUUAAAACAGUAAGAGAGCGAAACCAAAACGGCAGCUUGUGCUGUCGUUUCUCUUAACAUUCUCUCGUCAUUCUUGAUGUUAAGCAUUUUCCAUUUUUAUUAUGUUGUAGCACCUUUUUGGUUCCUUUUGUGUCGGCAGCCCCUUACUAUUCUCUUAACCCUGAGUUUGAGAUAGAAAUUUCCCGAACUCCAACCCCACAUCCACAGACAAGUUGAUUCAAACAAUUGCUCUUUUAAUUAAGAGAAUGAGUUAGGUUUCAGUUCUUAUUGUUGUCUGUUAUUUCUCUGAAUCAUUAAUUUUGAGCAUUACUGAUCUUAGUUAUCUGUAUUUCUCCAAUUAUUGAAGAAUUUAUUAUUGAAUGAAUAAUUUAUUAAUUUAUUGAUAAAUGAAUAUUUAUUAAUUUAAAGAGAGAUUAUUUUGGUUUUAAGAAGAGUUUAUUUGGCACAUGUACACACUUAUAAAGAAACACAAAAAGUGCCUGCUCAAGUCAAUAGUUUUGGUACAUUUACACACUUAUAAAGAAACACAAAAAGUGCUUGCUCAAGUCAAUAGUAUUUGCUUUAAUCGCUAUAGUUCAUAAUAAUAUAGCUUAGUUAGGAAAUUUGUAAUUAUACUAUGGCUCCGAUUGGUACAACUUUUUAAGUAGAACUUAUUUAAUUAGAGUUUUUAUUAGUAGAGUUUUUAUAAAUAGAGAUUUUACUAAAAUAAAAUUUAGUUAUUUAGUUGUCAAUGUCCAAAUUGAUGAAAUAUUGUUCUUGUUAACAUAUGUUUGUUUUACUUAAAAAUAAAAGUUUAGUUUACAAUUACACCAGUAUAAAAUCAGCAGAGCAUUUUUGCUUAAAUAUUUAUUAAUUUAAAGAGAGCUUAUUUAAAUAGAGUUUUUGUUAGCAAAACUUUUAUAAAUAAAACUUUGCUUAAAAAAAUUUAAUUAUUUAAUUGUUAAUGUCCAAAUUGAUGAACUUUUGUUCUUUUGUUAACAUGUGUUUCUUUUACCUAAUAAUAAAAAUUAGUUUACAAUAACACUGGUGUCAAAUCAGCAGAGAUAUUUUCCAGCCAGUCACAUUAUACAUACGGGAGCCUCUAUGUUACAUUGAAUGUACCAUACACAACUAAUAAGAACCACAUAAAUUGUGGGACCCACAUAAUUGUGUGGUUCUUAUUGGUUGUGUAUGGUACAUUCAAUGUAACAUAGCAAAAUCCUAUACAUUAUACUAAUAGCAUCGGCAAGAGUUUUCGAUUGUUACAACUUGCAAUGCACGCGGUGAGAGAAAAUGAGAAUCUUGUUUAAUUGUCAAUAAUGACAAACCUAAUCCUUUCAUUAGUAGUAAUUUAAUAAUCGUUUAUUAUAAUUGAAUAUGUAUAAAGAAAGGAAAAUUCUAUUCAUAAAUUUCGACUUAUUUUUUGUUUAAAGUAAUUAAUCAUUCAACCAUCUUCAUUUGCCUCUGGCCAAUGCCCUUGUAGAUUAGUUGCAGCGUUAAUUACUUAAUUAUGAUUAUAUACAUUUUCAUAUAGCAAGUGGCAUUGUAGAUCUAAACUAAGUUGCUAUUUCAAUACCAGCAAAUUCAAAAUAGAAAAGGAGUGCAACUGUUCAACUUUGUAGACAAUAUUGCAAGUUGCAACCAUCCAAAGGUGAAGAUCUAUGCUUAUUAUCUAUUUAACAGCUAAUAUAUAUAUAUAUAUAUUUAUUUAAAUAUCAAGAGCUAUGCUUUUAAAUAAGUUCAAAUGGGAUGAGAACAGACUUAUAUUUAUUUAUUUAAAUAUGACCCAGGCUAAUUUCUCUGAAUUUGGACAGAGUAGAUUUCUAAGCUAAUGCUUGGCAUAUCUCUGGCGAUACUACAAAGUGCAUGUACAUUGACUCUUAAUAAAUAUAAACGAUUCUCUGAUAUGAUUCAAAACAUCACUACAUGCAUAAGUUAAUAAGAGACAAUAUUCUAAGAUUAUUUAUGCAUCACCAUUUAUAGUUGUACCCUCUCUAAUGAAAUUGAAGGUGCAGCCAGCAACUAAAAUGAAGCAGAAAUGUACACGCAUGAGGCAGUUUUUCUAGAAGAUUGAUAUUUCUUUAACUAGAAAACCAUACAAGUCCACAACUAGCCAAACUGUACCUGCAUGUGUCUAGGGCUUAAAUGGAGCACUUCUAAGCAUAAAACAGUAACUAAAACACAUACACAAACAUACAUACCAAAAAAUUCAGAAAAUAGAGAAAGGAAUACAACUAUUCUUGUUUGUAGACAAUAUUGCAACCAUGGCAUCAGUUAUAGCAAAUCCUUGAAAUCUACUAAACAAAAUAAUGUCCUGUCUCAUGAAUCAAUGUUGAAUUACAGCUGAAAUUGAAAGUCUGGCAUCAGUUAUAGGAAAUAUUGAAUUACAAUAUUUCCCUUGCCGAUUUUGUCUACACAAGUAAAAUGGAAAUAAGAAUCAUAGAUGAAAAUCAACUUUUACAGUUCUAAUUAUUAGAUAGAUACAGAAUGAUCUAUCUUUGUGAGUUUGUUUUUCUGCUGCAAUGUGCGAUCCCACUCUGUUUUGAUACUCAAAUUGAGUCUAUGUUGAGACAUAAUUUUGACAUUGCAAGCAAUCCCAAUUAGUUUGGCAUUUGUAUGACCCUUUGAAGGUUUUACAAUAGAUGCAAAUCUACUGAGAAAAUGGUAAAAAAGGUGCAUAUAAAAUGAGGCAAGUAACAGAAGUAUGAGUUAUCAGAUUAGAUUAAAAGUCACCCAAUUCAAUCUAUCAGAUUCCGUAAGGAUAUAACUGGAUGUCAUAUCGCCACUCCAUAUCCUCGAAAGUCCGUAGUCUUUGUCUCAACUCUGUCUGAGGCCAAUGUAAAUCCAAUUUGCACAAGCUCUUUAUGCACCAUAGCUCUUCUGGAAGCUUUCUCAAGUAAGCACAUGGGUUGACAAUUAAGCUUUCAAGUUUUGGCAUUGCUCUUGCCCCCAUCGUCCACUCGUCUAGCCAAUACAUCGACUUCAAGUGCAAAAUCUUAAGUUCCGGAAAGCCACCAGAGCCAACGCAGGCCAGCUUUCUUCCUAAAUAUGAGUUCUGCUUCAGUUUCAGCACUUGAAGGCGUGGAAGCUUUUCCAGCAUUGGCAUGGGAUCCUCCAUUAGCUCAGUAUUUGAUAAGCUCAGUUGGAUCAGGCUUGGAGGAAAUUGGUAUUCAGACAGGACCAUCCGUGAGAGCUUGCUCUCAUUCACCAACUUCAAGCAUUCAACUUUGUGGAGUUCGCAUACGCUUUUGGAAACCCCAGAGUGAUAGCAACUCAAAUCUCCAGACACUCUAAGAGUUUGAAGAUUAGGUAGUCUGCACAAUAUAUCUGGCGUGCAACUACUAGGGUGUAAGGCUGAUAUGAAAAUAAGAUUUUUCAGAGAGCUGGAAUAAUUUUUUGGAGGUGCAGGCAGAGUGAUGGAACCAAAGUUCAGAUGCAUGAGUUUUUGCAUCUUCCAAAUAUCCUCUGGUGUUUGAUCUACGUAGCUAGAUGGCAUGUCUAGUGUUUGAAGGUUUGAAAGGGUGCAUAGCAGUGAAGGAAGACAUUUGAGCGAAGGGAUAUUCAAUUUCAAAUACUUCAAAUGGAAUAAAUUUUCUAAUCCGGGUGGAUAUUGGUCCAGGACUGCAGAACCCAUGUUCAAUACCCGAAG